RNAcentral lists this long non-coding RNA (180434 nucleotides) under Triticum aestivum (bread wheat). RNAcentral describes it as "long non-coding RNA (TAES_LNC006269)". The stretch from base 97465 to 97589 matches the Rfam family "MIR1120/MIR1122 microRNA precursor family". The record is from RNAcentral. Lineage: Eukaryota; Viridiplantae; Streptophyta; Magnoliopsida; Poales; Poaceae.
UGAGCCUCAGGACGAAUGAUGGGUGUUUGCUCUUUGCUAUGAUUCUGUUUCUCUGGUGUGGUGUUUGCCGUGAUUCUGAUCUUGGCCUACUGCUGGGUGUGGUGUCUGCUGUGAUUCUGGUCCUGGCCUUAUGCGUCAGUUACUGUGUAUCAGACAGCAUUAAGAUAUGUACCUCAAAUAAUGUAAACGCUUAUUAAACAAAAAUUGUUACUGGUUUUCUGUUUCUGAUAUUUACAUAUGAUGUGGCAGUAUACUGAUGAAACGAAAUUAUCUGCAUCUUCCUACUUUUUACAUCCUUGAUGUUUUGUAUAGGCCGCUGGCCCUUCUCCUUCCAUGAUAUAUACUCCCUCCGUUUCUAAAUAUAAGAUCUUUUAUAGAGAUGUCAAUACGGACUACAUACGGAUGUAUGUAGACGUAUUUUAGAGUGUAGAUUCACGUAUUUUGCUCCGUAUGUAGUCCGCAUUGGAACAGAGGGAGUACCUCUAAUCUGACCUUUGUACAUUCCUUCCAUGAUAUAUAUUGUAAGUUUUAAUCUAAUUUUUGGUACCAUUACAUGACUCACAACAGUCAUACGAAGUGCACCAGUAAAUCUUUUCCUUAUAAGUGGAUCAAUAAAAGUAGAAUGAAGGUUUUCAUUUAACAUCUGUGUAAGGGUACUGCUGGGAAUUUCAUGUUGAGGAACCAGGGCAAACACACGCCCUUCAUGUCUUAUUUGCGAUAUGUAAAUCAUCUGGAACAAAUCAUUUUCAUGAAUUUGGUCGAGUUCCUCGUAUACUGUAUAAAUUUGACAGCAUAUGUCCUCACAAAAGAGAGAGGAAUCUUUUUUUUUUUUGCAUAUGUCUCUGCAUUUCAGUUCCAUACUUUUGAGCUCAGCAAACUAAACUUGUUUCAAACAUUUAGAUGGCUCACAUCAGACAACCAGUAACUUGAGCAUUACAUGCAUAAGCUGCUGGAGAAAUGUCUUCAGCUAACCACAGAGAACUAGUGCUGUGCACAGCUUCCUUUUUAGCAAAAGAUCAGUAGUUGUGUAGACUUAUGCCAAGCCUGAAUUUUUGUACAUAGAAAGUUAGUGUGCUAAGGUGGCCAGCGUGGUGUCGCGACAUGAUCACUGACGGAACUGAAUCUGUCUCGCAACCUGCAGGCUGUUGAUGACCAGGUUGCUUUUAUCUUGAGCACGCCAAAGAGGAAGUCACUAAUUUUUUUUACUCAGAAAAAAUAGGGUAGUUUAGCUGUAAAUCCUGUUAGACCAAGGACUCAAUCUAUUGAUAAGUCUGUCAAUAUAUUUUGGCUUUGUUCUGAUCCUUUUUUUUUAGAGAAAAGGCGGGAGCCCUACUUUAUAAAUAAAGCCACCAGGCAGAGUUACAUCAGCAGAACCAACACCCAGAACGAGUUCAACAGGCAGGGAUCAUAAGUAUCAUUACAAGGCCUUCAGCCUAACAUGGCACACAGGCCAGCAUUUCACCAAAAAACAUCGGGAUAAAAUUAGGGAGCCGCCCUCGGAGUACGCCGCAGAAGGAAGGACGCCGUAGAUUUCAUUCUAGAUACCAUGUCGUCGAAAGCCUGAAGGUCCCCUUCCUUAGUCAAUAAUCUCCACUGCUGCAAAAAGACAUUGGCUUUAAAUAAGCAGCUGACAGGGUUAGCCGGAAAAAUGCGUUCAAUCGUGAACUUGUUCCUAAUAGUCCACAGAGACCACCCGAUCGCAGCCCAACCCACCAAGAAGACCCGAUUGGACUGCCCUGAUAAGGAGUUGGAAUAUCGCCUAAGGUCCUCAAAGGAGGAGGGAGACCAGUUAACAUGAAGCAGGGGAUCCUGACCAGCAGGGGAUCAUGCUUCAACUUGAAUUUUGAGGAGUUCACUCCAGGGUUAAGUAUCUUAACUCAUUAUGGUCUUUUCAUUAACCCAUUAUUCAAAAUUUCAGGUAAUGGACCUGCUUGGUCCUAGCCUCUGGGAUGUUUGGCAUUCACUGGGACUGGAGUAAGUAUCUUAUCAAUCUUUUCACUCCAUCUGCUUUGUUCUCCUUUCUCCUUGCUGAAAGUAUCAACACCCCCGACAGUGACAGGAUGUCAUUUCGAAUGGUUGCUUGUAUUGCCGUUGAGGCCAUAUUAAUUCUUGCGAAGAUUCGCUCCAAAGGUUACUUUCAAGCUAUUUGAUGUUCUUGAGAUCCAUUUCCCGUUCUUUUUUAUUCCUCAAUCUUAACAGUUGCUGCUCUUCCUAUUAUUGCCAGCUUUGUACAUGGUGAUGUAAAACCUGAAACCUUUUUUGCUUGGUCAGCCUGGAUCCGCUCAAGAAAAGAAGCUUUUUCUCAUUAAUUUUGUUACUUUACUUAUUGAUGGCUCAUUACUGCAGGGAGGUAAUUCUUGUUUGUAAGAAGAAAAUGGAGACUUCUCCAGAGAUGUUAGGUAGACUCUGUCCAGCUCCAUUCAAGCAUUUUCAUGAGACUGUCACUUGAAUGAAAUUUAAUGAAAAACCAAAGUACCAAAGACUUGUUUCUCUCUUUGAUGAUUUAAUCGAAGGACCUGCUUCGAGACCCAUCAGGAUCUAUGGAGCUCUAGAGGUCUGCACCGCUUUAUCCACAACAUGUAUCUGUGCUCUGCAAUUUAAGUUGCCUAAGCAUCUGUUGUGCAAAUUGUAGGUUGGAACUAAGCGUAGAGGAAUGGCUUUAAAUCUGGAAGAAGACGAAUAACCUAUGAAAAAUGUUCGGUUGGGGAGCCCAACAACUUGGUGGGAUUCGGUGUAUAAUCCUAGGUGGCCCACAGAGCAGCGGUAACUCCUUUUAAAUUUGAAAAUGUUGACAUAUUCUCCAAAUUUUUCUUUUGCUUGCCCAGACAUUAUUUCUUCCUUCCCUUGCCUUGUAGAAGUGGUCUGUUCUGGUGGCCACGUCAGCAAAAGUGGGACCCACCUGUCAUAAACGUGCUCAAGACGCCCUAAGCCGCCGAUCAGUGUCUUAUGCAGAAAGUUUACCACAGGUUUAGUCGAAAAUUGUGAAGUCGUGUUUUCUGCAAACCUAGCCCUCAAUGUGGUGGUUUCAUGCAAUUAACUAGUUCUGGUGCUUAAAGUCCCAUAAGGUCCCCGCCACCCGCCACCCCUACACGACACAUAGCAUCAUCGGCUCUUCAUACUCCAGAUCAAUGAUUAGAUGACUUUAAGCGUCAGAUGGCUCUAAAUAGCUGGGUUAUAUGAGUACUAUUUAGCUCUAAUUUAUUUUCUUUAAAAAGACCGGAGUUCCACUUACCGUCUCUUUGUGAUUUAGGUCAAAAAGGAAACUGCCUUGUGGUUAUCGUUGUUGCGAACUUGCGUUAUCUUGGUGUAAGCUCCAAUUUUUAAUGUCGUCCACAGUAGUCAUGCCUAAAUUUUACCUGAUAUCCUGGUGAAAGCAGCUAUCCGGAACUAUACUAUUCUGUUUUUCUGUAACUAAAGCAUUUGUGCUCGUUGUUAGUGAUGAAAGGGUUUUGUUUUGACUUAUUAUGAUUUAAGCUUAUAAGUAACUCCUGUUUGUCUGGCCUAUUUCAAUUGUUAUCGAUCCUGUUCUGUAAAGAUGUUUGUCUUGCCUUUUGUAGCUACCACUUCAAUAUAGCUGAUUCAGAGCUGCAUCAGCAUAAAGAAAAAAAUGCAGUAAAGCUGGUUUGUUGAGUAGUUGUGCAGCUUCUGCAGCUAUGUGAAGGUACGUUGUGCAUUUCUUUUGCUAGCUCACAGUGGCGUACAUAAUCUGUCCUCGUGUGUUGUAAUAUGUUCAUUAAUAUGUCGGGACCUAACAUUGAACAAAAUUUCCAGGAAAAAUGGGCGAAGAACCUAUAUAUCACCUCAAUCUGCUACUGGCGACCCGUGUGUUAGACGUAGACGGCAAGCUGAACUCUUGUGCCAAUUGUAAAGAAUCAUGCUCGGCUGUUUUGGUUGGUUGCUGUCUAUCUAUGAUCCAACUUUUGAUAAAAUGGACUCCGAAAUGAGAGCGGGGGAACAUCGGUGCGUUUUAAAGUCAUGCACCUGAAAUGCGACAUCGUUUUUCCUGCCGUCUGCUAGUUGUUGUUCUGGCUUGUUCUCGUUUUGUUGCAGUAAAGAACAUCGUAAACAGAGGUCCCUCUUAGUCUGUUUGUUAUCUAGUUGUCCCAACAACUUAAGGCAAAAUUGCAAUCCCAAAGAGGAUGCAUUAUGAUUUCCUAUGUGUGCUGACUGCAAAGAGAGCAGGAGCAAUCAUUCAAAAGCCUUUCCUUUUCAGCAAAGCCAUAGUGUCAGCUCUGUAAACAUUCUUCGGUGCGGCAAAGUAAGGCUGACGGACAGCAAUCCACCAUGCAUGCAAUGAUCCGGAACUCGUCCACAUUUUCCAAACUCGUGAACCUUUUCAAAUUCAUGAUUUUUUUAAAACUGUAACUCGUGAACAAUUUUCAAAUUAGUAAAGUUUUUUCAAACUUGUGAAGUUUUUCCAAAUUCAUGAUAUUUUUAAUAUUUUAACUCAUUAAAAUUUUCAAAUCCACAAACUUUUUCAAACUUGUGAACUUCUGUAAAAUUCAUGAACAUUUUAAAUUUAACUCGUGAACAAUUUUGUAAUUCGUGAGUUUUAUUUUAAACUUGAACUAUAUUCAAAUCUAGCAGGCGAAGCAAGCGAGCAUGCGACCAAGCUUGCGCAAUAUUGGACCACGGUCCGCCGGCAUGUGCGCAAGGGCCAGCUUCCUAACCGGCGCUUAAGCAUUGACUAGGAGCUGCUCAAAUAGACGGCGCCACUCACAGGGAUUUGUUCAAAAAAAAUAUAAACGUUCGCUACUAAUUAAAAAAAAGAAUUCACAUUUUUAAAAAUAGUACAGAAAUUUCCAAAAAAAUUGUGUCUUUCAAACUUCCCUAGAAUGUUAACGAAGCGAUGUCACUUUUGAGCAGUUGAAAAUCCUAGUGGCAAAACUGAGUAGUGGGACAAAACUGAUGGCAUAAAUGAUAAAAACCCUUUUUAAAAGAGAAAACACAAAAUAGAAGAAAAACGAAAAAAUAGAAGAAGAAAAUUUAGGCCUUGGCCCUACUAUGCGACGGGAUCGCUCCCGUCGGGUGCUUGUUGGGCCGGCCCAAGCGUUCACAGAUCUGAAAAAAAUUAAUCUACAUUAAAAAUGUUCAUGAAUUUGAAAAAUAUUAAUAGUUUAUAGAAAAACGUGAAGCAUAUAUUUAGAUUUUUUAAUAUUGAAUUGAAUAAUGUUAAACGUGUAUUAGAGUUAGAUAUAGCUAAACGGAGAAACCCGGUAAAAGAAAACUAAAACAGAAAAAACAUGGAAAACUAGUGGAAUAGCCAGCUCUUUUAUGGUAAGUUGUUCUCCCUUACAAAUAUAUCAUGAACUCGGUAUUGAUCUAGUUGUUUGUGGUGCAACGCUGCAUCUAGGAGACCGGGGUUCAAAUCUAGCUUGUCCUCUAUUUAUUUUAUUUUAUUUGAAGUGUUUGUUAAUGGGCGGGGCCGUUACUGUUGAUAUCUAUCACGACGUAUUCUGAAAAAAGACCAUCCUACCCUUUAUUAUGGGUUACGAAGAGAUCUCUUUCAUUGAUGUGUUUAGUGGGGUGUACCGAAGCAGAAGCGUAAUUUCACGAUUUUGGCCCAGAAGAUAAAGAGAGAUUUUCUCUGUUGAUGUGUUUAGGGAGGUGUACCAAAGCAGAAGUGUAAUUUUGUGAUUUUGGCCCAGAAUCACAUCAUACACCACCCACCCAAUAGUAGGUUGUAGGCCUGAGGCUCGGGCAAGGCGGUUGCCGGCGCCGUGGAUAGAGUGGCGAAGGCAGUUCACGACCCUAUCCCUGAUCUAAUCAUAUCUGCUCCCCUCCACAAUAUUGUACGCCUCCGUUCGGAGUCCACAUUUGUACCCCAGGUUUUGUUUUUUAGGGGUGAAACCAAGUUUGUUAAUGGCGGGGCCGUUACUGUUGAUAUCUAUCACGACGUAUUCUGAAAAAGACCAUCCUACCCUUUAUUAUGGGUUACGAAGAGAUCUCUUUCAUUGAUGUGUUUAGUGGGGUGUACCGAAGCAGAAGCGUAAUUUCACGAUUUUGGCCCAGAAGAUAAAUAGAGAUUUUCUCUGUUGAUGUGUUUAGGGAGGUGUACCAAAGCAGAAGUGUAAUUUUGUGAUUUUGGCCCAGNNNNNNNNNNNNNNNNNNNNNNNNNNNNNNNNNNNNNNNNNNNNNNNNNNNNNNNNNNNNNNNNNNNNNNNNNNNNNNNNNNNNNNNNNNNNNNNNNNNNNNNNNNNNNNNNNNNNNNNNNNNNNNNNNNNNNNNNNNNNNNNNNNNNNNNNNNNNNNNNNNNNNNNNNNNNNNNNNNNNNNNNNNNNNNNNNNNNNNNNNNNNNNNNNNNNNNNNNNNNNNNNNNNNNNNNNNNNNNNNNNNNNNNNNNNNNNNNNNNNNNNNNNNNNNNNNNNNNNNNNNNNNNNNNNNNNNNNNNNNNNNNNNNNNNNNNNNNNNNNNNNNNNNNNNNNNNNNNNNNNNNNNNNNNNNNNNNNNNNNNNNNNNNNNNNNNNNNNNNNNNNNNNNNNNNNNNNNNNNNNNNNNNNNNNNNNNNNNNNNNNNNNNNNNNNNNNNNNNNNNNNNNNNNNNNNNNNNNNNNNNNNNNNNNNNNNNCCUCCACAAUAUUGUACGCCUCCGUUCGGAGUCCACAUUUGUACCCCAGGUUUUGUUUUUUAGGGGUGAAACCAAGUUUGUUAAUGGCGGGGCCGUUACUGUUGAUAUCUAUCACGACGUAUUUUGAAAAAGACCAUCCUACCCUUUAUUAUGGGUUACGAAGAGAUCUCUUUCAUUGAUGUGUUUAGUGGGGUGUACCGAAGCAGAAGCGUAAUUUCACGAUUUUGGCCCAGAAGAUAAAUAGAGAUUUUCUCUGUUGAUGUGUUUAGGGAGGUGUACCAAAGCAGAAGUGUAAUUUUGUGAUUUUGGCCCAGAAUCACAUCAUACACCACCCACCCAAUAGUAGGCUGUAGGCGUGAGGCUCAGGCAAGGCGGUUGCCGGCGCCCUGGAUAGAGUGGCGAAGGCAGUUCACGACCCUAUCCCUGAUCUAAUCAUAUCUGCUCCCCUCCACAAUAUUGUACGCCUCCGUUCGGAGUCCACAUUUGUACCCCAGGUUUUGUUUUUUAGGGGUGAAACCAAGUUUGUUAAUGGCGGGGCCGUUACUGUUGAUAUCUAUCACGACGUAUUCUGAAAAAAGACCAUCCUACCCUUUAUUAUGGGUUACGAAGAGAUCUCUUUCAUUGAUGUGUUUAGUGGGGUGUACCGAAGCAGAAGCGUAAUUUCACAAUUUUGGCCCAGAAGAUAAAGAGAGAUUUUCUCUGUUGAUGUGUUUAGGGAGGUGUACCAAAGCAGAAGUGUAAUUUUGUGAUUUUGGCCCAGAAUCACAUCAUACACCACCCACCCAAUAGUAGGCUGUAGGCGUGAGGCUCAGGCAAGGCGGUUGCCGGCGCCCUGGAUAGAGUGGCGAAGGCAGUUCACGACCCUAUCCCUGAUCUAAUCGCAUCUGCUCCCCUCCGCAAUAUUGUACGCCUCCGUUCGGAGUCCACAUUUGUACCACAGGUUUUGUUUUUUAGGGGUGAAACCAAGUUUAUUCAUCAUAAUCCACAUGGUGUGGAAUAGAUCUUUGGUUGUGGGGUACACCAAACCAAACGUGACAACCCGGACCUCUAGAAAGUGCAAACUUGACUAAGCUAUGUGCUUCAUAAUUAUUAACACAACUCUCAAAAGAAAAGUUACGAUGAAAUGUAUGAAAUGUAGAUGCCUUAAGGUUUAUUUCAAUGAUAAUUACUCCAUAUGUCCCCCGUGCACUCUUGUUGAUAUCUGAUACAACUUAUUGACAAUCCAAAGCCACAACAAAGUUUUGGGUUCCCAAGUCCUCUGCAAGGGAGAGAGCCUCCCGGCAAGGUACAACUUCUAGGGUGACGGGUCAAGAACUCCUUCGACAACUAGUGCCGAACUUUCCAUAUAGUUUCCCCCUUCGUCUCUGCAGACGCUAAACAUUUUACUUAAUAACGGUCACUAGGAUCCCGGCUGUCCAUUCCUCACGCCGUUGGAACCCGUGAAGCGGUAUAUGAAGAAAUGAACAGUAAAACUGAAGAAACGAACACUUGUUACCGGGGGAUGACAAAUUGACAAUACCCUUGGCCUGACACCGUGUCACUGCCAUGUUUAGACACUUUGACCUGUAGGUCUUUUCAACUCGUAGUAGCAAUUGAUGUAAAAAGGAAAAAACUCUGCAGUAGCAAUUGCUGACAGACAACGGAGCAACUACCGAUAAGACCGUUCCAGAACCAGAAUCACGGCCAAAUAAGUAACCUAUUUGACCCUGUCUAAGAAGUUUAGCGCAGUUGUUACAAAAAGGAAAUUUAGCACAAAAUGACCAUAUCUGAAAAAAUAGCACGAUCUGAACUUUUAUUUUUACAACUCCACAGUUUUUGCGUUGCCACUGCAUUGAGCAACGCAAUAUAUAGUAGCUGGCCAUUUCGUACUGAACUUUACACAAAAGGUUAGUUUUGUAAUUUUGGCCCGUAAUCACAUCAUACACCACCCAUCCAAUAGUAGGCGUGAGGCUCAGGCAAGGCGGUUGCCGGCGCCCUGGAUAGAGUGGCGGAGACAGUCCAUGACCCUAUCCAUGAUCCCAUCGUAUGUGCUUCCGUCUGCAGUAUUGUAUGCUUCUGUCAGAAGACCACACUUGUACCCCAGAUAGAUGGUAUCAACCGUGACGGAGAGAAAGGCGGCCUCAGUUUUUUUUUUCAAAUAUAAAGGCGACCUCAGCUGAUACGUAAAUCGCGCGACGCAUGCCCAUGAACAUGUAAGAGUGGUGAUCUCUUUCUAGCUUAAUCCCCCUCCAACAUAAAGGUUUAGUACAUAGUUGUGAUUACAGAGGAAUGGUUACACUAAUGGAAUAAAGAACACAUGAACUGGAGGAAGGGUAAAGGAAGGAGAUAGGGGAGAGAGGUAGCCGCCGCCGCCGCCGCCGGUCCAUUGGAUAGGGUUUUUUUUAGACAAACUCGCGAAAGCUUUACUCAUCCGUCACAAUGUUUACAGGGACGAACAAAAGAUCGCCGGAGUGGCCUAACCAAACAUGACGAUUGGUCCCCAAUGUUUACUCGAUAGGUUGUUCGUUGCUUUUUCCCAAGUAUUUGUAGCUGCAGCGGCCAGAGAAUUCCCAGGCGGGCCAGGCCCAUGUGAUUUCCAGAGGCAAGCCCAUAUGGGCUAGGGGAGGGCCCUGACAGAACACGGCGCGCCCAUUAAGGCCCUUGGCCUGGACCAGGGUCCCGGCUUCAGGACCCACUCUAUAGACAUCCUACGAGCAAUGCUAGGUUCACGGGGAAAACUUUUACGGGAUCAACAGACUAGCUGAUGUGGGGAUUUGUGAUUGGAAGUUGGGGAUGAGGCGGGGCCCACCCCACUGAAAAUCAGGAGGGGGGAGAGAUUAGUUAGUUGGAAAGAUUAAGUAAAGCUUCGUAAUCAUUCGUGUGUGUAGGAUUAUUGGACAUCCUACUCCCUGUGAAACUCGUCGUCCGUGCGUCGUAGCACCCGGUGCACCAGCAUCAGCUCCCCGCCGUUGUUCACCAGGUGAAGUGAAGGCUAUCCAUUUGGGAGAAGUAGAACGACUCGCUUCGGUCAGCGACCAACUCGAGUUGUGGCGGCUCUGAGCCCAUGCUUAGUAGUCAGCACAUGACGCCCCUGUGAGUGGCACAGUAGAAGCGGCCCGCGAAGGGCAGAGUCGAAUACAUGCACCCACCGUCGACGAAAGUCCAGCUCUCGUCGCCGGGCAUGGCGACGGCGAGCACCAUGGGAUCGCAGAAGCUGCUGAAAUUUGAGACGGGCUCUAGGCCCAUAUUGCAAUUUCUGAAAAAUCUCUAAGGGCCUAUGUGGGUUAUAUGGCACUAGGUGUAGUGGGAAGUUUAGUCCCACCCCGGAAGUGAAAGAGGAGUUGGACCUCCUUAUAAGGGUUUCUCUUCUAUAUGCUACUGGAGCUUGAGAAGAGAAGAGGCCCUCGCGCACUCCUCCUCCGCCGCCCGCCGCGCCGCGCAACGCGCGUUGCGGGAUUGAGCCGAGCCGAGCUCACACCUACGCGCUUAGUUUUGCCAGUCACUGAUCGUGGGCUGUCACGGACUCGGACGUGGGUCGAGCCCAUGUCUCUCCACGCGGCUGCGCCUAUAUAAGUGUGCGGUGUUUCCUAACCCUAGCCGCCAUGAAUAGAUCACAUCUGCUCCACGCGCACGCCCACCGUCGUUCCCUUGCUGCUGCCGCCACCGGUGACUCCAUCCCGUCCGCCAUGUACACGGUCGACGGGAGAGCAGGUCUCCGAAAUCACACCCUUCUGGUUCCUGUACGGGGUGAGGGACGAAUAGGUUUUUGGGCAGCGACUACGCGACUGCUCGCUUCCGAUCCGCUACUUCCUCUACGUCCGCGUCGCCCUCAUCAUCAUCAUGUCCACCGACGCCGAACGUGCCGCCGCCGAGAAAGCUGAAGCUGACAAGAAGGCCGCUGAGGAUGCUGCUGUCGCCACCAACGUCGCGGCCUCUGCAUGUCCUACUGGAGGGUAUAACUCGUUUAUCCCGCUCCUACUGUUCUCUGUUUUAGCCAUGCUAGCGUUAUACGUAGAUCUUUCUGCAAUUAGCGUAGUAUGUGCUAGAUUGACUGAAUAUCAGUAUGCGUUUAUUUGUGUCAAUGCCAUGUUAGUGAUUUACUCGUGGAUUAAUUUAAUCGAGAAAUUACCUAUUUACUCAACAAUCCAAAAACCUAUUAUGUGUAGGAAUUUUUCGGUAAGUAGCUUUGUCGCUGCACUGAAACCGGAUAAGUUUACCGGUACGUAUUUUAAGCGUUGGCAGACUAAGAUCACUUUAUGGCUCACGGCUAUGAAUGUGUUCUGGGUCACCGGUGUCUCCACGGGAACGAUUGCUCCUGAACAGGAGAAGGCAUUCAAGGAGGCCACCGUUGUGUUCCUCGGAGUAGUUCUCAGCGUAAUCGGAGAUAAACUGGUCGACGCAUACUUGCAUGUGCAUGUCGCCAAGGACUUGUGGGAGGCGCUCGAAUCUAAGUUCGGGGCUGCCGAUGCUGGAAGUGAGAUGUAUAUUAUAGAGCAGUUCCACGAUUACAAGAUGGUUGAAAACUGUCCUGUAUUGGAGCAGGCUCAUGAGAUAAUAUGCAUUGUUAAGGAGUUUGAGCUUCUUAAGUGCGAGUUACCGGGCAAGUUUGUCGCGGGCUGCAUAGUCGCUAAGCUCCCUAAUUCCUGGAGGAACUUUGCCACCACUCUAAAACAUUAGAGGCGUGAAUUCUCUGUGGAGGAUGCCAUUGGCCAUCUGAGUGUUGAGCAGAAUUCGAGGGCAAAAGACUCGCAUGGAAAAGGGGCCGAAGGGACUUCUGUCGCCAACAUGGUGAACCAGAGGAACGAUAACUCCCACAAGCCCAAGGGAAAGAACGGUGUCCAACAGAAUACCACUUUAAGAAGAAGGGUAAGAAGACCUUCAAGAAGAGCAAGAAGGAUGAGGGCUGCUUUACUUGUGGUUCGGUUGAACAUUGGGCCAACAAGUGCCCAAACAAGUACAAGAAGCCAGGACAGGACUCCAAGUCUGUCAACAUGAUUGUGGGCAACAAUGAGAAUGGUGCAUCUGGGUACGGUAAUUUAUUUACUGUUUUUUUAGUGUUUCAACCCAACGAUUGGUGGGUGGACACAGGUGCAGGUGUUCAUGUGUGUGCUGACAUUUCAUUAUUCACUUCUUACCAGGUCAUAGGUCACGGGUCCGUAUUGGUGGGGAAUGGCGCGAGUGCUUCUGUUCAUGGUGUUGGCACGGUCGAUCUGAAGUUUACUUCGGGAAGGAUUAUGCAGCUGAAGAACGUGCAGCAUGUCCCCGCCAUCAAGAAGAACCUCGUUAGUGGCUCCCUUCUAUGUAGAGAAGGGUUUAAGUUGGUUUUCGAGUCUAACAAAUUAGUUGUUACGAAAUAUGGACUCUUUGUUGGAAAAGGUUAUGAGAGCGGAGGGAUGUUCCACCUUUCCCUCGCAGAUUUUUGUAAUAAAGUCGUGAACCAUAUUCAUUCAAAUGUUAAUGAAUCUGAAGUUUGGCAUUCACGUCUUUGUCACAUUAGUUUCGGUGUUAUGACGCGGCUAGCCAAGGUGGAUUUAAUCCCGAGUUUCAGUUUAGCCAAAGGUUCUAAGUGCCUUUCGUGUGUGCAAGCUAAGAAACCUCGCAAGCCUCACAAGGCCGCGGAGGAGAGACACUUGGCACCAUUAGAACUCAUACAUUCUGAUCUUUGUGAGAUGAAUGGUGUGUUGACUAAAGGUGGAAAGAAAUACUUCAUGACAUUGAUAGAUGAUUCCACUAGAUAUUGCUAUGUGUAUCUGUUAAAUACUAAAGAUGAGGCUCUACACUACUUUAAAAUCUAUAAGGCAGAAGUUGAGAAUCAACUUGAAAAGAAAAUUAAAUGAGUCCGGUCAGAUCAUGGUGGAGAGUACUUCUCGAGUGAGUUUGAUUCCUUCUGUUCGGAACACGACAUUAUUCAUGAGAGGACGCCUCCCUAUUCACCCCAGUCAAACGGGGUUGCCGAGCGGAAAAACCGUACUCUAACUGAUUUGGUUAACGCCAUGUUAGAUACAUCGGGUUUAUCCAAGGCAUGGUGGGGGGAGGCUAUAUUGACGGCAUGUCAUGUCCUGAAUAAAGUUCCGACAAAGGAUAAUGAGAUCACUCCCUAUGAGAAAUAGACAAAGAGGAGGACAACACUCUCGUACUUGCGUACUUGGGGCUGUUUGGCGAAAGUCAAUGUGCCGAUCCCCAAAAAGCGUAAGCUUGGACCAAAGACUGUGGACUGCGUUAAUUUGGGCUACGCUAAGAACAGCGUUGGCUAUAGAUUUCUAGUAGUGAAAUCUGAGGUACCUGACCAGAAGGUCGGUACAAUUAUGGAGUCUAAGGAUGCUACAUUCUUUGAGGAUAUUUUUCCUAUGAGAGAUAUGCAAAGCACUUCUAGACAGGAAUCUGAGGAGACUCCUGAACCUGCCAUCCCUAUGGAAUAUUAUGAACAAACACAUGAUGAAAAUCCUGAGGAGGAUGACGAGGAAACCCUUGGUAGGGGCAAGAGACAAAGGACUGCAAAGACCUUUGGUGAUGAUUUCUUCGUGUACCUCAUGGAUGAUACUCCCACUUCUAUUUCAGAAGCGUAUGCCUCUCCAGAAGCUGACUACUAGAAGGAUGCGGUCCGUAGCGAGAUGGAUUCAAUCAUGGCUAACGGGACAUGGGAGAUCACUGACCGUCCCUAUGGUUGCAAACCACUGGGAUGUAAGUGGGUGUUCAAAAAGAAGCUUAGGCCCGAUGUUACGAUUGAAAAGUAUAAGGCUAGGCUUGUGGCCAAGGGCUAUGACCAGAAAGAAGAGGAAGAUUUCUUCGAUACUUAUUCACCUGUGGCUAGACUGAUGACCAUUCGAGUAUUACUCUCGUUGGCGGCCUCGCAUGGUCUUCCCGUCCAUCAGAUGGAUGUUAAGACAACUUUUCUAAAUGGAGAGCUAAAGAAGGAAAUCUACAUGCAACAGCCUGAUGGCUUUGUGAUAGAUGGUCAGGAAAGAAAGGUGUGUAGGUUGAUAAUCUUUAUAUGGCCUGAAACAAGCACCUAAGCAAUGGCAUGAUAAGUUUAAUACAACUCUGACAUCUGUUGGUUUCGUUGUUAAUGAGGCUGACAAAUGUGUAUACUAUCGCCAUGAUGGGGGCGAAGGAGUUAUACUGUGCUUGUAUGUCGAUGACAUACCGAUAUUCGGAACAAACCUCAAAUUCAUUGAGGAGGUCAAAUCAUUUCUAUCUCAGAACUUUGAGAUGAAAGACCUUGGUGUGGCUGAUGUUAUCUUGAACAUCAAGCUACUGAGAGAUAAUGAGGGUGGGAUUACACUGCUGCAAUCCCACUUUGUUGAGAAGGUGUUGAGUCGUUUUGGAUAUUCGGACUGCACAGCAUCUCAAACACCAUAUGAUCCUAGCGUGUUGAUUCGAAAGUCCAAAGGCAUGGCUAAAGAUCAAUUGAGAUACUCUCAAAUUAUUGGUUCACUAUUGUACCUAGUGAGCGCAAUGAGGCCUGACAUCGCGUUUGCCGUGACCAAACUGAGCCGGUUUGUUUCCAAACCGGCUGAUGUACAUUGGCAUGCUGUUGAGAGAGUUAUGCGCUAUCUGAAAGGUACUAUGAACUAUGGACUUCUGUAGGAUCGAAAGUAUGUCUAGAGGGGGGGGGUGAGUUAGACUACUUGACCAAUUAAAAAUCUAGCCUUUUCCCAAUUUUAGUUCUUGGCAGAUUUUAGCUAUCUUAGCACAAGUCAAGAAAUCUCCACACAAUUCAAGCAAGCAUGCAAAAGAGUAUAUGAGCAGCGGAAAGUAAAGCAUGCAACUUGCAAGAAUGUAAAGGGAAGGGUUUGGAGGAUUCAAACGCUAUUGGAGACACGGAUGUUUUUGUCGUGGUUCCGAUAGGUGGUGCUAUCGUACAUCAACGUUGAUGGAGACUUCAACCCACGGAGGUUAACAGUCGCGCGACUCCACGGAGGGCUCCACCCACGAAGGGUCCACGAAGAAGCAACCUUGUCUAUUCCAUCACGGCCGUCGCCCACGAAGGACUUGCCUCACUAGCGGUAGAUCUUCACAAAGUAGGCAAUCUCCUUGCCCUUACAAACUCCUUGGUUCAACUCCACAAUCUUGUCGGAGGCUCCCAAGUGACACCUAGACAAUCUAGGAGACACCACUCUCCAAGAAGUAACAAAUGGUGUGUUGAUGAUGAACUCCUUGCUCUUGUGCUUCAAAUGAUAGUCUCCCCAACACUCAACUCUCUCUCAUAGGAUUUGGAUUUGGUGGAAAGAAGAUUUGAGUGGAAAGCAACUUGGGGAAGGCUAGAGAUCAAGAUUCAUAUGGUAGGAAUGGAAUAUCUUGACCUCAACACAAGUGUAGGUGGUUCUCUCUCAGAUCAUGUGUAUUGGAAGUGUAGGUAUGUUCUGAUGGCUCUCUCCACGAAUGAAGAGUGGGUGGAGGGGUAUAUAUAGCCUCCACACAAAAUCUAACCAUUACACACAAUUUGCCAAACUCGGUGGGACCGAAUGGUUAAACUCGGUCGGACCGAUUCAACAAACCUAGUGACCGUUAGGAUUUUCGGUGGGACUGAGAUGCAACUCGGUAGGACCGAUAUGGUUAGGGUUAGGGCAUAACGUAAUCUCGGUGUGACCAAUUACACAAACUCGGUGGGACCGAUUUUGGUAAUAAGCUAACCAGAGAGUUGGUCAGGUAAACUCGGUGGGACCGGUUCGCUCUUUUCGGUGAGACUGAAAUGUUACGAAAGGGAAACAGAGAGUUUACAUUGCAAUCUCGGUGGGACCGAUCGCUCACUUCGGUUAGACCGAAACGUUAUGAAGGGAAACAGAGAGAUUGCAAUCCCAUCUCGGUGAGACCGAGAUCCCUAUCGAUGAGACCGAUUUGCCUAGGGUUUGUGGCAGUGGCUAUGACAUUUGAAACUCGGUGGCGCCGGAUAGAAAGAAUCGGUGGGGCCGAGUUUGACUUUUGGUUUAGGUCAUAUGUGGAUGUGGGAAGGUAGUUGAGGGUUUUGGAGCAUAUCACUAAGCACUGAAGAGCAAGAAACUCAUUAAGCAACACCUCAUCCCUCCUUGAUAGUAUUGGCUUUUCCUAUGGACUCAAUGUGAUCUUGGAUCACUAAAAUAUAAAAUGUAGAGUCUUGAGCUUCAAGCUUGAGCCAAACUUUUUGUCCUUAGAAUUUUGAGGGAUCCACUUUCCUCAUCCAUGCCAUGCCAUUCAUUGAGCUUUUCCUAAAAUAUUAAUCUUGGAAUAAUGUUAGCUCAAUGAGCUAUAUGUUGUUAGGAAUUACCAAAACCACCCAGGGAUAGUUGCACUUUCAAUUUCCCCCUUUUUGGUAAUUGAUGACAACAUAUAGAUCAAAGCUUCGACAAAUGAUAAUAAGAGUGAAAGAUAUUGUCGCUUUGAGAAGUAUGUGAAAAGCAAGAGCUCCCCCUAAAUUUGUGCAUAUCUUAUUAUUUGCUUUGGACUGCAAAUGCACAAUGAGUUAGGAUCAUGGGUUACUCUUCCAUGUCACAUACAUCUUGGUGGAGCGCUCAAAAUGAUAAGAAUUAAAUACAUGCACUCAUCACCAAGAAAAGUGAAUGAUCAUAUAAGGAUAAGUAAGAUAAUAUCCUCUAACAAGCAUAAGUGUAGCUUAUGAUCAACCACAUGAUCAUCAGUGUCUCACAAAUAAGCAUAGUAUCUCAAGCAAUCAAAAGCAAACAAAGUUCAACCAAGAAGACAAGAGAGAACAAAAGCAAACUCUCUCUCUCGAAGCCUAUGAUCUAUACAUUUUUCUCCCCCUUUGGCAACAAGUUACCAAAAAGUUCAUAGAAAAUGCAUAGCACUAAAACGACUCUCAGGCUUGGUCUUCAGGUGGUGGAGUCCGGAUAACGCCAAGAAUGAAGGCUUCUGUUGAUGUAGAUGGAGCUGCUGUGGUAGGUGCUGGAGCUGGUGGCACUGAAGCUGUAGCUGGUGCAGAUGUAGUGGCUUUGGUGUCAGAAACUGGCACUGCAGAUGAUCUCUGAGCUCUAGGCACUCUGGCAAAAGCAUCAGUAGUUGUCCUGCCCUUCCUCUCCCGCAUGCCAUCCUGUAGCUGCUCCACAAUAGACUGAAUCUCAGUUACUUUGACAUCUAAAUCAUAGAAUUUUUGUUCCAUGAUUCUUUUCAAGCUCUCCUGGUUUCGAGUUAGGGUGGCCAACCCCUUCUCAAUCCUCAGAGUUGAUCCUAUCAAAUAACCAAGUUGGUCCUGCUUGCUCUUCAAAAAGUACUCAGAUGCCUCCUCUUGAGUUGGCAUCUUGGCAGCCUUCUCCAUCUUUGCCUUCUCCUUCUUUGCUUGAGCUUGUACUGAUGAUGGUUCAUUCUCAUUCAUCAUAACUUGAUUGUCCUCAAAGUCAGGAUAGAUAGGCAAGUGUUCCUUAUCCAAUAAGUAUGUGCCUGUGCCCAUCUUUGAGUUAAUCAACUCCUGAAUUUGUGGGGCAUAUCCACAACUUCUCUUCUGGUCAGCUGCUGUCCUCUUGAUAGUCUCAACUAUAAGGCUCAUGACCUUGAACUUCUGUGGCACAUCAAAUAUGUGUAGCAAGUUAAUUGCAUGCCCUCUGAUCAUGUUGUGGUCACCUGACUUGGGAAAAAGAGUGUGCCUUAGGAUCCAGUUGAUUGUAGGCAGCCCUGACAGAAGAAAAUGGACUGACCCAAACAUGAAAGUCUCAAGAGCUUUGUCUGGAAUCUCCUUGUACAUGUUUGACAUAGAAUUGUGAUCCAUCUUCUUCUUGGCAUAAACAUCCAAGUCAUCUUCCUGCUCUUCUAGGGCAUUGAUCAACUGAGCCCAUUCCUCAAUAGUUGAUUGGUAUCUCGUACCUUCAGACAUCCAAACUAUCCUGCCAUCUGGAUAGAAAUGUGUUGUGGAGUAGAAUUGCAUUAUGAGCUCCUCAUUCCACUUCGUGAGCUUCUUCCCAACAAAGUCUACAACUUCACAAGCACUGAAGUUGUCAUACACUCCAGGAUAGUGUUCCUCAUUUUCCUUCAUGUAGGUCCAGUCGACCCACCUCAUAUCACACACUAUGGGUUUCUUGUCCAGCAGCACUGUCUCAUAGAAAUCUUGCUGUUCCUUUGUGUGGAACCUGUAAUCAACAGCAGUUCUUCUCCUAGUGGCAUAUGGAUCUGUCUCUCUCCAUUUCCUCAGCCCUGAGUCUCUCCUGAUCUUCAUGUUCUCAGCCACAGGAUGAGCAUCAUUGUGGUCUGGAAUCUUGGGUUUGAGCUUCCUUAGGACUUGUCCUUCAUCAUCUUCAUCAGUAGCAACUUUAGGCACUGGGGCCUUGUUCUUCUCAGCAGCAGAUAUGUUCCUGGUAUUCCUCUUAGGUGCACUCUUGGGCUUGGAGGCAGCUUUGGGUGCUACUUUGGGUUUUGAUGAAGUAGCCCCUGACUUUAUAGCAUCACCCAUCAGCUUCUGGGCCUUAGGUGCUGGUGCAGCAACCUCUUCCUCUUCUUCUUCUUCCUCAAAAGAGUGCUUCUCAAAUUCAGCCAUUGGAUCAACCUUCUUGCACCAUCUGCCCCUCUUUCUUUCCUUCUUCUCUUUUGCAGCCUCAUCUCCUAUAGUUGACUUGGAGGGUUUCUGAGAGGAUGCCCUGGCUUUGUACAUUGGCUGUCUUCCUGCUGUCCUUUUGGUCUUCAGACCUGGCUUUGUGGCUGCAGCUGAACCAUAUUCCUUUUUGAGCACCUUCUUCUUUAAUGUGGCUUCCUCUUCCUCUGCCACAUAAUCUUCAUCCUCAGAUUCUGAAGUUCUUUUCUUGCUUGCUCUAGUGGCAGCCUUUGGCAAGUUGCUUGGGGUGCUUCUGCUAACCUCAUCUGAGCUGCUAGAGGGACUAGUGCCCUCACUCAUGUGUACCUGCUCCUCUGAGUUGUUCUGCUGUCACUCUAGUCAGACAUGUUGCAAACACUAACUGCAGACCCUGUGAAUAGAUUGUAGAUGAGAUAGAGUGGAUGAGCAUCACAAAAUACAGAGAUUUUUGCAAAAGAAUGAGUCAAAAACUUAGUUUUAGUUUUCCACAGAAAGCAUUUCGGAUCAACCGAUUUGCAAACUCGGUGAUACCGAAGCAGCUGUCGGAACCAAAACUAGUGAACUCGGUCAGACCGAGUCACAGUUCGAUGGCACCGAGACUGCUAGGGUUUCACAAAGUCCUGAACUCGGUCACACCAUUUGCAAUUCUCGGUCAGACCGAGAACCACAUGUGCAAUGGCCUUGGCCGAAUCGGUGGAACCGAGUUCUGCAACCCGGUGGGUCCGAGAUGGUUUCGGCGGAAACCUAACCCUAAAUUUUCGAUUCAAUUCUAAUAUACGGAGUGUUUUGACUGGAUAGAAGCGCUUCAAUCGUGGCAAGAUUCAUAAUGAACACAAUGUGCUAGGAAUCGGAUGGGGAUAGCACUGUGAUCGAGUCCAUACCCUAGUUCGGCGAUGAACUCGCUACGGCGGCAACGGCGGCGAAGAAUUCCGUUGACGGCGGCGGAGACCAGCGACAGGAGGUGGCUGGCGACGAGGAGGAUGAUCCGGAGACCCAGGAGGCAGAGCGAGCUAUGCGCGGGCGAAGUGUUUCGAAGAAAUUUCCAAAAUUUUGCCCAUGAGUAUAUAUAGCCCGACCCUAUCGGUGUGACCAAGUGGAACAACUCGGUGGCACCGAGAUGCAUAACUGUUGACAGUUACAGAAACUCGGUGUGACCUAAAAGUUCAAAUCGGUUGCACCGAGAUUGAAAACCUAGAUCGACUUAGUGAUCUCGGUAUGACCGAAAUGGAGGAAUCGGUCAGACUGAAACACACAAAGAAGUUUUGGAAGUUUAAGUCUAUGACGAAUCGGGGACUCCGAGUGCUCCUCACACAGAGUGGUUCAAAUCUGACUUGAUCAAAUUUUGUGAUGUAGCAUGAAUAGAGUUUGAGACGAGAAAAGCAUAGAUAGCUAGAGAAGGUUCUUAGGCAUUCUUGUCCAUCCAUUUGGCUAAAGAAAAAGAAACCAACCAAUCAAAACAACAAGUGGACGUCCUCGAAUGAGUGAAAUAUGCAACCAACAUUCUCACACAAUAAAAUGACAAAUGAAAUAUGUGGCAAAGCAUGCACAACCAAUCCUAGCAUCUAUCAAACAAUUGGCGAUGACUAGGUCAUCUAUAUAUGAGUAUAUUGACUUAGGAGUCAAAUGAGAACAUUUGAUCAUAGGUCAUACUCAUCAUUUAAGCAUAAGUGGGGUUACCACUUUUACAUAAAGCAUUGUUGUGUUCACACCAUUAGAGUUACUUUAGCUCAAUUCUUAGAGUAAAGCUCCCCCUAGAUGUGAUAUCCCCCCUAAGAGGGAUGAACUAACCUUGGGUUUUGUCGAUGAUGACUUCAUGUAGAUGUUGACGAUGUGGAUGCUCAAUGUUGAUGUAGAUCAUUUGGAGCUAUCCAUUGGAGUGAGUUGCACUUUCAAUACCUACACAGGUUAGUCCCACAAGGAACAAACAAGAAUAUCCAUAGACAUAAAGUGAUGCACACACAAGAUGAUGUCUAUGAAAGCUUUUAGGUUACCUUGUCCCUUGUCUUACCAACAAUAGGGUUUGUGACUCCUUGAACUAGUGCAAUAUGUGGAAGUUGAUUGCACUUGUUCUUGCCAAGAUGAUAAGAAUGAAGUAUGUUGGCGGAGUCACCCUCAAGAACUCUCUAGUUCUUCUUCUUAGGGAUCCACACCAUCUUGAUGGGAAUCCUCAGAGUUGUAGUUGUACUUGAUGAAGUGGAACUUGAAGUAGUCUUGGGAACCCACUCGACCAAGGCCUUAGGAGCUUCUUCAAAUGCAUCAAUUUCCUCUUGAAGCUUGUCCUUGCCUUUUUGCUUGUGGUCUUGUGGUGGAAGAUCAUCUUGAGCUUGUGUCCCUUUGAAAGAAGUAGGAUCAUACUUCUCUUGUUGAGGAACAAACUUCGUCUUGGGGUAUUGAUCUUCUUCCCACUCAACUCCAUUGGCAUUGAACUUUCGUUCAAAACCAACACCUUGAUUCUUACGAUGCCUUCCUUGCUUGCGUACAAUUUCCUCGAAUUGCUUACUUCCGGGAAGGCUCUUGUAAACACCUUUCUCUAUAAUUCCCUUCAAUAAGCUAUUUUCUUGCUCAAGUGUAACUUGGCUAAGAGAAUCAUUAGUGGAAUCAAGAGAACUACUAGAAGCAACAAUAUUGGAUUUAGCAUGAUUAUUGUUACUACUAGAGGAAGAAUCAUUCUUGUUCUUGUUACUAGACUUGACUUGAGGCAUGUAAGUGGAUAAGAGUAAACGCUUGGCAAUGUAAGAAGAACUUUUCUUACGAAGAUCAUCAUUGAUUGCUUUUAAGAACUCAUGCUCUUGCUCAAGGUUGAGCUUUUCAAAGUGUAAUUUCUCAUUAGUCCUUAAAAGUUCUCGAUGAUCUCCUAAGAUAAUUUCAUGAUCUAACUUAAGAGUGUUUAGUUCUUUAGUUAGAGACUCAAUCUUAUCCUUAUCAUUGUCAUUCGUUUUAUCUUGAUUAGCAUGAUUAAUUGACGUUUCAUCAUAGUAUUCAUCACUAGAGUUGUCAACAAGUAAAUCAUCAUCACCUAACAAGUCAUCUUCAUCACUAUUGAAAUCAACAUACUCGGGGUGUGAUACCUUUGGGCCUUUAGCCAUGAAGCACGUUCCAACUCCUUCAUUUGGUGAGUCAAAUAUAUCGUAGGAGUUGGUUGUCACAAGUGCUAGACCGGCAACACCUUCAUCUUGAUUAUAUUCGGAGUCGGAGUGAUAGCUUCUCUGAAGGAAAUAUGCCCUAGAGGCAAUAAUAAAGUUAUUAUUUUAUUUCCUUAUAUCAUUAUAAAUGUUUAUUAUUCAUGCUAGAAUUGUAUUAACCGGAAACAUAAUACAUGUGUGAAUACAUAGACAAACAGUAUGUCACUAGUAUGCCUCUACUUGACUAGCUCGUUGAUCAAAGAUGGUUAAGUUUCCUAGCCAUAGACAUGAGUUGUCAUUUGAUUAACGGGAUCACAUCAUUAGGAGAAUGAUGUGAUUGACUUGACCCAUUCCGUUAGCUUAGCACUCGAUCAUUUAGUAUGUUGCUAUUGCUUUCUUCAUGACUUAUACAUGUUCCUAUGACUAUGAGAUUAUGCAACUCCCGUUUGCCAGAGGAACACUUUGUGUGCUACCAAACGUCACAACGUAACUGGGUGAUUAUAAAGGAGCUCUACAGGUGUCUCCGAAGGUACAUGUUGGGUUGGCGUAUUUCGAGAUUAGGAUUUGUCACUCCGAUUGUCGGAGAGGUAUCUCUGGGCCCUCUCGGUAAUGCACAUCACAUAAGCCUUGCAAGCAUUGCAACUAAUGAGUUAGUUGUGAGAUGAUGUAUUAUGAAACGAGUAAAUAGACUUGCCAGUAACGAGAUUGAACUAGGUAUUAAGAUACCGACGAUCGAAUCUCGGGCAAGUAACAUACCGAUGACAAAGGGAACAACGUAUGUUGUUAUGCGGUCUGACCGAUAAAGAUCUUCAUAGAAUAUGUGGGAGCCAAUAUGAGCAUCUAGGUUCCGCUAUUGGUUAUUGGCCGGAGACGUGUCUCGGUCAUGUCUACAUAGUUCUCGAACCCGUAGGGUCCGAACGCUUAAAGUUUCGAUGACGGUUAUAUUAUGAGUUUAUGAGUUUUGAUGUACCGAAGGAGUUUGGAGUCCUGGAUGAGUUUGGGGACAUGACGAGGAGUCUCUAAAUGGUCGAGACGUAAAGAUCGAUAUAUUGGAUGACUACAUUCGGACAUCGGAAGGGUUCCGAGUGAUUCGGGUAUUUUCGGGAGUACCGGGGAGUUACGGGAAUUCGUAUUGGGCCUUAAUGGGCCAUACGGGAAAGGAGAGAAAGGCCUCAAAGGGUGGCCGCACCCCUCCCCAUAGGAUGGUCCGAAUUGGACUAGGGAGGGGGGGCGCCCUCUUCCUUCCUUCUCCUUUUCCCUUCCCUUUCCUUCCCUCCUACUCCUACUACUUGGAAGGGCUCCUAGUUCUACUAGGAAAGGGGGAAUCCUACUCCCGGUGGGAGUAGGACUCCCCUAGGGCGCACCAUAGAGAGGGCCGGCCCUCCCCCUCCUCCACUCCUUUAUAUACGGGGGCAGAGGGCACCCCAUAGACACAACAAUUGAUCAAGUUGAUCUUUUAGCCGUGUGCGGUGCCCCCCUCCACCAUAGUCCACCUCGAUAAUACUGUAGCGGUGCUUAGGCGAAGCCCUGCGUCGGUAGAACAUCAAUAUCGUCACCACGCCAUCGUGCUGACAAAACUCUCCCUCAACACUCGGCUGGAGAGGAGUUCGAGGGACGUCAUCGGGUUGAACGUGUGCUGAACUCGGAGGUGUCGUGCGUUCGGUACUUGAUCGGUCGGAUCGUGAAGACGUACGACUACAUCAACCGCGUUGUGCUAACGCUUUCGCUUUCGGUCUAUGAGGGUACGUAGACAACACUCUCCCCUCUCGUUGCUUUGCAUCACCAUGAUCUUGCGUGUACGUAGGAAAUUUUUUGAAAUUACUACAUUCCCCAACAGUGGCAUCCGAGCCAGUUUUAUGCAUAGAUGUCAUAUGCACGAGUAGAACACAAGUGAGUUGUGGGCGAUAUAAGUCACACUGCUAACCAGGAUGUCAUACUUUGGUUCGGCGGUAUUGUUGGAUGAAGCGGCCCGGACCGACAUUACGCGUACGCUUACGCGAGACUGGUUUUACCGUCGUGCUAUGCACACAGGUGACUAGCGGGUGUCAGUUUCUCCAACUUUAGUUGACCCGAGUGUGGCUACGCCCAGUCCUUGUGAAGGUUAAACAGCACCAACUUGACAAACUAUCGUUGUGGUUUUGAUGCGUAGGUAAGAACGGUUCUUGCUAAGCCCAGUAGCAGCCACGUAAAACUUGCAACAACAAAGUAGAGGACGUCUAACUUGUUUUUGCAGGGCAUGUUGUGAUGUGAUAUGGUCAAGACGUGAUGAGAUAUAAGUUGUUGUAUGAGAUGAUCAUGUUUUGUUGAAGUUAUCGGCAACUGGCAAAAGCCUUAUGGUUGUUUCUCUAUUGCAUAAGAUGCAAGCGCCAAAUAAUUGCUUUACUUUAUCGCUGUGCGAUAGCAAUAGUUGCAAGAGCAAUUGUUGGCGAGACGACCAUGUGACGACACAUUGAUAUAGAUCAAGAUGAUGGAGAUCAUGGUGUCAUGCCGGUGACGAUGGAGAUCAUGACGAUGCUUUGGAGAUGGAGAUCAAAGGCACAAGAUGAUGAUGGCCAUAUCAUGUCACAUAUUAUGAUUGCAUGUGAUGUUUAUCUUUUAUACAUCUUAUUUUGCUUAGUUCGACGGUAGCUUUAUAAGAUGAUCUCUCACUAAAUUUCAAGGUAAAAGUGUUCUCCCUGAGUAUGCACCGUUGCCAAAGUUCGUCGUGCCCAGACACCACGUGAUGAUCGGGUGUGAUAAGCUCUACGUCCAUCUACAACGGGUGCAAGCCAGUUUUUGCACACGCAAAAUACUCAGGUUAAACUUGACGAGCCUAGCAUAUGCAGAUAUGGCCUCGGAACACUGAGACCGAAAGGUCGAGCGUGAAUCAUAUAGUAGAUAUGAUCAACAUAGUGAUGUUCACCAUUGAAACUACUCCAUUUCACGUGAUGAUCGGACAUGGUUUAGUUGAUAUGGAUCACGUGAUCACUUAGAAGAUUAGAGGGAUGUCUAUCUAAGUGGGAGUUCUUAAGUAAUAUGAUUAAUUGAACUUAAAUUUAUCAUGAACUUAGUCCUGGUAGUAUUAGCAUAUCUAUGUUGUAGAUCAAUAGCUCAUGUUUAGUUCCCCUGUUUUAUUUUUGAUAUGUUCCUAGAGAAAACUAAGUUGAAAAAUGUUAGUAGCUAUGAUGCGGAUUGGAUCCGUGAUAUGAGGUUUAUCCUCAUUGCUGCACAGAAGAAUUAUGUCCUUGAUGCACCGCUAGGUGACAGACCUAUUGCAGGAGCAGAUGCAGACGCUAUGAACGUUUGGCUAGCUAAAUAUGAUGACUACUUGAUAGUUUAGUGCACCAUGCUUGAACGGCUUAGAAUCGGGACUUCAAAGACGUUUUGAACGUCAUGGACCAUAUGAGAUGUUCCAGGAGUUGAAGUUAAUAUUUUAAGCAAAUACCCGAGUUGGGAGAUAUGAAGUCUCCAACAAGUUCUAUAGCUAAAAGAUGGAGGAGAAUAGCUCAAGAAGUGAGCAUGUGCUCAGAUUGUCUGGGUACUACAAUCGCUUGAAUCAAGUGGGAAUUAAUCUUACAGAUAAAAUAGUGAUUGACAGAAUUCUCUAGUCACCAUCACCAAGUUAGUAGAACUUCGUGAUGAACUAUAAUAUGCAAGGGAUAACGGAAACGAUUCCCAAGCUCUUCGUGAUGCUGAAAUCGACGAAGGUAGAAAUCAAGAAAAACAUCAAGUGUUGAUGGUUAACAAGACCACUAGUUUUAAGAAAAGGGCAAAGGGAAGAAGGGGAACUUUAAGAAGAACGGCAAGCAAGUUGCUGCUCAAGUGAAGAAACCCAAGUAUGGACCUAAGCCUGACACUAAGUGCUUCUACUGCAAAAGGACUGGUCACUGGAAGCGGAACUACCCCAAGUAUUUGGCGGAUAAGAAGGAUGGCAAAAUAAACAAAGGUAUAUUUGAUAUACAUAUUGAUGUGUACUUUACUAGUGUUUAUAGCAACCCCUCGGUAUUUGAUACUGGUUCAGUUACUAUGAUUAGUAACUCGAAACGGGAGUUGCAGAAUGACAGAGACUAGUUAAGGGUGAAGUGACGAUGUGUGUUGGAAGUGGUUCCCAGGUUGAUAUGAUCAUCAUCGCACACUCCCUAUACUUUCGGGAUUAGUGUUGAACCUAAAUAAGUGUUAUUUGGUGUUUGCAUUGAGCAUGAAUAUGAUUUGAUCAUGUUUAUUGCAAUACGAUUAUUCAUUUAAGUUAGAGAAUAAUUGUUGUUCUAUUUACAUGAAUAAAACCUUCUAUGGUCAUACACCCAAUGAAAAUGGUUUGUUGGAUCUCGAUCGUAGUGAUACACAUAUUCAUAAUAUUGAAACCAAAAGAUGCAAAGUUAAUAAUGAUAGUGCAACCUAUUUGUGGCACUGCCGUUUAGGUCAUAUUGGUGUAAAGCGCAUGAAGAAACUCCAUGCUGAUGGGCUUUCGGAAUCACUUGAUUAUGAAUCACUUGAUACUUGCGAACCAUGCCUCAUGGGCAAGAUGACUAAGACUCUGUUCUCCGGAACAAUGGAGCGAGCAACUGACUUAUUGGAAAUAAUACAUACUGAUGUAUGCGAUCCGAUGAGUGUUAAGGCUCGCGGCGGGUAUCGUUAUUUUCUGACCUUCACAGAUGAUUUGAGCAGAUAUGGGUAUAUCUACUUGAUGAAACAUAAGUCUGAAACAUUUGAAAAGUUCAAAGAUUUUCAGAGUGAAGUGGAAAAUCAUCGUGACAAGAAAAUAAACUUUCUACGAUCUGAUCACGGAAACAUAUAUUUGAGUUACAAGUUUGGUCCUCAAUUAAAGCAAUGUGGAAUAGUUUCACAAAUUCGUGCCACCUGGAACACCACAGCAUAAUGGUGUGUCCGAAUGUCAUAACCGUACUUUAUUGGAUAUAGUGCAAUCUAUGAUGUUUCUUACCGAUUUACUGUUGGGGAACGUAGUAAUUUCAAAAAUUUCCUACGCACACGCAAGAUCAUGGUGAUGCAUAGCAACGAGGGAAGAGUGUUGUCUACGUACCCAACGCAGACCGACUGCGGAAGCGAUCACACAACAUAGAGGAAGUAGUCGUACGUCUUCACGAUCCAACCGAUCAAGCACCGAAACUACGGCACCUCCGAGUUCGAGCACACGUUCAGCCCGAUGACGAUCCCCGGACUCCGAUCCAGCAAAGUGUCGGGGAAGAGUUCCGUCAGCACGACGGCGUGGUGACGAUCUUGAUGUACUACAGCAGCAGGGCUUCGCCUAAACUCCGCUACAGUAUUAUCGAGGUAUAUGGUGGCAGGGGGCACCGCACACGGCUAAGGAAUGGAUCACGUGGAUCAACUUGUGUGUCUUUGGGGUGUCUCUACCUCAGUAUAUAAAGGAGCCAAGGGGGGAGGGGGUGCUGGCCAAGAGAGAGAGGCGCAGGAGGAGUCCUACUCCUUCCGGGAGUAGGACUCCCCUCCAAUCCUAUUCCAACUAGGAUUCCCCAAGUGGGAAAGAGGGAGAAGAGUGGCCGGCCACCUCCCCUAGUCCUAAUAGGACUAGGGGAAGGGGGGAGGCGCGCAGCCCUUGUGGGCAGCCCUUUCACCUUUCCACUAAGGCCCAUGAAGGCCCAUAUGGCUCCCGGGGGGUUCCCGUAACCUCCCGGUAACCCGGUAAAAUCCCGAUUUCACCCGAAACACUUCCGAUGUCCAAACAUAGGCUUCCAAUAUAUCAAUCUUUACGUCUCGACCAUUUCGAGACUCCUCGUCAUGUCCUUGAUCACAUCCGGGACUCCGAACAACCUUCGGUACAUCAAAAUGCAUAAACUCAUAAUAUAACUAUCAUCGUAACCUUAAGCGUGCGGACCCUACGGGUUCGAGAACAAUGUAGACAUGACCGAGACAUGUCUCCGGUCAAUAACCAAUAGCGGGACCUGGAUGCCCAUAUUGGCUCCUACAUAUUCUACGAAGAUCUUUAUCGGUCAGACCGCAUAACAACAUACGUUGUUCCCUUUGUCAUCGGUAUGUUACUUGCCCGAGAUUCGAUCGUCAGUAUCCAAUACCUAGUUCAAUCUCGUUACUGGCAAGUCUCUUUACUUGUUCCAUAAUACAUCAUCUCACAACUAACAUCUUAGUUGCAGUGCUUGCAAGGCUUAUGUGAUGUGCAUUACCGAGAGGGCCCAGAGAUACCUCUCCGAUAAUCGGAGUGACAAAUCCUAAUCUCGAAAUACGCCAACCCAACAUCUACCUUUGGAGACACCUGUAAUGCUCCUUUAUAAUCACCCAGUUACGUUGUGACAUUUGGUAGCACCCAAAGUGUUCCUCCGGCAAACGGGAGUUGCAUAAUCUCAUAGUUAUAGGAACAUGUAUAAGUCAUGAAGAAAAGCAAUAGCAACAUACUAAACGAUCGGGUGCUAAGCUAAUGGAAUGGGUCAUGUCAAUCAGAUCAUUCAACUAAUGAUGUGACCUCGUUAAUCAAAUAACAACUCUUUGUCCAUGGUUAGGAAACAUAACCAUCUUUGAUUAACGAGCUAGUCGAGUAGAGGCAUACUAGUGACACUCUGUUUGUCUAUGUAUUCAGACAUGUAUUAUGUUUCCGGUUAAUACAAUUCUAGCAUGAAUAAUAAACAUUUAUCAUGAAAUAAGGAAAUAAAUAAUAACUUUAUUAUUGCCUCUAGGGCAUAUUUCCUUCAUUUACCACUAUAGUUUUGGGGUUAUGCAUUAGAGACAGCUGCAUUCACGUUAAAAAGGGCACCAUCUAAAUCCGUUGAGACGACACCGUAUGAACUAUGGUUUGGCAAGAAACCAAAGUUGUCGUUUCUUAAAGUUUGGGGUUGCGAUGCUUAUGUGAAAAGUUUUCAUCCUGAUAAGCUCAAACCCAAACCGGAGAAAUAUGUCUUCAUAGAAUACCCAAAGGAAACUGUUGGGUACACCUUCUAUCACAGAUCCAAAGGCAAGAUAUUCGUUGCUAAGAAUGGAAACUUUCUGGAGAAGGGGUUUCUCUCGAAAGAAGUGAGUGGGAGGAAAGUAGAACUUGAUAAGGUAAUUGUACCUUCUUCCGAAUUGGAAAGUAGUUCAUCAUAGAAAUCAGUUCCAGUGAUGCCUACACCAUAAGUGAGGAAGUUAAUGAUAAUGAUCAUGAAACUUUGGAUCAAUUUACUACCGAACCUCGUAGGUAAACCAGAGUGAGAUCCACACCAGAGUGGUAUGGCAAUCCUGUUCUGGAGGUCAUGUUACUUGACCAUGACGAACCUACGAACUAUGAGGAAGCGAUGAUGAGCCCAGAUUCCGCAAAAUGGUUUGAGGCCAUGAAAUCUGAGAUAGGAUCCGUGUAUGAGAACAAAAUAUGGACUUUGGUUGACUUGCCCAAUGAUCGGCAAGCCAUAAAAAAAUAAAUGGAUCUUCAAGAGGAAGACAGAUGCUGAUAGUAGUGUUACUAUCUACAAAGCUAGAAUUGUCGCAAAAGGUUUUCGACAAGUUCAAGGUGUUGACUACAAUGAGAGUUUCUCACUCGUAUCUAUGCUUAAGUCUGUCCGAAUCAUGUUAGCAAUUGCCGCAUUUUAUGAAAUCUGGCAAAUGGAUAAACAAAACUACAUUCCUUAAUGGAUUUAUUAAAGAAGAGUUGUAUAUGAUGCAACCAGAAGGCUUUGUCAAUCCUAAAGGUGCUAGCAAAAUAUGCAAGCUCCAUCGAUCCAUCUAUGGACUGGUGCAAGCAUCUCGGAGUUGGAAUAUACGCUUUGAUAAGUUGAUCAAAGCAUAUAGUUUUAUACAGACUUGCGGUGAAGCCUGUAUUUACAAGAAAGUGAGUGGGAGCACUACAACAUUUCUGAUAAGUAUAUGUGAAUGACAUAUUGUUGAUCAGAAAUAAAGUAGAAUUACUAUGCAAAGCAUAAAGGAGUGUUUGAAAGGAUUUUUUCAAAGUAAGACCUCGGUGAAGCUACUUACAUAUUGAGCAUCAAGAUCUAUAGAGAUAGAUCAAGACGCUUGAUAAGUUUUUUCAAUGAGUACAUACCUUGACGAGUUUUUUGAAGUAGUUCAAAAUGGAACAGUCAAAGAAAGAGUUCUUGCCUGUGUUACAAGGUGUGAAAUUGAGUAAGACUCAAAGCCCGACCACGGCAGAAGAUAGAAAGAGAAUGAAAGUCAUUCCCUAUGCCUCAGCCAUAGGUUCUAUAAAGUAUGCCAUGUUGUGUACCAGAUCUAUUGUAUACCCUACACUGUGUUAAGCAAGGGAGUACAAUAGUGAUCAUGGAGUAGAUCACUGGACAUCGGUCAAAGUUAUCCUUAGUGGAAUAAGGAUAUGUUUCUCGAUUAUGGAGGUGAUAAAGAGUUCGUCGUAAAGAGUUACGUCGAUGCAAGUUUUGACACAAAUCUGGAUGACUCUUAGUCUCGAUCUAGAUACAUAUUGAAAGUGGGAGCAAUUAGCUAGAGUAGCUCCGUGCAGAGCAUUGUUGACAUAGAAAUUUGCAAAAUGGAUCUGAAUAUGGCAGACCCAUUGACUAAACUUCUCUCACAAGCAAAACAUGAUCACACCAUAGUACUCUUUGGGUGUUAAUCACAUAGCAAUGUGAACUAGAUUAUUGACUCUAGUAAACCCUUUGGGUGUUGGUCACAUGACGAUGUGAACUAUGGGCGUUAAUCACAUGGUGAUGUGAACUAUUGAUGUUAAAUCACAUGGCGAUGUGAUCUAGAUUAUUGACUCUAGUGCAAGUGGGAGACUGAAGGAAAUAUGCCCUAGAGGCAAUAAUAAAGUUAUUAUUUAUUUCCUUAUAUCAUGAUAAAUGUUUAUUAUUCAUGCUAGAAUUGUAUUAAUCAGAAACAUAAUACAUGUGUGAAUACAUAGACAAACAAUAUGUCACUAGUAUGCCUCUACUUGACUAGCUCGUUGAUCAAAGAUGGUUAAGUUUCCUAGCCAUAGACAUGAGUUGUCAUUUUAUUAAUGGGAUCACAUCAUUAGGAGAAUGAUGUGAUUGACUUGACCCAUUCCGUUAGCUUAGCACUCGAUCGUUUAGUAUGUUGCUAUUGCUUUCUUCAUGACUUAUACAUGUUCCUAUGACUAUGAGAUUAUGCAACUCCCGUUUGCCAGAGGAACACUUUGUGUGCUACCAAACGUCACAACGUAACUGGGUGAUUAUAAAGGAGCUCUACAGGUGUCUCCGAAGGUACAUGUUGGGUUGGCGUAUUUCGAGAUUAGGAUUUGUCACUCCGAUUGUCGGAGAGGUAUCUCUGGGCCCUCUCGGUAAUGCACAUCACAUAAGCCUUGCAAGCAUUGCAACUAAUGAGUUAGUUGUGAGAUGAUGUAUUAUGAAACGAGUAAAUAGACUUGCCAGUAACGAGAUUGAACUAGGUAUUAAGAUACCGACAAUCGAAUCUCGGGCAAGUAACAUACCGAUGACAAAGGGAACAACGUAUGUUGUUAUGCGGUCUGACCGAUAAAGAUCUUCGUAGAAUAUGUGGGAGCCAAUAUGAGCAUCUAGGUUCCGCUAUUGGUUAUUGGUCGGAGACGUGUCUCGGUCAUGUCUACAUAGUUCUCGAACCCGUAGGGUCCGCACGCUUAAAGUUUCGAUGACGGUUAUGUUAUGAGUUUAUGAGUUUUGAUGUACCGAAGGAGUUCGGAGUCCCGGAUGAGUUCGGGGACAUGACGAGGAGUCUCUAAAUGGUCUAGACGUAAAGAUCGAUAUAUUGGACGACUAUAUUCGGACAUCGGAAGGGUUCCGAGUGAUUCGGGUAUUUUCGGGAGUACCGAGGAGUUACGGGAAUUCGUAUUGGGCCUUAAUGGGCCAUACGGGAAAGGAGAGAAAGGCCUCAAAGGGUGGCCCCACCCCUCCCCAUAGGAUGGUCCGAAUUGGACUAGGGAGGGGGCGCGCCCCCUUCCUUCCUUCUCCUUUUCCCUUCCAUUUCCUUCCCUCCUACUCCUACUACUUGGAAGGGCUCCUAGUUCUACUAGGAAAGGGGGAAUCCUACUCCUGGUGGGAGUAGGACUCCCCUAGGGCGCACCAUAGAGAGGGCCGGCCCUCCCCCUCCUCCACUCCUUUAUAUACGGGGGCAGGGGGCACCCCAUAGACACAACAAUUGAUCAAGUUGAUCUUUUAGCCGUGUGCGGUGCCCCCCUCCACCAUAGUCCACCUCGAUAAUACUGUAGCGGUGCUUAGGCGAAGCCCUGCGUCGGUAGAACAUCAAUAUCAUCACCACGCCGUCGUGCUGACGAAACUCUCCCUCAACACUCGGCUGGAUCGGAGUUCGAGGGACGUCAUCGGGUUGAACGUGUGCUGAACUCGGAGGUGCCGUGCAUUUGGUACUUGAUCGGUCGGAUCGUGAAGACGUACGACUACAUCAACCGCAUUGUGCUAAUGCUUCCGCUUUCGGUCUACGAGGGCACAUAGACAACACUCUUCCCUCUCGUUGCUUUGCAUCACCAUGAUCUUGCGUGUGCGUAGGAAUUUUUUUGAAAUUACUACGUUCCCCAACAUUCUCUCGGAGUGGUUGUCGGAGUCGGAGCCGGAUACCCAUUCACCAACAUGAGCUUGAUGUCUUCGUUUUGUGUAGCUCCUUAAUGACUUGUCCUUUCUUUCCGAAUCCUUGCUUCUCUGUGAGGGUCUUCGUUCAUAACGAUCAUCUCUACUCCUUCUUUCUCUAGAUGGUGAUUAUUCUCUUGUACUCUUUCUCUUGGGAGAAUCUUCUCUUCUCUUGUAGGGGGCCGUACACUCAUUGGAAUAGUGUCUGGGCCUUCCACAAUUGUAGCAGUUUCGCUCUCGACUAGAAGAUCUUUUGUCAUUGUAGGACCUUGACUUGGAACUUCUCUCUUUGCUUCUACUCUUGUAGAACUUGUUGAAGUUCUUCACCAUUAAGCUCAAUUCUUCAUUGAAGGUUUGUUUCUCACUUGAUGAUGUGGGGGCUUCACAUAAGGCUUUGUAAGCACCACUUGAUUUGUUGUGAAGUUCCUCUUUAUCCUUGAGUGACAUCUCAUGAGCAACAAUUCUUCCGAUGACUUCCGUUGGCUUGAGAUCUUUGUAAUUGGGCAUCAUUUGAAUCAAUGUGCACACGGUAUCAUAUUUUUCAUUCAAGGCUCUUAGGAUCUUCUUGAUGAUGAAUCGAUCGGUCAUCUCUUCACUCCCUAAGCCAGCAAUCUCAUUUGUGAUAAGAGCAAGCCUAGAGUACAUUUCAGUGACACCUUCACCAUCCUUCAUUUUGAACUUGUCAAGUUGACUUUGAAGCACAUCCAAUUUGGAUUCCUUGACGGAGUCGGUACCUUCGUGCAUAUCAAUCAAAGUAUCCCAAAUUUCCUUUGCAUUCUCCAGACGGCUGAUUUUGUUGAAUUCUUCGGGGCACAAUCCGUUGAAGAGGAUAUCACAAGCUUGAGCGUUGUAUUGCAGCAUCUUCAACUCUUCCGCGGUAGCUUCACGGUUCGGUUCUUUCCCAUAAAAGAAUUCACCUUGCAAGCCAAUACACACAAUAGCCCAAACGGCGGGGUUAUGUCCAAGAAUAUGCAUUUUCAUCUUAUGCUUCCAACUAGCAAAAUUAGUACCAUCAAAGUAAGGACCUCUACGGUGAUAAUUUCCCUCGCUAGAUGCCAUACUCUCCUAGGUUGUAAAACCAAGGCUAUGACCACCAAAAGCUAUGGAAAUCAAAGCAAAUGGAGACCAAAGCUCUGAUACCACUUGUAGGAUCGAAAGUAUGUCCAGAGGGGGGGGGGUGAUUAGACUACUUGACCAAUUAAAAAUCUAGCCUUUUCCCAAUUUUAGUUCUUGGCAGAUUUUAGCUAUCUUAACACAAGUCAAGCAAUCUCAACACAAUUCAAGCAAGCAUGCAAAAGAGUAUAUGAGCAGUGGAAAGUAAAGCAUACAACUUGCAAGAAUGUAAAGGGAAGGGUUUGGAGGAUUCAAACGCUAUUGGAGACACGGAUGUUUUUGUCGUGGUUCCGAUAGGUGGUGCUAUCGUACAUCCACGUUGAUGGAGACUUCAACCCACGGAGGGUAACGGUCGCGCGAGUCCACGGAGGGCUCCACCCACGAAGGGUCCACGAAGAAGCAACCUUGUCUAUUCCAUCACGGUCGUCGCCCACGAAGGACUUGCCUCACUAGCGAUAGAUCUUCACGAAGUAGGCGAUCUCCUUGCCCUUACAAAAUCCUUGGUUCAACUGCACAAUCUAGUUGGAGGCUCUCAAGUGACACCUAGCCAAUCUAAGAGACACCACUCUCCAAGAAGUAACAAAUGGUGUGUUGAUGAUGAACUCCUUGCUCUUGUGCUUCAAAUGAUAGUCUACCCAACACUCAACUCUCUCUCACAGGAUUUGGAUUUGGUGGAAAGAAGAUUUGAGUGGAAAGCAACUUGGGGAAGGCUAGAGAUCAAGAUUCAUAUGGUAGGAAUGGAAUAUCUUGACCUCAACACAAGUGUAGGUGGUUCUCUCUCAGAACAUGUGUAUUGGAAGUGUAGGUAUUUUCUGAUGGCUCUCUCCACGAAUGAAGAGUGGGUGGAGGGGUAUAUAUAGCCUCCACACAAAAUCUAACCGUUACACACAAUUUGCCAAACUCGGUGGGACCGAAUGGUUAAACUCGGUCGGACCGAUUCAGCAAACCUAGUGACCGUUAGGAUUUUCGGUGGGACUGAGAUGCAACUCGGUAGGACCGAUAUGGUUAGGGUUAGGGCAUAACAUAAUCUCGGUGUGACCCAUUACACAAACUCAGUGGGACCGAUUUUGGUAAUAAGCUAACCAGAGAGUUGGUCAGGUAAACUCGGUGGGACCGGUUCGUUCUUUUCGGUGAGACCGAAAUGUUACGAAAGGGAAACAGAGAGUUUACAUUGCAAUCUCGGUGGGACCGAUCGCUCACUUUGGUUAGACCGAAACGUUACGAAGGGAAACAGAGAGAUUGCAAUCCCAUCUCGGUGAGACCGAGAUCCCUAUCGGUGAGACCGAUUUGCCUAGGGUUUGUGGCAGUGGCUAUGACAUUUGAAACUCGGUGGCGCCGGAUAGAAAUAAUCGGUGGGGCCGAGUUCGACUUUUGGUUUAGGUCAUAUGUGGAUGUGGGAAGGUAGUUGAGGGUUUUGGAGCAUAUCACUAAGCACUGAAGAGCAAGAAACUCAUUAAGCAACACCUCAUCCCUCCUUGAUAGUAUUGGCUUUUCCUAUGGACUCAAUGUGAUCUUGGAUCACUAAAAUAUAAAAUGUAGAGUCUUGAGCUUCAAGCUUGAGCCAAACUUUUUGUCCUUAGAAUUUUGAGGGAUCCACUUUCCUCAUCCAUGCCAUGCCAUUCAUUGAGCUUUUCCUGAAAUAUUAAUCUUGGAAUAAUGUUAGCUCAAUGAGCUAUAUGUUGUUAGGAAUUACCAAAACCACCCAGGGAUAGUUGCACUUUCAACUUCACUAUGUCGGUACUUGAAGGGUAUAGUGAUGCGAAUUGGAUCUCUGAUGCUGAUGAGAUGAAGGCCACAACUGGGUGUAUGUUUACUCUUGGAGGUGGUGCUGUUUCCUGGAAGUCUUGCAAGCAAACGAUCUUAACGAGAUCGAUAAUGGAAGCAGAGUUAACAAUGUUAGACACAUCUGGUGUUGAAGCAAGAUGGCUUCGAGAUCUUUUGAUGGACUUGCCAUUGGUUGAUAAACCGGUUCCGGCUGUCCUUAUGAACUAUGACAAUCAGACUGUCAUCACCAAGGUGAAGAGUUAAAAGGACAACAUGAAGUCCAACAAACACCAAGGUGAAGAGUUAAAAGGACAACCGGAGUGAUAGUGUUGGACUAUGUCCAUACGGCUAAGAAUCUGGCAGAUCCCUUUACGAAACGGCUAUCAAGUGUUGUGAUAGAUAAUGCAUCGAGGGAGAUGGGUAUGAGACCCACAUGAGUUGCCAUGGUGGUAACCCAACCUAUGUGAUCGGAGAUCCCGUGAAGUAGGACCUGGGAAAACAAGCCAGUGGUGAACUGAGGAGAGUAAUUAUACUAACCCACUCCGUUGGAGAUGCAAUAGUCUCGAUAUUGUAUGGUAGGAUGACUAUUGUCUUAAUGCGCUCCAAAGCUUAUGUAAGCAAGAUGCUAUCCUACAGAGCGAUCUUUGGAGGAACACACCUAUGUGAGCCCGACUGCUGGUCACAGUCUAUGAGAUUGGGAUGAUCUUUAUUAAGCUCAUGAAUAGGCCAGGAGUGUGACUUAUAUGCUCCACCCGAGGGGUCAGCCUUCGGCAGCCCAGUACUAGUAAGACAUGUGGUGAAACUUCUUUACGCUAAACUGACAAUUCAAGGCAUAGUCCAUUGUUCAGUUAUGAAGGAGUGUAGCUACUUGCUUUAGGUGAAGCUCAACCUUAACAGGUCUUCACUGAAAUCCUGGUAUAUGGAAACAGUAAUUGGAACAGAGGACACAAUGGGCCCUCGAGAUCUGGUGGGGGAUUGCUGAAAUUUGAGAUGGGCUCUAGGACCAUAUUGCAAUUUCUGAAAAAUAUCUAAGGGCCCAUGUGGGUUAUAUGGCACUAGAUGUAGUGGGAAGUUUAGUCCCACCCCGGAAGUGGAAGAGGAGUUGGACCUCCUUAUAAGGGUUUCUCUUCUACAUGCUAUUGGAGCUUGAGAAGAGAAGUGGCCCUCGCGCACUCCUCCUCCGCCUCCCGCCUCACCACGCCACGCCUCGCCUCGUCAUGACGCGCCGCGCCGCGGGUUGCGGGAUUGAGCCGAGUCGAGCUCACACCUACGCGCUUAUUUUUGCCAGUCACAAACGGAGAGUUGUCUGACAGCUGGGCCAUGAUCUGAGACGUCGUAUCGUGGGCUGUCACGGACUCGGACGUGGGUCGAGCCCACAUCUCUCCACGCGGCUGCACCUAUAUAAGUGUGCGGUGUCUCCUAACCCUAGCCGCCACGAACAGAUCACAUCUGCUCCACGCGCACGCCCACCAUCGUUUCCUUGCUGCUGCUGCCGCCGGUGACUCCAUCCCGUCCGCCGCGUACACGAUCGACGGGAGAGCAGGUCUCCGAAACCACGCCCUUCUGCUUCCUGUACGGGGUGAGGGACGAAUAGGUUUUUGGGCAGCGACUACGCGACUGCUCGCUUUCGAUCCGCUACUUCCUCUACGUCCGCGUCGCCCUCAUCAUCAUCACGUCCACCGACGCCGAACGUGCCGCCGCCGAGAAAGCUGAAGCCGACAAGAAGGCCGCUGAGGAUGCUGCUGCCGCCACCAACGCCACGACCUCUACAUGGCCUACUGGAGGGUAUAACUCUUUUAUCCCGCUCCUACUGUUUUCUGUUUUAGCCAUGCUAGUGUUAUACGUAGAUCUUUCUGCAAUUAGCGUAGUAUGUGCUAGAUUGACUGAAUAUCAGUAUGCGUUUAUUUGUGUCAAUGCCAUGUUAGUGAUUUACUCGUGGAUUAAUUUAAUCGAGAAAUUACCUAUUUACUCAACAGAAGCUGAUCGCCACCGAUACCGUGGAGGCGUCUGCCACAAGGCAAACGCCGUACGCCUUAAGUCCCGUCUGGAAGGCGGAGCGCCUGGAUAAAUACAACUCUGGUGUCAUGAGUGCGGUCACUGGCGGAAGGAUGGUGAGCUGGCGCGUGAGCAGGUUGAGCAGGCGGGCGGUCAGGGUGGGCCCGUAGAGCAGAAACAGUAGGCCCUCGGGGCUGACCGCAAGCAGCGGUUGCGAGACGAGCUCUGGGAGGUCCACCCGGACGCACUCACCAGUACACACAUUGAGAAAGCGAUGGCGAUGGCCCCAGGCAGCGGCAGGUGCCUUGUCAAGCAUGAUCCACUAGCGGGGGAGGAAGCGGCCGUCCAGGCCGCCGGCGCGCGGGUCCGGCUAGCACAGCCGCCGCGGCCGGCACACGACCCGGAAGCGGACGUCGGUCACGUCGCUGGCGAGGGCGAGCUCAGCGAUCAGGCCGGCCGACCCAUCCCCGAGGUCCGCCCAAUCUCGUUGGCAGGUCCGUGUGAGAUCGCCAGGGGGCCGCGUCCGCUUUGCGCGGCGCCGGCAUGGGAUCGUGGCUCGGGAGGCCGACAUCCACCGCAAUGACUAUUUUUGGAAAAUCCAAAAACAUUUUUUAAACAAGUGAAAAAUUUCUGAAUUCGUUAUUUUUUGAAUUCAUGAAUAUUUUUUAAUUCAAAUCAUUUUUGAAUUGAUGAAUAUAAUUUGAAUUGCCGGCCAUAUUUUGAAUUUAGAAGCAUUUUUUUAAUUGGUGAAUGUUUUUUGUAUUCAUAAACAUUUACUUUAAUUCUGAGCAUUACUCAAGUUUGUGAAUAGCUUCAUAAAAUUUAUGAACAUUCCUAAUAUUUUUAAUUCAAAACCGGCUUUUGAAAUUAUCAAUUUUAUAAAUUCCUGAAAAUUUGUUUAACAAUUUUAAAAGGUACUUAAGAAAAUGAGAAAAAUAGAAAGAAAAAAACAGAUCAAAAAAAGCCGCUAGAGAACAUAUUACUUACAAGUCGCUAUUCUUUUAACAAACCAGCAUAGUAAGCUGUCGCAGGGUGGGGUGCGCUUUAGCCCGCAAGAGUUAUGCCCAACUCCUAUUUGACGCCCUCUCCGUCGGUAGUGUGUUACAAACCGGCGCACAUCCUCCUCAGUCCUGGGCUCAGACCAUUUACUUUUUUUUUCUAUUUAUAAAACUCAAAAAAUAGGUGCGUGAACAGCCCAACUCUUCCUAUUUGGCGCCCUGAGGGCCAGUAGUAGUGUAUUAUAACUUUUUUAAAUAGGUGCAUGAAGUUUUUAUAAAAUCAUGAACUUUUUUCAAAUUCUUGAAUUUUUUUUCAAAUCCAUGAAUAUCUUCUAAAAGUCGCAAACUUUUUUAAAAUCAGUGAACUUAUUCCAAACACAUAAAUGUUUUUCAUUUUCACAAAUGUUUUUCAUUUUCACAAAUGUUUUUCAAAUUUGUGAACCUUUUCUCAAAUCAACGAUGUCUUUUCAAUUUCAUGAUCUUUCUCCCAAUUUGGUGAACUUUUUCCACAUCGAGAAACUUUGUUCAAUUUUGCUAACUUUUUUUAAACUCAUGAACUUUAUUAUAAAAUCAUGAAUUUUUUGAAAUCGGUGAACUUUUUUUAGAUUCUUGAACUUUUUUGUUAAAUCCGUGAACUUUUUGUUCAAAUUGAUGAACUUUUGAAAAAAUCUGUGAUAUUUUUAAAUUUCAAGAAAAACAAAUUUAAACUCAGAAACUUUUCUUUAAUCCAUGAACAUUUUUUGAACUUUGAAAACCGGCAACCAGUUUUUCCAGUUAACAAAACAACAGGAGAAGAGCAAACCGAGAAAGUACAACGAGCAAGCAAAGCGAAGGAGCGAGGUACAUGGUCCGUGGCCCACUAAGAGCAUCUCUAGCAGACCUCGUAUAAUGCCUCGAGCCGUAAGAUAACCGCCAAAAUACGGAUUGGCACGAAAAAUGCUGCCCGACCAGACACUGUAAACGCGUCGGACCCGUAAAAUUUUUUGAGGGGCGCGGUAAAAUCCCAUCUCCAACCCGCAAAACGCAGGUUUUCCCCUCGACCCGACGGUGCCCUGUAUCCCAGAAAAGCGGUUGGUGGGAGGGACAUUUUAGCCCGUGCCCGUUCCCCACAUCCUUCCGCGGUCGCCCGCCAUUGGUUCUGCCCGGCCGCCGCCACCGAUCCCGGCCAAAUCUGCGGACGGAAUCAUGGCGCGGGGGCGCCCUUCACCCCGUUCCACCUAGCCGCUUCACUGGCUCCUAGGAUCCGCCGAGCCGAGCCGCCCCUAGUCGCCGCCCGGGGAUCCACCUGUUGGGUUUCGUAGUAAUUUCAAAAAAUUUCCUACGCACACGCAAGAUCAUGUGAUGCAUAGCAACGAGAGGGGAGAGUGUUGUCUAUGUACCCAACGCAGACCGACUGCGGAAGCGCUGACACGACGUAGAGGAAGUAGUCGUACGUCUUCACGAUCCAACCGAUCAAGCACCAAAACUGCGGCACCUCCGAGUUCGAGCACACGUUCAGCUCGAUGACGAUCCCCGGACUCCGAUCCAGCAAAGUGUCGGGGAAGAGUUCCGUCAGCACGACGGCGUGGUGACGAUCUUGAUGUACUACAGCAGCAGGGCUUCGCCUAAACUCCGCUACAGUAUUAUCGAGGACUAUGGUGGCUGGGGGCACCGCACACGGCUAAGGAAUAGAUCACGUGGAUCAACUUGUGUGUUCUAGGGUGCCUCUACCUCAGUAUAUAAAGGACCAAAGGGGGGAGGCUGGCCGGCCACAAGGGGUGCGCCAGGAGAGUCCUACUCCCUCUGGGAGUAGGAUUCCCCCCCCCCCAAUCCUAGUUGGAAUAGGAUUCGCGGAGGGGGAAAAGAGAGAGAGGGGGCCGGCCACCUCUCCUAGUCCUAAUAGGACUAGGGGAAGGGGAAGGCGCACAGCCCAUGUAGGGCUGCCUCUUCUCUUUUCCGCUAAGGCCCAUCAUGGCCCAUUUAGCUCCCGGGGGGUUCCGGUAACCUUCCCGGUACUCCGGUAAAAUCCCGAUUUCACCCGGAACACUUCCGAUAUCCAAACAUAGGCUUCCAAUAUAUCAAUCUUUACGUCUCAACCAUUUCGAGACUCCUCGUCAUGUCCGUGAUCACAUCCGGGACUCCAAACAACCUUCGGUACAUCAAAAUGCAUAAACUCAUAAUAUAACUGUCAUCGUAACCUUAAGCGUGCGGACCCUACGGGUUCGAAAACAAUGUAGACAUGACCGAGACAUGUCUCCGGUCAAUAACCAAUAGCGGGACCUGGAUGCCCAUAUUGGCUCCUACAUAUUCUACGAAGAUCUUUAUCGGUCAGACCGCAUAACAACAUACGUUGUUCCCUUUUUCAUCGGUAUGUUACUUGCCCGAGAUUCGAUCGUCGGUAUCCAAUACCUAGUUCAAUCUCGUUACCGGCAAGUCUCUUUACUCGUUCCGCAAUACAUCAUCUCACAACCAACAUAUUAGUUGUAAUGCUUGCAAGGCUUAUGUGAUGUGCAUUACCGAGAGGGCCCAGAGAUACCUCUCCGACAAUCGGAGUGACAAAACCUAAUCUCGAAAUACGCCAACCCAACAUGUACCAUUGGAGACACCUGUAGUACUCCUUUAUAAUCACCCUGUUACGUUGUGACGUUUGGUAGUACCCAAAGUGUUCCUCCGGUAAACGGGAGUUGCAUAAUCUCAUAGUUAUAGGAACAUGUAUAAGUCAUGAAGAAAGCAAUAGCAACAUACUAAACGAUCGGGUGCUAAGCUAAUGGAAUGGGUCAUGUCAAUCAGAUCAUUCAACUAAUGAUGUGACCUCGUUAAUCAAAUAACAACUCUUUGUUCAUGGUUAGGAAACAUAACCAUCUUUGAUUAACGAGCUAGUCAAGUAGAGGCAUACUAGUGACACUCUGUUUGUCUAUGUAUUCACACAUGUAUUAUGUUUCCGGUUAAUACAAUUCUAGCAUGAAUAAUAAACAUUUAUCAUGAUAUAAGGAAAUAAAUAAUAACUUUAUUAUUGCCUCUAGGGCAUAUUUCCUUCAGUCUCCCACUUGCACUAGAGUCAAUAAUCUAUAUUACACUGUAAUGAUUCUAACACCCAUGGAGCUUUGGUGCUGAUCAUGUUUUGCUCGUGGAAGAGGCUUAGUCAACGGGUCUGCAACAUUCAGAUCCAUAUGUAUCUUGCAAAUCUCUAUGUCUCCCACCUGGACUAGAUCCCGGAUGGUGUUGAAGCGUCUCUUGAUGUGCUUGGUCCUUUUGUGAAAUCUGGAUUCCUUUGCCAAGGCAAUUGCACCAGUAUUGUCACAAAAGAUUUUCAUUGGACCCGAUGCACUAGGUAUGACACCUAGAUCGAAUAUGAACUCCUUCAUCCAGACUCCUUCGUUCGCUGCUUCCGAAGCAGCUAUGUACUCCGCUUCACAUGUAGAUCCUGCUACGACGCUUUGUUUAGAACUGCACCAACUGACAGCUCCACCGUUUAAUGUAAACACGUAUCCGGUUUGCGAUUUAGAAUCGUCCGGAUCAGUGUCAAAGCUUGCAUCAACGUAACCUUUUACGGUGAGCUCUUUGUCACCUCCAUAUACGAGAAACAUAUCCCUAGUCCUUUUCAGGUAUUUCAGGAUGUUCUUGACCGCUGUCCAGUGAUCCACUCCUGGAUUACUUUGGUACCUCCCUGCUAAGCUUAUAGCAAGGCACACAUCAGGUCUGGUACACAGCAUUGCAUACAUGAUAGAGCCUAUGGCUGAAGCAUAGGGAACAUCUUUCAUUUUCUCUCUAUCUUCUGCAGUGGUCGGGCAUUGAGUCUUACUCAACUUCACACCUUGUAACACAGGCAAGAACCCUUUCUUUGCUUGAUCCAUUUUGAACUUUUUCAAAAUUUUGUCAAGGUAUGUGCUUUGUGAAAGUCCAAUUAAGCGUCUUGAUCUAUCUCUAUAGAUCUUAAUGCCUAAUAUGUAAGUAGCUUCACCGAGGUCUUUCAUUGAAAAACUCUUAUUCAAGUAUCCCUUUAUGCUAUCCAGAAAUUCCAUAUCAUUUCCAAUUAGCAAUAUGUCAUCCACAUAUAAUAUCAGAAAUGCUACAGAGCUCCCACUCACUUUCUUGUAAAUACAGGCUUCUCCGAAAGUCUGUAUAAAACCAAAUGCUUUGAUCACACUAUCAAAGCGUUUAUUCCAACUCCGAGAGGCUUGCACCAGUCCAUAAAUGGAUCGCUGGAGCUUGCACACUUUGUUAGCUCCCUUUGGAUCGACAAAACCUUCUGGUUGCAUUAUAUACAACUCUUCUUCCAGAAAUCCAUUCAGGAAUGCAGUUUUGACAUCCAUCUGCCAAAUUUCAUAAUCAUAAAAUGCGGCAAUCGCCAACAUGAUUCGGACGGACUUAAGCAUCGCUACGGGUGAGAAGGUCUCAUCGUAGUCAAUCCCUUGAACUUGCCGAAAACCUUUUGUGACAAGUCGAGCUUUGUAGACAGUAACAUUACCAUCAGCGUCAGUCUUCUUCUUGAAGAUCCAUUUAUUCUCAAUUGCUUGCCGAUCAUCGGGCAAGUCAACCAAAGUCCAUACUUUGUUCUCAUACAUGGAUCCCAUCUCAGAUUUCAUGGCUUCAAGCCACUUUGCGGAAUCUGGGCUCACCAUCGCUUCUUCAUAGUUUGUAGGUUCAUCAUGAUCUAGUAGCAUGACUUCCAGAACAGGAUUACCGUACCACUCUGGUGUGGAUCUUGCUCUGGUCGAUCUACGAGGUUCAGUAGUAUCUUGACCUAAAGUUUCAUGAUCAACAUCAUUAGCUUCCUCACUAAUUGGUAUAGAUGUCGCAGAAACAGUUUUCUGUGAUGUACUAUUUUCCAAUAAGGGAGCAGGUACAGUUACCUCGUCAAGUUCUACUUUCCUCCCACUCACUUCUUUCGAGAGAAACUCCUUCUCUAGAAAGGAUCCAUUCUUAGCAACGAAUGUCCUGCCUUCGGAUCUGUGAUAGAAGGUGUACCCAACAAUCUCCUUUGGGUAUCCUAUGAAGACACAUUUCUCCGAUUUGGGUUCGAGCUUAUCAGGUUGAAGCUUUUUCACAUAAGCAUCGCAGCCCCAAACUUUAAGAAACGACAACUUUGGUUUCUUGCCAAACCAUAGUUCAUAAGGUGUCGUCUCAACGGAUUUUGAUGGUGCCCUAUUUAACGUCAAUGCGGCCGUCUCUAAAGCAUAACCCCAAAACGAUAGCGGUAAAUCAGUAAGAGACAUCAUAGAUCGCACCAUAUCUAGUAAAGUACGAUUACGACGUUCGGACACACCAUUACGCUGUGGUGUUCCGGGCGGCGUGAGUUGCGAAACUAUUCCACAGUUUUUCAAAUGUACACCAAGCUUGUAACUCAAAUAUUCUCCUCCACGAUCAGAUCGUAGAAACUUUAUUUUCUUGUUACGAUGAUUUUCAACUUCACUCUAAAAUUCUUUGAACUUUUCAAAUGUUUCAGACUUAUGUUUGAUUAAGUAGAUAUACCCAUAUCUGCUUAAAUCAUCUGUGAAGGUGAGAAAAUAACGAUAUCCGCCACGAGCCUCAAUAUUCAUCGGACCACAUACAUCGGUAUGUAUGAUUUCCAACAAAUCUGUUGCUCUCUCCAUAGUACAGGAGAACGGUGUUUUAGUCAUCUUGCCCAUGAGGCACGGUUCGCAAGUACCAAGUGAUUCAUAAUCAAGUGGUUCCAAAAGUCCAUCAGUAUGGAGUUUCUUCAUGCGCUUUAUACCGAUAUGACCUAAACGACAGUGCCACAAAUAAGUUACACUUUCAUUAUCGACUCUGCAUCUUUUGGCCUCAACAUUAUGAAUAUGUGUAUUACUGCUAUCGAGAUUCAAUAAGAAUAGACCACUCUUCAAGGGUGCAUGACCAUAAAAGAUAUUACUCAUAUAAAUAGAACAACCAUUAUUCUCUGAUUUAAAUGAAUAACCGUCUCGCAUUAAACAAGAUCCAGAUAUAAUGUUCAUGCUCAACGCUGGCACCAAAUAACAAUUAUUUAGGUCUAAUAUUAAUCCCGAAGGUAGAUGUAGAGGUAGCAUGCCGACCGCGAUCACAUCGACUUUGGAACCGUUUCCCACGCGCAUCGUCACCUCGUCCUUUGCCAGUGCCCGUUUAUACCGUAGUCCCUGUUUCGAGUUGCAAAUAUUAGCAACAGAACCAGUAUCAAAUACCCAGGUGCUACUGCGAGCUCUAGUAAGGUACACAUCAAUAACAUGUAUAUCACAUAUACCUUUGUUCACCUUGCCAUCCUUCUUAUCCGCCAAAUACUUGGGGCAGUUCCGCUUCCAGUGACCAGUCUGCUUGCAGUAGAAGCACUCAGUUUCAGGCUUAGGUCCAGACUUGGGUUUCUUCUCCUGAGCAGCAACUUGCUUGUUGUUCUUCUUGAAGUUCCCCUUCUUCUUCCCUUUGCCCUUUUUCUUGAAACUAGUGGUCUUGUUAACCAUCAACACUUGAUGCUCCUUCUUGAUUUCUACCUCUGCAGCUUUCAGCAUUGCGAAGAGCUCGGGAAUAGUCUUGUUCAUCCCUUGCAUAUUAUAGUUCAUCACGAAGCUCUUGUAGCUUGGUGGCAGUGAUUGGAGAAUUCUGUCAAUGACGCAAUCAUCUGGAGGAUUAACUCCCAAUUGAAUCAAGUGAUUAUUAUACCCAGACAUUUUGAGUAUAUGCUCACUGACAGAACUGUUCUCCUCCAUCUUGCAGCUAUAGAACUUAUUGGAGACUUCAUAUCUCUCAAUCCGGGCAUUUGCUUGAAAUAUUAACUUCAACUCCUGGAACAUCUCAUAUGCUCCAUGACGUUCAAAACAUCGUUGAAGUCCCGAUUCUAAGCCGUAAAGCAUGGCACACUGAACUAUCGAGUAGUCAUCAGCUUUGCUCUGCCAGACGUUCAUAACAUCUGGUGUUGCUCCAGCAGCAGGCCUGGCACCCAACGGUGCUUCCAGGACAUAAUUCUUCUGUGCAACAAUGAGGAUAAUCCUCAAGUUACGGACCCAGUCCGUGUAAUUGCUACCAUCAUCUUUCAACUUUGCUUUCUCAAGGAACGCAUUAAAAUUCAACGGAACAACAGCACGAGCCAUCUAUCUACAAUCAACAUAAACAAGCAAGAUACUAUCAGGUACUAAGUUCAUGAUAAGUUUAAGUUCAAUUAAUCAAAUUACUUAAGAACUCCCACUUAGAUAGACAUCCCUCUAAUCUUCUAAGUGAUUACGUGAUCCAAAUCAACUAAACCAUAACCGAACAUCACGUGAGAUGGAGUAGUUUUCAAUGGUGAACAUCAUUAUGUUGAUCAUAUCUACUAUAUGAUUCACGCUCGACCUUUCGGUCUCCGUGUUCCGAGGCCAUAUAUGCAUAUGCUAGGCUCGUCAAGUUUAACCUGAGUAUUCUGCGUGUGCAAAACUGGCUUGCACCCGUUGUAGAUGGACGUAGAGCUUAUCACACCCGAUCAUCACGUGGUGUCUGGGCACGACGAACUUUAGCAACGGUGCAUACUCAGGGAGAACACUUCUUGAUAAUUUAGUGAGAGAUCAUCUUAUAAUGCUACCGUCAAUCAAAGCAAGAUAAGAUGCAUAAAAAGAUAAACAUAACAUGCAAUCAAUAUAAGUGAUAUGAUAUGGCCAUCAUCAUCUUGUGCUUGUGAUCUCCAUCUCCGAAGCACCGUCAUGAUCACCAUCGUCACCGGCGCGACACCUUGAUCUCCAUCGUAGCAUCGUUGUCGUCUCUCCAACCUUAUGCUUCCACGACUAUCACUACCGUUUAGUAAUAAAGUAAAGCAUUACAUCAUGAUUGCAUUGCAUACAAUAAAGCGACAACCAUAUGGCUCCUGCCAGUUGCCGAUAACUCGGUUACAAAACAUGAUUAUCUCAUACAAUAAAAUUCAGCAUCAUGCCUUGACCAUAUCACAUCACAACAUGCGCUGCAAAAACAAGUUAGACAUCCUCUACUUUGUUGUUGCAAGUUUUACGUGGCUGCUACGGGCUUUAAGCAAGAACCAAUCUCACCUACGCAUCAAAACCACAACGAUAGUUUGUCAAAUAGACUCCGUUUUAACCUUCGCAAGGACCGGGCGUAGCCAUACUUGGUUCAACUAAAGUUGGAGAGACAGUCGCCCGCAAGCCGCCUGUGUGCAAAGCACGUCGGGGGAACUGGUCUCGCGUAAGCGUACACGUAAGGUUGGUCCAGGUCGUCUCGUCCAACAAUGCCGCCGAACCAAAGUAUGACAUGCUGGUAGGCAGUAUGACUUAUAUCGCCCACAACUCACUUGUGUUCUACUCGUGCAAAUAAUAUCAACAUAAAUAACCUAGGCUCGGAUGCCACUGUUGGGUUUCGUAGUAAUUUCAAAAAAAUUCCUACGCACACGCAAGAUCAUGUGAUGCAUAGCAACGAGAGGGGAGAGUGUUGUCUAUGUACCCAACGCAGACCGACUGCGGAAGCGCUGACACGACGUAGAGGAAGUAGUCGUACGUCUUCACGAUCCAACCGAUCAAGCACCGAAACUACGGCACCUCCGAGUUCAAGCACACGUUCAGCUCGAUGACGAUCCCCGGACUCCGAUCCAGCAAAGUGUCGGGGAAGAGUUCCGUCAGCACGACGGCGUGGUGACGAUCUUGAUGUACUACAGCAGCAGGGCUUCGCCUAAACUCCGCUACAGUAUUAUCGAGGACUAUGGUGGCUGGGGGCACCGCGCACGGCUAAGGAAUAGAUCACGUGGAUCAACUUGUGUGUUCUAGGGUGCCUCUACCUCAGUAUAUAAAGGACCAAAGGGGGGAGGCUGGCCGGCCACAAGGGGUGCGCCGGGAGAGUCCUACUCCCUGUGGGAGUAGGAUUCCCCCCCCCCCCCAAUCCUAGUUGGAAUAGGAUUCGCGGAGGGGGAACAGAGAGAGAGGGGGCCGGCCACCUCUCCUAGUCCUAAUAGGACUAGGGGAAGGGGAAGGCGCACAGCCCAUGUAGGGCUGCCUCUUCUCUUUUCCACUAAGGCCCAUCAUGGCCCAUUUAGCUCCCGGGGGGUUCCGGUAACCUUCCCGGUACUCCGGUAAAAUCCCGAUUUCACCCGGAACACUUCCGAUAUCCAAACAUAGGCUUCCAAUAUAUCAAUCUUUACGUCUCGACCAUUUCGAGACUCCUCGUCAUGUCCGUGAUCACAUCCGGGACUCCGAACAACCUUCGGUACAUCAAAAUGCAUAAACUCAUAAUAUAACUGUCAUCGUAACCUUAAGCGUGCGGACCCUACGGGUUCGAGAACAAUGUAGACAUGACCGAGACACGUCUCCGGUCAAUAACCAAUAGCGGGACCUGGAUGCCCAUAUUGGCUCCUACAUAUUCUACGAAGAUCUUUAUCGGUCAGACCGCAUAAUAACAUAUGUUGUUCCCUUUGUCAUUGGUAUGUUACUUGCCCGAGAUUCGAUCGUCGGUAUCCAAUACCUAGUUCAAUCUCGUUACCGGCAAGUCUCUUUACUCGUUCCGUAAUACAUCAUCUCACAACCAACAUAUUAGUUGUAAUGCUUGCAAGGCUUAUGUGAUGUGCAUUACCGAGAGGGCCCAGAGAUACCUCUCCGACAAUCGGAGUGACAAAACCUAAUCUCGAAAUACGCCAACCCAACAUGUACCAUUGGAGACACCUGUAGUACUCCUUUAUAAUCACCCUGUUACGUUGUGACGUUUGGUAGUACCCAAAGUGUUCCUCCGGUAAACGGGAGUUGCAUAAUCUCAUAGUUAUAGGAACAUGUAUAAGUCAUGAAGAAAGCAAUAGCAACAUACUAAACGAUCGGGUGCUAAGCUAAUGGAAUGGGUCAUGUCAAUCAGAUCAUUCAACUAAUGAUGUGACCUCGUUAAUCAAAUAACAACUCUUUGUUCAUGGUUAGGAAACAUAACCAUCUUUGAUUAACGAGCUAGUCAAGUAGAGGCAUACUAGUGACACUCUGUUUGUCUAUGUAUUCACACAUGUAUUAUGUUUCCGGUUAAUACAAUUCUAGCAUGAAUAAUAAACAUUUAUCAUGAUAUAAGGAAAUAAAUAAUAACUUUAUUAUUGCCUCUAGGGCAUAUUUCCUUCACCACCGCCCCGAGCCGCCGGUGAGUACUUGUGCUUGUGCUUUUUGGGAUGUGCUAUGCAUAGUCGGCUCAUGCGGCGUUCAUAUUUGUAAAUUUAGAUGGAAUUGAGCCCCUGCGAGAGGUUUUUGCUCGAGGAUUCAUCCGAUUCGGACGACUCAGAUGUUGAGACGCUGCUUGUGAACCAUCGGCAGUAGAUUUUGGUGAUGUCCCUCGUCAUGAAGGAGCACGAAGAUGAGAACCGAAAGAGACGAUGAGGAUCGACCGUCGGUCGUCUUUUCAUUCCUCGAAAUCGCCAUCUAGGGAACGAGAUGUUGAUGCAAGACUGCUUCGUGGACAAUCCAACAUAUCCACCGCACCUCUUCGGGAGAAAGUACCGUAUGCGCCAAUCUCUCUUUGUAAAAAUAGUGCAAGCUUGCGAGGCCAUUUGUCGGUAUUUUACUCAAAGAAGAAAUGCCGCGGGCUUGAAGGGAUUUAGUGCAUAUCAAAAAAUCUGGGCAGCUAUGCGGGUAAUUGCAUACGACAUUCCGGUUGACUAUGCCGAUGAGUACCUUCGCAUUGGUGAAGAUAGUACAAUUAAGUCAGUGCGUAGGUUUUCCAAAGUGAUCAUCCGUGUCUUUGGUCCUGAAUAUCUUCAGGCACCCAACGAGGAAGACACAAAAAAGUUGAUGACAUCAAGUGAGAGAAGAGGUUGGCCUGGCAUGUUAGGAAGCAUUGAUUGUAUGCAUUGGACUUGAAAAAACUGCCCGAAGGCAUGGCAGGGAAUGUAUUGUGGCAAGUCUCGUGAUGCAACAAUUGUGCUAGAGGUCGUAGCAUCUGAGGGUUUAUGGAGUUGGCAUUGUUUUUUUGCUAUGCCGGGUACUCUCAAUGAUAUCAAUGUGUUGCAACGGUCUCAUUUGUUUGCUAGGCUUACUAGUGGUGAUGCUCCUGCUUGCAACUAUACUAUUAAUGGGCAUGAAUACACUUCUCGCAAAAAAAUAGGCAUGAAUACACAAAGGGGUACUAUCUUGCAGAUGGUAUCUACCCUUCUUGAUGCACAUUUGUCAAGAGCAUCAAAGACCCCAAACUAGGAAACAAUGUGAAUUUGUAAGGGUACAAGAGGCAGCCCGGAAAAAUAUUGAAAGAGCAUUCUGGGUUUUGCAAUCUAGGUUUGCCAUUGUUCGUUGUCCUGCUCGUUUUUGGGACAAGCAAUCCUUGAAAAACAUCAUGACAUGCUGCGUUAUUCUUCACAAUAUGAUUCUCGAAGAUGAGAGAGGCAUGAACUUGGAGUUCUUCUACGACAAUGUGAUAGUCGUGUCAAACCAGUUAGAGACCCUAACCGCAUUAGAGCAUUUCUUAAGACCUACAGGGAGAUUUAAAAUGCAAACACCCACUUCCAGCUUCAGGAGGAUCUCAUUAAGCACCAUUGGCAAAGGGUCGGGCAGUAACACAUUUCAUUUUUGCAUUCUUUCCAUUUAAUUCAUGUGUGAUUUGUAUUCGGGACAAAUUUUGUAUUGAAUUGUUUAGUUUGCUUCGGUGAUUUCAAUAAUUAUUGUAAUUUGGAUGAUUGUUAUAUUGUAAUAUUGACAUUUUAUCUUAUAUUGAAUUAAUAAUUCUGAAUAUGUGGCAUAUGUGUCAAACUCAUUUGAUUUGCGGGGCGGCACGGGCGCCGGCAAAGCAGACCCCGAGAAUAUUCCGUUUUACAGUUCCGCUACGUGGGGUCUGCUCGGUCGGCGCCCGUGCCGGCCCACAAAACCGUUUUUUGGCAAACUGUAAACGAGUUUUGCGGGUCGGCGAUAUACGAGGUCUGCUAGAGAUGCUCUAAGCCGGGCUUGAGCGCCAACUUCUCUUUCUGGCACCAAGAGGAGCUCGCCACUCAUACUGAUUCCUAUCAGGAAUCGCCACCGGCACAGUGGCUAUUGGGCUGCCCAACACUAUAGCUUAACCUGAUUUUUUUUACAGUUGUAGGGUUUUCCUCAACUAUUCUUCUUUUUUUCUCUGGUUUUCUACGAUUUUAUUUAUUCGUUUAUUCUUUUACUUUGGUUUUCUUUGUUUCUUUCUUCACUUUUCACUUGUUUUCUUUGUGUUUUUCAACAAACAUUUAGUUUUUUCAUACACAUUGUACAUUUUUCGUAUACAUGUGUAAUAUUUUUAUAUACAUGUUUAAUAAUUUUUAUUAACCGUUUUUCAAUUUAUUUGUUUUGAUGUCUACUUUUUCCAUACACAUUUUACGUUUUUUGUAUGCAUAUAGAACAUUUGCUUAUAUUCGUUUAAAUUUUUAAAAUACAUGAUUACCUUUUUUUCAAAUACUUGUUUUGGUCAGUUUUUUUGAAUUCAAGUUGAAACAUAUAUUUUUAUGGUAUAAAAAAUAACUCUUUUAAACUAUGUGAUCAUUUCUAUACAUAGGGUAAACAAUUUUUUUAAAUUCCACACACAUUUUGUUUGAAAAGCGUGAACAUUCUUGUUACAUUGUUAACAUUCUUUCAUAAAUGUCACAUACAUUUUUUUAAACACUUGAACGUUUUUGUUAUAUCACAUACAUUUUAUCUUGAAUGCCAAUAGUUUUUAACAGUUGAUCGAACAUUUUUUUACACUGAAUUUACCUUUUUUGAAUAUGCGAUAGACAUUUUUUUAAAUUAACUUUUUUUCCAUGAUAUUUGUUUUUAGUAUUGGUUUCAAAAAAUAAACAAAAGUAAAAAACGCUUGACGUCAACGUGAUGAGGCCACGUGGUUACUGAGCCGACCGGGUACCGGCUCCCUGCAUGUGACGCUUGCAUUUGAGUCGUUGCAAGCUAUACAUACACACGUGCCUGCGUGUGACGCUUGCAUUUGAGCCAAUGCAUGUAUGCAUGUUUGUUUGGAGGCUGGUGACAAAUUCUCUUGCAACGUGGGAGAAUAAAUUCUCUCGCCAUUUGGAAAUCAUUCACGUUUGUCCAUUAUGUGCCCUGGAACACAAGCAUGGAUUCCAUGCUAUGUGUAGGUGCCCUCGUGCAAUAGAGCUUUGGAGAGCGAUGGCCAAGAAAUGGAGACUCCUUUUAUAUCAAGGAUGUCCAGCACACAAAACCGGAGUGGCUCUUUGACGUUCUAGAGCCGCUUUCGAACACGUCCCGUAUGGCGCUCUUGAUGACGAUGUGGUGCUCAUGGCACAGCCGCAAUGACAUCACACAUUAUAAAAGCACCUCCCCUACCUGAAGCCUCGCGUCGAUUCCUGCAGAGUUACUUAACAUCGCUUCCAUGUAUUCAGUAGUUCGCUAAUGAUGAUCAAUGCAAAGGAAAGAUGGUCCUUAUGAACCCAGCGCUGAGGUUUGCGCCUCACCAUAGCAGCAGCAGGCGCUCGAUAUCGCCGGGCCGCGGCCGCGCGGGGUAUGGAGCAAGCCCGAGCCGGGUUGCCUGAAGCUCAAUGCAAAGAGCUAAAUACACAUGUGGUGUGUGAACUUGCCAUGAAUGUUCAUUUUAGUGUCUAAAGUUGAAAAAUAUAUCGAACUGGUUCUAAAACUUGGCUGACUCGUGCAAAUACGGGAGUGUGGUUUUCUGUAGCUCAGGCUACACGGUACCCCUUAUCUUUGCCAUCCAUUUAUGCAUCAAGAUCCGUGCAGACACAUUUGUCUUUUUUGUUUCUCUCAAACGACACAACAUAUAAACUCCAAAUUUUGCAGAACAACAAUACAUUCUAACUACAAUCUAGGAAAAAACUUUCAGAUUUUUUCAUGCAUUUUAAAUACUUGAAAUAAUAUUUUUAUUCAAAGAAAAUCUCAUUUUGUAUAUUUAUAUCAAACCAAAAAAUCUGAAAGUUUUUUCACACAUUGAUGUUUUAAUGUUUGUUCGAUCUGCAAAGUUUGAAGUUCAUAUGUUGUUUCAUUUUCGAGAAACAAAAAAGAAAAAUAUUCUUGUUGUUAGUUAGUUGAAGAGCACGAAUCUCAAAGCAAGGGUGGAGGGUUGAGAAUAAGAGAUUCCAUGUAGCCUGAGCUAAUCUCUUAUGUAAACAUACAGUGUGCUGAUGUGGUCCCGUAUUUGCUGACAUAGCAUGGGGCCACGUGUAGUGGCGAAGCAAGAUUACUUUAAUAAUAUAUAUGUCUCUAUGACUAGUGGUCCCAUAUGUCAGAACAAAAAGAAAAUUAAAACUAAAAAUAGUGCCGGAUCAGAGACGAGCAUACGACCUGCAGUUUGAAGAGAGCAUAUGCCGACCACUGCACCAAACAUACUACGAUGACAACUUCGGCCACUACCUGUUAAUGAAUGAUAAACAAAAAGGCUUGUGGUGCUUAAAUGGGCUGCAUUCAGUGACCCAUUUAGUGCAUGUUAUUUUUUUUAAAGAAAUGUAAAAGGUCUGUAAACGAUAUUCAUAAUAAUAAACUUUACAUUCAAAUAUUUGUGUGUUAUUAAUAAUUACCUCGUGUAUGGUUUGUAUUCAUUAAACAUUUAAAAAUGUAUUUAACGAACAUUUGUAAAUAUAAUUUAUGAUUGUAUAUUUUGAAAGUUUGUACUUACUAAACAUUUUUAAGCACUCAUGGCUUAUAUUUAAAAUACUAUUUUCUAAAUAAUAAGUGAAUAGUUCUAAAUAUUAUAGGAACAUUUUUAGUAAGUUAUUUUAUUACAUACAUCUAUAUAUUUAUUCUGUGUCCACGUAACUAUUUGUGUACAUUGAGGUUAUUAUUUAUGCACCAAAAAUAUUUAUAACCCACAGCAUGAUAUGGGGCCUGUUUGUUUUUUUAAUACAUGCACAUGAAUAUUUGUAUACCAUAAGGUAAUUAUUAAUGACACACAAAUAUUUGUAUAUCAGGAGGUAAUUAUUAACAACACACAAAUAUUUGAAUCUACUUCUAUUUUAUGAAUUAUAAUUUAUAGACUUUUAACAUUUUUUAAAGUUAACCUGUACUAAAUAGGCACCGAAUGCAGCCUGUUUAAGCACCAAAAGCUAUUCGGCGUGUGAAUAAUCAAAGAGCAAGGCCGCAUGUUCGAUUCCAAAUGAGCAUAAUUUUAGUUUCCAUUUUUUUCUAGACUGACAGGCAGGACCCACUAGUCAUAUAUACAUAUACCAUUCAAAUAAUCAUAUUUCAUCGUUACACAUGGACCCCAUGCCACAUCAGUCAAAUACGGUGCCGUGUCAACACAUUAUACAUCUACAUAGGUGUUUACCACCGUAUUUGCACGCGCUAGCCAAGUUUUAGAACCAGUUCAACGUAUUUUUCAAGUUCAGGCACUAAAGUGAACAUCCAUAACAAGUUCAAGCAUCACCGGUGUAAUUACCUCCAAUGCAAACGAUGCCUUUGUGGCGCAGGCAGCCAACGGUGGCACCGACAUGGUACUUCGCGACAACUUCGGUGCCAUCGUUUCACCUCGUGCCAUCAUCUUUUCACAUGUGACAAUGCACUUAAUGCGGAACUUGAGGCUUGUAGAGAGGGAGUUGCAUUGAUGCUUGAUUGGACUUCUCUUCCAUUCAUCGUUGAAACAUAUAGUGCUGAAGCGGCUGCGAUGAUUUCCCAAACCUCGAUGAACAGAUCAGAACAUGCUGCCCUUUGUCCAGGAGAUCACAUCUAUGAUGAAAGGGCACUGAGGUUUCAAGGUCCAGGCUAUCACCGUCGGAAAAAAGGUCCAGGCUAUCAAAAGAGAGUGUAACCAUGUUGAGGAGGCGGGAUUAUCAUACGGUCUGAGAGGGUUGUGAAUCUGUGUGAAUCAGACUGUUUUGUUCUAGGUUAAUUAAUAAUACUUCUACUACAAAACCCUUUCCCCCAUAAAAAGAAAAGAAGGAGAGCAGGAGCUCUCACGAUGAAUAAACUGCGUCUUCAAACUGUUCUUUUGCCAAAAGAGAGAGUAUCUUUUUUUUUGCAUGCAACAGAGAGAGUAUCGGCUUUCCUCCCUUCAAUCAAAAGAAAAGAGGAGGACUAGCCGACUCGGCGUCAGAUUAGUCCAGUGGGGAGGACUCUUUCGCUCGCGCCGCUCUAGCGAGUGGCCGGGCGAAACCCUAGUCCAUCGCCGCCGCCUCCCACACCUUCGCCCCCUCCCUCGCCGCCGCCAGGGGACGGCGCCGGGCAAAGCCCGUGCGUGCGUGCGUCGGCGGCGGGGUCCUUCCCUCCCCACGAGGCGCGGGCUGCGCGGGACGUCCGGCUUCCGUGGUGGCGCGCGUGGCCAGGAACAGCGUGCAGUCGAGUGGAUCUAGCAUGGGGGCGGCCAGGAGAGGGCGGAUCUAGCGCCGGCGAGGGCGUGGCGCGGCCUGCCGCGGAGGCGGCCAGGCGAGUGGAUCUGGCGCCGGCAAGGGCGCGCGUCCAGGGGCGAGCGGGCGUGGUGNNNNNNNNNNNNNNNNNNNNNNNNNNNNNNNNNNNNNNNNNNNNNNNNNNNNNNNNNNNNNNNNNNNNNNNNNNNNNNNNNNNNNNNNNNNNNNNNNNNNNNNNNNNNNNNNNNNNNNNNNNNNNNNNNNNNNNNNNNNNNNNNNNNNNNNNNNNNNNNNNNNNNNNNNNNNNNNNNNNNNNNNNNNNNNNNNNNNNNNNNNNNNNNNNNNNNNNNNNNNNNNNNNNNNNNNNNNNNNNNNNNNNNNNNNNNNNNNNNNNNNNNNNNNNNNNNNNNNNNNNNNNNNNNNNNNNNNNNNNNNNNNNNNNNNNNNNNNNNNNNNNNNNNNNNNNNNNNNNNNNNNNNNNNNNAGGCGUGGGUCGCUCGUCGCGGGGGGCUAGGGAGCGCGCGCGAUCGCUGGGCCGGCGUGGCUUGCCCCUCUGGGUGAGUGGCGGCCGGGCCUGGCCAGAUCCGAGGAUGGCGUGCGGUGGUCGCCUCGGAUUCGGCGCGGGCUGGAGGGGCGGCGCCCCUCCGGCGUGUGGCGGCCGGAUCUGGACGAACCUGGCCAGAUCCGUGGUGUGUUGGACGCGCGCCGGCCCUGCGCGUUGGUCCUGUGAUGCUGGAGCAGGUGGCUCCGGCCGUGAUAGAUACGGGAUGCAUGGACUGAUCUGGUCACUGUAGGCUCGCCGUGGGCGGGGUGGACCACGAAUCCACGACUUCUACGACUAGGUUCUGCGGCCGUGGCGGUGCGAGACUGCAUGGACGAGCUUCUGUGGGCAUGAGCGAAGGUGUGCGGCGAUACGGACGAAAGUCCUACACGACCAGAGGCCGGUGGCGAUGGCGCCUGUGGGUGUCAUUUUCCUCCUUGGAGGCGUCACCUGAGGUGUGUCGGCAUCUUCCUCGUGCUCGGAUGGUGGUUUGUCUCCGGGCGAAAUCCUAGGUCCGGUGUUGGAUUGGCGUGAUGGCGGCGUGUUUGACGUUGUUCCUCUGUUGGGAGCAUCACGUUUGGAGACAUUUCCUGGAAGCUCUUUGCGGCGCUCCACCGGUGCUCGCCGCUGUUCAAGGUGAAGCUCCAGGCGCAAUGUACGAAAUUAUCGAUGAGUCCAAGACGAAGCUCUUCCUGGGAUCGACCAAGUCCCGCCAUCCACCCCUGCUUCCAGGGUGGAUGGUGCAUUGGCGAGGGAAGUUGUAGUGGGAGCUGCUGCGGUCUUCGGAGGUGAUCGGCGUUGUUCGAGACGCGGUGGUGAUGCUUAGCUUAGGACAGGUGCUUCGGUUGUGUAGUCAUGUUGUUUGUGGUGGGUGUAGCUAUCUGCAGCUAUUAGGGCCGCAGUUUUUCCUUUCUCUUUUGAUCUUCGGAUCUUCACCAUGUUGUUCUUCCGCUGCUUUCUGCUAAAUCUGAAUCAAGCCAGCAAUUUGCUGGAUCUUUAAAAAAAAUCAAAAGAAAAGAGAGAUAACCGUAUUCGGAUAGGCCAUGAUUGUCCAUAUGUAUCCAUGCCCGAAGUUAAAGCAUCACAAUACCUGACAAAAAGGAAAAAAGUCCAAAACAAACCUCAAACUUAGAGCAUCUCCACUCGCACCCCCAACAGGCCCCCCAGGGCAAGUUUUUUCGUGCCGGCGCCGAAAAAACCCACCAGUCGCGCCCCCAGGAUGUCGAAAUCCGCCGGCUCGGCCCAUGUUUUGGCCCGGCGAUCCCAGGCCGAACCCAGCACACUGGGGGCGCUUGGGGGCUCCAUCGAAAGAAAAAAAAACCGCGCCUGGGCCACCACUGUCAGGCGAGAAAGCAUCUUGCUCAUCCAGAUGCCCCCCCGCACACAUGCCUUCCGCUGCCGUGCCUAUCCCGGCGCUGUCUACCUACCCACCGCCGCUAGAAAGGCUAUUCCCUCGCCGAAAAAGAGAGGGUUCGACGCGCCAGCCUCCAUUCCGUUCCUGGGUGAGCUUUUCGGUGCUCCGGCCAUGUAGGGCGGGGUUACCAGUGGCUGCACGCCUACCACGCCCGUCAGGUGUUCGGUGAUUUGUCUGCUUGGCAAUGGUCUCGGACGACGAGGAGGCAUUCGCGAUGCUGCUGGAGGAGGAAGCCGAUGCCAACGCCCAGGACGAAUAGCAUCUCAUGGUCCUCGCCGCUCUGGCCGGCCUAUUCGCGAGCAACGCAAAGCCGCGGCGAGUCGGCUCGGCGCCGGGCCGGCUGAAGGCAAAGCAGAGGCAUCGACUCGAAGGCUACUGCUUUCUCUACGCUGACUACUUUGCCGACGCUCCAUUGCAUGACGAGAAAGUAUUUCGACGCCGUUACCGGAUGAGCCUAGAGCUCUUCCUCAGGAUUGUGAAUUCUAUCCGUGAGUUUGACAGCUACUUCAAGUGCAAGUAGGAUUGCACUGGCACACUUGGAUUUAGCUCACUCCAGAAGUGCACGAUAGCUAUGCGAAUGCUUGCAUACGGAGCUCCCGGUGAUACAAUAGAAGACUAUGGACACAUGGCCGAGUCCACGACCAUUGAGUGUUUAUACAAGUUCUGCAGGGCAGUGGUGGCAGUGUUUGGACCUCAAUACUUGCGAUCACCCAAUGCUGAAGACACCGCUCGGAUCCUAGCAUAGAAUGCAGCAAGAGGAUUUUCUGGGAUGCUUGGAAGCAUCGACUACAUGCAUUGGAAAUGAAAAAAACUGUCCAUUUGCUUGGCAGAGGAUGUACAAAGGCGCCAAAGGCGGUUGCAGUGUGGUACUUGAGGCAGUGGCCACACACGGCCUCUGGAUUUGGCACUCCUUCUUUGGUAUGCCAGGAACUCACAAUGCCAUCAACAUACUGCAGGGCUCCCCUGUCUUUGCCCAGCUUGUUGAAGGUCAUGCUCCUCCAGUGAACUUCGAGGUCAGGGUGCCACUACAACAAGGGAUACUACCUAGCAGAUGGCAUCUAUCCGAGAUGGUCCACAUUUGUGAAGACUAUCUCAAACCCUGUGCCAGGAGCAAGAACUCUUACUUUGCCAAGUGUCAGGAGGCUUGCAGGAAGGAUGUCGAGCAGGCAUUUGGUGUGCUCCGAUCUCGAUUCGCUCUUGUUCGGUACCCCGCUCAGACCUGGUCCAAAGAUCAAAUGUGGGAGGUCAUGACUUGCUAUGUCAUCUUGUACAACAUGAUCAUUGAGAGUGAGCAGGAAGAGCCAGUGUUUUACACUGAACCAUAUUACAAGUAGGGUACUCUUGCCCAAGUUGAUCACCAGCUACCGGCAACCUGGACUGCCUUCCUCAAUAUGUGUCAGGAGAUCCGAAACCCACAGGUGCAUCAACAACUACAACACGAUCUGGUGGAGCACCUAUGGAGGCUCAAGGGCAACGCCUAGCUCGACGUGUGAUGAAAUAUGAUUUUUUAUUUGUUGAACUAUUUGAUUUGUAUUGAUUUGUUGAUCUACUUGAUUUGUACUAAUUUUCUGUGAUGAACUAUGUGCUAAAUAUUGCUUCUAUUGAAUUUGUGUCGAAGCACGCCGAAUAUGGGUCGAAAUUGGUUCAAUUUGCGCCGAAAGUGGGACAAUUUGCACCGAAAGUGGGCCGAAAUCGGCGCCUGGGGGCGACCUUAGGGGGGGCUGGGAAACCGACCGCCCCCACACCGAUUUUCCCCCGGCGCGCCCCCAGACGGCGCUAUUUCAAGCCCCUUGGGGGCCGAACGAGUGGAGAUGUUCUUAUAGACGAAAACUAAAUCUUCCCAGCCGCCACCACACCGAUUUUCUUGCCGGCGUGCCCCCAGACGACGCUAUUUCAAGCCCCUAGGGGGCCGAACGAGUGGAUAUGCUCUUAUAGACGAAAACUAAAUCAAAUCUGAACUUGUAAGAGCAUCUCCACCCGUUCGCCCCUCAGGGGCUUGAAAUAAUGCCGCCUGGGUGCGCGCCGGCUGAAAAAUCAGCGUGGGGGCGACCGGGUUCCCAGCCGCCGAUUUCGGCCCACUUUUGGCGCAAAUUUGCCCACUUUUCAGCCCAGUUUCGACGGAAAUUGGCCCACUACCGGCGCAAAUUGACCAAUUUCGACCCAUAUUCUGCAUGCUUUGGCGCGAAUUCGACAGAAGCUAUUUUUAUCACAUAGUUCAUCACAGAAAAUCAAUAGAAAUCAAAUAGUUCAACAAAUAGUUCAAUAGAAAUUAUAUAGUUCAACAAAUAAAAACUCAUAUUUCAUCACACUUUGAGCUAGGCGUUACCCUUGAGCCUCCAUAGGUGCUCCACCAGAUCCUGCUGCAGUUGUUGAUGCACCUGUGGGUCUCUGAUCUCCUAACACAUAUUAGGGAAGGCAGUCCAGGUUGCCGGUAGCUGGUGAUCCACUUGGGCAAGAGGACCCUGCCUGUAAUAUGGUUCAGUGUCAAACACUGGCUCUUCCUGCUCGCUCUCAAUGAUCAUGUUUGAUACGUCCAUUUUGCAUCGUGUUUACCUAUUGUCAUUUAUAAUGUUUUUAUGCAUAAUAAUGCUUUUUGGAGUAAUUCUAAUGCCUUUUCCCUCAUAAUAUGCAAGGUACACACAAAGAGGGAGAAUUCCGGCAGUUGGAAAUCUAGACGUGAAAAAGCUACGUCAGGCUACCUAUUCUGCACAACUUCAAAUGAGCUGAAACUUCAUGAGAAUUUUUUACGAAAUAAAUAAGAAAUACUAGAGCAAAUAACCACCGGAGGGGGGCCACCUGGUGAGCACAAGACACCAGGGCGCGCCCCCAGCCCACCUCCGGUGCCCAUCUUAUGGUAUAUAAGUCAUUUUGACCUAGAAAAAAAAUGAGGAGAGGACUUUCAGGACGGAGCGCCGCCGUCUCAAGGCAGAACUUGGGCAGGAGCACUUUUGCCCUCCGGCGGAGCGAUUCCGCCGGGGGAACUUCCCUCCCGGAGGGGGAAAUCAUCGUCAUCAUCAUCCACCAACAACUCUCCCAUCUUGGGGAGGGAAAUCUCCAUCAACAUCUUCAACAACACCAUCUCCUCUCAAACCCUAGUUCAUCCCUUGUGUACAAUCUAUGUACCGUAACUAUAGAUUGGUGCUUGUGGGUGACUAGUAGUGUUGAUUACAUCUUGUAGUUGAUUACUAUAUGGUUUAUUUGGUGGAAGAUUAUAUGUUCAGAUCCAAUAUGCUAUUUAAUACCCUUCUGAUCUUGAGCAUGAUUAUCAUUUGUGAGUAGUUACUUUUGUUCUUGAGGUCACGGGAGAAAUCUUGUUGCAAGUAAUCAUGUGAACUUGAUAUGUGUUCGAUAUUGUGGUAGUGUGUAUGUUGUGAUUCCCUUAGUGGUGUCAUGCGAACGUCGACUACAUGACACGUCACCAUAUUUGGGCCUAAGGGAAUGCAUUGUGGAGUAUUUAUGAGAUGAUGGGUUGCGAGAGUGACAGAAGCUUAAACCCUAGUUUAUGCGCUAUUCCGUAAGGGACCAAUUGGAUCCAAAAGUUUGAUGCUAUGGUUAGAAUUUAUUCUUAAUACUUUUCUUGUAGUUGUGGAUACUUGCGAAGGGGUUAAUCAUAAGCAGGAGGCUUGUUCAAGAAAGAACAACACCUAAGAACCGGUCCACCCACAUAUCAAAUUAUCGAAGUAGCGAACAUGAAUCGAAUCAACAUGAUGAAAGUGACUAGAUGAAAUUCCCUUGUACCCUCAAGAACGCUUUGCUUAUUAUAAGAGAUCAUUUUGGCCUGUCCUUUGCCCCAAAAGGAUUGGGCUACCUCGCUGCACUUUUGUUACCGUUACCAUUACUUGCUCGUUAAAAAUUAUCUUGCUAUCAAACUACUCUACUACUUACAAUUUCAGCACUUGCAGACAUUACCUUGCUGAAAACCACUUGCCAUUUCCUUUUGCUCCUCGCUGGGUUCAACAGUCUUACUUAUCGAAAAGGCUACAAUUGAUCCCAUAUACUUUUGGGUCAUCAAGGCUCUUUUCUGGCGCCGUUGCCGGGGACUGAAGUGCUCUUGGUAAGUGGAAAUUGGUAAGGGAAAAUUAUUACUACGUGCUGAAAAAUUUAUUGUCACUUGUUACUAUGGAAAACAAUCCUUUAAGGGGUUUGUUCGGGGUAUCUUCACCUUGACCGAAACCACAAUUAGUUACCCCUCAACCUAGUGCACCUACUGAAAACAUUGAAUAUGAAAUUCCUUCGGGUAUGAUAGAACAACUGCUAGCUAAUCCUUAUGUAGGAGAUGGAACCGAACAUCCUGAUAUGCACUUGAUACAUGUGGAAGAAAUUUGUGGGUUAUUUAAGCUUGCAGGUUUACCAGGAGAUGAAGGUAAGAAGAAGGUUUUCCCUUUAUCUUUGAAUGGAAAAGCAUUGGCAUGGUAUAGGCUAUGCGAUGAUAUUGGAUCUUGGAACUAGAAUCCAUUGAAAUUGGAGUUUCACCAAAAAAAUUAUCCUAUGCAUCUAGUUCAUCGUGAUCGGAAUUACAUAUAUAAUUUUUGGCCUCAUGAAGGAGAAAGUAUCGCUAUAGCUUGGGGGAGGAUUAAGUCAAUGUUAUAUUCAUGCCCCAAUCAUGAGCUCUCAAGAGAAAUUAUUAUCCAGAACUUUUAUGCUCAGCUUUUUCAUAAUGAUUGAUCCAUGCUUGAUACUUCUUGUGCUGGUUCUUUUAUGAAGAAGACUAUUGAAUUCCGGUGGGGUCUUCUGGAAAGAAUUAAACACAACUCUGAGAUAGUAGCCUCCUUUUGUGAAUCAUUUUCUACUCAUGUUGAUCUCCCUAAGGAGAAGUGGUUUAAAUAUCACCCACCUAUUAAAAAAGAAAUUAAAGAAUCAGUACUAGCUAAAGAGGAAACUAUUAUUUAUAAUGUUGAUCCAGUUGUUCCUACUGCUUAUAUUGAGAAACCACCUUUCCCUGUUAGGAUGAAGGAACAUGCUAAAGUUUCAACUGUGGUCAACAAAAGUUAUAUUAGAACACCUAAACCCGAUGAACAAAUCAAAGUAGAACCUAGUGUUGCUAUGGUUAAGGAUCUCCUAGAAGAAAAUAUGGAUGAGCAUGCUAUUUACUUCUGUGAUAAAGCUGCUAGAAUUGCCAAACCCGAUAAAAAGGAUAAACAUAGACCUGUUGUUGGCAUGCCUGUUGUCUCAGUUAAAAUAGGAGAUCACUGUUAUCAUGGUUUAUGCGACCUAGGUGCUAGCGUGAGUGCUAUUCCCUUUACCUUAUAUCAAAAAAUUAUGAAUGACAUUGCACCCACAGAGAUAGAAGACAUAAAUGUUACUAAUAAACUUGCUAAUAGAGAUACUCUUUCACCAAUUGGGAUUGUUAGAGAUGUUGAAGUCUUGUGUGGGAAAAUAAAAUACCCUACUGAUUUUCUUGUUCUUGGUUCCCCACAAGAUGAUCUUUGUCCCAUUAUCUUUGGUAAACCUUUCAUGAACACCGUUAAUGCUAAAAUUGAUUGUGAGAAACAAACUGUCGGUGUUAACUUUGGUGAUGAGUCUCAUGAGUUUAAUUUUUCCAAGUUUAGUAGAAAACCUCAUAAAAAAGAAAGGCCAUUUGCAUUUCUAUCCCUAACUUGAACCACCUACUUAUAUAUGCCCCUAAUUUCAAAGCCUGCUCAAAUUUGCCCCUCCGCCGUUAGGUGCCCUUACAGAAAUGCCCUUCUGCUCCGUUACCGUUCGGUCAAAGCCGGUCAAAGGGCUUUGACCGUCCUGAAAAAAAUAGCAAAAAUAUUCUAAAAAAUCUGAAAUAUUGUGAGAUCGAAAAUACUCAUGUGCGCAAGGUGCGCGCAAGUUUUCGUGCUAUUUGGACAUUCCAGAAGAUCGUGAUGAGGAAAAACAGUUAAUAUGUACGCUUGUCAACAGUAAUUUCAAAAACAAUUGUAGGAAAAUUCAAAAAAAUGAAAAAAAUUGGCAUCAAAGAGGCUCGGGUCUGCAAGGUGCGUGCAAUUUUAUUUGUGUUUGGACACUGUAGGAGCUCGUGGAGAAAAAAACAAAAUUUGGCUUGGGAAAAAACUUUGGAAAAAAAUGACUAUUUUGUUUUUUUAUUCUGGAGCUCCUACAGUGUCCAAACACAAAUAAAAUUUGUACGCACCUUGCAGACCCGAGCCUCUUUGAUGCCAAAUUUUUUCAUAUUUUUUUGAAUUUUCUUGCAAUUCCUUUUUGAAUUUACUGUUCACAAGCGUACAUAUUAACUAUUUUUCCUCGUCACGAUCUUUUGGAAUGUCCAAAUAGCACGAAAACUUGCACGCACCUUGCGCACAUGAGUAUUUUUGAUCUCACAAUAUUUCAGAUUUUUUAGAAUUUUUUUGAUACUUUUUACGAUGGUCAAAGCCCUUUGACCGGCUUUGACCGGACGGUAACGGCGCAGAAGGGCAUUUCUGUAAGGGCACCUAACGGCGGAGGGGCAAAUUUGAGCAGACUUUGAAAUUAGGGGUAAAUCUGAGAGUGGGCGCAAAUUAGGGGCAUAAAUGUAAAUGUCCCAAAAAGAAUUGCCUAGUAAGGAUGAAAUAAUUGGUCUUGCUUCUAUUGCCGUGCCUCCUACUGAUCUUUUAGAACAAUAUCUGCUAGACCAUGAAAAUGAUUCACAUAUGCAUGAAAGAAAUGAAAUAGAUAAGAUUUUCUUUGAACAACGUCCUCUGCUUAAACACAAUUUGCCUAUUGAAACUCUAGGAGGUCUUCCUCCACCUAAAGGUUAUCCUGUGUUUGAAUUCAAACAAUUGCUUGACACUUUAAAAUAUGCUUAUCUUGAUGAGAAGAAGAUAUAUCUUAUUAUUAUUAGUGCUAACCUUUCAGAACAUGAAGAAGAAAGAUUAUUAAAAAUUCUAAGGAAGCACCGAGCCGCUAUUGGAUAUACUCUUGAUGAUUUAAAGGGCAUUAGUCCCACUCUAUGUCAAUACAAGAUUAAUAUGGAACCCGAUGCUAAACCCGUUGUUGAUCACCAACGUCGGUUAAAUUCGAAGAUGGAGGAAGUGGUAAGAACGGAAAUAUUAAAACUUCUGGAAGCAGGUAUAAUCUAUCCUAUAGCUGAUGGUAGAUGGGUAAGUCCUGUUCAUUGUGUCCCUUAGAAAGGAGGUAUUACUGUUGUUCCUAAUGAUAAGAAUGAACUUAUUCCACAAAGAAUUGUUACAGGCUAUAGAAUGGUAAUUGAUUUUACAAAAUUAAACAAAGCAACUAGAAAAGAUCAUUAUCCUCUGCCUUUUAUUGAUCAAAUGCUAGAAAGAUUGUCUAAUCACACACAUUUUUGCUUCCUUGAUGGAUACUCUGGUUUUUCACAAAUACCUGUUUCUCAACCUGAUCAAGAAAAGACCACUUUCACUUGUCCCUUUGGAACUUAUGCUUAUAGACGUAUGCCUUUUGGUCAUGCAGUGCACCUGCUACCUUUCAAAGAUGUAUGACUGUUAUAUUCUCUGACUUUUGUGAAAAGAUUGUUGAAGUUUUCAUGGAUGACUUUUCUGUUUAUGGGAAGUCUUUUGAUUAUUGUUUAAGCAACCUUGAUCGAGUUUUGCAGAGAUAAGAGCAAACAAAUCUUGUCUUGACACUACUGUAGGAUACUGCUAACGCGACAGUACGAUCAAAGACCCUUUGAUGAAACUGUGUGCGAUGCAUUAAUCGCAAACGUGGAUGUAAAAAACCAUCAAAAAAGGUGCAAAACGUUUGCGAUGUCGGAGCCAUCAAACACGGUUCAGAUUUUAGUUGCGUGUGCGAUGCAGGGCACACGGUUAAUCCAUUCGAAUUGUUUGCGAUGAGGCAGAACAACAGAAACGGGCAGCUAUAUCAAUGUGUGUGUGCGACAUACGGCAUACAGUUUGCUUCAAUGAACUGUUUGCUAUUAGGGAGUGCAACAGAAACUGUUAGCCAGAUCAAGGUGUGUGUGAUAUAUGACACACGGUUCACUCGGACAAACUGUUUUCGAUUAGGGAACACAACAGAAAUGGUUCAACUUAACAAGAUGUGUGUGAUAAGUGGGAAACAACCGACUCGGAUGAACUGUUUGCGAUGAGAAAUUACAACACAGACGGUUAAUACAGUUGGUUCGUGUGCGAUCCUGUGUGUACAAAAAACUUUGAAAACUGCAAACUAGUUGCUUGCGGUGGCUAGGAGUAUUGCACAUGAUGCGUCUGCGAGUAAUCGUGUGCGAUGAUUAGUAAGUUACACAUACAUUUCCUUAUGUUAACACUUGUGUGAUAAAUAACACGUGGCACUGGAUACGGUAUUAUGGUUGUGUGUGUGCUCCAGCGAAUGCUUCCUGCGCUCCACAUGGGUGAAUUGUAAAAUCCACACCUCUUCCCUCAUCGGUUUCUUGCCACCAGCUAAUGGCUUGCUGCAUAUAACCCAGGCGACAAUGCACCGUUGCAACACUCUGCGCAGAUCUAGUCCUCGCCCAUUUACCAUUAGUUAUUCCAAGCAUGCCAGGCAACGACCAAAGCUUCGACGUCGACGCCUACCUGCAUUACAUCUUCGGCGAGGAGAACGAGCCGGAGCAGGUCGGGGAGCAAGAGCUUCAUCGGCCGGUGCAGGCACCAUGGCCCAUCGGCAGCGAUAUCGGUGUGACAGUCCUUGGGCGCACAAUCGACAUAUUGCAGAGGAGGUGUGAUGAGCAGUUUGCCAUCCACCAUGCAAAAGAUCAAGAGCUGCUCGGCGGCAUGAUCGACAACCCACCCGAAGAGCCGCCGUCACCAGUGCUCAUCAAGAGCCCGAUGCCCCACAAGGAAUGGGCAAAGGACCUCUGUGAUUCAGUGAAGAGACAGGAAGCCUACGGCUUCAUCAUUGCCCGUGGUGGCCAUGUCAACCUCGAUCCCGAUGAUGUGGUGGCCAGGCUCGAGUGCACCCUUGGUGGAGUUGAUGUCCCCGACGAAGUAGAACAUCGCCAACGUGAUAUCUUGAGGAUGCAGGUGAUGGACGGAAUUUGCUACCAGGCCAGAGACAUGGGAAUGGAGCGGUUCCGCGGAGAUGUCAUGCGCGCGAUUGCACGCUGUCAAGCUCUUCUGGAAGAGGCCCAACAGCCCCAAGAGCCUCCCAGCACCAGCAGCUCCGUAGGCGGAGGCGGGUCGGCACACUUGGAGUGAACGGCCGCAAGGGUGCUAUGCUGAUCAUGGAGUCCGGGAAGACCAUCGUCGGAAGGCCGCCAGCUCGGCCUUUUAGCCUAUAUUUUAUUAUAAUUGUAUGCAUAUGUAGGUCGUGACUGUUCUGGGCCUUGCCGCAUGUGGCAUUUUAAAUUAUCUUGAAUAUGUAAGACAAUUAUUAAGAAUUAUUAACCGCUGCCAUUGUAAAUUUGCCUCAAUGACGAGCAGAGCACGCAGGGACGCCAGAGCAGAGUACGCCGCUGCUGCCUCAAUGGCGAGCAAAACACGCGGACGGACAUGAGCAGAGUGCGCCGCGGCCGCCUCAACGGCGAGCAACCACGUGGUCAAUCUUCUGCCAUCAAUAAAUUUUGACCUUGUUUCUCGUCACAUUGCAGAUUACAAUGCAAUAAGUAAUUGCAAAUCUAUUCACACCUAUCAAACUAAUAUGUGUUCACACUUAGCACCGGGCUAUAGAAACAAUUGACUCGAAAAUUACUUCACAGUUCCUCUCCUCAUCACCCACAAAACUGGUCUUUCCCGUCAAGUCGUUCCGCCAUGAUCGAUAGGAGGAGUUUUGGGUGGACAUAUAACCAGGCAGCAAAGACCAAGGCCGCGGAAGCACUAGAGAGGUCCCAUCGCGAAGCCGCAGCCGUAGCAGAGAUGUCCCAGCGCGACGCGGAGCCCUCGAAUGAGCUCUCAUGGGCACGCGAGGGCUCUCACAAGCGCACUUGUGGCAUCGGCCGUCGUGACGAGCUGGCGUUCCUGAAGUCCCUGGCCGGCAACGACGAUAUUUUCGCUGGCGUCAUUAAGCAGCAUGAGCUGGUCAACGGCUUGAUCAAGCUGCUCAAGAUCAGCGAUGCCUCGGUUGACAAGGUGACCGGCCUCGUCGAGCAACUCAUGGGUGACAAUGCGAAGCUCCUUAAGGCGCUCGCCGAGAAGGAGGAGGAGGCCCCCGACUGGAAGAUACUGCAUGAGCAGAGCAGUGCCUCGGGGAUGACACUGACAAUGGUCGUCGAGGAACUGAUGGUUGACUUGAGGAAGCUCUGGAUCGAGCGCGAGCAGGAGGUGGAGGAAUCCGUGGCUGCUUUCAAGCAAAGUCAUGAGGAAUUGAAGAAGGAGUUGGAGGAUGUCGUGCCCGACGAUCCAUUGACGAGUAGAGACAGUAGCGAUCUAGAUCACUGUCUGCGAUUUCCUUCUUCUCUUGCCCCUGUGUCUUCCGGGCUUUGCCGCAUGUGGCAUUUUAAAUUAUCCGGAAUAUGUAAGACAAUUAUUAUCUGUGCCAUUGUAAAUUUGUCGUCGUAUUAUUCGUUGCCAUUUUAUUUGUGGUCAUAUUAUCCGUUGCCCUAUGUGGCAAUUUAAAUUAGGGGCCGGAAUACAAGUUGAAAACACGAACAAAGCAAAUGAUGCCAUGGGAUCACAAGCAAACACCCUCCGUCUAGGUGCUUUAAUUAACCCAUUAAUGGAGAAGUUGUGAGUGAGGCAAGCACCGGCUGGUGCAUGGAGGUCAAAGAGCUUGCUUCCCGGUGAGCAUGGGCGGCCUUGCUGCCCGCACGUGUCCCGUCGAGCCUGCGAGGUGGACAGGAUGCAUGCAUCCCGUCGAGCCUGCGCGGCGGACUGCUCGCACGCACCCCGUCGAGCCUGCACGACGGACUUCUCGCGCUCGUCCUGUCUAAUCAAACAACUGCAUGCAUGCCACUGAGCAUGGUUAAAUUUCGACACGGUUAAUAUAAUACAACCGUUUGCGAUAUUGAUGUGUAAGCUAUUUGUUUCAAAAAGGACUUCGUUGGCAACUAAUGUGUGCGCCUUGUCUCAAACUGGACGAUUUUUUUUACCACGGCAUAUAUGUGCCAUGUCAUGAAAUCAUGCCAAGUUUCAUGUUUUUUGGGUGAGCUUUUGAUUUACUGGGAUUUAAAAACUGAGAUUCUCAAUGUUUCAGGACAACGAGAAGUUUGUAAUUCAUUCACAUUCCUUAAAUCAGACCUAAACAUGCACCCAAUGACACAUGUAUGAUUUCCCACCCAUUUUGCUUCACUGGAGCAUGUGCUUGUAGUUCAAAUUUGAAUUAUGCACUACAUUAAAAUGCCUAGAAAACUUAAUUAAUAUAUACAAUGGCCAAAUGAACCCUGAACAUUUUCAAAUUUCAGCAUGACACUCCUGCUAUUCUAUGUUGCCUGUAGAAAACAAAGUUCAAGGCGAGAAGAGGCGGCGAUUAUCGUUUCACCCACAAGAGGGGCAUGUUUCCCUACCGGAACCACGAGGGUUGUGAUAGGCUCCGGUUUGUAAGAGGCUUGUAAUAUAGCUUCGCCCAAAUUGGACAAUUAUAUGUACCAUGUAGUGACACCAUGCCAAGUUUCAUGAUUUCCUGGUGAGUUUUAGAUUCACAGAGAUUUAAAAACCGAGAUUCGCAAUGUUUGUGGCCAAGCCAGGACGGCGAGAUGGUUGAAUUCGUUCCCAUUCGUUCCAUGGGAACUAAACAUGCAUCCCAAGGAAACAUGUAUGUUUUUUCUAGCCAUUUUGGUGCACUUGAGCAUGUAUUUGUAGUUCGGAUCUGAAUUAUGGACAUUAAAUGCCUAGAAAACUUAAUUAAUGAAUAAAAAAGGUCAAACAAACCCUGAAUAAUUUCAAAGUUCAUCGCGAAUCUCCCGUUGUUCCAUGUCGCGUGUAGAAGAAAAUACGAGGCUAAAAGAGGGAGCGAUUAUCGUUUGGCCCACAAGGGGAUAUGUUUCCCUAUCGAAACCACGAGGGUUCUUGCGACAAGCUCCGGUUUGUAAGAGGUUUGUAAUAAAGCUUGUUCCAAAUUGGCAAUGUUUUUACCAUGACGUAUAUGUGUCAUGACGUGACACCAUGCCACCUUUGAUGACUCUCUGGUGAGUUUUGGAUUUAUGGGGAUUUAAAAACCGAGAUUCAAAAUGUUUGAGGACGAGCCACGACACUGGUACGGUUGUAAUUCAUUCCCAUUCUUGGCAUGGGACCUAAACAUGCACCCAAGGAUACAUGUAUAAAUUUUCUAGCCAUUUUGGUGAACUGGAGCAUGUAUUUGUAGUUUGGAUUUCAAUUAUGGACAUUAAAUGCCUAGGAAACUCAAUUAGUGUAUAAAAAGGCCAAACGAACCCUGAAUAAGUUUAAAUUUUAGAACGGAUAUCAUGUCGUUCCAUGUUGCCCAUAGAAGAAAAUACAAGGCGAAAAGAGGCAGUGAUUACGUUUCGCCCACAAGGGGAACACGUUUCCCUAUAGGAACCACGAGGCUUCUUUGAGAGAAGCUCUGGUAUGUAAGAGGUUUGUAAUAAAGCUUGGCCCAAAUUGGAUAAUAUUUUUACCACAACAUAUAUGUGCCAUGACGUGACACCAUGCCACCUUUGAUGACUUUCUGGUGAGUUUAGGAUUUACAAGGAUUUAAAAACCGAGAUUCCAAAUGUUUGACGACGAGCUAGGACGCGGGUACGGUUGUAAUUCAUUCCCAUUCCUGGCAUGGGACCUAAACAUGCACCCAAGGACACAUGUAUAAAUUUUCUAGCCAUUUUGGUGAACUGGAGCAUGUAUUUGAAGUUUAGAUUUGAAUUAUGGACAUUAAAUGCCUAGGAAACUCAAUUAGUGUAUAAAAAGGCCAAACAAACCCUGAAUAAGUUUAAAUUCCAGCACGGAUAUCCUGUCGUUCCAUGUUGCCUGUAGAAAAAAAUACAAGACGAAAAGAGGCAGUGAUUACGUUUCACCCACAAGGGGGACACGCUUCCCUCUCAGAACCAUGAGGCUUCUUUGAGAGAAGCUCCGGUUUGUAAGAGGCUUUUAAUAAAACUUGCGCCAAAAUGGACGAAAAAAAUUCCUAGACAUAUAUGUGCCAUGUCGUGACACCAUGCCAGGUUUCAUGAUUUUUGGGUGAGUUUUGGAUUUACGGGGAUUUAAAAACCGAGAUUCUCCUCAUGAAUUGUUUUCAAAUAGCACACGGUUCACUCACGAAAGCCGUGUGCCUACCAAACCAUGGCCGAUGCCCCCUCUCCCUCCCUUGCUGCGCACGCAAUCUGAGUUGUGCGUUCUGAUUGGCCAGAACCAAAACCCCACGGAUCGUACGUGUGCACCGUUGGAUGCUCCCAGAUCGAACGGUAACCCUGAGCCCUUUCGACAUCACAUGUAGUACAUGCGUAAGCACUGUGCGCAUACGUCAUGCUAGCUCACGCUUCCUUCUCUACUAGGUUUUCUAAACAGGCUACCAUUUCUCGCCACUCCUCUCAUCGGUUUCCCGCCUCUUCUCCCAUCGUUUUCCCGCUACCAGUGUCAGUGCUCAUUGAAGGCUAGCGGUGACACACCGGCCAUGUAAAUAUCCCACACAGUUUCUAAAAGCACAAAUGUGUGUGAUAGGAGGGAGUAGGUCCCAUAGGGUGACCAGCGUGAAAUGCCUUAAUGGCGAGGAGGCAAUUCCUAUCAGCAAGGGGAGGCUUCCCAUCCGCUAGCCUAGUCGAAUAGAACACAGAAGUUAAGCGUGCUCGGGCUGGAGUAGUCCAAGGAUGGGUGACCCGGUGGGAAGUUGCAUAUCUCAAGCUUCAUUUAAAUUCCAUGACACGGUCAUUAUAAAGAUAUAAUAUAUCUCUAUAGUAACCUAUGGGUUAUUUUUUGCUCUAAAAAUUAAAGAAUGAUUGACUUAACCUAUCAUGGCGAUUAUAUAAACCUACUAUAUUUUUAUGGGUUAUUUUUUUCUCUAAAAAAUUAAAGAAUGAUUGACUUGACCUGUCAUGGCGAUUAUAUAAACCUUUUUCAGGUUGCAUGCAGGGUAUAGGGGGCAGGGUGUUCUUCUCAAGCAUGUCUCCCUUGUGCAGCUUAUAGACGCAGCACAUAUCUGUGGGCUUCCCGAGGUAUAUAUACUAUCCUUUACAGACAAUUAGGGGGGCACACAGUCUAUCCCUUUGACCCAACAACGAAAAGGGUUUGACCAUGAUGGUUUCCUAUUGAUACUAGUAAGGUACACGUGCAUUGCACGCAUGAGAAUUGGUAACCAAAUUAUGAAUAAAUACCACACUAUAGCAUGUAAGAUUUGAGUCAUAUAUGCAUGAUGUAGAUGUUCGUUUAAUUCUUAUAGUUGAUCUCAUCCAAAAUCAAUUAGUUUUAUAAAAAAUCUAUUUUAAGAUUCAUGUAAUUGUGCAUUGUAAAGCAUAAAGUAAAAACAAAAGGUGACAAUUCAUUUAGAAAAAUAGUUUGGGAAAUUAAGAUAUGGAAGAUUCUAGAACAAAGGAGAAGUGCUUGUGUUUUGAGGUUUGUGCAUUAUGCUUAAGUUCAACCAUGGAGUCUUCUAGAUUGUACAUGUGGCAGAAUUUGGUGGAAUGUAGAUGAUAUCCAUCGGGUAAUAGUGCGGAUUUGCCAUCUCUGUACCGUCGGAUUGGCUUCAUACAACGACCAACUUUCAAAGUUAUUCACACACUAUAUAGGGGUAUAGAUAUAGAUGUGUCCCAUGCUAGACCAAAUAAAGUUUGAGCGCAUGUGUGGGACGACCCCCCAGCCGCCGCCUCAAAGUUGGGAAACCAACAUCGUAUGUAUUGGGCCAGGCUUGGAGUCGGGUACGGUGUUCGGUUUGUAAUGUAGUUGGUGGCCCAUCGAAGUUGUGCAUUCGGGAUUUAAACACAUCACACACCAUCGUACCCAUACAUAUUUUCGGGCUGCAUGCAGUGUAUACAGGGUCUUCUGAUCGACCACGUCUCCCUUGUGCGGUUUUUUGUGAUGACACGCAUAUCUGUGGGCUCCCCGAGUGUAUAUAUAUCAUCCCUUUGACCGAUAAUGAGGGGUAUGUGUUUGCCAUCAAUGGAUUCCUCCUAGUUCUAGUUAGGGCCGAUCACCAUCACAUGUCGCUCAACCAAAGCUCGAGCUCAUGCGUUGUUAGCAUUCCCUCCCACAUGCUCGAAUUGCUGGGUUCGACCUACAUCAUACCCUGCGUAUCUCGUCCUUAACUACCUUGCCUUCAUGUUUGUUGUCUAUAUCGAGAGGUAGGCACCACAUCUAAAUUGUACAUUAUUCUAUAUUGAAAACACACAUCACCCCUUCCAAACGUACAUCAUUAUGGGCCGCAUGCAAGAUGUGCUGGUUCUGUGGUCCCUCCCAUGCGAUUUUUAUAAUGGUUCAAUCUAUUGGCCCAGGUGGUUUAUCGAUAACAACAACUGUCGUUUGACAAAAUGAUAGAUUAUGUUUGGUCAAAUGACAGUUGUUGUUAUACAUGCCAUUAUACAUGCCUCGUGUCAGCUAGAAAUAUAAAGACAAACUACCCGCCUUGAGCGUUGCAAAAAUCGGCGGUUCCACCACUUUUCCUUAUUAUCAUACACGCAUAUUGUUAUUGGAAAGUGCGUCAUCUUGGGCACUCCCGACCCGCAUCAAUUCCUUUACCCAAAUUUUAGUAGCCGCUGUACUUCAACUGUCGCCCACACUCCUCCAGCACCGACCUUAUAGUAAAAUUGCAGUAGCCGAGGCAUUUGAACCGUCGCCCUCCCUCGUCCACCACCAUCUCCACCCACCAUUACUAAAGUUUUCAGUAGUCGUGGCGUAUCCUCAAACACCCCCCCUCCACAGUCCCCCACUCCCCUCCCCCUCGAACCCUAGCUCACAGCCGCCGCCAACCCCUCCCGGUCUGCCCGUUCCUCCUAGCUUAGAUAAUAAAGUUUAGGUUACCCAGCAAUUCACAUACCGUUGCCCCACUCCCCUGAGUUUUCAAAUGAGGCCUGCGGUGUCCCUCCCCACCAGAUCCACACCCCUGCUCCAGAAUAUCGUAGCCUAAGCUCGACCACGUAUCCCGGGGAGCCCGACGAGCGUUCGACCAAGAAGAGGUUUAUCAUGGCCUCUUCGACGGACGUUGGGAAGGUGGCCGCCGUACGCCCUGACCUGUCGAUCCCGGAGCAACACGUCAUCACGGAGCCGAUGAAGACGUUGACUACGUUGCCAUGCCGAAGGCUUCAUGUCAGCGGGCUAGCGUAUUACUGUAUCUCGGGAAAGCUGGCUACGACAUCAAGCUCGUCCACAGCGACGGCUUCAUGCGGGCCAUGCCACAGGUUAAGUGGUCCAUCCCCAACCCCUCUGGUUCAACCGCCAUCGAUCUCUUCGACGGCCCUGCCGCUGAUCUCCUCCGCCAAGUGGUUAAGGAUUUGCGAUCUUUAUACACCAUCGAGCCCAUUUUGUCAUUUCUGAAGGACACGUUCUAUGGCGGUGGCUUGGAAUCCUCAAUUGCCAAGUCAGAUCUCAUCGACCACUACCACGAGGAGGGCACCCACGAAGGUUCUUCCAAGGUGAAACAACCCAUCUGUGACAUUAGAGAGCGCACCAUGGGUAUGUGCUCUUCCAACUGGAAGGAUCCCGUCCAUGAAAUCUGAGGCAACAUCCUAUCAGCAAAUCUUACCUUUUCUAGCUUGCCAACCCGUACCCUUUGUUGUAGUAGAAUUUGACAUGCGGUGCUUUAACUGUGCCGUGCUUAAUUAUUUCAGUUAUGCAAAAAUGUAUUGUUCAAUAGGGCUAUGUGAUUUUUAAGUAUGAAUUGCCCACUUCAGUUUCACGAAUGGCUAUAUUUGGUUGUUUAUAGUGAGUAUAUGCCUUGUUUAUCUGUAUUUGGUUGUUAGGUUGGUUGGAGUGAGCAUUUUUUUAGUUAUCGAGCAGAUGCCUUGUUUAUAUGUAUUUGGUUCUUAGUUUGGUUGCAGUGAGCAUUUGUCCAGUUAUCAAGCUGAUGCCUUGUUUAUCUGUAUUUGGUUGUUAGGUUGCUAUUUUUAGCAUUUGUCCAGUUUGUCGGAUGUGGGGUUUCGGCAAACCCUUGAGGUUCGAACACUCGGUUGCGCGCGAAGUUUUUCCCUCCUACCGAUCUACGCCCUAGCUCGCUAAGAUCUCGCGGACGAACUCGACGAACUUGCAACACAGAAAGACACGAGGUUUAUACUGGUUUGAGCCACCGUUGCGGUGUAAUACCCUACUCCAGUGUGGUGGUGGCGGAUUGCCUCUGGUGCUGAUGAUGAACAGUACAAGGGAAGAACAGCCUCCUGAGGUUGAGGUGUUCUUGUGAGUAGGCUCUCGAUUGGGUUGGAUCAAGCUAAGAUGAGAUGCCUCUACUAUGGUGGCUAGCUCUACUUAUAUAGGCCCUGCCGACCUAUAUAAGAUGAGAUAGGCAGGCUUCCGGGCUCAACCCGCUCCCCUCACCACGGCGACCUCACGCCCCGUGCCCGCCAUUGCCUCCACCGUAGAUCUCGCCGCGCGUGCUCCCCGCCAUGCCUCCGCGGCGUCGACAUACGGCGCCAGACUCCGGGGGCGCCCCUCCUCCCCGCUCCCCCACCCGUCUCCCCGCCCAAUGUCAGGAAGACCUUGCGGAGAUGGUGAGAUUGAUCUCCCCGAUCCCGCAGGAUAUUUCCAUGGCGCUGGGGAGUCGAAGCUGGAUUGAGCGAGCGACAAGGAUCCGCGAAGCUACGGCCGCGUGGACCGGGCGAGUUCAGGAGUGGAGGGCGGCAGAUCAGGCGGUGAGAGCGGCGAGAGACCCAGUCACGCGAGCCGCGGCGAGCAGUUACGCUGAUUCCUGCAGACGGCGUGCAGAGGAACAGCAGAGGUUGCUGGCAAAGCGGAUCUACGACGAGGCCACGGUGGCAGAGAGACAGUGGAUGCCUCCAUACCCACAUUCCAUGGCGAAGGAGUUUGUGAUUUGGGCAAGGUCAGAGGCGAAGUCCGACGAUCCUCGCAGAGCCCUGAGAUGGGAGUGCAUGCUCGGUGUGAUUCCUUCAGGUGCGCCACUGCGGGGGAUCGCGGCUUGGCCUCCGGCUUCCCUGGAUUGAGCAAUGGAGAUGUUGCCACGCCCCCCGGCUCGCCCACGAGCUUCAGGAGAGAUAAUUCCCCGCCGCUGAUGUUCAAAUCGCCAAGGAGGCGCGGUGAAGGCAGAAGUGCCAAUGCCAGGAGGGCCCUGCGGGUCUGUGAGAGGAUGGCGGACCCCGCUGACCUUUCCCCCAUGCUUUUGGCGAGAAUGGUGGUGGCGCCUCUUCAAAAGGCGCCUCCGCCUUUGGCUCUACAGCUGGAGCCCGAGCGUGGGCGAGCUAGGGUUCGUCUGAAUCAAGUGAAAUCCAAUUCCACCCUAUUUUGGAUUCGGAAGGACAAAUUUGCUACUGGAGGUUUUGAGGAAGCUGAUUGCCACCCAAUAGGAAGAGCAGAUCGAUUACCAACUCCGAAGCAAUUCUCAUUUUCUAGAGAUUUUUGGGCUAGAAAGUCGGGCAAGAUCCCCUUUGCUGCUGUGGUCAAGAUGGCUGGUGGAGGGAGAGAUGGCAGUAGUCGGGGUGGAAGAUACGGCUCGGGGAGAGGCCGCGCUGGUCGCCCUACUGCUCCUUCUCCGUCGGAACAGGUGGGGGCUGUGCCGCCGCCAGUUCUUCAGGCGACUCAGUCUGCUCCCCCGGUGUCGAUCUACGCCAAGCCCCCUCUGUUCCCGGUCGGAUCUGUUCAAGCCAUGAUGCAGCCUGGUGGACAAGCGUAUGGUUACCAGGGGGGUUGGAACCCGCAGAUGCAGCAGAUGCAAAUGCCUCAGUGGCCUAACCAACAACAGUUCCCAUACCAGUACAUGCCCCCCCUCCGCAGUUAUUCCCACAGGUCUUUAAUCCCCAGUUGCAGCAGAAUCAGUAUACAGGAAGUGGAUCCUCAGCUGGGGGCAGUGCACAAAGCAGUCAGUCUGAGCCUGGAAAGAACAAAAAGAAGAAAAAUCAGAAGAGCAGGACAGCUACUGUGUAGUCUAGCUCUAACAGUGAAGAGUCUACUUCUUUCAAUAUUGAUCAAAAGUACAUUGGUGUUGUCUGCUACAAUUGUGGGAUACCUGGACAUUUUGUGGGAAUGUGCCCCAUCCCCAAGAUCUGUUUCAUUUGCAAAACUCCUGGACAUCACAUGGAUACCUGCCCUACUUGGUACAAACCCUAUGCAGCAGCUAUGUACUGGGGGAGUGCUAACAAUGGGUUGGGAUUCUUCCACAUAGAGGCUAGUGACAAGGAAGACAGUGAAUGGCUGAAUAUUGGGAAUGUGGGCCUAGUUGUGGUUGAAAAAGGAGAGAUAACUGAAUCAGAGCUGGGAGGCUGUUUUUAUGAGAUGUGGAAGACCAAUUGGCCUUGGCAGAUCAGGAAGUAUGACAGCAAGAGAUACAUUGUCAGGUUCCCUCCAAACAAAAAGAUCAAGGAUUUAGUGGAAUAUCCUUCCAUUAACCUAAAAAAGGAGGAUGUAACUAUAUCCUUCAGUGAUUGGAUGGGAGAUAUGCCAGCUUAUGCCUACCUGGAAGAAAACUGGAUAGUUAUUGAAGGAAUACCACCUGAGUGGAUAUCUUGGAGCACUAUAUCUCAGGUAGCUACCAUACUUGGAGUCUUGGUGAAUAUAGACUGGCACACUAUCUUCAGGAGCUUCUAUGGGAAGGUGAGAAUCCAGGUUGCUGUGAGAGAUGCUGCUAAAAUACCUAGAGACAGAGUGGUGGAGAUAAACCAUGAACUAUAUCUACUAAAAUUCUCUGUGGAAGCUGAUCUAGGGAGUGGUCAUUCGGAUAUAUCUCCAGGACCGGAUGAUAAUCCUUCACAGAAUAAGAACACAGAAGAGGAAUUUGACUCCAGUGAAGAUGACCUACUGGGUGAAGAUAUGAACACUGGGAAUAGCAAUCAAGCUGACAAGGGCAGACCUGAUACUUCUGGACACAGUGGCACUGUUCAAAAAUGCUCCACACCUGCCCCUGUUGCUAAUGACUUUGGCAAAGUCUCCUCCAUGCUAGUGGGUGCCCCCAUGACCAAAAGUUAUUUGGAGGUAGCAAAGAAGAAGCAAGAUGUCAACAUGGGUGGUCCACUGUUGGAGAAAUUUGAGGCUGCUGCUGCUGAGACACAGAGGAAAACUGGUACUCAACUCACAUGGGGGCCUGUAGUGGCGUCCAGGGCUAGCACUAGGAUUAAAAAAGAUGACAGGCCUGCUAUGCAAAAAGCUCAAGAGCUCAAGCAAAUCAAGAACCUGGAAAAACCUGUGUUGAGGAAAGGUACUCAGAAUUCCUUUGCAUGUCUUGAUAAUGAUUUUCUGAUAAAUACUGCAGAAGUUUUAGGGAUUAGCCUGCGCAACAGUAGUAAUAAUAUUCAGGAAAACAUUUGCAUUAUUAAAAAUGUAGAAAUAGACAGAAUUACCAAGUUUAAUUCUGAUAACCCUGAUAUAUUUUUACCCCAGAGUAUAGAUAUUACUUGUGAGGAUUUUAUGGAAGAUCCUAGUCCAGGCAAUAAUAGUGAGGAAGAAGUGGGAGAUCAGAAUACUGAACUUCCUAAUUCAGACUCCUCCUGGAUAGAGGUUCAUAAAAAAUUCUCCUGUAAGGGGAGAAGGAAAAUCAUUUUUGACUGUAAAUGAUAGGUGUUUUUUGGAAUAUUAGAGGACUCAACAGUCCUACUAAGACAGACAAACUGAAAGAGCUCAUUAGAGCCAACAACCCUGAUUUUAUUUGUAUUUCUGAAACUAAGAAGGAGGAAUUUUCUAUCCUCCAAAUUGAGAAGUUUGACCCUGGGUCCAAUUUCCACUGGAAAUGGCUGCCUGCUAUAAAAACUGCAGGAGGGGUCUUACUAGGGUGCAAUAUAGAUACAUUGGACAUUAUCCAAUGUGAUCUACAUAAAUUUUGCAUCUCCUGCCUGGUUAGAAACAAACAAGAUAACUUUGUUUGGAAGCUCAUUACUGUGUAUGGCUCUGCUUAUGACCAGUUUAAGCUGGAUUUUAUUAAUGAACUCCACUACAUUCUAGCUAGUUGGGCUGGUCCCACUCUAGUUGGUGGAGACUUCAAUUUAAUUAGAGAGGCUAGUGAGAAAAGCUCUGGUGCUAUUAAUCAACACUGGGCUAACCUCUUUAAUGAUUGGAUUACGAAAUUUGGUUUGAUUGAGUUAAAAAUUAAUGGUAGGAAGUUUACUUGGGGCAACAAUCAGGACAAUCUGGUAAUGGCUACUAUUGACAGAGUUUUCAUGUCCACUGAUUGGGCCUCUGAAUUCCCUGGGGUUCAUCUCAAAGCUUUGCCUAGAUUGGGGAGUGACCACACCCCUCUGGUCCUCAAUACCUAUGCCUUCCACAUCCCCAAGAAUAAACAAUUUAGAUUUGAAAAAUGGUGUCUGGAAGUGGAAGGCUUUAGGGAGGUUGUCACUAAAGCCUGGACUGCCAAAUGCCCUUUCACUAAGACUAUAGACAUUUGGCAGUUCAAAAUUAGAAACUCUAGGAAAGCCAUUAAAGGGUGGAUGGCCAACUAUGAGGCUGACCAAAACAGGCAUAAGCAAGCUUUGGUGGCAGAGUAUAACUGCCUAGAUAUUCUUUCUGAAACUAACCCUCCUUCCCCCAACACUAAUAGCAGAAUUAAAAAAAUUGCAGGGGAUUUGGAGGAUAUCUGGAGAAAAGAAGAAAUCAAGGCCAGACAGAGAUCCAGAGAGAGAGAUAUACUUGAAGGAGACCUGAAUGCUGGAUAUUUUAAAGCCAUAGCAAAUCAGAAGAGGAGGAGGAAACAGAUCCUGGUGCUAGAAGGAGAUUCAGGUAAUGUGACUGAACACAAGGAUAUUAUGAAAAUUGCUAUGGACUAUUAUAAAAAAUUAUUUGGUUUUCAAGAGAAAAUUAACAUUAACCUAAAAGAUGACUUUUGGGUAGAUGAUGAGAAAGUGACUAACAAUCAUAAUAACAUCCUAGAUAUGCCCUUCUCGGAGAAAGAGAUUAAAGAGGCUGUCUUCGGCUCUUAUGCAGAAGGAGCCCCUGGGCCCGAUGGUUUUUCUUUUUUAUUCUAUCAGCAAUUCUGGGACCUUAUUAAAGGUGACCUUUUUGCUUUGUUUAGGGACUGGGAGAGAGAUGAGUUGGACCUAUACAGACUCAACUUCUCUUUAUUAACCCUAGUCCCUAAAGAAGCUGAUGCUAGCAAGAUAGAGAAAUUUAGACCUCUUGCCAUGAUUAAUUGCAGCUUCGAGAUCUUUGCCAAAUGUGCCACCAAUAGGUUUGGCCCUAUUUGUAGAGACCUAAUUUCUUUAAAUCAGACUGCCUUUAUUAAAGGCGGAUAUAUAGCUGAGAGUAUAAUCACAGCUCAUGAAAUUAUACACUCUGUAUAUUCCAGCGGACAAUCUGGAUUUAUUUUUAAACUAGAUUAUGAGAAAGCUUAUGACAUGAUCAACAGAGAUUUCCUGAUUGACAUGAUGACUAAAAGAGGAUUUAGCCCUAGGUGGAUGAAGAAAGUUUCUUCUCUACUUAAUAAAGGCUCUGUUGGGGUAAAUAUAAAUAAUACUAACAGUGAUUUCUUUUUAACUGGUAAAGGAGUCAGACAGGGGGAUCCUUAUUCCCCCCUAUUGUUCAAUCUGGUAGCUGACGUCUUUACCAGAAUUCUUGUUAAAGCUGCUAAUAAUAACAUUCUAGAAGGAUUGUUCCCUAGCUCCAAUCCAGCUGGUGUUAUUAGCAUACAAUAUGCGGAUGACACUUUACUUUUCCUGAGUAAUAACGCUGCCCAAGCUAAGAACCUUAAAUGGUUGUUAUCCUGCUUCGAGCAAAUAUCUGGGAUGCACAUUAACUUUCAUAAAUGUGAACUAGUUCCCAUCAAUGUUGAAAUGGAGGAGGCAAACAUAUUUGCUCAAAUCCUGGGCUAUAGAAUUAGUGAUUUUCCCAUUAAAUAUUUAGGAGCACCUCUCCACCACAGAAAGUUGAAGAAAUGUGAACUUCAGCCUACUGUGGAUAAGAUCAUUAAGAAAGGUGUUGGGUGGAGGGGCAGACUCCUGUCAUCUGGCAAGAGACUCACAUUAGUGAAAACUUGCUUGGCCACUAUACCUAGCUACCUGAUGGGUAUCUUCAAAUUUCCUAAGUGGGCCAUUAAGUUGAUUAAUUCCCAACUGGCACAUUGCUUUUGGGAUAACUAUGAGGGCCACCACAAAUAUCACCUAGCUUCCUGGGGUUGUGUGGCCCAAAAACAACAACAUGGGGGCCUUGGUGUCCCUAAUAUUGCAGAUAUGAACUUAUGCUUAUUAGCCUCCUGGGUAAAGAGAUAUUUUGUAGAUCAGGGCAAGAUUUGGAAACAAAUCAUUGAUGCCAAGUACAACACUCUUAACCCUAAUAUCUUUGCUUGUUCUAGCCUUGGUGCUUCCCCUUUUUGGAAAGGUAUUCUAUGGGCGGCCAAAGCUGCAAACAUAGGAUAUACCUGGAUAAUAGGGGAUGGUAAAAACACCAGGUUUUGGAGAGAUCGUUGGAUAGGGCAUACCACCCUAGCCACAAAGUAUUGGGAUCUAUAUAAGAUUGCCAAUGAUCAGAACAUCACUGUUUGUGAUGCCUGGGAUGGUACUAAUCUGAAAAUCACUUUCAGAAGAUGUUUUUCUCGUGAUAUGGUAGAUGGGUGGAAUGCCCUAUUUAAUGAUGUCAAAAAUACUGUCCUGAUGGACAAGAGAGACACUGUUCGCUGGGACUUUGACACUAAAGGUGUUUACACUGUCAAGUCCUUCUAUGACAUUAUAAACUUUAGAGGAGUCUCCCCCGGGAACAGUAUAUCUAUCUGGAAUAUCAAAGUCCCGCUUCGCAUUCAUAUUUUCCUUUGGCUUAUGACUAAUAACAAGCUGUUGACUAGAGAUAAUCUGCAGAAAAGACAAACAGUAGAUAAUGCGUCCUGUCUUUUCUGCAAUGAUCCUGAAUCUAUAGAUCAUUUAUUUUUCAACUGUGUGGUCUCGAUGGAGCUCUGGAGAGUGAUUGGGGACUUCUACAAUAAUCAUGCCAGGAUGUCUAUGAAUGACAUGCUUGAAUGGUGGUCCCAUAAUAAAAAUCACCCGGCUGAAUGUUUAUUGCACUUCGCUGUCUUGUGGGCUCUAUGGAAACAAUGUAAUGAUAUGUGCUUCAAUUAUACUCCCUGGUCUGGGAUGCAGGUGUUGUGGAGGAAGAUAGCUGCUACGUUAGAUAGUAGGGCGGUACGUUGCUCAGAUCCUGUCAAAACCAAAGUGCUGAGUAUGGUGCGGAAGCUGGAACAGAUGGCAAGGUCCCCACCCCUCCUACUAUGGCCGGACCCUGGCUAGGGCUGAGGAAGUGUUCAAGUGGGUCUGCGUGGUAUUGAGCUUUCUUCUGUUUUAGCUUGUUGCCCCUUGAUAGACUGUACUACUUUAAAUCUUUCAUUUCAUCAGUGUUUUGUGCACUAUGGGCGCAAGCUGGUGUUUUGUUGGGGCAGCGCGUGUGCUGUUUUUCCCCCGCAUUCUUGUAACCGUACGUGAACUUGGUCUGGUUUCUCUUGGUAAUCCAAUUGGGACCGGGGCUUUGAGCCCUUUUCCUCUAAAAUAUAGGCCCUGGUCCUCUUCCCAAAUGUUGAGCGGGAAGGGAGCCAAUAACGGCGGGCAAAUUUGAAGGGGGCCCGCUAGUACAAGCUAUCAUGAUAAAAAUGUUCUUCGCCUGCGAAAAGCUCUCAUGGUGACACCGUCUUGGGCUCCAUGAUGACCUCCGUCUUGCUGUCCUCCUGGUCUUGGUCUCGUUGCACCAAUAUAGCAAACUUUGCUUGAUGCCUCGGUACUCUUCGCCUGCGCUGGCCUCCUUAGCACCAAAGAGGAAAUAAGGACGCUGCGCGCGCUGGCGCUUGCCUGGUGUCGUUCGUCAUGGCUCACGUCAUGAGGGCCUCGUGUGGUUUUGCCCCGCCUUGAUAUCUCCGCUCCUCGUGAGCCUGCCUGGCUAGGACACUCCAGAGGAGGUCUUGCGUCGUCCGCCUCGUGAGGCUUGGACCCUCGUGAGGGUCUUGGAUGCCUUGUUGACGAAGAUGGGCCGUACGGCCUGCUGGCUUAGCCAUGCUGUGGGCCGCAGGCAGGCAAGUCUGGGGACCCCCAUUCCCAGAACGCCGACAGUAGCCCCCGGGCCCAAGGUGCGCUCGGGCUUGGCUUCACGGUGAAGCCAAGGUUCAAGUUUGGAGCAGCACGGGCCCCAAAAGCCUGCGGCCUCGGUUGAUGUGUGGCGGUUGAUUGGACGUGGGCGUCUCGCUUCCCCAUGCUGCCUCGUCAACUGCACGACUUGACAAAUCCCUUCGACAUGCAAGGAAAACCAUCAUUACCUGUGAUUGUGGGAGACGCCGGUUGGCCUUCUCUUGCUAUAAAUGGGGAGGGGGCAGAGCCCCCGUCGCCCAUCUCUUCCUCGCUUGCUUGCUUCUUCCUCCUUGCUCCACUACUGACAACAAUGGCGCCUAUCAGAAGGUUUUCUACCGAAGAGAAAGGAAAGGCUCCCCGUGAUGAUCCAGGGCCACUUCUGCCGAAGAAGAGGUCGAUCCAUCGCCGUGAUGAAGCGGCGAUGCAGGUGGUGUCGAGGCCUUGGUGCGAGCGGCCUCCUCCGGGGUACCCGCUACCCUUGUACGCCCGAGCCGAGGGCUCGGGAGGUCGGAGCGACGAGCAGUGCCGCCCACGCCGUGUCCGGGGUCACCGCGCCAUGGCGACGCGUGCCGUCGCCCUUUGGAUCCACACCGCGGACUCCUCGCGUGAGUUGGUGCUGUGGGCGCCGAUGCCUCCAAGCUCCUGGAUCCGCUUCCCGCGGUUCUUCUCCGACAUGAUGCCGCCGAGGGGGCCUCUCGAGCUCUGGUUGCAGCACGCCGACUGCAGCGCUCCGGUGACCGGAGCGGAGAUCGAAGUAGUUCCCACCGGCAAGAUCUUCAUGACCCGUGGCUGGGGGAGAUCGCACGGGUCUGCCGUGUGAGGGGCGCCCUCGUGAUCCACUACGCAUACGACGGCGCUUCCAUGCUCUUCUUCAAGGUCUUCGACGCCGAGGGUCGCCGCCUGGAGUGCUACUCCGGAGAGGAGCGCCAAACCGACAUGCGCUCCGCUCGCGGCUACUCCAGCAGCAGCAGCCCUUGGGAGUCCAGCAGCUCUCCUGAGCCUUACGAGACUCCGGAGAUGAGCGAUGACAGCUACGUGCCCCCGAGCUCUCGCCGCGCUCGGAGCAGAGCUGCGGCGCUCGGCCGUCGUCGCCGCUUAUCUGGAUGGGGUUGGUGCCGGCCCCCCGUGGCCCACUGUUGAUGAUGGUGUCCUCCACAGAAGGAUGUAGAUAGGAUUCCCCUUAGUAUCAGCUUUUGUUUCCUGCGAAGAAUCGUGAAUCACUAGGUGGGGGCAUGUAAGGAUCUGCAAUGUCUUUUGUACUUAUCUUCCUUGUUAUGAAAACCUAGCGAAUGCGUGUCCCGUUAAGGCUCGGUCCCCCCUUUCUUUCCUCGCGAUGGCUUGUUGCUCUACGCUGACAGGUCCCGGUCCCCAGGCGGCCAAAACCGUCGCUGGUAUGCCAGGUCGCGUGCCGUGGUCAAGGCCAGGAGGUGUGCGGCCCAAGGUCCAGUAAGAUCCCCUGAGACGCGAUGCUCAGGAGGUCCCCUUUAGCGCUCAAGCAGCCAUGGUAAGGCAAGAGAGGGAGUUGACGUGGCCGCAACGGUGUCGCGGGAAUGCGAGGGUGACCAUCAUGCCCCAACAUUUGGGCGAUCCAAGAGCGGGACUUAUCUUGUCGACUUUGUGGCGACUCCUGACGUUGCGCUAGGGCUGCGCGCCUACUCGUGCGGCAUAGCUAGGCCGGCCAAUACAAGUUUCCCUCCCCUCAUGCUCUCCUUAGUUCUCUACGUCCUCAGGUCCCGGCCCUCGAGCGAGUUCAGCCGCCGCUGGUAUGCCAGGUCGCGAUGCCGUGGUCAAGGCUAGGGGAUGAGGGCUGGAGAGCCAGUAAGAGCUCCUAAGUCACGAUGCUCAGGUGCCCCCUUUUAACGUGAAAGCGAAUUGCACGAGAGAAAGGGAGACUCACGGUGCUGCCUGCUAUCCUUCCCACGGGAUCCCUGUGAACCGGCAUAAGAAGAAACACGGUUUGCCGUUACAGCUGUCAGCCUGCCGCUGGUUGCUUCGGAUGAGAUGAAGGCACUGAGGGCCUGGUGAGGUGACGUGCGCGGGGCGUGCCGCAAGCCAGAGCUCGACCGCUCAGCACCCAUGCACCAGCGCCGUGCCUGUGUGGAGGCCCCGGGGGAGGCGAUGAUCGGGCAUGUGGUAGCAGUUGGCAGGUUAAGCAUGGAGAGAAGAUCAGCUUAGGUAAAUGCAGGAAGAUACAUGCCACUGGGUCCGGCCCGAGCGGCUUGGGGAUGAUGCAUCCCGAGGGGCGCCCCCAGCAAGGUAAGCUAAAGAAAUAAGCAAAAGGGAUACAUGCCACAGGGACGGAUCCAUGUGGCCUGGGAAUAAUGCAUCCCGAGGGGCGCUCCCAGCUAAACGAGCUUGGAAGAUGUCACCUGGUUCUGUAGACAAAGUAGAGUUGGUGCAGCUGAAGGCCUGCGUUGAAGAAAUGACUCCUCAUGAGCCGAUAGAGCCCUGAGCCUCGAGAGGCUCUAGGGGCUCGGGAGGUUCCCUGAAGACCAUCUCCAUCUCCUCCAGGACGGCGUGGUACCUGGCCUCCUGAGCCGCCAGGAUUCGCCGCAGGUCGCAUUGAUAGGCUGAUGCCACGCUCGGCAAGCCGAAGGGCAUGCGAACGUAGCUGUGUGGUGGGCCCUCGCAGCGGCCCACACGCGAAGGCCAGAAGCGCUCCUGAGAUGCGUCCCUGUUGAGCCCUGGGACGUCGAUGCAGACACGCAUCCCGGCAUCCUCGCUGGAUGGGGAGCUGCGCCUUGUGAGCGACUGUCGCCGCGCAUGGCUCUUGUGUCUUGCAGUUCCUGUGUGGUCUUUGUGAUGAAUUCCUGGGUGGUGGGCACUCCUUGCCAUGUGCUCUCCUGAGGGACAUGUGCCGCGAAGCAUGCCUCCAAGUGGUGCCCAAGCGCCUCCCUCGUGAGGUUGGCAAGGUCUGAGGCCCUCCAAAAGAGAGCUCCCGAGCCCUGCCCAAGGAGGGCGCCGGGCGCACUUUCCUAUGCAACGGAGGGAGGCGCCCCUGGGACGGGCGCUGAUCCCGAUGAGACUCCUGCCAUGAUGCCAUCCUCCUGAGGUCCUGCCCGGCGCAUCUGCUUCUUCCUGGGAAUGGUCUCCGGAGGGCCUUCACUUCUGAUGUCGGGGUUGUCGAUUGCUGCGGCUUGAAAGGCGUGCUCGAGGGAGCACACCGCAUCCCUCUCUUCACACAGGACCAUGAUGAUUCCUCCGCUUCCUGGCAUCUUGAGAACGUUGUAGCCGUGAUGGGUGACUGCCAUGAACUUGGCCAGGGCUGGAUACCCGAGGAUGGCAUUGUACGGCAGGCGGAUGUGUGCGACGUCGAAGUCGAUGAGCUCGGUGUGGUAGUUCUUGCGCUCCCCGAAGGUGACAGGCAAGCGGACCUGCCCUAUCGGUGUGGUGGAACCGUCGGUCACUCCGAAGAAAGGCUUGGUGGGCUCGAGCUGUUCAUAUGGCACUUGGAGGUUAUCGAACGUGUCCACAGACAGGUCGUUGAGCCCUGCGCCGCCGUCGAUGAGGGUCUUGGUGACCUGCACAUUGCUGAUGAUUGGGGAACACAAGAUAGGGAGGGCGCGAGCGAUGGCUGCGCACUUGAGCUGAUCCGCCGAAUUGAAAGUGAUGGCACAUUGGGACCACUUGAGCUGGCACGUGGCCUCGAGCUUGGGGAGCACCGCGUUAUCCUCGCGAGCGAACUGUUUGAAGAUGCGCUGAGAGGCUGGGGCCUGGGCGCCGCCCAAGAUGCAGGCGAUUGCACGCGGCUCCUGGAAGCCCCCAGCCCCCUCGUCCUGGUGGUGGUCAUCGUUCCUUCUUGGUGGCGGCAGUGGGGGAAGACCGGUGUUGCCCUGGGGGCGAUCCUCACGAGGCGGGUCCCUCCAGGCGCCCUCGCGAGGUUGGUCCUGCCAGCGGUCCUCACGAGGCCGGUCAUGCCACUCCUGGCGUGGGCCACGGUCGUCCCAGCGUCCGCCUCCGCGUCCUCCUCCACGGCCGUAGCCCCGGUCGUUGCGCUCGGGGCGUCGACCGAAGUGUCCUUCCCAUAUGGCUCUGAGCUCUCGACAGUCGCUGGUCUUGUGGGUGUUCAGGUUGUGGAAGGCACAGAACGGCCGGUCGUUCUUGGAUGACUCAGGUUGAUCUCUGCCCUGCUUGGUGUUGGGCUCCGCUGCGAGCACCACCGCCUCCUUGCGCUUCACGUCCUUGGCCUUGGCCUUCUUCUCCUCCGCUCCUGCAGCUGGCAGCUCGAGGAGAGAAAGGCGCCCCUCCUCAACUCUUGCGCACUUGGUCGCCAGGUUGAACAGCUCCUGAGAUGUGCAGAGCUCCUCGUGGAUAGCGAGCUCUUCCUUCAUCUUGACGUCGCGGACGCCGUCGAAGAACACGGAGAUGAUGGCCUCGUCCGUGACCUUGGGGAUCUUGAGGAGGGUGUUGUUGAAGCGCUGGAUGAACUUCUGGAGGGUCUCUCCUGGUUGCUGCUUGAUGCAGCGUAGAUCACCUGCGCCUGGCGGGCGGUCACGAGUGCCCUGGAAGUAGGCAACGAAGCGGUCGCGCAUUUCGUCCCAAGAGGAGAUCAAGCCGUGCUGCAGGUUCAGGAGCCAGGAGCGAGCCCCAUCCUUGAGAGCCAUGGGAAACCAGUUCGCCAUGACCUUUUCAUCGCCGUUAGCCGCUUCGAUGCUCAGCUCAUAGAGCUGCAGGAACUCUGCAGGGUCGGCGGUGCCGUCAUAGUGAGGAGGCAGAUCCGGCUUGAACUUGCCUGGCCAGGCGACGCUACGCAGCUCGGGGGUGAAGGCGUGGCAGCCGGCCAUGGUUGCCGGGGCCCGCUUCGGUGGUGGAGCUUGGUCUUGACGAGGUCCGCGCUGCGCCGCUGCGGGCGGUGCGCGGUCUUGACGAGGUGGCGCGGGGAGCGCAGGUGCAGCUUCUCGCGGCCACGGAAUUUCUUGGCAACUUCUCUCUUCGCGCACAGGCACCGGGCAUGGUGGAUCACGCCGCGGUGCCAUGCGCCUUGGUGCCAAGGCACCAUCUUGGGGCAGAGGUGGUGGAGGCACGCCAUGAGCCUCGUCGCCCGUGGCUGGUUGAGGAGGAGGUAGAGAGAGGGACGGCACCGGGGAGCCCCCUGCGGCGCGGAAGAGCUCGGCGACGCGGUCGAGCCACUCCUCAUAGAGGUCGUCGACGGGGCGGUAGCACAGGAGUUCGUUUGCCACGAGGAGAGCGGCCCGCGCCUCCAUGGGAGCACGGCGUGCGUGGGACGAAGAACCGGCAGGGGUAAGCGAUGGAGUAGCGGUGCGGCCGUCCUGCCGCACCGAAGGAUGCAGCGAGGACGCCUGCUGCUCGUUCCCCGCCGGGUCGAUGGCGGCGUUGGCGGCGGGAGACGGAGAACGACGGGGUGGCCCUACCGACGGGAGCCGUCUAAGCGACGCGGGCCAUGAGGGCAGCCCGACGCUCAGCCCGAGCACAGCGAGUGUCCGCCAUGGAGAUGACGGAGCGACGGAGCGACGAACUGAUGGAAGGGAAGCUACGGCGCACCCCUACCUGGCGCGCCAAAUGUCGGAUGUGGGGUUCCGGCAAACCCUUGAGGUUCGAACACUGGGGUGUGCGCGAAGUCUUUCCCUCCUAUCGAUCUACGCCCUAGCUCGCUAAGAUCUCGCGGACGAACUCGACGAACUCGCAACACAGAAAGACACGAGGUUUAUACUGGUUCGGGGCACCAUUGUGGUGUAAUACCCUACUCCAGUGUGGUGGUGGUGGAUUGCCUCUGGGGCUGACGAUGAACAGUACAAGGGAAGAACAGCCUCCUGAGGUUGAGGUGUUCUUGUGAGUAGGCUCUCGAUCGGGUUGGAUCAAGCUAAGAUGAGAUGCCUCUACUAUGGUGGCUAGCUCUACUUAUAUAGGCCCUGAUCCUCUUCCCAAAUGUUGAGAGGGAAGGGAGCCAAUAACGGCGGGCAAAUUUGAAGGGGGCCCGCUAGUACAAGCUAUCCUGAUAAAAAUGGUCUUCGCCUGCGAAAAGCUCUCGUGGUGACACCGUCUUGGGCUCCAUGAUGACCUCCGUCUUGCUGUCCUCCUGGUCUUGGUCUCGUUGCACCAAUAUAGCAACCUUUGCCAGAUGCCUCGGUACUCUUCCCCUGCGCUGGCCUCCUUAGCACCAAAGAGGAAAUAAGGACGCUGCGCACGCUGGCGCCCGCCUGGCGCCCGCCAGGUGUCGUUCGUCAUGGCUCACGUCACGAGGGCCUUGUGAGGUUUUGCCCCGCCUUGAUAUCUCCGCUCCUCAUGAGCCUGCCUGGCUAGGCCACUCUAGAGGAGGUAUUGCGCCGUCCGCCUCGCGAGGCUUGGACCCUCGCGAGGGUCUUGGAUGCCUUGUUGAUGUAGAUGGGUCGUACGGCCUGCUGGCUUAGCCACGCUGUGGGCCACAGGCAGGCAAGUCUAGGGACCCCCGUUCCCAGAACGCCGACACAGUUAUCAAGCAGAUGCCUUGUUUAUCUGUAUCUACUUAUUAGGUUGGUUGAAGUGAGUAUUUGUCCAGUUUUCAAGCAUAUGCCCUAUUUAUCUGUAUUUGCUUGUUAGGUUGGUUGCAGUGAGACUCUGUCUAGUUUUCAAUGGCUAUAUUUGGUUGUUAUACUGGUCAUUUAUGCCUUGUUUAUUUCAGUCAUUCACAAUGUGUUGUUCAUUAUGUGCAAGUCGGAACUGUGCCGCUCGACUACAUCAAUACCAGUUUGAACGGCUAUAUUUGGUUCCAGUUAUGCCUGGUGUAGUUAACACAUGCCCUUUAUUUCGGUUUUACACAUUUGUCUAGUGUGAUGUUUAAGCAUUACCUACGUUCUAUUGAUUUUCAACAAUACCAGUUUGAAUUUCAAUAUUUGAUGGAUGUUAAGCCUGCUGUCGGUAACAUUGCCUUCCAUUUUAUAUCUGCUUUAACAACAUGCUGAAACCAACACAUUCAAGCUAUCAUUUGGAGAUGAUGUUGUUUACCUUUGCUAUAUCUUUUUGAUGUUAAGGUUGCUGUACUUAUCAUGCCUUUCCACUACUUAUGCAGGACAACAACGGGAGUGGCCACCAUUUUCCACCAAGGUUAGCUUCAUCCCUCGGCUUGUACUCCCCCCGUUGUUCCAUAAUGUAGUGCAUAUAGAUCCAGGCCUGGACACUUGUUAGCUUCUAAUAUUGACUUGUUGCUUGUAGGUACAUAUGCCCUUGGCAAGGAUCCACGCAUCGACCAUUUUUAUGUAUGGGGCAAUGAGAUAUUCAUGAACAAGCAUCAAGUGAGGAAACUGAUAAGGAUUAUUAGCAAAAACAUAAGAAUGGCGGAAAGCAAAUUAUUUGUUUACGCUCUAUCCAACACAAUAGUGAGCUAUAGGAUGGUAACUACAAACUCUGCAGCCUUCUCUUUUUACUGCCCAUAAUGAGUUGUUAGACAACAAUGUCUGGAUCUUUUUCAUUCGCAGUGGUUCCCGUAGCAGUUCACUCAAGAUUACCUCUCAAAGUACAUGAUUGGUGGACACGCAAUGAAGGUUAAAGUAUUUCAUCCAGACUAUAAUGAGCAUCGAGAAGUCGUAAUGAAGACAGUGAAGGAUGGACAGGCAGCCAUCACAAGGGGUUGGCCUAGAGUCAUGCGCGCAUUACGCAUGGAGGAGGGCACAAUAUGGGCAUUCCGACCUUCUCCAGGAACCAGAAUGUCUUUCACAUCUCUCUUUACAGUCUUUAGUACAGCUGUGGUUCAUCAUUCUUUACUUGGUGCUUAUGUAGUUCUUCAGUAUAUGUACCUGUGCAUCGAAUUAUGCAUUCGUGGUUGAACCUGUAUUUGUAAUAAACAUGGUUGGAUAUGAAAUAAGUGAUUGCCUACUUUCAAAUUCAAAACAUGUGAUUUUUAAAUUACGGAUUAAUUAGGGAUUACACUGCACACACGGCUUGCGAAAGCGAAACGUUUGGUGAUAGAUGUGGAGAUUAGAAACGUUUCUAGGAUCCAAUACGUGUGUGAUCAAUCUCCACUACACACAUGACAUCCUCUUGAAAACUGUUUGCGUUAGGCCACCUUGCGCAAACGUUUACCACAUAAAAACUAUAUGUGAUGGACAACCUUUGCCACACAGUUUCUGUUGGAUUCGGGUUCUGGCAGACCCUUGAGGUUCGAACCCUGGGGUGCGUGCAGAGAUUUCUCCUUCUACCUACCUGUACCCCUCCGCCUCGCUAAGAUCUAAGCUAUGAAAAGAACAACACAAGAGACACAGGGUUUAUACUGGUUCGGGCCACCGAUGUGGUGUAAUACCCUACUCCAGUUGUGGUGUGGUGGAUUGCCUCUUGGGCUGAUGAUGAUGAGUGAUACAAGGAAGAACAGCCUCGCGAGGGUCUGUUCUUGGCUGGGCGAUGAACUGCUAAGAGGAGUUCAGUCACCCUUCUCUCUCUGAUUCUUAUUCCUAUUCCUUUCUCACUCUACGUGUCUCUCUCCUUGAUCUGAUCGCCUCUACCCUGGGGGUGGCUAGUCCUAUUUAUAGGCAAAGGCCCUGGGCCUCUUGCCAAAUAUUGAGCGGGAAGGGCGCCAACAAUUGGCCAUUUUGAAGGGGAACAUAUGGUACACUUAUCCUGACUAAAGUUGGUCGUCGCCUGCCAAAGGCUCUGGUGGUGACGCUGGCUUGGGCUCCACAAUGACUUCUUCCCUGCCGUUGGGCCGGUCUUGGUCUCGUUGCACCGAAAUGGGUGCCUUUGCUUGAUACUCCCGCCUGCGCUUGCUCCCUUUGCACCAAAGAGGAAAGAAGGACACUACGCGGGCUGGCGCCCGCCUGGCGCCCUUGGUCGUCAUGGCUUGCGUCACGGGCACCUCGUGAGGUACCCCGCCUUGAUCUCUCCGCCUCCUCGCGAGCCAGCCCGAUGAGGCCGCGCCUGAGGAAGCUCCGUGUCGUCCACCCCACGAGGCUUGGUCCCUCGCGAGGGUCUUGGGUCUGUGUUGAUGAAGAUGGGCCGUGCUGGGCCCCCCCUUGAGCCACGCCGCAGGCCGUAGGCAGGCAAGUCUGGGGACCCCCGUUCCCAGAACACCGACAGUAGCCCCCGGGCCCAAGGCGCGCCCGGACUUGGCCGUGCAGGGAGGCGAAAGGGCAAGGGCGAAGCGCCGCGGGCCCUAACAGCCUGCGGCCUUGAGCGCCGCGUGGCGGUUGAUUUGGACGUGGGUGUCUCCACUUCCCCGCGACGCCUCGGCAACUGCGCGGAUUGGACAAGUCCCUACAUGCAAAGCGGGUCAUGAUUACCUGCGACCGUGGGGGUCGGCGGUUGGCCUUCGCCGGCCAUAAAUACGGAACGGCACGCGCCCUUCCAGUCCAUCUCUUCUUGCUUCUUCUUCUUCCCGGUCUUUGCUCCGUCUCGCUGCGAUGGCUCCGUCGAGGAGGUUCUCGGCCGCAGAGAAGGGGAAGGCUCACCAGGUUGAGCCCGCCUCUCCCCUGCCCAAGCGUGGACGUGGGCGCCCUCGCAAACAUCCUGUGGCAGCUCCCCGCGGCCGUGGAGAUGGUUUCCAGCAUGGUGACGGGCGGACAGCUGCGGUUGGGGGGCGCGCUUCGGUCGCGUGUCCCCCUAGGCCGCGCUUUCACGCUGCAGAGGUGCUGCUGGAGUUCGUUGUGUGGUCGGCGGAGCCGACCAACGCCCGGCUUCAACUUCCCCGUUUCCUCCUCGGCGAGCUCCCGGCCGGCGCCCCGGGCGGCCUCUGGCUUCAGGCAGACGACUGCUACAGCCGGGCUUCAUGGGCUUCACUGGAGGUCUCCACAGUCGGGAGCCUCGCCUUGACUCGCGGUUGGCAGACGUUUGCCCGCGCGCGUGGCCUGAGCCGUCGGUGCACCCUGCACUUCAAGUUCGACGGCGAUGCCACCCUCUACAUGAGGGUGUUUGGGGAAGAUGGUCGCCGUGCAGGGUGCUGCCCUGAGGACGGCGACCGCGGCCGGGGACCCAGCCCCGGCGAUGACGGAGAGGACAGCGCUCGCGUGAUCGGCGGCGCUCAGGGUUCCCCAAGCUUCUCCGACUCUUCUUCAGGCGGUGACUCUUCUAGCAGUGGCCGCGGCCAGCCCCCACGCCGCCGCACCUGCUUGGAAGGUGGCGGCGCGUCUGCCCGCCGUUGCGCCUCGGUGAAGCGCGAGAGGGGGUCUGCUUGAGCCCCGGAGGCGGCUCGAGUCUUCCCUGCAGGCUGGUGUGAGGCGAGCUGCGCCUGAUUUGCUCUUUCUUUUCCUUUUUCCUGCAUAAAAAGACAGUAGCGUGGAGCCCCGCGGGGGCGUGUUUUGGGUUAUUGCUGUUAGUCAUCGCUUUGCUUUCGUUAUCGUGUCUUCCGGCUACGUGCCCGCGCGUGGAUAGUUCCCGGCCCCAGACGUGGGGGGCGACCAACCCAGGCCCUAUGUUCGUGUCGCGGUGCCCGUGGGGCAUACACCGGAGGGGUGCUCCUGUAAUGGGCCCAGGUCACGGAGCCUUUGAACGACUAGGAUAGAAACACUCACGAGGGCGCUCGGCUGCCCCCCUCGCGAGGCCUUGCACAAGAGAAAUCGAGUCAGGAGAGUGAAAAGGCGAAGAACCACAAGUCAGGGUCGGUAACAGCUUCAAUAAAACUUCGGAAAGCAAAUGAACAAACCAACUGCGGAAAGCAAAUGAACAACCCAACCGCGGAAAGCAAAUGAAGAAGCCGCGUCCGGCACCUAAUCUAGUCUUCGACGUCUUCUCACCAGCGCGGAGCUAAGUGCUGCCACUGGGUGUGGGAGGGAGCCCCAGGGCCUGAGGCCUACGCUCCUGAGACUCCGGGGCGUGUACAGCCCCAACUCAUUAUUACGUGAGAGUGUCACGGGCGGCGAGCUUCACAGGCGUUGGCCUUCUUCACAGGCUCCGGGCCUUUCUCGGGGGAAGCGAGCUUCAUGGGCAUUUGCCCUCUUCACAGGCUCUGGGCCUUUUCCAAAACGUGACGGCUUCACAGGCGUUCGCCUUCUUCACAGGCUCUGGGCCUUUUCCAAAAAGGAUAAUCUUCAUAGGCAUUCGCCUUCUUCACGGGCUCUGGGCCUUUUCCAAAAAGGAUAAUCUUCACAGGCAUUCGCCUUCUCCACAGGCUCUAGGCCUUUUCCAAAAAGGAUAAUCUUCACAGGCAUUCGCCUUCUUCACAGGCUCUGGGCCCUUUUCCAAAAAUGAUAAUCUUCACAGGCAUUCGCCUUCUUCACAGGCUCUGGGCCUUUUCCAAAAAGGAUAAUCUUCAUAGGCAUUCUCCUUCUUCACAGGGUCUGGGACUUUUCCAAAAAGGAUAAUCUUCACAGGCAUUCGCCAUCUUCACAGACCCUGGGCCUUUUCAGGGGUAGAACCUCCAGAGGUGCUGGAUGUUCCACGCAUUUUGGAUCGGCACUCCCUCUUGAGACUCCAAGCGCGCGGAGCCAGGCCUGGAAACAUGAACAACCUUGAACGGGCCCUCCCACAUGGGAGAGAGCUUGUGCAGUCCCUCCCUGGAGAGAACCCGCCUGAGCACGAGGUCUCCUACCUCGAGAGUUCUAGGGUGGAUGUUGCGGUAGUGAUAUCGUCGCAGUGCUUGUUGGUAUCUCGCCGCUCGCAGCGCGGCUUCUCGGCGGCGUUCCUCCCCCAGCACGAGGUCCAUCCCCCGCAUGGCGUCCUGCUGCGCCUCGUCGAACGCCAGGACCCGUGCGGAGCGAUGUCUGACCUCAUGAGGGAGGACCGCUUCAGCUCCGUAGACCAGGAAGAAUGGGGUCUCUCCAGUCGGCUUGGUCGCGGUGGUGCAGAUGGACCACAACACGGACUGAAGCUCAUCGUACCAACCUCUACCGCAGGCCUCCAGCUUCUUCUUAAACAUCCUGGUCUUGAGGCCCCUUAGGACCUCUGCGUUGGCCCGCUCGGCCUGGCCGUUGCUUCGGGGGUGCGCCACCGAAGCGUAGCAUAUCUGCGUUCCAAGGUUACCACAGUAUGUUUUGAAGAGGUUACUGGUGAACUGCGAACCGUUGUCUGUGAUGAUGCGGUUCGGCACCCCGAACCGGCUCACGAUGCCCCUGAUGAACUUGACUGCGGAACCCGCGGGGAUGCUGCGGACGGCCUCCACUUUAGCCCACUUGGUGAACUUGUCCACGGCGAUGUAGAGGUAGCGGUAGCCCCCUGGAGCCCGAGGAAACGGGCCCAGGAUGUCCAGCCCCCAGACUGUGAACGGCCACGAGAGGGGUAUAGUCUGUAGGCCUCCUGCCGGCUGAUGGAUUUGCUUGGCGUGGAACUGGCAGGCCUCACAAGCCUUCACCAGUUCGAUGGCGUCGUUGGGUGCGGUGGGCCAAUAAAACCCACUGCGGAACGCCUUGCCGACGAGGGUCCGUGAUGAUGAAUGAUGCCCGCAGUCUCCACCAUGUAUAUCUUCCAGCAGUUCCCUUCCUUGCUCCCUGGAGAUGCAGCGCAGGGAUACAUCGUUUGGUCACUUCCGGUAGAGCUCUCCAUCCUUGAUGCAGUAUGCCGUGGCCUGCCGUGCCACACGCUCCGCUUCCUCCUCCUUCUCCAGCAGGGUCCCUUGCGUUAAGUAACUCCGGAGCUCCGUGAUCCAGCACCCCUCCUGAGGCUCCAUCGUCAGGAGCAGGCGUGCUCCUGAGGCCGGGCCACAGACCGGGGCUCCGGAGGCAGGUGGCUGGGGGACCUCCUCCCGAGGCCGAGCCGUGUUUGACAAUGACGGCAGGGCUGAGGGCUUGAAGAGCCGUUCCUCGAAGACGCCAGGCUCCUGAGGUAACCGCCUGGAUGCUCGUCUGGCGAUGUUGUCGGCCUCCUGAUUGGUGCCACGGGGCACAUGCUGCAACUCCAACCCCCCAAAACUGCUUCUCCAUCUUGUGGACCUCUGCAAGGUAGGCUUCCAUGUGCUCAUCUUUCGGCUCGUACACCUUGUUGGAGAAAUUGACAAGGAGCUGCGAAUCGCCCUUGAUGGUGAGGCAUUUCACCCCCAGGGCAGUCGCGGCCUUCAAGCCCGCUAUUAGACCUUCAUACUCUGCUAUGUUGUUGGAGACCUUCUCACCUUGCUGGAAAUAGAGUUGUACAGCAUAGUAGAGCUUGUCCUGAGUGGGCGAUAUAAGCACCGCCCCAGCCCCAGCGCCAUGCCUGGAGAACGCCCCAUCGAAGUACAUGACCCAGCCUUCCGGCGCUUCGCUUCCCGGGGAGAGGGAUCGAUCCUCGUCGGCCUUGAGGCCUGGUGCCUCCGUCCAUUCUGCCACAAAAUGCGCUAAGGCUGCUCCCUUGAUGACUCUGGUUGUGCUGAAUUCGAGCUGAAACGCUUGCAGUUCUAUGUUCCACUCAGCGACCCUCCCGGCCGAGUUAGGGCUCCUAAGCACUCUCUCCAGGGGGUAUGACGAGACGACCUUGAUGGGGUGACCCUGAAAAUAGUGCUGCAGCUUACGCGAGGCCACCAGCAGCGCGAGGAGGAGCUUCUGAGGCAUGGGGUACCGUGCCCUCGCGUCCCGCAACACCGCGCUGACGAAGUAUACUGGAUGCUCAAUAAGGUUGGGUGCGUCAGUGCUGGUGGCGCCCUCCGAAGACCAUGGCGCCUCCUGAGGCGAUGAGGCCUCCGAAGGCUGGCCAUCUGGGAGAGGGGCCCCUUCUGACUCCGGUGCACUCCCCUGCGGCGGCUGACCCUCCCCAGCCGCGGUGGUGGUUUCUGUGGGCCUUCCUUGUUCCUGUUUUGCCUUGUCCCGGGCUGCUCCCGUGGUUUUGACUCGACGCUCCUCCUUAACCGCCACCAGGGCUGCACUGGCGGAGUAGGGAGUGGCGGCGAGGUAAAGCACCAGGGGUUCUUGAGGGCGCGGAGCCACCAUGAUCGGAGGGCUGGUCAGGUAUCUCUUGAGAUCUUGGAACGCCUUGUCGGCCUCUUCAGUCCAUUCAAAGGGCCCCUUCUUCUUCAUUAGCUGGAAGAGAGGCAGUGCUCGCUCCCCCAACUUGGAGAUGAAACGCCCUAGCGCGGUCACGCGCCCAGUGAGCUUCUGCAUUUCUCUGAGGGUCUUUGGCGGGCUCAUGUCCUCGACCGCCUUGACCUUUUCCGGGUUAGUCUCGAUGCCUCGGUGGGACACGAGGAAACCCAAGAGCUUGCCCGAGGGGACUCCGAACACACACUUCUCUGGGUUGAGCCAGAGGCUCACUGCAUUGAGGCUCGCGAAGGUUUCCUCCAGGUCUUGUAUCAGGGUCUUGGCCUCCCGAGACUUCACCACAAUGUCAUCGACGUAAGCCUCAACAUUGUUCCCAAGUUGUGGGCCCAAGGUGAUGUGCAUCAGCCGCUGAAAGGUCGCCCCUGCAUUGCGCAGCCCGAAUGGCAUGCAUGUGUAGCAGUACACCCCACACGGGGUUAGGAAGGCUGUCUUCUCGACGUCUUCUACCGCCAUCUUGAUCUGGUGAUACCCAGAGAAGGCAUCCAAGAAGCAUAGCAGGUCGCAUUCUGCGGUGGAAUCAACGAUCUGGUCGAUGCGGGGGAGCGGGAACGGAUCUUGCGGACAUGCCUUGUUGAGGUUGGUGAAGUCGACACACAUACGCUCCUUCCCCCCUUUCUUUGGCACAACGACAGGGUUGGCCAGCCAAUACGGGUAUCGGACCUCGCGAAUGACCCCAGCAGCCUUUAGUUUGCGGGUCUCUUGGACGAUGAAGGCCUGCUUUUCUGUGGACUGCCGCCUUGCCUUCUGCUUCACAGGGCGCACGUUGGGGCACACGUUGAGGUGAUGCUCGAUUACGCUCCUAGGGAUCCCCGCCAACUGGUUGGGCUCCCAAGCGAAUACCUUCUUGUUCGCGCGCAGGAACUUAACCAGGGCCUCCUCCUGCUCGUGCUCGAGGUUGGCGCCUAUGGUGAAAGUGGCGUUGGUGGACCCGUCCUCAUCGACGGGUAUUUGCUUGGUUUCUGCCUUGUCUUGGGUGAACAACUGUUUCUUCUUGGCAGGUGCAGCCCCCUUGGGCUCGGGGGUCUCCGAGUCGGCGGGCUGUGCCGACGCCACCGUCUUGAAGGCGAGCUUGAGCACUCGCAGUGCGUCCACGGUGUCCCCGUGCAUGGUGAGGACACCACCGCUCCCAGGCAUCUUCAUGAGGUUGUACGCCGGGUGCGUCGCGGCCAUGAACUGGGCCAGCACUGGAUAGCCAAGGAUGGCGUUGUAGGGGAGGCCGAUGGGGGCGAUGUCGAAGUUGACCAGCUCCGUGCGGAAGUUAUCGUAGGUGCCGAAGGUCACUAGGAGCCGGAUCUGUCCCAAGGAGCUGGAUGACCCGCCCCCAAUGCUUGAGAAGGGCCGGCUGGGUUCCAGCGGUUCCAGGGGUAUGCAGAGGAGGUUGAAGGCCUCAACCGAGAGCACGCUGAGGCCCGCGCCGCCAUCGAUGAGGGUUCUGGUGACGGCCACCUGGCAGAUAGUGGGGGUGCACAGCAUGGGGAGCGCACCCGAGCAGGCCAAGUUGGAGGGGUGGUCCUCCGAGCUGAAGGUCAGGCCGGCCUUGGGCGCCACCCGGUCCAGGAGAGCCCCCUGCCGCGUGGAAGCGGCGUUGGCCCAGCGGAUGAAUGGCUUGACGUGGCGACUUGUAGGCGGCGCCUGCGAGCCACCCAGGAGGGCCGCGACGACUGGAGGUGCUGGUGCAGAGUGGUGGGCGAGGAAGAGGCCGCGGAGCUCUUCCCAAGAGGCCACGGAGGCUGCCGGCAGGUGUAGCAGCCAUGCGCGCAGGGUGCCAGUGAGGGCCAUGGGAAGCCAGUUGGCCAUGACCCUAUCAUCACCUCCAUCUUCGAGGAUGGCCCCCUCGUACGCCCGCAAGAAGGCCAGCGGAUCAGUCGCGCCGCUGUAGCGCGACGGCAUCGUUGGCCUGAACUUGUCCGGCCACCGUACCCGUUGCAGGGCUGGGGCCAGGGCUCGGAGCCCCCUGGCCCCCGUGCUGGCACCGGCGGCCGGAGCGGGCGAUGUGUUACUCAUCGCGAGGCAGGUCGUGGCGGUGGUGAAAGGGAAAACUCCGGUCUACCCCUACCAGGUGCGCCAAAUAUCGGAUUUCGGGUUCCGGCAGACCCUUGAGGUUCGAACCCUGGGGUGCGCGCGGAGAUUUCUCCUUCUACCUACCUGUACCCCUCCGCCUCGCUAAGAUCUAAGCUAUGAAAAGAACAACACAAGAGACACAGGGUUUAUACUGGUUCGGGCCACCGAUGUGGUGUAAUACCCUACUCCAGUUGUGGUGUGGUGGAUUGCCUCUUGGGCUGAUGAUGAUGAGUGAUACAAGGAAGAACAGCCUCGCGAGGGUCUGUUCUUGGUUGGGCGAUGAACUGCUAAGAGGAGUUCAGUCACCCUUCUCUCUCUGAUUCUUAUUCCUAUUCCUUUCUCACUCUACGUGUCUCUCUCCUUGAUCUGAUCGCCUCUACCCUGGGGGUGGCUAGUCCUAUUUAUAGGCGAAGGCCCUGGGCCUCUUCCCAAAUAUUGAGCGGGAAGGGCGCCAACAAUUGGCCAUUUUGAAGGGGAACAUAUGGUACACUUAUCCUGACUAAAGUUGGUCGUCGCCUGCCAAAGGCUCUGGUGGUGACGCUGGCUUGGGCUCCACAAUGACUUCUUCCCUGCCGUUGGGCCGGUCUUGGUCUCAUUGCACCGAAAUGGGUGCCUUUGCUUGAUACUCCCGCCUGCGCUUGCUCCCUUUGCACCAAAGAGGAAAGAAGGACACUGCGCGGGAUGGUGCCCGCCUGGCGCCCUUGGUCGUCAUGGCUUGCGUCACAGGCACCUUGUGAGGUACCCCGCCUUGAUCUCUCCGCCUCCUCGCGAGCCAGCCCGAUGAGGCCACGCCCGAGGAAGCUCCGUGUCAUACGCCCCAUGAGGCUUGGUCCCUCGUGAGGGUCUUGGGUCUGUGUUGAUGAAGAUGGGCCGUGCUGGGCCGCCCUUGAGCCACGCCGCAGGCCGCAGGCAGGUAAGUCUGGGGACCCCCGUUCCCAGAACACCGACAGUUUCUUCUAUGCACUGUGUGUGAUGCAUUCAAUAACAAAAAUGACAAAAUUGUUAGUAUCGUGUGCAAUGGCAACGCUAUCACAAACGAUUUAAUGGGGAAAAUUGUGUGUGAUGUACUCCCUCCGUCCGAAAUUACUUGUCGCAAAAAUGGAUCGAAAUGGAUGUAUCUAAAACUGAAAUACAUCUAGAUACAUUCAUUUCCCCGACAAGUAUUUCCGGACGGAGGGAGUACUUGUGAACGAAAACGUUUUCCUUGGAGCGACUGUGUGGGAUGUACAUAUGAAUAGAAACGUUUAGCGGGGACUGACUGUGUGGGAUGUACUUGCGACCGGAAACAAUUUUGCAUGUAUAAUUGUAUUUUUUAGCUCUACUAUACAUAUAAUCAUAUUUGAGCGCUCGCCGGUCGCACACGACCUCAUUUUGUCGAGCGUGUGUGCGAGGAGGGCAUAUCCCCGACGGUUUCUGGGUCGUGUGGGAAGGACCCCCCCUAUCGCCCACACUCACUUGGGAACGGUUCCAAACGCCGUCGUGGAAAGGGGUUAAAAACCGUUUGCAUAGCACCGACGCGUACCAGUGUGAAUUGGGAAAAGUGCCACUUUACGGUUAAUGAAGGUAUUGUUUUGGGCCAUAAAAUUUCUUAAAGAGGUAUCGAUGUGGACAAAGCUAAGGUUGAUGUAAUUGAGAAAAUGCCAUGUCCUAAAGAUAUCAAAGGUAUUAGUAGUUUCUUAGGUCAUCCUGGUUUCUAUAGGAGAUUUAUCAAAGACUUUUCUAAAAUUUCUAGGCCCCUUACAAAUCUUUUGCAAAAGGAUGUUCCUUUUGUUUUUGAAGAUGAUUUUUAGAAGCCUUCAAAACACUCAAGAAAGCGUUAAUUUCUGCACCUAUUGUUCAACCACCUGACUGGAACUUGCCUUUUGAAAUUAUGUGUGAUGCUAGUGAUUAUGCCGUUGGUGUUGUUCUAGGACAAAGAGUUGAUAAGAAACUAAAUGUUAUUCAUUAUGCUAGUAAAACUCUAGACAGUGCUCAAAGAAAUUAUGCUACUACUGAAAAAGAAUUUCUAGCAGUGGUGUUUGCUUGUGAUAAAUUUAGAUCUUACAUUGUUGAUUCAAAAGUAAUUGUUCACACGGACCAUACUGCUAUUAAAUAUCUUAUGGAAAAGAGAAGAGGCUAAACCUAAGCUUAUUCGAUGGGUUCUCUUGCUACGAGAAUUUGAUUUACAUAUCACUGAUAGAAAAGGAGCAGAGAACCCCGUAGCUGAUAACUUGUCUAGGUUGGAGAAUGUCCUUGAUGACCCACUACCUAUUGAUGAUAGUUUUCCUGAUGAGUAGUUAGCUACAAUAAAUGUUUCUCAUAACACUCCUUGGUAUGCUGACUAUGCUAAUUACAUUGUUGCUAAAUAUUUACCACCUAGCUUUACAUACCAACAAAAGAAAAAAAUUCUUCUAUGAUUUAAGAAAUUACUUUUGGGAUGACCCACAUCUUUAUAAAGAAGUAGUACAUGAUAUUAUUAGACGUUGUGUACCCUGAGCAUGAACAGGAACAAAUCCUACGGAAAAUGUCACUCCAAAGCUUACAGAGGGCAUCAUGCGGGAGACAGAACUACUCAGAAGGUAUUGCAGUCUGGGUUUUAUUGGCAUACUCUUUUCAAGGAUGCUCGUAAGUUCGUCUUAUCUUGUGAUGAAUGUCAAAGAAUAGGUAAUAUUGGUAAGCGUCAAGAAAUUCCUAUGAAUUAUUCACUUGCUGUUGAACCAUUUGAUGUUUGGGGUUUUGAUUACAUGUGACCUUUUCCUUCCUCUAAUGGGUAUACUCAUAUUUUGGUUGUUGUUGAUUAUGUUACUAAGUGGGUAGAAGCUAUUCCAACUAGUAGUGUUGAUCACAACACCUCUAUUAAAAUGCUUAAGGAAGUUAUUUUCCCAAAGUUUGGAGUCCCUAGAUAUUUAAUGACUGAUGGUGGUUCACACUUUAUUCAUGGUGCUUUACGUAAAAUGCUUGCCAAGUAUGACAUUAACCAUAGAAUUGCAUCACCCUAUCAUCCUCAGUCUAGGGGUCAAGUUGAACUUAGCAAUAGAGAAAUACAAUUAAUUUUGCAAAAGAUUGUCAAUAGGUACCGGAAGAAUUGGUCUAAGAAAUUAGAUGAUGCACUUUGGGCUUAUAGAACAACAUAUAAAAAUCCUAUGGGUAUGUCUCCUUAUAAAAUGGUUUAUGGAAAAGCUUGUCAUUUGCCUCUUGAGUUAGAGCAUAAAGCAUAUUGGGCAAUUAAAGAACUCAACUAUGAUUUCAAACUUGCUGGUGAGAAGAGGUUAUUUGAUAUUAGCUCAUCAGAUGAUUGGAGAACCCAAGCUUAUGAAAAUGCCUAGUUAUUUAAAGAAAAAGUUAAAAGAUGGCAUGAUAAAAGGAUCCAAAAGCGUGAGUUCAAAGUUGGAGAAUAUGUUCUUUUGUACAACUCUCAUUUCAGAUUCUUUGCAAAAAAACUCCUCUCCAAAUGGGAAAGACCUUAUGUUAUCGAGGAGGUUUAUCAGUCUUGAGCUAUCAAAAUAAAUAAUGUCGAAGGUAGUAACCCAAAGGUUGUUAAUGGGCAACGAGUAAAACAUUAUAUCUCAGGUACACCCAUUAAUGUUGAAAGUAAUAUUAUCCAAACUAUGACACCGAAAGAACACAUAAAAGAAACCUUUUGGAACACUCCAGAAUCGUGAAAAAGAGGAGGUACGUGAUACGGUAAGUAAACGGACUCCGAAAAAUUGGCAAAAAUAUUUUUUGUCAGUUUUGGAAAAUAAAAGAAUAGGAAAAUAAGAAACAACCAGGAAGGUCACCCUGGUGGGCACAAUACACCAGGGUGCGCUUGGCUUGCCAGGCGCGCCCAGGUGGGUUGUGCCCACCUCGGGUACCUUUCGAACUCCUUUUUUCUUCCAUUUGCUUGUUUCCCAAGAUAAAAAAAAUCUUUAUACACCCCCCGAACCUAUUGACCACCGUAUCACGGAGAAAUCUUCUGUUUUCUUUUCUUGCUAUUUUCGGUCGGAUCUGUUAAGCCAGCCAUCAUGUCUUCUCCCUUCUCCAACAAAGUAGAAGAGGAUGCUUGGUUGAUGAAGAUCCAACUGAAGAGAGAGGGGCCUGAAGAACUUCUCGAAGGAGGCAAAAGACGGGAGGCCAUCGGAGAUCAAACGCCGGUGACCUAGCAAGCAUUGCCUACCGAGGAGGAAGAAGAAGAUAUCCUUAAAUCUUACUAUGCUCAUCUUACCCCUACUGAGAUUGAAGCCUUUCGGAUCAUUGAAACGGUUCGUGUGUGAAAUAAAUAUCUCACUCAUGAAAAUAUUCUGCAACAAGAGCACAUCAUCUUCCUCCGGAGCGUCAUCCAUAGAUUGGAGAAUCUCUUGAUCAUGAAGGACAAGAUCGCUGCCACUUCAUCACCACCACCUCCUUCGUCAUCACCAAAAGAAAAUUGAGUAUCGGGUAUCGUGUCACCCCCACUAUCUUUUGCCUUUACUUAUCUUAGUUUGAUACUUAGUUAUCUUUUUGCUUUAGAUGAAUAAAAUUUUAGUUCGAUCCUUUCUUUUUGAGAGUUUGCUUAGCGAUCUAUCCUUGUAAUCGUGUGCGAGAUAUAUAAUAAAGUUUAGUUUGAGUUUUUGCUUUCUUUACUUUCAUGUUCCAAUAAAAAGAAAGGAAAUGAAUGAAAAAGAUCAUAUGCUAAUCUUAUGGUAGGUAAUGACACCACAUAAGGAAAAGUAUAAGUAGAAAAAAUUAUUAGAGAUUGACAAACAUAGCAUUGGUCAAUGAUGCAACUCAUGAAAGAAUUAAUAAGGGAAGAGAAGAUUCACAUACAAAUACACUAUCCUAGAAAUCUUUUGUGAUUGUGAGCCCCCAUCAAAAUAUUAUAUGCAAAAACUAUUGAUUUUGGACAAGGAAGACAACAUAAUGAUUUAUGUUUGUUCAUAUUCACAUAGAAAUUAUAUUUUCAUGGAUCUUUCAACAUGUGGUGCUUGCCCCCCAUCUUUGCUAGCCAAAAAUUCUGCACCAAGUAGAGAUACUACUUGUGCAUCCAAAAACUCUGAAACCAAAUCUUAUUUUCAAGAGUCCACCAUACCUACCUAGGGAUUGAGCAAGAUCCCUCAAGUAAGUUGUCAUCGAUGCAAUAAGGCAGUAAAAAUUUGUUCUAAAAAUGUUAGACCAUUUAGUGUAAAAGAAAAUUGAGCGUUGUACGAACUUGUGAUAGCAAAGAAUAAAAGCGAUAGACUGCAUAAUAAAGGUUGCUAUCAUAAAGGGCAAUAUAACGUGAUGUUGUUUUGCACUAAGGGGUUGAGCAUACAAACAAAUAAGCGCAUGGCAACCUCUGCUUUCCUCUGCGAAGGGCCUAUCUUUUACUUUUAUGUAUUUACUUUUAUGCAAGAGUCAAAGUUUUUCUCUCUUUUCAUUUUUAUUUUUCUCCUUUGGCAAGCAUCAUGUGGUGAGGAAAGAUCUAGGCACAUAUGUCCAGUUGAAUAUGAGUAGCAUGCGUUAUUAUUGUUGACAUUACCCUUGAGGUGAAUACGUUGGGAGGCGAAAUUAUAAGCCCUGAUGUCGCUUGAAGCUACGUUGAUAUUUCCCCAAAGAGGAAGGGAUGAUGCAACAUAGCGGCGGUAGGUAUUUCCCUCAGAUAUGAAACCAAGGUUAUCGGACUAGUAGGAGAACCAAGCAACACAACGUAAACAGCACUUGCACAUAGAUAACAAAUCCUCGCAACUCGACGUGUUAAAGGGGUUGUCAAGCCCUUCCAGGGUACGAUGCCCAAGAUGGCAAACGGACGUGAGAUAAAAUUGUAGUAGAUUGAUAGAUCGAACGCCAAAUAAAAUAUAUAGAAAUAAAACAGCAAGGUAUUUUUGUAUUUUUGGUUUAAUAGAUCUAAAAAUAAAUGCAACGAAAAAGUAGAUCGCAAAGGCAAAUAUAUGAGAAAGAGACCCGGGGGCCGUAGAUUUCACUAGUGGCUUCUCUCGAGAAAAAUAACAAACGGUGGGUAAACAAAUUACUGUUGGGAAAUUGAUAGAACUUCAAAUACUCAUGACGAUAUCCAGACAAUGAUCAUUAUAUAGGCAUCACGUCCAAGAUUAGUAGACCGACUCCUGCCUGCAUCUACUACUAUUACUCCACACAUCGACCGCUAUCCAGCAUGCAUCUAGUGUAUUAAGUUCAUGGAGAAGCGGAGUAAUGUGCUACCUCUUGAGCAUGCGUUGGUUUUCCCUUGAAGAGGAAAGGGUGAUGCAGCAAAGUAGCAUAAGUAUUUCCCUCAGUUUUUGAGAACCAAGGUAUCAAUCCAGUAGGAGACUACACGCAAGUCCCUAGUACAUGCACAAACAAUCAAGAACCUUGCAACCAACGCGAUAAAGGGGUUGUCAAUCCCUUCACGGCCAAUUGCAAAAGUGAGAUCUGAUAAAGAUAAUAAGAUAAAUAUUUUUGGUAUUUUUGUUGUAUAGAUUGGAAAGUAAGAUUGCAAAAUAAACAAUGAUAGAAAUAGCUAGUUGAUAGGAACAUAAUAUGAUGGAAAAUAGACCCGGGGGCCAUAGGUUUCACUAGUGGCUUCUCUCAAGAUAGCAUAUUCUACGGUGGGUGAACAAAUUACUGUCGAGCAAUUGAUAGAAAAGCACGUAGUUAUGAGCAUAUCUAGGCAUGAUAAUGAACAUAGGCAUCACGUCCGUGACAAGUAGACCGAAACGAUUCUGCAUCUACUACUAUUACUCCACACACCGACCGCUAUCCAGCAUGCAUCUAGAGUAUUAAGUCCAUAAGAACAGAGUAACGCAUUAUGCAAGAUGACAUGAUGUAGAGGGAUAAACUGAAGCAAUAUGAUAUAAACCCCAUCUUUUUAUCCUCAAUGGCAACAAUACAAUACGUGCCUUGUUGCCCCUGUUGUCACUGGGAAAGGACACUACAAGAUUGAACCCAAAGCUAAGCACUUCUCCCAUUGCAAGAAAGAUCAAUCUAGCUAGUAGGCCAAACCAAACUGAUAAUUCGAAGAGACUUGCAAAGAUAUUAAAUCAUGCAUAUAAGAAUUCAGAGAAGAAUCAAAUAUUGUUCAUAGAUAAUCUUGAUCAUAAACCCACAAUUCAUCAGAUCUCGACAAACACACCGCAAAAAGAAUUACAUCGAAUAGAUCUCCAAGAGAAUCGGGGAGAACUUUGUAUUGACAUCCAAAGAGAGAGAAGAAGCCAUCUAACUAAUAACUAUGGACCCGAAGGUCUGUGGUAAACUACUCACACAUCAUCGGAGAGGCUAUGGUGCUGAUGUAGAAGCCCUCCGUGAUCGAUUCCCCCUCCAGCAGAGCGCCGGAAAAGGCCCCAAGAUGGUAUCUCACGGGUAUAGAAGGUUGCGGUGGUGGAAAUAGGGUUUCGUGGUGCUCCUGGAUUUUUUCAGGGUAUAUGAGUAUAUAUAGGCGGAAGAAGUAGGUCGGUCGAGCCACAAGGGGCCCACGAGGGUGGGGGCCGCGCCUACCCCCUGGGUGCACCCUCCUACUUCGUGGCUGCCUUGUUGCUUCCUUGAAUCCACUCCAAGUCUCCUUGAUUGUGUUUGUUCCAAAAACGAUCCUCGCGAAGGUUUCAUUCCGUUUGGAUUCCGUUUGAUAUUCCUUUUCUGCGAAACACUGAAAUAGGCAAAAAAAACAGCAAUUUGCACUGGGCCUUGGGUUAAUAGGUUAGUCCCAAAAAAAUAUAAAAGUGCAUAAUAAAACCCAUUAGACAUCCAAAACAGAUAAUAUAAUAGCAUGGAACAAUCCAAAAUUAUAGAUACAUUGGAGACGUGUCAAGCAUCCCCAAGCUUAAUUCCUGCUCGUCCUCGAGUAGGUAAAUGAUAAAAACAGAACUUUUGAUGCGGAAUGCUACCUAACAUAAUUUUCAAUGUAAUUCUCUUUAUUGUGGCAUGAAUGUUCAGAUCCGAAAGAUUCAAGAUAAAAGUUUAAUAUUGGCAUAAAAAUAAUAAUACUUCAAGCAUACUAACUAAGCAAUUAUGUCUUCUUGAAAUAACAUGGCCAAAGAAAGCUUAUCCCUACAAAAUCAUAUAGUUUGGCUAUGCUUCAUUUUCGUCACACAAAAAUGCUCUCAUCAUGCACAACUCCGAUGACAAGCCAAGCAAUUGUUUCAUACUUUAGUAAUCUCGAACUUUUUUCAACUUUCACGAAAUACAUGAGCGUGAGCCUUGGACAUAGCACUUUGGGUGGAAUAGAAUAUAAUGAUGGGGGUUGUGUGGAGAAGACAAAAAGGAGAAAGUCUCACAUUGACGCGGCUAAUAAACGGGCUAGGGAGAUGCCCAUCAAUUGAUGUCAAUGCAAGGAGUAGGGAUUGCCAUGCAACGGAUGCACUAGAGAUAUAAAUGUAUGAAAGCUCAACAAAAGAAACUAAGUGGGUGUGCAUCCAACUUGCUUGCUCACAAAGACCUAGGGCAUUUGAGGAAGCCCAUUGUUGGAAUAUACAAGCCAAAUUCGACAAUGAAAAAUCCCCACUAGUAUAUGAAAGUGACAAAAUAAGAAACUCUCUAUCAUAAAGACCAUGGUGCUACUUUGAAGCGCAAGUGUGUAAAAAAGGAUAGUAGCAUUGUCCCUUUUAUUUUUUAUUUUUUUUAUUUGGCCUUUCUUCUUCUUUUUUUCUUUUGUUUUUCCGGGACAAUGCUCUAUUAAUGAUGAUCAUCACACUUCUAUUUAUUUACAACUCGAAGAUUACAACUUGAUACUAGAACAAAAUAUGACUCUAUAUGAGUGCCUCCGAUGAUGUACCGGAAUGGGCAAUGAAUCAAGAGUGACAUGUAUGAUAAAUUAUGCAUGGUGGCUUUGCCACAAAUACGAUGUCAACUACAUGAUCAUGCAAGGCAAUAUGGCAAUGGUGAAGCGUGUCAUAAUAAAUGAAAUGGUGGAAAGUUGCAUGGCAAUAUAUCUCGGAAUGGCUUUGGAAAUGCCAUAAUAGGUAGGUAUGGUGGCUGUUUUGAGGAAGAUAUAAGGAGGUUUAUGUGUGAUAGAGCAUAUCAUAUCAUGGGUUUGGAUUGUCGAGGGUUGGGUGCGACAUAUGCCAAGGGAUGGCUUAUCAUGGUGGGGGCGAGUAGAACAUCGCCGGUGCCUGGAAGCAGGAUGAGGCGUAGACAUGCACGCCGGCGAAUCUUACCCAGCUUCGGGGCUCUCCGAGGAGAUAACACCCCUACUGCUGCUAUGCGGGGUCUCCGCAUGAUCACUAUGGCAAAGUGGAUACAAGGUUGCUCCUUGAGCUGUUUCCUGGAGGUAGGAGAAGGCAAGGCUAGCUCCCUCCUUUCUGUAUUCUAUGGUCUAGUGCUAACGGGGUCGAAUCCUUUGCAUGGGUGCUUCGGGGGGUUUAUAUAGGCCUACCCCCCGGGGGUACAAUGGUAAUCCGGCUGGGCGCGGGUCCAGCCAUCUGUCUCUCAGGCCGCCGUCUUCUCCGCCGACUACUGGGGCCCGCCGACUGGUGGGCCCCGCCGACUAGUCCCGUACGGAGCCAACAGGCCUUGUCCGUCGCGGGUGGGUCUUGCCGGCUGCGGAUUACUGUAGCCGUGCUUCUAAUGACGCUGGCUUGGUUAUGGAGUCAUGGCAACAGUACCGCCGCCUGGCGAGCGAUCACUGUUGCCACUCCCUGUCUUCUCUGAUUAAUGGCAUGCGGGGCCCGUGGGAGGGACUGGCCGACUCCCACGGGGUCCGUGUUGUGGCACUCUCACCGUCUUCUGUUCCCCCCGCUGACAAGCAGGGCCCGUCGUCUCUGGGCCGUACAGGCAGGCCGACGUGGGUACAGGGCUCCGCCACUAGAGCUGAUGUCAGGGCUAGCAUGGCAACAGUGCCGCGCCGGACGGAGAUCUCCGUUGGUACGUGUACUGUGGCCGUGCUUGCCCUUGGUAAUCGGGGUGGGGGCGGGCCUUACUGCGGCCAUUCCCAGCCCCGUCCCUUCUUACGAAGGCAGAGGGUGGUUGGAGUCGCGGGCCGACUCCCCAUAGCCGGCUUCUUUGGAAGUCGCCAGUUAGGAGUCGGCUCCUCUUGUAGUCAUCCCUGGGACUCAGCAGUGAGUAGAUAGUCGGCAGCGCCGCUGCCGACUCCCAGAGGCGGCCCUCCGUCCUGGAGUUCCUGAGGGGCGUAGCCUGCCCCGAUGUCUUGAAAGGUUCUGGGCUUCGGGUUAGCCUACCCGUGGCCCAUUACUCUGACAUGGAUCCCUGAAGCUGGUGAGGCACCGAGGGAGACGUACUGAGGAGCCUCAACAGUUUCUUCCUUCCGGUGGUUGGAUCUGGGCUUCGCCCGCCGUCUUCCUUCAAGCCGACAAUCGGGAGCCGGACUCGUCGAAGGCCGUCUUGCCUCUUAAAGAUUUUGAAAGUCAUAGCGGGAUCCAGACGGCGUGCCUGGCAAGCUCCCUGGCUGCCGCCCGUUGCGGACCCAUCAUGUGGCGCCACGUGGCCGGGCCAAUCUGCCUGCCCACGUGCGUGACGGGACAGGCCCGCAGGUGGGGCCCGCCACUAUCGUGCCUCGGCCUUCGAACGGAUCUGUUGCGGUCGUGCGGACGGUUGGGAUUCCUGCGCAGUAACUGCGCGCAGCAACUUCGUGCGGUAAAUCAUGGGAGUCGUGGGGUCCUGGGCGCAUUUAAUCCCACGACGCCCCAUCGGCUUCUCAGCCUAGGAGCCUAUAAGUAGGCGGAGGGAGCGGGCGGCGAAGCACGCGUGCUCACUCUCCCUUAUUCCCCUCUGCUUCCUCUUGCUUCUUCUUUCCUUCGCCGUCGCCACGUCGGACCUCAUCAUGCCCGCAGCGAUGAGCUCUUCCUCCACCGCCGCGCCCGCCGCCGCGCGCUCCGGCGUGUGGGACGGCUCCGAGGUUGACGACGACCACAUUGAGUUUCUUCGCAAGACGCGUCGCCUCCCCGGCAAAGACCUAGUGCGGGCCCGCGCCGCGCCGGCGAGGGAGGUAUCGCCGGCGCCGAAGGAGGGCGAGCGGGUCAUAUUCCGCUCGCACCUCAUGCGCGGCCUAGGGCUGCCGGCGAGCAGAUUCUUUCGCUCGUUCUUGGAGUUCCACGGGCUCCAGCUGCACCACCUUACACCAAACACAGUGGUGCUGUUGGCCGCCUUCGCCACCCUGUGUGAAGGCUUCCUCGGCAUUCUCCCCACCAUCAAGCUGUGCGGCGAAUUCUUCAGUUCCAAGCUCGGCACGCACGUCGCCGGUGUGCCAGCCCAGUGCGGUGCCUUCAUCGCGGUGCGGAGGUCGGUAGCCAACAACCCGUUUCCCACCAUCUCGCUGAUCAAGUCGGUGAAGAUGUGGCAGCGAUCUUAUUUCUACGUGAAGAACGUCACCCCAGAAGGUGACUGGGUCAACCUGCCGCCUUACAAGGCCGGCGCGCCAGCCGGAAGGCUCCCAGCUGGUCCCACCGGGCCAAGACGCUGACUCCUGCCGGCGCCGCCGCUGUCGCGCGACUCUGAGUGCUGACGCAGUCGGAGGGUCUGACCGGGGCCGACCUGCUGGCCGCCUUCGUGACGCGCCGAGUCCUCCCACUCCAAGGCCGGCCUCAUAUGAUAUGUCAGAUGAGUGGCCACCGAGACCCAAGUCGGAUGUGCACCAAGGACAUGCCCCACGCGGAGGUGGCGGACACGGUGAACUACAUCGCGAACUGUGGUCUCUCGGGGAAUUGGCAGUUCGGCAAGGAGCCGUACUCGCGCGCCAACCCCCCGCCUGUUGUAAGUUGUUCCUCUUCUGCUUUCUUUCUUCAACCGAGUCCGAUUUCUAAUCUUCAUUAAUACUCGAAACAGAACCCUCUUAUUCAGCCUUCGGCCGGCACCACUGGGCCGGCCCGCUAGUUCGUCCCCGACCGAGCGGAGAGCGACGUCGACGACCCCGACUUGGGGGCGGCGGCGAUGGAGGCCGACGCCGAAGGAGGAGGUGAAGGAGGAGAAGGCGGCAUCAGGCCUUCGGCCACCUUUGCCGACUGGCCUAAAGACAACGCUGAGGGGGAAGUCGCCCCGCGCCACCAACCGAAGGCCGGCCGGCCCAGCGCGAGUUCGUCUGCCGCCCUGGAUGGUCUAGGCGGCGCGAGGAAGCGCCGGGCUGGGCCGAGCUCUCUUGGCGGCCGGUCGAAGAAGUUCAAGGGGGCGGCCGCCGCAACUAGGCGGGAAGAGGCGAUCGCCCAGGCCAACCGCUUCCGCAAGGAAGUGAAGAAACCGUCGCUGGUCUCCACGUAAGUGCCGCCGCCCUUCGUCUUGUUUUCUGCUGGUUGAUUUUGUCUAAGUCUUGUCCAUGCUUCCCUUGUUCCAGGGCUCCCCUCACCCUUGAGAGGGUCACCGCCGCCUCCAUCAUGGGGUCGGCAGAGACGUCCACCACCACUCAGCGGAUUGACCGCGCCACCGAUCUCCGGGAGGCAACGGAGCGGAAUGCGCAGGAGAAGCACGACGAGGAAGAGGCUGACCGCCGGGAGAAGGCGGAGGCCGAGAAGGCGGCCGCCUCCGCCCAGAAGAAGCUGGACGAUGCCGAAGCCGCCGUCAUGGCAAAACGGCAGGCUGAGGAAGCCGCGCGCCGCCAGUCGGUGUUAUUCGUCAUCCCGCUGAACUCAGCGCGGCCGCCUCUGGACUUCACGGAGCAGACCGGGGAAGCCGGGGGCGAGUACCCCAUCAUGGAGAGGGAAGGCGGCGAGGCCUCCAUGUCGGACACGGCCGCGCUGCCGCCGCCGCCCCCGCCGCCGUCUGGGAGCAUGCGAGGCGAGCAGCCGGCGGACCCGCUGGUGCCGCCGACUAAAGACGAGGCCGUGGUGAAGCUGCUCCUUCAAGUCGCCUCGCCAACGCACCGCCGUCUUGAGAAGGCGACUUCAGCGUCGCGCCCCUUGGAGACCGGCGCCGCCAGCUCGGCCAUCCCAGACGUCGAGGCAACGAGCGCCACGCCCGUUGGGUGGGCGCGAGGAGGAGGCACAGGCCCGCUGAACCAGGCGCUUCUGGACGUCCAGGCGAAGCUGAGGGCGACGCCCUCCAGAACUGCACCAAGGCGCAUCUGGCGUCGCGAGUAGCCAUCCGGGUAUGUUUUCUUCUGACUUUGUUUUACUUGCUUUUCUCUGUGGGGGCGCGCCAGCGCACCCACUGGGUGUAGUCCCCGAGUUCGGAACUCCAUUGGUGAGUUCUAAGUACUUACUCUUGUUUGAAAUAUUUAUCAUAGGAUUAUCACAACCUCCGGGUCACCACAUUCAACUGCAAUGUUGAAGAGCUGGGCAAGCGGACUGCCGACUUGUCGGAGAGCUGGAGUAAGUUCUCCUUCUUCUUCGCGGGGGCGCGCUGGCGCACCCGCGGGCUGUAGUCCCCAAGAUUCGGGCCGACUACUGAGCAGUUGGGCCGGAUCUUCUCGGCGACCUUCUUUGAUGACGACUUAGCUCCUUCUUCUUUUUUCUUCAAAGGCCAACGCCGUUCUUCAGCAGAAGCUGGGCGAAGCCAACACCACCUUGCGCGCCAAGGGGGAGGAGUGUGGCAAGCUCAUCGCAGAGUGUGACCAGCUAGCCACGCAGCUGGCGGAGCGGAGGGAGCUGCUUAAGAAGGCGCAGGAGGAGGCGGAGAAGAAAGAGACUGCACUCCUGGCCGAGUUCGAGGUCGAGCGCUCCUCCUGGACUGACAAGGAGACAAUGCUGACCUCCGGCUUUCAUGAAAUUGAGGAUAUCAUCGAUGGUGAGUUUCUUUACUCUCUUUCUUUGAGCCGCCGACAGCAGGUCAGGCCGACUCCUGAUUUUUGACUUGCUUCUUUUCCGUCUUUGGUAGACUUCUUCCCUGGCCACAUGCAAGCUGCUACUCAAGCCAUCGAGGCUGAUCGCGAGGCGUGGAGGGCAAACGGCGAGGAGAUUGCCGCCAAUGCCCCCCGGACCCUUGACGAGCAGCUUCUGAGCAUCGAGGCUCGUCUGCGGCCGGCCCAUCGGAUGCUGCGCCGGCUUCAACGUGUCGGCGCCCAGGCGAUUGCUGCCUUGUGGCCGGACAUGCCGGUUCUGCGCACUCCCAGCCGGACUGCCGACUGGCUGGAGGUCGCAGCCGGCCGUCUUGAAGCUUGGAAGGGUUCCUCGGCCCGGGCUGGAGCGCGACAGGCCUUGGAAUUCGUCAUGGCGUGGUAUCCGGGGCUGGACCUGGACCGGCUGGCCACGCUCCGAGCGGAGGCCCAGCCGGAGCGGGCAGCCGCAGAAGAUGCCCUCAUUAGGCGCGCCACGGCGAUCGCCGAGUACGCCGAUACCAACGUCUUCAUUCCUAAGCGGGCUGAAGACGGCGAGGAGGCACCACCGGAGUGGUUUGGGAUGAACCCGGACUACGACGAGGACUCGGCGGAGGUGAUCGGCUCCAGCGCCGAGGAGGAAGGCGAGGCGGAGGACGGAGGUGAGAUGGAGGCGCCAGGAGGCGGGGCGGACGAUCAGCCUCAGCUCGACCGCGCCUCCAGCAACGAGCCGCGCCCAACCGAGCCGGCUGCCGCUGGAGGUGAUCAAGCCGAGACUGCCCAGCCGGCCGCCCCAACGUCUGACACCGCCAUCUCCUCCGAGCCUCCAAACCCGCCUGCUGCUUCCUAGGCUGCUGCCUUGUCUUUAUUUUAUCUGUUUUAGUAGUCUUUUAAGAACUUGUUAAUUCGCACAAUUCCACCCGCUGGGUGUAUUUUGAACUUCUGUUCAAUGAUUCGGCCAAGGGCCUAUGUUAUGUAAAUAUCUAUCCAAGUUCUAUCAUUUCUUGCUCAUUGCUCUCUUGGCUUUUCCUUUGCCGCCUUCCCUUAGUUGCCGUCUUUGCCAGUCAGACAACCGCUCCGCGGACUGCCGCUGGAUCAAGUGCUUGGCUACUUUGGGAAGGCAAGUACUUGGCUGUUUCUAGAGUUUCUUAGCAAGUUGAAUAGAAGGCGGCGAGCCGACUACUCGGGAGUCGGUUUUGUAAAAAAAGUGGCUGGAAAGCCGGCUUUAAGCUAUGUUUAUGCUUUGAGUCCUUGGCCAUUUUUCAUGUGGGUGCCCAUUCUUCCUUGCUCCUGCCCACCGGACAGUCGCUCUGCGAGCUGCGGCUUCUGACAGGAGACGGCUUAGGUGCCACACACUACUUGUCCGACUGCAGGAAGCAUUUCAUAGCGCAAGACGGCUAGUACCCGGGCCGACUAGUCGGAUCCGAUGCCAAACGACAUAAAAAAGAAUGGCAUACUUGAAGGCAUGAUACUUAUCAUACAGAUAACAAAAAGGCAGUCCCCGAGCUCGUCUCGGGGGGCCCGAAGUCUUGGUACUUUAAUACAAAGGGUAGCGUGGUACAUACUGCUUUAACUUUCAAAUCUUCGGAGAAGAUUCGCAUUCCAUGGCCGUUCCGUCUCUUUGCCGGAGUCGUCCCUCUUGCGUGCUCGGGGCUUCUGAGCGUCGAUCAGAUAGUAGGAGUCGUUGCCCAGUACCUUGCUGAUGAUGAAGGGGCCUUCCCAAGGUGCCGACAACUUGUGCUGGCCGGCUGUCCGCUGGAUCAGUCGGAGCACAAGGUCGCCUUCUUGGAAAGAUCUCGGCCUGACCUUCCAUUUGUAGUAUCGGCGCAGGCUCUGCUGGUAGAUGCCGGACCGGCUGAGUGCCAACAGCCGGCCCUCUUCCAGCAGAUCGACGCCGUCUUGACGUGCUUCUUCUGCUUCCUCCUUGGUGUACAUGGUGACUCGCAGGGAGUCGAACUCUAUGUCCAUUGGGAUGAAGGCUUCGGCACCAUAGACGAGGAAGAACGGCGUGAAGCCGGUCGAUUUGUUUGGAGUCGUGCGCAGACUCCGGAGGAUGGCUGGCAACUCGUCAAGCCAACAGCUAGCCGAACGCUCCAGUGGUUCGACCAGUCGAGGCUUGAUGCCAGACAGGAUGAGGCCGUUAGCCCGCUCCACCUGGCCGUUUGACUGUGGAUGGGCAACGGACGCUAAGUCCAGUCGGAUGCCCUGUGUCGCGUAGAAAUGGGCCAAAGCGCCUUUGGCAAAAUUUGUGCCGUUGUCGGUGAUGAUGCUGUGCGGUAUGCCGUACCGAAUCGUGAUGUCGGAAAUGAAAGUCACGGUGGUCGGGCCAUUCAACUUCUUGAUAGGCUUUGCUUCUAUCCACUUGGUGAACUUGUCCACCGCGACAAGUAGGUGAGUUAGGCCUCCUCGCGCCAUCUUGAAUGGUCCCACCAUGUCCAAGCCCCAAACUGCAAAGGGCCAGGCGAUGGGAAUGGUCUUGAGUGCAGAAGCCGGCUGAUGCGGCUUGGAAUGGAACUUCUAGCACCCCUUGCAUUUCUGGACCAGAUCCUUGGCUUCUUCUAGGGCAGUCGGCCAAAAGAAACUAUGUCGAAAGGCUUUGGCGUCGAGUGCUCUUGAGGCCGCAUGGUGGCCGCACUCGCCUUGAUGGAUGUCUCUGAGAAUUGCUUGGCCCUGCUCCGGCUCGACGCAAUGCUGGUAGACACCAGUAACGCUGCGCCUGACCAACUCUCUGUUGACUAUGGUGUAGGCUGCCGCUCAGCGUUGUACUUGCCGAGCCAAGGUUUCAUCAGUUGGCAGCUCUUUGUUCACUAGGAACUUGAGGAUGGGUUGUGCCCAUGAGGGCGCUGCUAUUUCUUCGACUGCCAGAACUGCGACUUGGACGAGGGCGACUGGGCUGGGAGGCGGCGGGCUGGAGUCAGCGGUCGCUUGCUGGACUGGUGAAGUCCCCGGGCCGACUGAUGCAGUCCCCGGGUCGAGCUUUGGAGUCUUUGGUCUGGUCGUCGCAGUCCCCGGGCCGGCUUCAACUGCGGCGUUUUUGGAGCCGUCUGCAAGAGUUCUUGUGCCGUCUGCUGGGGCUCUUGAGUCGGAUCCGGCCUCUUCGGGGGGAGCCGGCACAAAGAUGGAGUCUAACUCCGGUGAAGGCUUGACAGAUGGUUUGAGGAGCCGCUGAAGGGCGACACCGGAUGGUAUUGCCUAGCGGGUGGAGCCGAUUCAUGCCAGGGUAUCUGCUUGGUUGUUGUCAUUUCUUGGCACGUGAAGGAACUCGCACCCCUCAAAAUAUCCACUGAGUUGCUGCACGAGGAAGUGGUAGCUUGCCAUGUUUGCAUCCUUGGCAUCCCCAUCACCAGACGACUGCUGGACCACCAAGUCGGAGUCGCCAUAGCACAGGAUCCAGCGAAUGCCAAGUUCUUUGGCAAGCCGGAGCCCGUGAAUGAGCGCCUCGUAUUCGGCGACGUUGUUGGAGGUGGCGAAAUGGAUCUGCAGCGCGUACUUGAGCUUGUCGCCUUUGGGAGAGGUGAGGACAACGCCGGCCCCUAAGCCGGUGCGCAUCUUGGAGCCAUCGAAAUGCAUUCGCCAAUGGGUGGAGUCAGGCGCUGGCGGCAGAUACUGGGUCUCGGCCCAGUCGACAAGGAAAUCGGCCAGCGCUUGCGACUUGAUGGCGGUGCGGGGCUGGUAGUAGAUUGUGUAGGGGGCCAACUCUAUGGCCCAUUUGGCCACUCGUCCGGAGGCAUCUCGGCUUCCGAUGAUCUCAGCUAGUGGGGUUGUGCAAACCACAGUGAUUGGAUGCUCUUGAAAGUAAGGCUUCAGCUUCUUGGCGGCAAAGUGUACGCCAUAGCACAUCUUCUGGUAGUGGGGGUAGUUCUGCUUGGAGGUCGACAGUACUUCACUUAGGUAAUAUACCGGUCUCUGGACAGGUAGUGCCUUGCCUUCCUUCUUGCGUUCAACUAUGAUGACUGUGCUGACUACCCGGCUAGUGGCGGUGAUGUACAGGAGCAUGGGCUCCUUAGGAGUCGGAGCCGCCAACACAGGGGGAGUAGCCAACAUCUUCUUCAGCUGGAGAAAGGCCUCGUCCGCCUUGUGGCUCCACUCGAAAAAAGUGGUCUUCUUCAUGAGCUGGUACAGGGGGAGAGCUUUCUCGCCCAGCCGACUGAUGAAUCGGCUGAUGGACGCCAAGCAGCCAAUGAACUUUUGCACGUCCAGCAGUCGGCUGGGUACCUCCAUCCUCUCGAUGGCUUUGAUCUUCACAGGGUUGCACUCUAUGCCGCAUUCAGAGACCAGGAAGCCAAGGAGUUGGCCGGCUGGUACUCCGAAGAAGCACUUCUCAGGGUUGAGCUUGAUCUGGAAUCGGCGCAGGUUCUCAAAGGUCUCCUUGAGGUCUUCCAGCAGCGUUCCGCGCUUUUCCGUCUUCACCACCACAUCAUCCACGUAGACGUGGGAGUUUCUGCCGAGUUGCUUGAGGAGGCACUUCUGCAUGCAACGCUGAAAGGUAGCGCCGGCAUUCCUCAAGCCGAACGUCAUGGUCAGGUAGCAGAAGGCUCCAAACGGCAUGAUGAAGGCGGUCUUCAAUCUGUCUGUCGGGUUCAGCUUGAUCUGGUGAUAUCCUGAAUAUGCAUCUAAGAAGCUCAACAGCUCGCAUCCGGCUAUGGAGUCUAUCACCUGAUCAAUCCUUGGCAGGGCAAACGGGUCCUUCGGGCAUGCUUUGUUGAGGCUUGUGUAGUCGAUACACAUCCGCCACUGCUUGUUCUUCUUCAGCACCAGGACCGGGUUUGCUAGCCAUUCUGGGAAAAAUACUUCCAUAAUAAAGCCGGCUGCAAGGAGUCGGGCUAUCUCUUCUCCAACAACUCUUCUCUUCUCUUCUAACAAGCGGCGCAAGGGCUGCCUGACGGGCUUCGCAUCAGAUCGGACAUGUAACUUGUGCUCGGCGAAUUCCGUCGGUACACCUGGCAUGUCUUUGGGGGACCAUGCGAAGAUGUCCCGAUUCUCACGGAGGAAAUCGACAAGCUCGCCUUCCUAUUUGCUGUCAAGGUUUGCACCUAUGACAGCGUACCUCUCUGGGUGCUCCGGGUCUAAGGGUAUCUUCUUUGUCUCUUUGGCCGGCUUAAACGAACCUUUAGCUUCCGACUCCUUGGGGUUAGGCGACAUCUCCGGCUGCUUGUCCGCCAUCGCCACAACCCGAUCUAGGAGCCGCUUCUCGGCCGCGAUCACUAGGGACUCGGCUAGCCGACUGCUUUCAGCCGCACACGCGGACGACUUUCUGUAGUCGCCGGCUAUGGUCAGAAUCCCCUUGGAACUCGGCAUCUUCAUCUUGAGGUAGGCGUAGUGGGGGACCGCCAUGAAUUUGGCCAAGGCAGGUCGGCCAAGCAGUGCAUGGUACAGGCUUUCAAGGUCCACCACUUCAAACCAGACUGGCUCUCGGCGGAAAUGAUCCUUGUCUCCGAAGAGGACAUCUAUCAGAAUCUUGCCGAUUGGUGAGCAGGAAAGGCCAGGGACAAUGCCGUGGAACACAGUCCGACUGUUCUGAAGCUGUCUUUGCUUGAUCCCUAACUUCUCCAUGGUAUCCUUGUACAGGAUGUUGAUGCUGCUGCCUCCGUCUAUCAGCACUCGUGAGAAACGAGCGGCUCUUUUAUCUGUGGCAAAGGUGGCAUCCAAGACCAGGGCGUAGGAACCCGGGUUCGGCAUCACUUCUGGGUGAUCAGCUCUGCUCCAACUGAUAGGCUUUUUGGACCAGUGCAUGAACUCUGGAGCAUCUGAUGCCACUGCAUUCACCUCCUGCUGCUGCAGUCGCCUGCUGCGUCUGUCGUCUGCCACACUGGUGAACACCACAUAGGCCCCAUGCUCUUCUGGGUACUCAUCUUGUACGGCGCCGACCAGCCUGACAGCCGGCUACUGGGGUGGAGGCGGAGGCUGCUGCCAAGCCGGCGGGGGUGGCGGGAGGCCAUCUCCCUUGGCGGUCCUUGUGAGCCAGUGGCACUUCCGGGUGAUGUGGUUCGACGGCUUCGCGCCGCUGUGGAACUUGCAAGGACCAUCUAGAGUCUGCUCGUAAGAGAAGGCCGGCAACCAGUUGGACUUGCCGCCUUUUCUGUCGUUUGGCGGAGGCUGACCAUCCGGCUGCUGGUCUUCGACCGUCGCAACCUGCCGACUGCUGGAAGCCGGCUGUGGGGCCUUGCGCCUGUGGUCAUUCUGCUGUUGUCGCCGACUGGAGUCUCCAGCCGGUGUUCUGGGAGCCUGAGGGGCCACUUUGCCAGUCGCACUAACUUGAAUCUCGGCCUUCAUGGAGGAGUCGGCUGUGGAAUACUUGUCUGCUAUGAUUAGCAACUCGUCAAGGGUUUCUGGCUCGUCGCAGAGGAGCUUGUGCUUGAGGAGGGUGCCUUCUCUGCACCCGGCGGUGAAGUAUUCGAUGGCCUGCACCUCGUGCACGCCCUCGCAGGAGUUCCGGAGCUCGGCCCAGUGCGUGAGGUAGUCGCGAGUUGAUUCGGUGGGGCCCUGCACGCACAAGGAGAGCUGAUGAGGCUUGGGAGGUCGCUUGUACGUGCUCGUGAAAUUGCGGAUGAAGGCUUCGGUGAAGUCGACCCAGCCGUUGAUGCUGCGGGGCUUCAGGCUGUUCAGCCAUGUCCGGGCCAUGCCCUGGAGCAUGAGCAGAACAUAUUUCACGACAACGCGCUUGUUGCCGUUCGCUAUGUUGACGGCCGUUGAGUAGUCAACCAGCCAGUCUUCCGGCUUCACGGAGCCGGUGUAUUUGGGCGUGUCUCGGGGGAGCGUGAACCCUUUGGGAAAGGGCUCAUCUCGGAUGCGGGGUCCGAAAUAGGGCGGGCCCAACUCGUCUUCUUCUUCCAGCGCCAGGGAUCAGUGAAGUCGGUCGAUCCGGUGGUGGGCGUUGUUUUCUCCGACUCCCUCUCGGUGGCCAAGGCGGUCAUCGAGAGUCAGAUGGUCAACAGGCGGCGGGGAGACUCGCCUUUCCUUGCGAGGAGGAGGCGGAUAGUCGUCCCGUCGUUCCACUGCCCUUGGGCGGCCGUCUUGGUCGCGCUCGAUGGUGAUGCGAGUCCAACUGUGGCUGACAGCCGGAUCCUUGUCCUUUCUCUCGCGGACACCGCCAGUCGGCGUCCGAGACGUCGCGCCUUGAUCUCGGUGGGGAGGCAGGUCGUCGUUUUGCCGUUGUGGUGCCUCUGUGCGGCAGCUGGCUUUGUUCUGCGCGGCAGCUGCGUCGAGGAGUCGCUGGACUCGCUCCGUCAUCAGGCGGCGCUCUUCACCCUCGAAGUUGUCCAGCUCGUCCGCCGCCGCCUGGCGGCUCGGAUGUUCUCCGCAGGCGUGGCGUACACGGGGCGAUCAUCCCCGAACAGGUUGGCGAUCUCCAUGCCGCGCUGCCGGACCGCGCCUAGGCGUCUAGGCCCCGUCGGGGCCGGCGAGCCGCCCACGGCGUGAUCCAUCUCUCGCUGGUAGGCCUCUGACAAGCGUCUCAUGCUUGCCAGCUUCUUUGCGCCUUCGACGAUCUGAAGGCGGCGUGCCUCCAGCGUCUCGGCGUUAGCGUCUUCUGGAAUGGGCGCGGUUAGGUCUUGUAGCGCCGCGUCGAGGGGUCGUGAGCUCCUCCGCCGGAAUGCUCGCCAUGAUCGAUGACGAGCACUUCUAUGAUGGUGCUUCCGCCGCUCUCCGCACGAGGGAGCAGCUCGUCGUAGACCACCACGUUGGUGGGAAACACGUCGAGCGACGCAGUGUCGGAGUCGACCAGCAUCGGGUCGGUGGAGCCUACGGACUCUAGGUCCACGGCAGGCUCGCCGGCGACGUGGAGUUGGUCGAGGAGGCCCACGAGGAGGCUAUCGGGGCCGCCCGUGCCUGCGUCAGAUGCAGGCUCAUCGGAGAGGCGAACCUCGCCGACAAGUUCGGCGAGGCAGCUGGCUGCGCAGGCGAUCUCAGCGCCGUGCAGCGCAUCGGCGCAAACUCCAUCUGGCGUGUCGGGCUGGCUGCGCUCGCCAGGGAGGAAGAGGGUUCCCGUCCAGAGCAGUAGUACAUGAUAUUAUUAGACGUUGUGUACCCUGAGCAUGAACAGGAACAAAUCCUACAGAAAAUGUCACUCCAAAGCUUACAGAGGGCAUCAUGCGGGAGACAGAACUACUCAGAAGGUAUUGCAGUCUGGGUUUUAUUGGCCUACUCUUUUCAAGGAUGCUCGUAAGUUCGUCUUAUCUUGUGAUGAAUGUCAAAGAAUAGGUAAUAUUGGUAAGCGUCAAGAAAUGCCUAUGAAUUAUUCACUUGUUGUUGAACCAUUUGAUGUUUGGGGUUUUGACUACAUGUGACCUUUUCCUUCCUCUAAUGGGUAUACUCAUAUUUUGGUUGUUGUUGAUUAUGUUACUAAGUGGGUAGAAGCUAUUCCAACUAGUAGUGUUGAUCACAACACCUCUAUUAAAAUGCUUAAGGAAGUUAUUUUCCCAAAGUUUGGAGUCCCUAGAUAUUUAAUGACUGAUGGUGGUGUCGGAGUAAAUAGCCAUGGGUAGCCUAGCCGGCUUCCCCUGGCACUUCUGCAAAAAUUACGAGCCAGCCCGGCUCUCAAGAACCCGAGACAUGGGGCCGCCUUCCCUUAGCCGGCUGCGAUCAAGGCCGGCUUUUGGAAGGCGGUCCGACUUUAGCCCUCAAGAGAGGGCCGACUCCAAGAAGCCGGCUGUGAGAAGGCCGACUCCUUCGAGCCGGCCCCCCGUAAAGCAGUCAAGACCGUACCCACAAAGUUUGCACCCACCUAACUGCGGUGCGACGGGGCGUGGCUACAGGAGAGCCUGCCACCCUUAAAUCCCGGGGCACGCCUGGCACAGUGCGCCGUACGAGGUAGGCAUGACCCGUCCGGCGCGGCACUGUUGCCAUGUUGACCCUGGCGUCACCCACGACGAGCCUCCAGCGUGGCCCACAGGCGGUGGGCCCCCUGAAGCAGAGAGACGGCCGAAGGCGGCCACGCUUCCAACCAGCCGGCCCGAGACGGAGCUGGCUCCCCGUGGCCGGUUCGCCGCCUCCCUCGAAGAGGACGCCCCAUUAAGGAGACAAGACGCGGUAAGGCUACAGUGAUCGUCCGACAGGCGGCAGCACUAUAACCAUGCUUACCACGAUGAAGCUCACGUCAACAAGAUAAAGCUACGGUGACCAAGGAGUUGGCAGCCGACGGGACCCACCAGUCGGCGGGCCCCAGCAGUCGGCGCAGAAGCCGGCGAGCACAGUCACAGACGGCUGGGCCCCGUGCCCAGUCGGAUUACCAUUGUACCCCCGGGGGGUAGGCCUAUAUAAGCCCCCCGGAGCACCCAUGCAAACGGUUCGACCCCCUGCUAGUUCUAGAUACCAUACAAGGAGAAGAAGCAGGCUAGCCGUGCCCUUUCUUCCUCCUCCCCCCAAAACAGCUCCAGGAGCGUUGUGUAGCUACUCGGUUCAUCUAGUGAGCAUGCGGAGACCCCGCAGAGCAGCAGUAGGGGUGUUAUCUCCUCGGAGAGCCCCGAAGCUGGGUAAGAUCCGCCGGCAUGCAUGUCUUCGCCUCAUCCCGCUUCCAGGCACCGGCGAUGUCUUACUGGUUCCCACACAGAUAAGCCACCCGUUGGCAUAUGUCGCACCUACCACCCGACAUUUGGCGUCCACCGUGGGGCCAGGCGCACCGUCGUCCGGAGACCUGUUCUGGACGGGAACCCUCUUCCUCCCCAGCGAGCGUAGCCAGCCCGGCACACCCGAUGGCGCUUGCCACGACACGCUGCAAAGCGUCACCAGCAUCUGCGCGGCAAGCGGCCUCGCCGAUCUCCCCAACGAUACCUUCAUCCCCGACGAGCUCGCCUCCGAUGUGGGCACUGACCGCCUCGCCAGCCUUCUCGGCCAGCUCCAUGUCUCCAGCGAGCCCGCUGCGGACCUGGAGUCGGUUGGCUCCACCGACCCGAUGCCUGUCGACUCCGACACGGCCUCCUACGACGCCUUCCCCACCAACGUCGCGAUCUACGACGACCCGCUUCCUCGAGCCGACGGCCAUGAUGCUGUCACCGCCGAAGUGAUGGUUGUCGGCCACAGCGGCCCAGCCGACGAGAGCGCCCGCGACGCCUCGCACGCGGUGGCCCACGACUUGUCCACUCCUCUCCCGGCCGACGCCAACGACAAAGCACUGGAAGCCCACCGCCUCGCUCUCCUCGCAGAGGGCCAGAGGCUGGCCUCCGUAAGACGCCUCACUGAAGCCUACCGGCGCGAGGCUGACCGCGCCGCCUUCGGCACGCUGGCCCCGGGCGGGCCAAGCCGGGCCGGCCUUGUCAAGCAACGCGGCGCCGUCAUCGCCGACACGCUGGGGGUCGAUCGCCCGGUCUAUGCCACUCCGCUCGAGAACUUGCGUGCCGCCCAGGCGGCCGUAGACGAGCUGGAUGGCCUGGAAGCUCAAGACCUUCCCCACAUGACCCGGCGCAUCCAGCAAUUGAUUGACGCCGCCGCGCAGCGGCAUGAAGCUGACGCUCGCGCGGAGAGCCUUCCCUCGCGCCGAGAGCACGGCGCGACAUCCCGGACGCCGACUACGAGCAAUACCCACGCGCGACGCGAGAAGGAGCUGGCUUCCAGCCGCAGCCGGACCUGGAUCUCCAUCGAGCGGGACGCUGACGGUCAUCCCCGGGCCAUGGAGUGGCGGGGCGACCCGCCUCCGCCUCCGCCCCGUGGAGAGAGAUAUCCCACCUCACCGCCAGUGGCGCACCUGACUCUCAGCGGCCGGCUGGGCCGCCGCGAAGGAAGCGGCGAGAACGACGCCCGUCAUCGGCUCGACCGCCUGGCGCGAUCCCUAGCAUUGGAAGAAGAAGACGAUGUCGGCCCGCCUUGCUUUGGCCCCCGCAUCCGCGACGAGCCCUUUCCCAAAGGGUUCUCGCUCCCAAGAGACACGCCCAAGUACAACGGCUCCGUGAAGCCGGAAGACUGGUUGAUCGACUACUCCACCGCAGUUAGUAUAGCCAACGGCAACCGGCGAGUCACCGUGAAGUACGUGCCCCUCAUGCUGCAGGGCACGGCGCGGACCUGGCUCAACAGCCUCAAGCCGCGUAGCAUCAACAGCUGGCUAGACUUCACCGAAGCCUUCAUCCGCAACUUCACCAGCACCUACAAGCGGGCUCCCAAGCCCAGACAGCUUUCCUUGUGCGUGCAAGGCCCCACCGAGUCCACUCGCGAUUACCUCACACGUUGGGCCGAGCUUCGCAACUCCUGUGAAGGGGUGCACGAGGUACAAGCUAUAGAGUACUUCACAGCCGGAUGCCGAGAAGGCACCCUCCUCAAGCACAAGCUCCUCUGCGAUGAGCCGGCUACCCUCGACGAGCUCCUGGACAUAGCGGACAAGUACGCCACCGCCGACUCCUCGAUGAAGACCGAGCUUCGGGUAGACGCGUCCGGGAAGGUGCUCAACCCAGCGCCCAAGACGCCGGCUGGAGAACCCGGCCGACACCCCAACUUGAACGACAACAAGCGCAAGGGCCCCGCGCCGCCUCCCGCUAGCCGGCAGGUGGCCACGGUCGAAGAUGCGCCGCCUGAAGAACGACCGGCGCCCAAGAAGCCCAAGGGCGGCAGGCCGGCUUGGCAGCCCGCCUUCUCCUACGAGCAAACCCUCGACGCCCCUUGCAAGUUCCACAGCGGCGCGAAGCCGUCCAACCACACGACCCGGAAGUGCAACUGGCUCACCCGAAUCUCUAAGGGCGAGGGGCUCUUGCCGCCUCCGCCUGCCGACCCGCCGCCUCCGCCUCCGCCGCCUCCGGCCGCUCGGCCCGCAGUCGGAGCCGUGCAUGACGAGUUUCCUGAUGAGCAAGCAACCUACAUCAUCUUCACCAGCUAGCCCGAAGACCGACACAGCAAACGCCGAGAGCACCAAGAAGUCAGCGUGGUCGCUGCCAACCUCGCUGGACACAUGCAUUAGUCUGAAAAGCCCAUCAGCUGGAGCCGGGCCGACCAUCCGGAGGUGAUGCCGUCUCCCGGCUCUUACGCUCUGGUCCUGGAAGCCACCCUUGCGACGGACAGACGCGCCGCCCGCUUCUCCCGUGUGUUGAUAGACGGCGGGAGCAGCAUCAACAUCUUGUAUCGUGACACCCUGGAGAAGUUGAACGUCAAGACAAGACAGCUCGCGCCCACUCGGACAGUGUUCCACGGCAUCGUACCCGGCCUGUCCUGCGCCCCCAUUGGUAAAGUCAAGAUUGAUGUACUUUUUGGGGACAAGGAGCAUUUCCGCCGGGAAGCAAUCUGGUUUGAAGUGGUGGACCUAGAGAGCCCUUACCAUGCAUUGCUGGGCCGACCUGCCUUGGCCAAAUUCAUGGCGGUCCCCCACUAUGCAUACCUCAAGAUGAAGAUACCAAGCACCAAAGGCGUCAUCACCAUAACCGGCGACUACAAGAAGUCUGCCGAGUGCACCGCGGCCAGCAGCCGGCUGGCCGAGUCCCUUGUGAUCGCCGAAGAGAAGAAGAUGCUGGACCGAGUCGUGGCCAUGGCCGGCAAGCAGUCGGCCGUGUCCCCCGACCCCAAGGAGCAUGAUCCUCAAGGGUCUUUCCAGCCGGCCAAGGAGACGAAGAAGAUACCUCUUGACCCCGAGCGCCCAGAGAGGUUUGCCGUCAUCGGGGCAAACCUGAACAGCAAAUAGGAAGGCGAGCUCGCCGAUUUCCUCCGUGAGAAUCGGGACAUCUUUGCGUGGUCCCCCAAGGACAUGCCGGGUGUUCCGAGGAAAUUCGCCGAGCACAAACUGCAUGUUCGAGAAGACGCAAAGCCAGUCAGACAACCCCUCCGCCGACUGUCGGAGGAGAAGCGCAGGAUUGUAGGGGAGGAGAUAGCCCGGCUCUUGGCAGCCGGCUUCAUCAUGGAAGUUUUCUUUCCAGAGUGGCUCGCCAACCCGGUCCUUGUGCUGAAGAAGAAUAACAAGUGGCGCAUGUGUAUAGACUACACAAGUCUCAACAAGGCCUGCCCCAAUGAUCCUUUUGCCCUGCCAAGGAUAGACCAAGUGAUAGACUCCACAGCCGGAUGCGAGCUGUUGAGUUUUUUGGAUGCUUACUCCGGGUAUCACCAGAUAAAGCCCGACCCGGACGACCGCCUGAAGACCGCCUUCAUCACGCCGUUCGGAGCCUUCUGCUACCUGACUAUGACAUUCGGCUUGAGAAAUGCCGGUGCCACCUUUCAGCGUUGCAUGCAGAAGUGCCUCCUCAAGCAGCUCGGCAGAAAUGCCCAUGUUUACGUGGACGACAUCAUGGUGAAGACGGAGAAGCAUGGCACCUUGCUGGAAGACCUCAAGGAAACAUUUGAGAACCUGCGCCGGUUCCAAAUCAAGCUCAACCCCGAGAAAUGCGUGUUCGGGGUGCCAGCCGGCCAGCUCCUAGGCUUCCUGGUCUCCAAAUGCGGCAUCGAAUGCAACCCAGCGAAGAUCAAGGCCAUCGAGAGAAUGGCGAUCCCCACCAAGCUUCGAGACAUUCAGAAGUUCACCGGGUGCUUGGCCUCCUUGAACCGCUUCAUGAGCCGGCUCGGAGAGAAGGCCCUCCCCCUCUACCGCCUCAUGAAGAAGAGCACUCACUUCGAGUGGAACGACCAGGCCGACCAAGCUUUCCACGAGUUGAAGAAGAUGCUGGCCACGCCGCCUGUCCUCGCGGCGCCGACCGAGAAAGAGACCAUGCUCCUUUACAUCGCUGCAACCAGCCGGGUGGUCAGCACCGUCAUUGUAGUCCAGCGCCCGGAAGAAGGCCGAGCCCAGCCGGUCCAGAGGCCGGUGUAUUAUUUGAGCGAGGUGCUGUCCGCCUCAAAGCAGAACUACCCGCACUACCAAAAGAUGUGUUACGGCGUGUACUUCACCGCCAAGAAGCUGAAGCCCUACUUUCAAGAGCAUCCCGUCACGGUCGUAUGCACUGCCCCGCUAGCCGAGAUCAUAGGCAGCCGGGAUGCAUCCGGCCGGGUGGCGAAAUGGGCCAUCGAGCUGGCCCCAUACACGAUCUUCUACCAGCCCCGCACUGCCAUCAAGUCCCAAGCACUGGCCGACUUCCUCGUCGACUAGGCCGAGACCCAGUACCUGCCGCCGGCUCCCGACUCCACCCAUUGGCGCAUGCACUUCGACGGAUCCAAGAUGCGCACCGGCUUGGGAGCCGGCAUUGUCCUUACCUCUCCCAAGGGCGACAAGCUCAGAUACAUGCUACAAAUCCACUUCGCCGCCUCCAACAAUGUGGCCGAGUACGAGGCGCUCAUACACGGGCUCCGGCUUGCCAAAGAGCUUGGCAUUCGCCGGAUCCUAUGUUAUGGCGACUCGGACCUAGUAGUCCAGCAGUCAUCCGGUGUCUGGGACGCCAAGGACGCGAACAUGGCGAGCUACCGUUUCCUGGUCCAGCAACUCAGCGGAUACUUUGAAGGAUGCGAGUUCCUCCACGUACCUCGAGCCGACAACGAGCCAGCCGAUGCCCUGGCUCGAAUAGGCUCCACUCGGCAAGCAAUUCCAACCGGCGUCGCUCUACAACGCCUACUCAAGCCGUCUAUCAAGCCGUCUCCGGAAUCCGAUUCCAUCUUCGUGCCGCCUGACCCCGAUGCGGCCAGGUCCGGCUCGAAGAAGCAAGUAGCCGGCCCGGGGACUGCGGUAGCCGGCCCGGGGACUUCGGCAGCCGGCCCGGGGACUUCGGCAGCCGGCCCGGGGACUGCACCAGCACUACAGUCGGCCGCUGACUCCAGCACCUCACCGCCCAGCCCGCCCACCCUGGUGGCAGUAGCCACUUUGGCAGUAGAAGAAAUCGCGGCUCCGUCUUGGGCUCAGUCCAUCCUCAACUUCCUAGUAAACCAAGACCUGCCGGCUGAUGAAACAGAAGCAAGACAAGUCCAGCGUCGAGCCGGAGCGUACACGAUCGUCAACAAAGAACUACUCAAGCGCAGCGUCACCGGAGUCCUCCAGCGAUGCGUCAAGCAAGAGAAGGGCAUUGCAAUCCUCGCAGACAUUCACCAAGGAGAGUGCGGCCACCAUGCGGCCUCAAGAUCACUUGUCGCCAAAGCCUUCCGCCAUGGUUUCUUCUGGCCGACUGCUUUGUACGACGCCAAAGAAUUAGUCAAGCAUUGCAAGGGAUGCCAGCUCUUCAGCUCCAAGCAACACAUGCCGGCUUCGGCACUCAAGACCAUUCCCCUCACUUGGCCCUUCGCCGUUUGGGGACUGGACAUGGUGGGCCCAUUCAAGACGGCGCGCGGCGGCAUGACGCAUCUGCUCGUCGCCGUGGACAAAUUCACCAAGUGGAUUGAAGCAAAGCCGAUCAAGAAGCUGAAUGGGCCGACUGCCAUGACGUUCAUUGCGGACAUAACAACUCGGUAUGGCGUGCCGCACAGCAUCAUCACCGACAAUGGCACGAAUUUCGCCAAAGGAGCCUUGGCACGUUUCUGCGCAGCCCAAGGCAUCUGGCUGGACUUAGCAUCCGUCGCCCACCCGCAGUCAAACGGCCAGGUCGAGCGAGCCAAUGGCCUCAUCCUCUCCGGCAUCAAGCCCCGACUGGUUGUACCUCUGGAGCGCUCAGCCGGCUGUUGGCUCGAUGAGCUGCCGGCUGUCCUCUGGAGUCUGUGCACUACACCAAACAAGUCAACCGGCUUCACCCCUUUCUUCCUUGUGUAUGGUGCCGAGGCGGUCAUCCCAACUGACAUUGAAUUUGACUCGCCUCGAGUAACCAUGUACACGGAAGCGGAGGCCAAGGAAGCACGAGAAGACGGUGUCGACCUGCUGGAAGAAAGCCGGCUGUUAGCCCUCAGCCGGUCUGCAAUCUACCAGCAGGGUUUGCGCCGCUACCACAGCCGGAAGGUCGGGCCAAGAUCUUUCCAGGAGGGCGACCUUGUGCUCCGGCUAAUUCAGCGAACAGCCGGCCAGCACAAGCUCUCAGCCCCUUGGGAAGGCCCUUUCGUCAUCAGCAGAGCUCUAGGCAACGACUCCUACUACCUGAUCAACGCGCAGAAGCCGAAGGCACGCAAGAAAGACAACUCCGGCAAGGAGUCGGAACGGCCAUGGAACGCCAACCUCCUUCGAAGAUUUUACAGUUGAAAGAUAGUAUGUAUCACGCCAACUUUUGUAUUAAGUACAAGACAAUAGGCUCCCCGAGGAGGCCUCGGGGAUUGCCAUCCCUUAUUUAUGAAUGAAAAUAUAAUGCUUGUCGUAUCAUUUACUUAUUCCGUCCGGCACCGAGUUCGACUAGUCGGCUCGGGGACUGGCCGACUGAAGUUAUAUUAGAAAUCCUACCUGCAGUCAGACAAGUAGUGUGCCGGAUCUCAAGCCUUCCCUUGCCAAAGUCGCAGUUCGAAGAACCGGCUGUCCGGCUGGCAAGGGUUAAAGGUAGGAAUGACCGCCCACACGAAAAACGGCUAGGGACUAACAGACUAAUAUAACAAAGCCGGUUUUUCCCACACCGCCGACCGGCUACCAGAGUAGCCGGCCGGCCGGUUUCCAUUCACUUUACUUUAAAUCCAAGAAAGCUCAAGUACUUGCCUCCCCAAAGAGGGAGGUGGCAAAGGAAAAAUCCUAAGGAUAAACAAGCAUACGCGAAUGGAAACCAAACAUGCACGUGAUAAUAUUUACAUAAAAGACCUCCUAGAGGCCAGCAUUCAACAUAGUUUGGAUACACCCCCAGUGGGUGGAACUGCGAACUUAACAAAAGAUUGUUCAAAGACAACAAAGCGGGAAAGAUAAAGACGGCAGGUCAGGCUGGCGGAGCGGCCGACUGAUUGGCGGAGACGGUCGCGCCGGCUGAAGGAGCGGUCGGCUGACGAACUUCGACUUGGUCGCCGCCUCCCGCAGAGGGCGCGCUUCCACGCGCCUCGUUGCUGGAGGCACGGUCGGCCUGAGAUCGGAUGGUUGUUCCACCAGCCGGCUCGACGUCUCCGCCGUCGUCGUCUUCGUCCUCUUCGCCCUUGUCGCUGGAGGCGAUCUCCUCCGCCGAGUCCUCGCCCACCGCCGGGUUCAGCCCGAACCACUCCUCCGGCUGCGCGACACCGUCAUCAUCGAUUUCGGGUGCGAAAACGCUGAUGUCGAUGCACUCGGCGAUCGUUGAAGCUCGUUGGGCAAUAGCCGGCCUCACCUCCUCCAGCUCCGCGUCGGCCUCCAUCCGCCAAGUACGCAGCUGGUCCAGGCUCAGUCCUGGGUACCAAGCCCGAAUGAAUUCCAACGCCCGCCCGGCUCCGAGGCGGGCUGCUGACGCUUUCCAAGCCUCGAAGCAUCCGACUGCGACUUCCAGCCAGUCGGCAGUUCGGCUCGGGGUGCGGGGGAUCGUCUCGCCAGGCCAAAGGGCGACCAGCACUUGCGCCCCAACACGUUGGAGCCAGCGAAGCAUCCGGUGGGCCGGCUGCAGCCGCGCCUGGACAGCCAGAAGCUGCUCCUCAAGGGUCCGGUUUGCGUCCAGCGCAAUGUCGGCCCCCGCUUGACGGCGCGCUUCGCGAUGGGCUUCGAUGGUUUGGGCAGCGAAGGUGGAGUAGCCUGGGAAGUAAUCUGCAAGAAACAACAAGCAAGAGCUCAAGAUAAGUCAAAAAACCCAGACGGCAAGGGACGGGGGAAGGCCGAGGAAAGCAGCUUACCAUCGAUCAAGUCUUCAAUCUGGCCGUAGCCUUCGUCCAGGCCUCGCCGGGUCUCGGACCAGGUCGCCGCCGCCAUCUCAUACUCCGCCAGCAAGGCGGCUUCGCUCUCCUUCGCCGCCUGAAGGGCCGUUUUGUGGCUUUCUUCUUGAUCGGCCAACUUCUUGGCCAGGCGAUCCCGUUCCUGGGCCAAGGCAGUGCACUCGGCUUCCUUGGCGUAAAGGGGGGCCUUCGCUUCGCCAAGCUCCUUCCUCAAGUCGGCGUUGGCCCCUGAAGACAAGCGAGAAGAAAAAUCAAUAAGAAAAGAGUCGUCAAGAAAGAUUCGACCCGACUGCGCGGCAGUCGGCCCGAAUCUCGGGGACUACACCCAGUGGGUGCGCUGACGCGCCCCCACAGGAGACAAACAAAACCUAGUACUUACUUCGGCUGUCGGCCAGGUCGUCGGCCCGCCGGCUCAACUCUCGAGCCCGGGAGUCGAAGGCGGCAACACGAAGGUUGUGGUAUUCCUGAAAGUUUAGAAAGAAAGCAAAGUAAAGUGGCCGUCGAGAAAGAUCCGACCCGACUGCGCAGCAGUCGGCCACACCCAGUGGGUGCGCUGACGCGCCCCCAUGGAAGAAAUCAAGAAAGUAAAGCAGCCAAGAGCGAAGGACUCACCCGGACAGUGGUUCGCGUCGACAAGAACUCUUGGUUAAGCUGUUGCAGCAGGGCGGCUUGAGCUCGUAGCCGGCUCCGGACCCCUUGAGCCGCUGCUUCCAGCUCGCCGGUCCCCCCGCUGGGAGUCCACUCGGACACGGCGGAGCUGGCCGCCUCCAGAUCUCCAGCCGGCUGGCCUGCGCCCGCGGCUCGGCGCAACUCUGGCGGAGCAGCGCCUCCUCCAGCACGCCGGCCCAUCACCAGCUGCACUUUGAGGCCGGCCCUGCUCUCUGGCUCGCCUCCGGCCGGCUCCUCCGGCGCCGCUGAUGAUUGACCGCCUUGGCCUGCUCCGGUCGGCGCCGCAGACGGCGCUCUCCCGGCCAAGGCCACGGGCUCCUCCUCCCUCUCCAACAGCGGCGGGUCUUGAUGAUCUCCUCCGCCAAGGGCAACGGGGUGUCGGGGGCCAUGGCUCGGAGGGGCACGGCGAGCAGCGGAGGCUGGCUGCACGAGCUUUCCGCCUCCGUCUCCGCGGAAGCCGCCUCCCUCUGGGCCUUGGCUACCGCCUCAGCCUGCCCCUUUGCCGCCUGGGCGGCCGCCUUCUCCGCCGCCUCGCGCUCCUCCCGCGCUUCGCGGGCGUUCCGCUCGGUGGCCUCCCUAAGAUCGGCACGGGGGUCCACGCGGCGGGAGCUCGAAGACCCUCCAGCCGGCCCCAUGACGGAGCCGCCCGGGCCCCGCUCAAGAGAAAGCGGUGCCCUAUCCAUCAAGUGAAGGAAAGUUAAGAAGACAUUCGAAGAAAAGAGAACAACGACGAGACUGCGGCAAAGCAAGUAAAGACUUACGCCGAGACCGCCUGGGGCUGUUUUACGGCCUUGCGGAAGCGGGCCGCCUUCGCGGCCGCCUCUUCUCGCUUCGUCGCCGCGGCGGAAGGUUUGGACUUCUUCGGCCGACUGCCGAAGAGGCCUAGAGCGGCCCGACGCUUCUGCGCGCCGCCGGCAGCCGGCGCGACGGACGAGCCCGCGCCCUGUUGGUCGGCCGCCGGUUGGUGACUCAGAGCGACUUCGGCUUCAAAGUCGUCCGGCCAGUCCUCGAAGCUCGCGGUGAACCUCGAGCUUCCGGGCUCGGCACUGUCCCCCACGACGGCGUCUUCCAUGGCGGCUGCCCCCAAGUCCGUGUCGUUGAUGUCAUCCACCGCGCGGUCGGGGGCGUACUGACGUUCGAUCCCGGCCGCCCCGGCCGGCGGCGCAAGAAAAGGGUUCUGCACAGAGAACCGGCUGGUCAGAAGCCGGCCGUCAUGAAGCCGGCUGACGAUGAAAAAGAAGAUAAAGAGAGAAACUUACCACGAGUGGAGGAUUUGCGCGAGAAUACGGCGCCUUGCCGUACUACCAGUCCCCGCUGAGCUUGCAAUUGGCGAUGUAGUUGACCAUAAGCGCCACCUCCGCGUGGGGCAUCUCCCAUGUGCUGAGCUGGCUUGGGUCGAAACGGACGCUCAUCUGACACAUCAUAUGGGGCCGGCUCUGGAGAGGAAGGAUCCGGCGCUCCACGAAGGCGGCCACCAAGUCGGCCCCGCGCAAGCCUUCCGACUGAAUGAGCACCCGAAGCCGGGAGAUGGCGGCGUUCCCGGCCGGAGACAACGACCGGGACCGAAAGCUCCACGAGGGCUGCCUCCCAGCUGGCGGGCCGGCUACGUAAGCCGGCAAGUUGAUGUAGUCUUCUUGCUCGGCGACAUUCUUCACGUAGAAAUAGGAUCUCUGCCAGACCUUCACCGACUGGAUCAGGGGGAUAGGCGGGAACGGAUUGUUCUCGCUCGCCCUCCUCAUGGCGAUGAAGGCUCCACAGGGGGCAGGCACGCCGGCGACGACUGUGCCGAGCUUGCUCUGGAAGAACUCCCCCCAGAGCUCCAGCGUGGGGAGCAGCCCCAAGAAGCCUUCGCAGAGGGAGACGAAGGCCGACAGCAACAUCACCGCAUUGGGCGUGAGGUGAUGCGGCUGGAGGUUGUAGAAUUCGAGGAAGGAACGAAGAAACCCGCUCGCCGGGAGGCCGAAGCCGCACAGGCAGUGCGAGCGGAAGACGACCCGCUCGCCCUCCUCCGGCGCCGGCGAGAUCUCCCUCUCGGGUGCCAGGCGGACCUGAACGCGGUCGGCGCCGGGCAGGCGCCGGGUCUGGCGAAGAAACUCCACGUGAUCCUCAUGGACGUUGGAGCCGUCCCAGGAGCUUGACAAUGCCAUGGGAGCGAGGUGGCAUGGAGGCGCGACGGCGCUGAGACAGGAGGCUGCGGCGGCAACGAGAGGAGGAAGACGAGGGUUAGGAGGGACGGAGUGGGAGGGAGCGCGCGAGCCUCUGUCGCUCCCCCUCCUCCCCCUACUUAUAGGCUCACGUGGCGGAGCCGAGGAGGCAUGGCGUGGGGAAGCGUGGGGGUCGAUCGUGCCCACUUUCCACGCCCCGCAAUUACCGACCCUUAAUGGCGAGGCGAAACUGCCUUGAGAAGGCGAGCGGCCCUGUGGGCCACAGGAGAUCCGCGCCCGGACCGAGGCCCGCGAGUGGCGGGCCCGGGCCUGCAACGGCAUUCCAUCGUGUGCGUGCGCUCGCAGGAACCUGCCGCCACGUGGCCGCGAGAGGGCCCGUGGUCAGCAUGCAGGCCCCCCUCUCCUCCCGCCUGCGCGGGGUUAUCAGAAGUCGGCGCACGCCCGCGAAGCCGGCUCUUCAGGAUAGGAAGCUGACCAAGCUUCUCGUCCCCUUGUUCACCUCGGAGCUCGAUCAGCUUCGGGGACUACUGUCGGAGUAAAUAGCCAUGGGUAGCCUAGCCGGCUUCCCCUGGCACUUCUGCAAAAAUUACGAGCCAGCCCGGCUCUCAAGAACCCGAGACAUGGGGCCGCCUUCCCUUAGCCGGCUGCGAUCAAGGCCGGCUUUUGGAAGGCGGUCCGACUUUAGCCCUCAAGAGAGGGCCGACUCCAAGAAGCCGGCUGUGAGAAGGCCGACUCCUUCGAGCCGGCCCCCCGUAAAGCAGUCAAGACCGUACCCACAAAGUUUGCACCCACCUAACUGCGGUGCGACGGGGCGUGGCUACAGGAGAGCCUGCCACCCUUAAAUCCCGGGGCACGCCUGGCACAGUGCGCCGUACGAGGUAGGCAUGACCCGUCCGGCGCGGCACUGUUGCCAUGUUGACCCUGGCGUCACCCACGACGAGCCUCCAGCGUGGCCCACAGGCGGUGGGCCCCCUGAAGCAGAGAGACGGCCGAAGGCGGCCACGCUUCCAACCAGCCGGCCCGAGACGGAGCUGGCUCCCCGUGGCCGGUUCGCCGCCUCCCUCGAAGAGGACGCCCCAUUAAGGAGACAAGACGCGGUAAGGCUACAGUGAUCGUCCGACAGGCGGCAGCACUGUAACCAUGCUUACCACGAUGAAGCUCAUGUCAACAAGAUAAAGCUACGGUGACCAAGGAGUUGGCAGCCGACGGGACCCACCAGUCGGCGGGCCCCAACAGUCGGCGCAGAAGUCGGCGAGCACAGUCACAGACGGCUGGGCCCCGCGCCCAGCCGGAUUACCAUUGUACCCCCGGGGGGUAGGCCUAUAUAAGCCCCCCGGAGCACCCAUGCAAACGGUUCGACCCCCUGCUAGUUCUAGAUACCAUACAAGGAGAAGAAGCAGGCUAGCCGUGCCCUUUCUUCCUCCUCCCCCCAAAACAGCUCCAGGAGCGUUGUGUAGCUACUCGAUUCAUCUAGUGAGCAUGCGGAGACCCCGCAGAGCAGCAGUAGGGGUGUUAUCUCCUCGGAGAGCCCCGAAGCUGGGUAAGAUCCGCUGGCGUGCAUGUCUUCGCCUCAUCCCGCUUCCAGGCACCGGCGAUGUCUUACUGGUUCCCACACAGAUAAGCCACCCAUUGGCAUAUGUCGCACCUACCACCCGACAGGUGGUUCACACUUUAUUCAUGGUGCUUUACGUAAAAUGCUUGCCAAGUAUGACAUUAACCAUAGAAUUGCAUCACCCUAUCAUCCUCAGUCUAGGGGUCAAGUUGAACUUAGCAAUAGAGAAAUACAAUUAAUUUUGCAAAAGAUUGUCAAUAGGUCCCGGAAGAAUUGGUCUAAGAAAUUAGAUGAUGCACUUUGGGCUUAUAGAACAACAUAUAAAAAUCCUAUGGGUAUGUCUCCUUAUAAAAUGGUUUAUGGAAAAGCUAGUCAUUUGCCUCUUGAGUUAGAACAUAAAGCAUAUUGGGCAAUUAAAGAACUCAACUAUGAUUUCAAACUUGCUGGUGAGAAGAGGUUAUUUGAUAUUAGCUCAUCAGAUGAAUGGAGAACCCAAGCUUAUGAAAAUGCCAAGUUAUUUAAAGAAAAAGUUAAAAGAUGUCAUGAUAAAAGGAUCCAAAAGCGUGAGUUCAAAGUUGGAGAAUAUGUUCUUUUGUACAACUCUCAUUUCAGAUUCUUUGCAAAAAAACUCCUCUCCAAAUGGGAAAGACCUUAUGUUAUCGAGGAGGUUUAUCAGUCUUAAGCUAUCAAAAUAAAUAAUGUCGAAGGUACUAACCCAAAGGUUGUUAAUGGGCAACGAGUAAAACAUUAUAUCUCAGGUACACCCAUUAAUGUUGAAAGUAAUAUUAUCCAAACUAUGACACCGAAAGAACACAUAAAAGAAACCUUUUGGAACACUCCAGAAUCGUGAAAAAGAGGAGGUACAUGAUACGGUAAGUAAACGGACUCCGAAAAAUCGGCAAAAAUAUUUUUUGUCAGUUUUGGAAAAUAAAAAAAUAGGAAAAUAAGAAACAACCAGGAAGGUCACCCUGGUGGGCACAAUACACCAGGGUGCGCUUGGCUUGCCAAGCGCGCCCAGGUGGGUUGUGCCCACCUCGGGUACCUUUCGAACUCCUUUUUUCUUCCAUUUGCUUGUUUCCCAAGAUAAAAACAUCUUUAUACACCCCCCCCCCCCGAACCUAUUGACCACCAUAUCACGGAGAAAUCUUCUGUUUUCUUUUCUUGCUAUUUUCGGUCAGAUCUGUUAAGCCAGCCAUCAUGUCUUCUCCCUUCUCCAACAAAGUAGAAGAGGAUGCUUGGUUGAUGAAGAUCCAGCUGAAGAGAGAGGGGCCUGAAGAACUUCUCGAAGGAGGCAAAAGCCGGGAGGCCAUCGGAGUUCAAACUCCGGUGACCUAGCAAGCAUUGCCUACCGAGGAGGAAGAAGAAGAUAUCCUUAAAUCUUACUAUGCUCAUCUUACCCCUACUGAGAUUGAAGCCUUUCGGAUCAUUGAAACAGUUCGUGUGUGAAAUAAAUAUCUCACUCAUGAAAAUAUUCUGCAACAAGAGCACAUCAUCUUCCUCCGGAGCGUCAUCCAUAGAUUGGAGAAUCUCUUGAUCAUGAAGGACAAGAUCGCUGCCACUUCAUCACCACCACCUCCUUCAUCAUCACCAAAAGAAAAUUGAGUAUCGGGUAUCGUAUCACCCCCACUAUCUUUUGCCUUUACUUAUCUUAGUUUGAUACUUAGUUAUCUUUUUGCUUUAGAUGAAUAAAAUUUUAGUCCGAUCCUUUCUUUUUGAGAGUUUGCUUAGCGAUCUAUCCUUGUAAUCGUGUGCGAGAUAUAUAAUAAAGUUUAGUUUGAGUUUUUGCUUUCUUUACUUUCAUGUUCCAAUAAAAAGAAAGGAAAUGAAUGAAAAAGAUCAUAUGCUAAUCUUAUGGUAGGUAAUGACACCACAUAAGGAAAAGUAUAAGUAGAAAAAUUUAUUAGAGAUUGACAAACAUAGCAUUGGUCAAUGAUGCAACUCAUGAAAGAAUUAAUGAGGGAAGAGAAGAUUCACAUACAAAUACACUAUCCUAGAAAUCUUGUGUGAUUGUGAGCCCCCAUCAAAAUAUUAUAUGCAAAAACUAUUGAUUUUGGACAAGGAAGACAACAUAAUGAUUUAUGUUUGUUCAUAUUCACAUAGAAAUUAUAUUGUCAUGGAUCUUUCAACAUGUGGUGCUUGCCCCCCAUCUUUGCUAGCCAAAAAUUCUGCACCAAGUAGAGAUACUACUUGUGCAUCCAAAAACUCUGAAACCAAAUCUUAUUUUCAAGAGUCCACCAUACCUACCUAGGGAUUGCGCAAGAUCCCUCAAGUAAGUUGUCAUCGGUGCAAUAAGGCAGUAAAAAUUUGUUCUAAAAAUGUUAGACCAUUUAGUGUAAAAGAAAAUUGAGCGUUGUACGAACUUGUGAUAGCAAAGAAUAAAAGCGAUAGACUGCAUAAUAAAGGUUGCUAUCAUAAAGGGCAAUAUAACGUGAUGUUGUUUUGCACUAAGGGGUUGAGCAUACAAACAAAUAAGCGCAUGGCAACCUCUGCUUUCCUCUGCGAAGGGCCUAUCUUUUACUUUUAUGUAUUUACUUUUAUGCAAGAGUCAAAGUUUUUCUCUCUUUUCAUUUUUAUUUUUCUCCUUUGGCAAGCAUCAUGUGGUGAGGAAAGAUCUAGGCACAUAUGUCCAGUUGAAUAUGAGUAGCAUGCGUUAUUAUUGUUGACAUUACCCUUGAGGUGAAUACGUUGGGAGGCGAAAUUAUAAGCCCUGAUGUCGCUUGAAGCUACGUUGAUAUUUCCCCAAAGAGGAAGGGAUGAUGCAACAUAGCGGCGGUAGGUAUUUCCCUCAGAUAUGAAACCAAGGUUAUCGGACUAGUAGGAGAACCAAGCAACACAACGUAAACAGCACUUGCACACAGAUAACAAAUCCUCGCAACUCGACGUGUUAAAGGGGUUGUCAAGCCCUUCCAGGGUACGACGCCCAAGAUGGCAAACGGACAUGAGAUAAAAUUGUAGUAGAUUGAUAGAUCGAACGCCAAAUAAAAUAUAUAGAAAUAAAACACAGCAAGGUAUUUUUGUAUUUUUGGUUUAAUAGAUCUAAAAAUAAAUGCAACGAAAAAGUAGAUCGCAAAGGCAAAUAUAUGAGAAAGAGACCUGGGGGCCAUAGAUUUCACUAGUGGCUUCUCUCGAGAAAAAUAGCAAACGGUGGGUAAACAAAUUACUGUUGGGCAAUUGAUAGAACUUCAAAUACUCAUGACGAUAUCUAGACAAUGAUCAUUAUAUAGGCAUCACGUCCAAGGUUAGUAGACCGACUCCUGCCUGCAUCUACUACUAUUACUCCACACAUCGACCGCUAUCCAGCAUGCAUCUAGUGUAUUAAGUUCAUGGAGAAGCGGAGUAGUGUGCUACCUCUUGAGCAUGCGUUGGUUUUCCCUUGAAGAGGAAAGGGUGAUGCAGCAAAGUAGCAUAAGUAUUUCCCUCAGUUUUUGAGAACCAAGGUAUCAAUCUAGUAGGAGACUAUACGCAAGUCCCUAGUACAUGCACAAACAAUCAAGAACCUUGCAACCAACGCGAUAAAGGGGUUGUCAAUCCCUUCACGGCCAAUUGCAAAAGUGAGAUCUGAUAAAGAUAAUAAGAUAAAUAUUUUUGGUAUUUUUGUUGUAUAGAUUGGAAAGUAAGAUUGCAAAAUAAACAAUGAUAGAAAUAGCUAGUUGAUAGGAACAUAAUAUGAUGGAAAAUAGACCCGGGGGCCAUAGGUUUCACUAGUGGCUUCUCUCAAGAUAGCAUAUUCUACGGUGGGUGAACAAAUUACUGUCAAGCAAUUGAUAGAAAAGCACAUAGUUAUGAGCAUAUCUAGGCAUGAUAAUGAACAUAGGCAUCACGUCCGUGACAAGUAGACCAAAACGAUUCUGCAUCUACUACUAUUACUCCACACACCGACCGCUAUCCAGCAUGCAUCUAGAGUAUUAAGUCCAUAAGAACAGAGUAACGCAUUAUGCAAGAUGACAUGAUGUAGAGGGAUAAACUCAAGCAAUAUGAUAUAAACCCCAUCUUUUUAUCCUCAAUGGCAACAAUACAAUACGUGCCUUGUUGCCCAUGUUGUCACUGGGAAAGGACACUGCAAGAUUGAACCCAAAGCUAAGCACUUCUCCCAUUGCAAGAAAGAUCAAUCUAGCUAGUAGGCCAAACCAAACUGAUAAUUCGAAGAGACUUGCAAAGAUAUUAAAUCAUGCAUAUAAGAAUUCAGAGAAGAAUCAAAUAUUGUUCAUAGAUAAUCUUGAUCAUAAACCCAUAAUUCAUCGGAUCUCGACAAACACACCGCAAAAAGAGUUACAUCAAAUAGAUCUCCAAGAGAAUCGGGGAGAACUUUGUAUUGAGAUCCAAAGAGAGAGAAGAAGCCAUCUAACUAAUAACUAUGGACCCGAAGGUCUGUGGUAAACUACUCACACAUCAUCGGAGAGGCUAUGGUGCUGAUGUAGAAGCCCUCCGUGAUCGAUUCCCCCUCCAGCAGAGCGCCGGAAAAGGCCCCAAGAUGGGAUCUCACGGGUAUAGAAGGUUGCGGUGGUGGAAAUAGGGUUUCGUGGUGCUCCUGGAUUUUUUCAGGGUAUAUGAGUAUAUAUAGGCGGAAGAAGUAGGUCGGUCGAGCCAUAAGGGGCCCACGAGGGUGGGGGCCACGCCUACCCCCUGGGCGCACCCUCCUACUUCGUGGCUGCCUCGUUGCUUCCUUGAAUCCACUCCAAGUCUCCUUGAUUGUGUUUGUUCCAAAAACGAUCCUCGCGAAGGUUUCAUUCCGUUUGGAUUCCGUUUGAUAUUCCUUUUCUGCGAAACACUGAAAUAGGCAAAAAAAACAGCAAUUUGCACUGGGCCUUCGGUUAAUAGGUUAGUCCCAAAAAAAUAUAAAAGUGCAUAAUAAAGCCCAUUAGACAUCCAAAACAGAUAAUAUAAUAGCAUGGAACAAUCCAAAAUUAUAGAUACAUUGGAGACGUGUCAAGCAUCCCCAAGCUUAAUUCCUGCUCGUCCUCGAGUAGUUAAAUGAUAAAAACAGAACUUUUGAUGCGGAAUGCUACCUAACAUAAUUUUCAAUGUAAUUCUCUUUAUUGUGGCAUGAAUGUUCAGAUCCGAAAGAUUCAAGAUAAAAGUUUAAUAUUGGCAUAAAAAUAAUAAUACUUCAAGCAUACUAACUAAGCAAUUAUGUCUUCUCAAAAUAACAUGGCCAAAGAAAGCUUAUCCCUACAAAAUCAUAUAGUUUGGCUAUGCUUCAUUUUCGUCACACAAAAAUGCUCUCAUCAUGCACAACUCCGAUUACAAGCCAAGCAAUUGUUUCAUACUUUAGUAAUCUCGAACUUUUUUCAACUUUCACGCAAUACAUGAGCGUGAGCCAUGGACAUAGCACUUUGGGUGGAAUAGAAUAUAAUGAUGGGGGUUGUGUGGAGAAGACAAAAAGGAGAAAGUCUCACAUUGACGCGGCUAAUAAACGGGCUAGGGAGAUGCCCAUCAAUUGAUGUCAAUGCAAGGAGUAGGGAUUGCCAUGCAACGAAUGCACUAGAGAUAUAAAUGUAUGAAAGCUCAACAAAAGAAACUAAGUGGGUGUGCAUCCAACUUGCUUGCUCACAAAGACCUAGGGCAUUUGAGGAAGCCCAUUGUUGGAAUAUACAAGCCAAAUUCGACAAUGAAAAAUCCCCACUAGUAUAUGAAAGUGACAAAAUAAGAGACUCUCUAUCGUAAAGACCAUGGUGCUACUUUGAAGCACAAGUGUGUAAAAAAGGAUAGUAGCAUUGUCCCUUUUAUUUUUUAUUUUUUAUUUGGCCAUUCUUUAUUUUUUAUUUGGCCUUUCUUCUUCUUUUUUCUUUUGUUUUUUCGGGACAAUGCUCUAUUAAUGAUGAUCAUCACACUUCUAUUUAUUUACAACUCGAAGAUUACAACUCGAUACUAGAACAAAAUAUGACUCUAUAUGAGUGCCUCCGGCGAUGUACCAGAAUGGGCAAUGAAUCAAGAGUGACAUGUAUGAUAAAUUAUGCAUGGUGGCUUUGCCACAAAUACGAUGUCAACUACAUGAUCAUGCAAGGCAAUAUGGCAAUGGUGAAGCGUGUCAUAAUAAAUGAAAUGGUGGAAAGUUGCAUGGCAAUAUAUCUCGGAAUGGCUAUGGAAAUGCCAUAAUAGGUAGGUAUGGUAGCUGUUUUGAGGAAGAUAUAAGGAGGUUUAUGUGUGAUAGAGCAUAUCAUAUCAUGGGUUUGGAUUGUCGGGGGUUGGGUGCGACAUAUGCCAAGGGAUGGCUUAUCAUGGUGGGGGCGAGUAGAACAUCGCCGGUGCCUGGAAGCGGGAUGAGGCGUAGACAUGCACGCCGGCGAAUCUUACCCAGCUUCGGGGCUCUCCGAGGAGAUAACACCCCUACUGCUGCUCUGCGGGGUCUCCGCAUGAUCACUAUGGCAAAGUGGAUACAAGGUUGCUCCUUGAGCUGUUUCCUGGAGGUAGGAGAAGGCAAGGCUAGCUCCCUCCUUUCUGUAUUCUAUGGUCUAGUGCUAACGGGGUCGAACCCUUUGCAUGGGUCCUCCGGGGGGUUUAUAUAGGCCUACCCCCCGGGGGUACAAUGGUAAUCCGGCUGGGCGCGGGUCCCAGCCGUCUGUCUCUCAGGCCGCCGUCUUCUCCGCCGACUGGUGGGCCCCGCCGACUAGUCCCGUACGGAGCCGAUAGGCCUUGUCCGCCGUGGGCGGGUCUUGCCGGCUGCGGAUUACUGUAGUCGUGCUUCUAAUGACGCUGGCUUGGUUAUGGGGUCAUGGCAACAGUACCACAGCCUGGCGGGCAAUCACUGUUGCCACUCCCUGUCUUCUCUGAUUAAUGGCAUGCGGGGCCCGUGGGAGGGACUGGCCGACUCCUAGAGGCCGACUCCCAUGGGGUCCGUCUUGUGGCGCUCUUGCCAUCUUCUAUUCCCCCCGCUGACAAGCGGGGCCCGCCGUCUCUGGGCCGUACAGGCAGGCCGACGUGGGUACAGGGCUCCACCACUGGAGCUGAUGUCAGGGCUAGCAUGGCAACAGUGCCGCGCCGGACGGAGAUCUCCGUUGGCACGAUGUACUGUGGCCAUGCCUGCCCUUGGUAAUCGGGGUGGGGGCGAGCCUUACUGUGGCCGUUCCCAGCCCCGUCCCUUCUUACGAAGGCAGAGGGUGGUUGGAGUCACGGGACGACUCCCCAUAGCCGGCUUCUCUGGAAGUCGCCAGUUAGGAGUCGGCUCCUCUUGUAGUCGUCCCUGGGACUCGGCAGUGAGUAGAUAGUCGGCAGCACCGCUGCCGACUGCCAGAGGCGGCCCUCCGUCCUGGAGUUCCUGAGGGGCGUAGCCUGCCCCGAUGUCUUGAAAGGUUCUGGGCUUCGGGUUAGCCUACCCGUGGCCCAUUACUCCGACAUGGAUGCACCGGCGAAGUUUGCACCAACUCUCAAGGUGAGAAAGGGCAAUGCACGGUACCGAAGAGGCUAGCAAUGAUGGAAAGGUGAGAGUGUGUAUAAUCCAUGGACUCAACAUUAGUCAUAAAGAACUCACAUACUUAUUGCAAAAAUCUACAAGUCAUCAAAAACCAAGCAUUACGCGCAUGCUCCUAGGGGGGUAGAUUGGUAGGAAAAGACCAUCGCUCAUCGCCGACCGUCACUCAUAAGGAUGACAAUCAAAGAACACCUCAUGUUUCAAAUUUGUCACACAAAGGUUACCAUACAUGCAUGCUAUGGGACUUGCAAACUUCAACACAAGUAUUUCUCAAAUUCAGAAUUACUCAACUAGCACAACUUUAAUAUUACCAUCUUCAUAUCUCAAAACAAUCAUCAAGUAUCAAACUUCUCAUAGUAUUCAAUGCACUCUAUAUGGACGUUUUUAUUAUACCCAUCUUGGAUGCCUAUCAUAUUAGGACUAAUUUUAUAGCCAAAGCAAAUUACCAUUAUGUUCCAAAGGACUCUCAAAAUAAUAUAAGUGAAGCAUGAGAGAUCAAUAAUUUCUAUAAAAUAAAACAACCACCGUGCUCUAAAAGAUAUAAGUGAAGCACUAGGGCAAAAUUAUUUAGCUCAAAAGAUAUAAGUGAAGCACAUAGAGUAUUCUAAUUAAUUCCGAUUCAUGUGUGUCUCUCCAAAAGGUGUGUAUAGAAAGGAUGAUUGUGGUAAACGAAGAAGCAAAGACUCAAAUCAUACAAGACGCUCCAAGCAAAACACAUAUCAUGUGGUGAAUAAAAAUAUAGCCUCAAGUAAAGUUACCGAUAGACGAAGACGAAAGAGGGGAUGCCUUCCGGGGCAUCCCCAAACUUAGGAUUUUGGUUGUACUUGAAAUUUACCCUGGGGUGCCUUGGGAAUCCCCAAGCUUAGGCUCUUCCCACUCCUUAUUCCAAAAUCCAUCAAAUCUUUACCCAAAAACUUGAAAACUUCACAACACAAAACUCAACAAAAAAUCUCAUGAGCUCCGUUAGUAUAAGAAAACAAAUCACCACUUUAAGGUACUGAAAUGAACUCAUUAUUUAUUUAUAUUGGUGUUAAACCUACUGUAUUCCAACUUAUCUAUGGUUCAUACCCCCCGAUACUAGCCAUAGAUUCAUUAAAAUAAGCAAACAACACACGAAAAACAGAAUCUGUCAAAAACAGAACAGUCUAUAGUAAUCUGUAUCAAAUGUAUACUUACGUGACUCGAAAAAUUCUGAAAUAAGUUGGUGGAUGUGAGGAAUUUAUUUAUUAAUCAUCUGCAAAAAGAAUCAACCUAAAAUCACUCUCCAGUAAAAAAUGGCAGCUAAUCUCGUGAGCGCUAAAGUUUCUGUUUUUUACAGCAAGAUCAUAAAGACUUCACCCAAGUCUUUCCAAAGGUUCUACUUGGAACAAACACUAAUUAAAACAUAAAAACACACCCAAACAGAGGCUAGAUGAAUAUUUAUUACUAAACAGGAACAAAAAUCAAAGAACAAAAAAUAAAAUUGGGUUGCCUCCCAACAAGCGCUAUCGUUUAACGCCCCUAGCUAGGCAUUGAUAAUUUUAAUGAUGCUCACAUGAAACAGAAGAAUUGAAGCACAAAGAGAGCAUCAUAGAACACGCGAUAAACACAUCUAAGUCUAGCAUACUUCCUAUGCAUAGGCAUUUUAUAAGCAAACAAAUUAUCAUAGCAAGAAAAAAUUAGCAUAUGCAAGGAAGAAGAAAGAGACGGUAGCAAUCUCAACAUGACGAGAGGUUAUUUAGUAAGAUAGAAAUUUUUACAACCAUAUUUUCCUCUCUCAUAAUAAUUACAUGUAGGAUCAUAGGCAAAUUCAAUGAAAUAUCUAUCACAUAACAUAUUCUCAACAUGAUCCACAUGCAUGCGAAGUUGACACUCUUCCAAAAUAGUGGGAUUAUCAUUAACUAAAGUCAUGACCUCUCCAAACACACUUUUAUCAAAAAUACCAUAAGAUUGAAAAUUCUCCAAAUAUGUGGGAUCUAAAAUUGACACUCUUCCAAACCCACUUUCAAUAUUAUUGCAAACACUAUUAUCAAUCUCAUAUUCAUCAUGGAGCUUAAAUAAAUUUUCAAGAUCAUAAGAAGAAUCACCCCAAUCAUGAUCAUUGCAACAAGUAGUAGACAUAACAAAACUAGCAUCCCAAAGCUUAGGGUUUUGCAUAUUAUUAGCACAAUUGACAUCAAGAGAAUGAUAGUAAAAUCAUCGCAAUCAUGCUUUUUAUUCAAGGAGCUAUCGUGAAUCUCUUCAUAAAUUUCUUCAUCACAAUUUUCAGAUUCACGAAUUUCAAGCAAAACCUCAUAAAGAUAAUCUAGUGCACUCAAAUCACUAGAAAUUGGUUCAUCAUAAUUGGAUCUCUUAAAAAGAUUAGCAAGGGGAUGAGGAUCCAUAAACUUUUAGCAAGCGAAGAUGCAAGCAAAAAGAAGGCACAUGGUAACACAAGAUCGAACGGAAGGAGGGCGAAGAAAAGGCAAAGGUGAAGUGGGGGAGAGGAAAAUGAGAGGCAAAUGGCAAAUAAUGUAAUGCGAGAAAAAAGAGGGGCGAAUAAAACGGCAAAUUUUUGUGAAGUGGGGGAGAGGAAAAUGAGAGGCAAAUGGCAAAUAAUGUAAAUUGCAAGGAGAUGAGAUUUGUGAUUAGGAACCUGGCAUAUGUUGAAGAUCCUCCCUGGCAACGGCGCUAGAAAUUCCUUUUGAUGUCGCUUGAAGCUACAUCAGCAUUUCCCCAAAGAGGAAGGGAUGAUGCAACCCAACAGCGGUAGGUAUUUCCCUUAGAUAUGAAUCCAAGGUUAUCGAACCAGUAGGAAAACCAAGCAACACAACGUAAACAGCCCCUACACACAGAUAACAAAUCCUCGCAACCUGAUGUGUUAAAGGGGUUGUCAAUCCCUUCCGGGGUACGGCGCCCAAGAUGGCAAACGGGCGUGAAAUAAAAUUGUAGUAGAUUGAUAGAUCGAAUGCCAAAUAAAAUAAAUAGAAAUAAAACGCAGCAAGGUAUUUUUGUAUUUUUGGUUUAAUAGAUCUGAAAAUACAUGCAAGUAAAAAGUAGACCGCAAAGGCAAAUAUAUGAGAAAGAGACCCGGGGGCCGUAGAUUUCACUAGUGGCUUCUCUCGAGAAAAAUAGCAAAUGGUGGGUAAACAAAUUAGUGUUGGUCAAUUGAUAGAACUUCAAAUACUCAUGACGAUAUCCAGGUAAUGAUCAUUAUAUAGGCUUCACGUCCAAGAUUAGUAGACUGGCUCCUGCCUGCAUCUACUACUAUUACUCCACACAUCGACCGCUAUCUAGCAUGCAUCUAGUGUAUUAAGUUCACGGAGAAACGGAAUAAUGCAAUAAGAACGAUGACAUGAUGUAGACAAGAUCUAUCUAUGUAGAGAUAGACCCCAUCGUUUUAUCCUUAGUAGCAACGAUACAUACGUGUCGGUUCCCUUUCUGUCACUGGGAUCAAGCACCGUAAGAUCGAACCCACUACAAAGCACCUCUUCCCAUUGCAAGAUAAAUAGAUCAAGUUGGCCAAACAAAACCCAAAUAUCGGAGAAGAAAUAUGAGGCUAUAAGAGAUCAUGCAUAUAUGAGAUCAAAGAAACUCAAAUAACUUUCAUGGAUAUAAAAAGAUAUAACUGAUAUAAACUCAAAGUUCAUCAGAUCCCAACAAACACACCGUAAAAAGAGUUACAUCAUCUGGAUCUCCAAGAGACCAUUGUAUUGAGAAUUCAGCGAGAGAGAGGAAGCCAUCUAGCUACUAACUACGGACCCGAAGGUCUACAAAGAACUACUCACGCAUCAUCGGAGAGGCACCAAUGGAGGUGGUAAACCCCAUCCGAGAUGAUGUCUAGAUUGGAUCUGGUGGUUCUGGACUCUGCGGCGGCUGGAUGAAUAUUUCGUUGACUCCCCUAGGGUUUGGGGAAUAUUGGGGUAUUUAUAGAGCAAAGAGGCAGUCCGGGGGCACCCGAGGUGGGAACAACCCACCAGGGCGCGCCUAGGCCUCCUGGCGCGCCCUGGUGGGUUGUGCCCCCUCGGGGCACCCCCCAGGUGCAGCCAGGGCCCAUUACAUUCCUUCUGGUCCAAAAAAAUCUCCGUGAAGUUUCGUUGCAUUUGGACUCUGUCUGAUAUUGAUUUCCUGUGAUGUAAAAAACAUGCAAAAAACAACAACUGGCACUUGGCACUAUGUUAAUAGGUUAGUACCAAAAAAUGAUAUAGAAUGACUAUAAAAUGAAGCAAAUAACCACCGGAGGGGGCCACCUAGUGAGCACAAGACACCAGGGCGGCCAGGCGCGCCCUGGUGGGUUGUGCUCAGCCCAGCCCACCUCCGGUGCCCAUCUUCUGGUAUAUAAGUCAUUUUGACCGAGAAAAAAAUGAUGAGAGGACUUUCGGGAUAGAGCGUCGCCGUCUCGAGGUGGAACUUGGUCAGGAGCACUUUUUGCCUCCGACGGAGCGAUUCCGCCAGGGGAACUUCCCUCCCGGAGGGGGAAAUCAUCGUCAUCAUCAUCACCAACAAUUCUUCCAUCUUGGGGAGGGCAAUAUCCAUCAACAUCUUCAACAACACCAUCUCCUCUAAAACCCUAGUUCAUCUCUUGUGUUCAAUUUGUGUACCAGAACUAUAGAUUGGUGCUUGUGGGUGACUAGUAGUGUUGAUUACAUCUUGUAGUUGAUUACUAUAUGGUUUAUUUGGUGGAAUAUUAUAUGUCAAGAUCCAAUAUGCUAUUUAAUACCCUUCUGAUCUUGAGCAUGAUUAUCAUUUGUGAGUAGUUACUUUUGUACUUGAGGUCACGGGAAAAAUCUUGUUGCAAGUAAUCAUGUGAACUCGAUAUGUGUUCGAUAUUUUGAUAGUGUGUAUGUUGUGAUUCCCUUAGUGGUGUCAUGUGAACGUCGACUACAUGACACUUCACCAUAUUUGGGCCUAAGGGAAUGCAUUGUGGAGUAGUUAUUAGAUGAUUCAUAAGCUUAAACCCUAGUUUAUGCGCUAUUCCGUAAGGGACCGAUUGGAUCCAAAAGUUUAAUGCUAUGGUUAGAAUUUAUUCUUAAUACUUUUCUUGUAGUGUGGAUGCUUGCGAGGGGGUUAAUCAUAAGUAGGAGGCUUGUUCAAGUAAGAACAACACCUAAGCACCGGUCCACCCACAUAUCAAAUCAUCAAAGUAUCAAACACGAAUCGAACCAACAUGAUCAAAGUGACUAUAUGAAAUUCCCGUGUACCCUCAAGAACGUUUUGCUUAUUAUAAGAGACCAUUUUGGCAUGUCCUUUGCCUCAAAAGGAUUGGUCUACCUUGCUGCACUUUUGUUACCGUUACCGUCGCUCGUUACAAAUUAUCUUGCUAUCAAACUACUCUACUACUUACAAUUUCAACACUUGCAGACAUUACCUUGCUGAAAACCACUUGUCAUUUCCUUCUGCUCCUCAUUGGGUUCUACACUCUUACUUAUCGAAAAGGCUACAAUUGAUCCCAUAUACUUGUGGGUCAUCAAUGUUGUGCAAGAUGACACAACAAGUCCUGAUCUCCCACAUUUGAUCUUUCGACCAGGUCUAAGCGGGGUACCGGACAACAACAAAUCAAGAUUGUAGCACACCAAAUUCCCGCUCGCAUCCUUCCUGCAAGCCUUUUGAACCUUGGCAAAGUGGGAGUUCUUGCCUCCUGGCACAGGGUUCGAGAUAGUCUUCGCAAAUGUGGACCAUCUCGAAUAGAUGCCAUCUGCUAGGUAGUAUCCCUUGUUGUAGUGCCGUCCAUUGACCUCGAAGUUCACCGGAGGAGAAUGAUCUUCAACAAGCUUGGCAAUGACAGGGGAGCCCUGCAGUACGUUGAUCUCAUUGUGAGUUCCUGGCAUACCAAAGAAGGAGUGCCAAAUCCAAAGGUCAUGUGUUGCCACUGCCUCAAGUACCACACUGCGACCACCUUUGGCGCCUUUGUACAUCCCCUGCCAAGCAAAUGGACAGUUUUUCAUUUCCAAUGCAUGCAGUCGAUGCUUCCAAGCAUCCCAGGAAAUCCUCUUGCUGCAUUCUGUGCCAGGAAGUAUUGUCGUCCAAACACUGCCACAACUGCCCUGCAAAAACUUGUAGCAACACUCAAUAUAUGGUCGUGGACUCGGCCAUGCGUUCAUGGUCUUCCAGUGAAUAACCAAGAGGUCCAUAUGCAAGCAUCCUCAUAGCAGUCGUGCACUUCUGGAGUGAGGUUAAUCAAAGUGUGCUGGUGCAAUCCUUCUUGCACUAGAAGUAGUUGUCGAACUCACGGAUGGAAUUCGCAAUCCUGAGGAAGAGCUUUAGGCUCAUCUGACAACGGCGCCGAAAUGCUUUGUCGUCGUGCAGUGGAGUGAUGACCCACAAGUAUAGGGGAUCAACAGUAGUCCUUUCGAUAAGUAAGAGUCCCGAACCCAAUGAGGAGCAAAAGGAAAUGACAAGUGGUUUUCAGCAAGGUAAUUUUUGCAAGCACUGAAAUUGUUGGUAAUAGAUAGUUUGAUAGCAAGAUGAUUUGUAACGAGGAAGUAACGGUAACGGUAAGUAAAGUGCAGCAAGGUAGCUCAAUCCUUUUGUGGCAAAGGACAGACCAAAACGGUUUCUUAUAAUAGGCAAAGCGUUCUUGAGGAUACACGGGAAUUUCAUCAAGUCACUUUUACCAUGUAGGUUCAAUUCGUGUUCGCUACUUUGAUAAUUUGAUAUGUGGGUGGACCGGUGCUUAGGUAAUGUUCUUACUUGAACAAACCUCCUACUUAUGAGUAACUGUGAUAGCCUGGCUUAUUAGGGAUGAUAGACUACUCAUAUCAAUAAGGAAUUCCUUCUUUUCUAGGAGCCCAUUUGGACAGAACUCCAAAGUUAAGCGUGCUCAGCUUGGAGUAGUGAUAAGGACAUCUCUUCUAUUGUUACACCCGCCGCAACUCCUACAUUAGUUAUUCCACUUGGUCCUAUUACUAGAGCGCGGGCGAGACAAAUUAAUGGUCAGGUACUAUCGCUCCUUCGUACAUAUGAUUUAACUAAUGAGCAUAUAAUAUUACACUCAUGUUUGGAUUUGCUUGUACUUAGGAAUAAAGGAAAUAUUAAAGAUGAAGACAAUAUGGGUUCAGAUCAAAUGGAGCAACUCUCUUGCAUGCAUGUCACACGUCCUAUCCACCAAGCAUGCCACGUACGCAUGCAUGAAGUGCACCAGGACAAGAGACUUGGAUUAAUGGCCCAACAUUACCACGUGGGUGGGCCCUAGAGCUUUCAGCCACGCCGCCAGGUGUCUGCCGCAAAGUCCACGAAGACCAGCCACGUACGGCCUCGAGCAGUCCGAUUCGUGUACAACAGAUACCGCCUUCGACCAGAAUCAGCAAUUAAUAAAUAGCUAGUAUAGUUUAGGGUUUACACUCGGGUUUUAUUAUAUUGUCUAGCUUUUGCUACAAUUCGCAUCUACGAGACGUGUAGGACUACUGCCUUGUCAGAUCCACAGUGGAACCCCAACUUUUCAUCUAGUUCGUGUACUCAAUUUAUCAUCCGCAAUUUCAGUUGCAAUUCACCUUUGUUCUUGCUGGUUCUUCGGUUGCUUGCAGGAACUCGAACCUCGUUGUUCAGGUUGAUAACCAUCGGAGAUUGGUUUAGCGAUUGUCGAGGCGUAUCGUCGGGUACGGUAUAGCCGGAUCGUCAAGGUCAAAAUCCACCAAAUCGAUAGUUAUCCCCACUCUCAUCGAAAGAUCGGGCCGCCGUCACAUCAAGUGGUAUCAGUUUUCAGGUUCAUCGGUGAGAGAUUUAUAGUUUUCAUAGUUUAGUUUAUUUUUCUGUCCUAUAAACCCACGAAAAAGCCCAAAAAUUUAGAUUAGUUCAUCCAUUACACCUACCUUUUUAGCCUUUAGCAAUUUUUGCAUCUACUAUUUGCGUAGUUGAAUUUUUGGUUGCAUACAUCCUAGAAUUAGUGCUGGUUUAGAUUAGUUUGAGAGAAAAUUUGUCUACUAGAUCUAACCUUGUUUUUGUCCACCAUAUUUUCCGCCACAACUUUCGUUAAAAAAAAUCAAAGCAAGUUUGCAUCGGAUUGUUUCUAGUUUUGUCUAUCCUUGCGUGCAAUCCGAGGUCGCGUCUGUUUACAAAAAAAGUCAUUUGUUGUCCGUUGUUUUCUGCGCGAACACACACAGCGGUCUAAUCUCGCGCAGUCGCCGAGACAUCAGCCAGCGGGCGUCUGUCCAUCCGCGCGCUAUACACACACGCAAGCCAUCAGACAGCUCCUCUCUUGUGUCUGCCUCCACGCGCAAUACAGCACACAUCCAGUGUACCAAUAUUUGUCACCUUGCGUCGUUGUUAGCUUUUGCAGGUAGCUCAAUUAGCACAAGUUACAACACUGGCAUUUAAUUUCUCUUAGCCUUAUCUUGGUGUACGUAAUUUCUGCUAGUAACCGGCUUGAAAAAAAAAGGAAAAAAAGUGAAGCAAAAGAAAAAAAAGGAAAAAAAGAUAAAAAAAUAGAAAAAAAGGGUUGCAACAUUCAGGCCGGCUAGCACUCUUGGUGCAAUCUCUUUUGACGUUCAGAAUUGUUCCUCUGCUAUACACGUGAUACUUGCUGAACAUUUUCUUUUGUCACUCUUGGUCGCCAUACACUACGUUUACACCUCACUUAUAUCUAGCUAUUUAGAGCUAUUAUGUUUUUAUCGGUUUCCACUCCCUUGAUUCAGUAUCUAGGCUUAGAUUGUUUUAUCUCUUACUAGUCGACUGCCAGCACUAGUUAGGAGUUUGAGCAAUUAUUCAGCUUGCAUUACUUUUUGCUUAAUUGUGCCACAUAUUGUGAGUUGAGGAAACCUUCACCAAGCUCCACUUCCUAUAUUGUAUCUUGUUCGGUCCCUUGGUAAUCGCUAUAUCAAUCUUUUGAUCACUUUUGACAUCGCCAACGGCCGACAACCACUGCAGCACGGUAAGAACUGGUAAGAGCUUGGUAAUUGCUCGAGAGUUGAGAGGCAUUUUCCACCGCCUCACUGUAGUUUCUAUAGGAGCAAUAUACUUGUGAUUUUGUUCUUGUUUCAUCCUAACCAUGGCAGGUGACGAAGACAACAUGAAAGCCACAGUGGCACGCCUUGAGGAGGAUGUGCAUGCAUACACUGAGCGGUUCACAUCGUUCGAGGGCGCACUUGAUAAGCGUCUCAAGUCGAUCGAGGAUAGCAAUGAGACGUUCACUCAAACACUUGCAUCUAUUAUGAAACGUCUCGAUGCCCAGGAUGCCCGUUUGGGUGCCGCAUCCAUUGUCGCUUCGUGUCUUCCAGCCACCAACACAGGUCUCCAACGAGCUUGUCGGGUGCCCCCAGGGGACCCGAGGCACCCUCUUUCAUACACCGAUGUCGUCGACCAGCCCCGUCCUCGCAACGCCAACUCGAUAGCCGGCGACAUCCAAGAUGACAACAAUGAUGGUCAUUCCGAGGAUCCUGAUGCAGUUAAUGAUAACAAUGAUCGUGAUCAUCGUCGCCUACGCAAUAAUCAACAAGGUAUGGGACGAUACCAUCGUCCUCAGGUAUGUGGCCAUGACGACUCUUUGGGUAAAAUUAAAUUUGCCAUGCCUCCUUUUGAUGGGAAAUAUGAUCCGGACGUUUAUCUUGACUGGGAAUUAUUAGUUGAUCAAGAAUUUGCUUGCCAUGAUUUUCCUGAUGAUAAAAGAGUUAGGGCUGCAACUAGUGAGUUUAGUGAUUUUGCUUCUGUUUGGUGGAGAGAACAUUGUCGUAAACAUCCUAAUAAUAUUCCUGCCACUUGGGAAGCUUUGAAAUUAGUAAUGCGUCACCGUUUUGUUCCUGGACAUUAUGAACGUGACUUGCUAAAUAACCUACAACGCUUGAACCAAGGAUCUAAAUCUGUUGAAGACUAUUAUCAAGAAUUGCAAAUGGGCAUGUUACGUUGUGGUGUAGUUGAGACUGAGAAAGCCUCUAUGGCCAGGUUCUUGGGUGGAUUGAAUAGAGAAAUUUAUGACAUACUUGCUUAUAAGGAUUAUCAUUCAAUGACCCGUUUAUUCCAUCUUGUUAUACAUGCUGAACAUGAAGUGCAGGGUCGUUCGAGAAUGCAUCCUAAUUUUCCUGCAGCUCGUACUUCCACAUGGGCGCCGCGCACCCCUGCUGCCCCGUCCACUCGCACCGCUACAACAGCACCUGCAACCUCUCGACCGGGGCCUUCUUCAUCAACUUCAGCAUCACACACUUCGGCACCACUGAAAAGUACUACACAAAUUCCAACAAAAAGUUCGUCGUCAUCGUCCGCUUCCUCCAAAAGAACAAAGGAUAUCGAGUGCCACACUUGUAAGGGAUUUGGCCAUGUCAUGAAGGAGUGUCCUAAUAAGCGUGUAUUGAUCAUUUGUGAAGAUGGAGAGUACGACUCCGCUAGUGAUUUUGAUGAAGACACAUAUGCCUUGCUUGCUGCACAUGAAGAUAAUGACACAAGACCGGAGCAAGAGGAAGAACAUGUGACCGCCGACGACACCGAUAAGUACAUGAGUCUUAUAUCACAUCGUGUACUUGGUGCUCAGAUUGUCAAAGCAAAGAAGGAUCAACGUCACAACCUCUUCCACAUCAAAAGAGUCGUCAAGGAGCGUUCCGUUCGCAUAAUCAUUGAUGGAGGGAGUUGUAACAAUUUAGCAAGCAUUGACAUGGUGGAGAAGCUCUCCCUACCUUCCCGACAACAUCCACAACCUUACCACAUUCAAUGGUUUAAUGAUGGUGGAAAGGUAAAGGUAACACGCAUGGUGAGAGUUCCUUUUUCUUUAGGUUCAUACCAUGACACUAUUGAUUGCGAUAUUGUGCCUAUGCAAGCUUGUUUAUGUUACUAGGAAGGCCAUGGCAAUAUGAUAAACAAUGUUUACAUGAUGGCAGAACUAAUCGCUACACUCUCACACAUAAAGGAAAGAAAAUCAUUCUACACCCUAUGUCUCCUGAGCAAAUUUUAAAAGAUGAUCUUGCUAGGGCUAGUAGAAACAUAAAUAUUGAGUGUACUAAAUCUGAAAAUCAUAAAGUUGUUGAUGAGUUAGAACAAUUUAAUAAGAUGCACAAAUCUGAUCUUAGCACAUCUAAAGAAAUUAAAUUGGAAGGUGCUUCUUUCUUAGCUACACGUGCUGAAAUUUUUGAGUUAGAUGCUCAAGCUGAUGAAUGUUAUGCUCUUAUAUGCAAAGAAGUUUUGUUUUCAUUUGAGGAUAUGCCUCCUUCUUUGCCUCCUGUUGUCGCUAACCUUUUGCAGGAGUAUCAUGAUGUUUUCCCAAAGGAAGUACCACUGGGGCUGCCACCUAUGAGAGGAAUUGAACAUCAAAUUGACUUGAUACCUGGCGCCUCAUUACCCAACCGUGCGCCGUACCUGACUAAUCCCGAGGAGACCAAGGAGAUUCAAUGACAAGUUCAAGAACUACUCGACAAAGGUUAUAUUCGUGAAUCACUUAGUCCAUGUGUUGUACCAAUUUUACUUGUUCCUAAAAAAGACGGUACUUCGCAUGUGUGUGUUGAUUGUAGAGCCAUCAAUAAUAUUACAAUUCGAUAUCGUCAUCCUAUUCCUAGAUUAGAUGACAUGCUUGAUGAACUAAGUGGCUCAGUUGUGUUUUCUAAAGUGGACUUGCGUAGUGGCUACCAUCAAAUUCGUAUGAAACUAGGUGAUGAAUGGAAAACUGCUUUCAAAACUAAAUUUGGUUUAUAUGAGUGGUUAGUUAUGCCUUUUGGAUUGACUAAUGCACCUAGUACUUUCAUGAGACUAAUGAAUGAAGUUUUGCGACCUUUCAUUGGACGAUUUGUGGUAGUAUACUUUGAUGAUAUUCUGAUUUAUAGUAAGUCACUAGAGGAACACUUAGACCAUUUGCGUGUUGUUUUUUCUGCUCUGUGUGAUGCACGUUUAUUUGGUAAUAUCGAGAAGUGCACUUUUUGCAUGGAUCGAGUCGCUUUUCUUGGCUAUGUUGUGACAGCGCAGGGAAUUGAAGUUGAUAAAGCCAAGGGUGAAGCGAUCCAGAGUUGGCCGACCCCUAACUCGGUCACACAGGUACGUAGUUUUCUCGGACUUGCUGGAUUCUACCGGUGGUUCGUGAAGGAUUUCUGCACCAUCGCAGCACCGCUCAAUGAACUCACAAAGAAAAAUGUGCCAUUUGUUUGGAGCGACACACAAGAGGAAGCCUUCACUAUUCUUAAAGAUAAGCUUACACAUGCCCCUUUGCUGCAAUUACCUGAUUCCAAUAAGAUGUUUGAAUUAGAAUGUGAUGCUAGCGGCAUUGGUUUAGGUGGUGUUCUAUUGCAAGAAGGCAAACCAGUAGCAUACUUUAGUGAAAAACUCAGUGGGCCUAGUCUAAAUUAUUCAACAUAUGAUAAAGAACUUUAUGCACUAGUUUGGACUUUGGAGACAUGGCAACAUUAUUUAUGGCCUAAGGAGUUUGUUAUACAUUCUGAUCAUGAAUCACUCAAGCAUAUUAGAAGUCAAAGCAAACUGAACCAUAGACAUGCAAAAUGGGUUGAAUUUAUUGAAUCUUUUCCUUAUGUUAUUAAGCAUAAGAAAGGGAAGGAGAAUGUUAUUGCCGAUGCAUUGUCUAGACGCUAUACCAUGUUAUCACAACUUGACUUCAAAAAUUUUGGACUUGAAACUAUAAAAGAGCAAUCCGCUAAUGAUGUCGAUUUUAAAGAUAUAUUGCUCAAUUGCACAGAGGGUAGAACUUGGAACAAGUUCGUCGUUAAUGACGGAUUUGUUUUUCGUGCUAAUAAGCUAUGCAUCCCAGAUAGCUUUGUUCGUCUUCUAUUGUUAUAGGAGGCGCAUGGCGGAGGACUUAUGGGACAUUUCGGCGUCAAGAAGACAGAAGACAUCCUUGCUGGUCAUUUUUUCUGGCCAAAAAUGAGAAGGGAUGUGGAGAGAUAUGUUUCAUGCUGCAUGACAUGCCAAAAAGCUAAGUCACGAUUGAACCCACAUGGUUUAUAUAUGCCUCUUCUUGUUCCUAGCACUCCUUGGGAAGAUAUAUCUAUGGAUUUUGUAUUAGGACUGCCUAGAACACGGCGGGGGAGGGAUAGUAUAUUUGUUAUUAUCGAUAGAUUCUCUAAGAUGGCACAUUUUAUACCUUGUCAUAAAAGUGACGAUGCUACUCACAUUGCUGAUUUGUUCUUUCGUGAAGUAGUUCGUUUGCAUGGUGUGCCAAAUACAAUUGUUUCUGAUCAUGACACCAAAUUUCUUAGCCACUUUUGGAGGGUGUUGUGGACAAAAUUGGGGACUAAGCUUUUAUUUAGUACUACAUGUCAUCCUCAAACUGAUGGUCAAACUGAAGUGGUUAAUCGUACACUGUCUACUAUGCUUAGGGCUGUUUUGAAGAACUUAAAAAUGUGGGAAGAAUGUCUACCUCAUGUAGAGUUUGCUUAUAAUCGUUCCGUUCAUUCCACCACAAAAUUAUGCCCUUUUGAGAUUGUUUAUGGAUUUAUACCUCGUGCACCAAUUGAUUUAUUACCUAUUCCAUCUUCGGAGAAGGUAAACCUUGAUGCUAAAGAACGUGCUGAAUUAGUAUUAAAAUGCAUGAUAUGACUAAGAAAAAUAUUGAACGCAUGAAUGUCAAAUAUAAACUUGCUGGUAGUCAGGGAAUGAAAAGUGUUGUGUUUGAACCAGGCGAUUUAGUAUGGUUGCAUUUGCGAAAAGAUCGUUUCCCUGAUAUACGAAAGUCAAAAUUAAUGCCUCGUGCGGAUGGACCUUUUAAAGUGCUUGAAAAAAUUAACAAGAAUGCAUAUAAGCAUGAUUUACCUGCAGAAUUUCGGGUUAGUCCCACAUUUAACGUUGCAGAUUUAAAGCCUUAUUUGGGUGAUGACAACGAGGUACCGUCGAGGACGACUUCGAUUCAAGAAGGGGGAUGAUGAGGACAUCUCUUCUACUAUUACACCUGCCGCAACUCCUACAUCAGUUAUUCCACUUGGUCCUAUUACUAGAGCGCGGACAAGACAAAUUAAUGGCCAGGUACUAUCGCUCCUUCGUAUAUAUGAUUUAACUAAUGAGAAUAUAAUAUUACACUCAUGUUUGGAUUUGCUUGUACUUAGGAAUAAGGGAAAGAUUAAAGAUGAAGACAAUAUGGGUUCAGAUCAAAUGGAGCAACGCUCUUGCAUGCAUGUCACACGUCCUAUCCACCAAGCAUGUCACGUACGCAUGCAUGAAGUGCACCAGGACAAAUGACUUGGAUUAAUGGCCCAACAUUACCACGUGGGUGGGCCCUAGAGCUUUCGGCCAUGCCGCCAGGUGCCUGCCGCAAAGUCCACGAAGACCAGCCACGUACGGCCUCGAGCAGUCCGAUUUGUGGACAAUAGAUACCGCCUUCGACUGGAAGCAGAAGUUAAUAAAUAGCUAGUAUAGUUUAGGGUUUAGAUUCAGGUUUUAUUAUAUUGUCUAGCUUUUGCUACAGUUCGCAUCUACGAGACGUGUAGGACUACCACCUUGUCAGAUCCAUAGUGGAACCCCAACUUUUCAUCUAGUUCGUGUACUCAAUUUAUUAUCCGCAAUUUUAGUUGCGAUUCACCUUUGUUCUUGCUGGUUCUUCGGUUGCUUGCAGGAACUCGAACCUUGUUGUUCAGAUUGAUCGUGCCUACGGCAAGGUCAAUAACCAUCGGAGAUUGGUUUAGCGAUUGUCGAGGCGUAUCGUCGGGUACGGUAUAGCCAGAUCGUCAAGGUCAAAAUCCACCAAAUCGGUAGUUAUCCCCACUCCCAUCAAAAGAUCGGGCCACCGUCACAUCAAGUAGUUUCAGGAUGGGUGACCGACCGGGAAGUUUCUCCUGGGUGCGCACAAGUGAGGACAAAGUGCGUAGAAAAGACUAGUAUUGAUCUCUGGGGCCAAUCUAGAUCCCGCCAGGAGUAAUAACCACUGGCGGGUGUGUCCGAGGCGUUACAAGUUGGUAUCAGAGCCGACCCUUGCGGCUACACGUAUGUUUGCGGACAGGUGCACGGUCAUGUUAUGCAUGACAUUUGUGACCCGUUGUGGCACACGACAUGACACAUGUGCCGGACUAGAAGCACAGACGUGUGUGCCAAGAGAGAACGUUCCUGUGGCCCGACGAGGACGUCGGUUCCUCUGAGUGGGGGUGUAUGUGAUAGCCUGGCUUAUUAGGGAUGAUAGACUAUUCAUAUCAAUAAGGAAUUCCUUCUUUUUCGGGAGCUCAUUCGGACAGAACUCCAAAGUUAAGCAUGCUCAGCUUGGAGUAGUUUCAGGAUGGGUGACCGAUCGGGAAGUUGCUCUCGGAUGCGCACGAGUGAGGACAAAGUGUGCAGGAAAGACUAGUAUUGAUCUAUAGGGCCAGUCUAGAUCCCGCAAGGAGUAACGACCACCGGCAGGUGUGUCUAGGGCGUUACAGUAACCCUCUCGCAAGCAUCCUCAACUACGAGAAAAGUAUUAAGAUAAAAUCUAACCAUAGCAUUAAACUUUUGGAUCCAAAUCGGUCCCUUACAAAGUAGCGCAUAAACUAGGGUUUAAGCUUCUGUCACUCUAGCAACCCAUCAUCUAAUAACUACUCCACAGUGCAUUCCCUUAGGCCCAAAUAUGGUGAAGUGCCAUAUAGUCGACAUUCAUAUGACACCAUCAAGGGAAUCACAACAUACAUAUCAUCAAAAUAUCAAACACAUAUCAAAUUCACGUGAUUACUUGCAACAAGAUUUCUCUCGUGACCUCAAGAACAAAAAGAACUACUCACAAAUGAUAAUCAUGCCCAAGAUCAAAGGGGUAUUAACUAGCAUAAUGGGCACAGGAGGUGGGCCGAGGAGGGCACAACCCACCAGGGCGCGCCUGGGGGGCCUGGCGCGCCUAGGUGGGUUGUGCCCACCCGGUGGGCCUCCUCCGGUAGUUAUUUGCUCCUUUAUUUUUUAUAUAUUCCAAAACAAUUCUCCGUAAAUUUUUAGCUCAUUUGGAGAUGUGCAGAAUAGGUGACUCUAACGUAGCAUUUUCAGGUCCAGAAUUCCAACUGCUGGCAUUCUCCCUCUUUGUGUAAACUUUGCAUAUUAUGAGAGAAAAGACAUUAGAAUGACUCCAUAAAGCAUUAUUAUGCAUAAAAACAUUAUAAAUAAUAGUAGGUAAACAUGAUGCAAAAUGGACGUAUCAACUCCCCCAAGCUUAUACCUCGCUUGUCCUCAAGCGAAAACCAAAAUCGAAAAACAUGUCCACAUACUUAGAGAGAGAGGUGUCGAUAAAAACAAAAUACGGACAUAGAAGCAUCGUGCAUAUUAUUAUAACAGCAAAAAACUUUAUCAUAGGACUUUUACCACAUAACUUUUAUCAUAAAAUUCUCAUGAACAAGUAACAAUUCAUCACAACAUCAAAGUAUAAAGCAUAAACUCUAUUGAAAACCAAUAAACUGUGUUCUCAGUCAACUUUGCAACUAUAAUUCAUCAUCUUUUUAGGAAGGGUCACGUAUUGGAGCCUUUUGGCAAGUCCACAUACUCUACGAUCAUAUAGUCUUCUAUGAUUGCUAACACUCACCGCAUACCCAUGAGCAAAAAGUUUCAACUAGACACAUAGAAAGAUAUGGGCUUAUAGUUUUGCCUCCCAACGUAUUCACCUCAAGGGUGAUGUCAACAAUAAUUUGCUACCCAUGGUGUUAGCUAUGCAUGCAUGCAACGGACGACAAAUGGCCCUGACACACAUGUACUUACCUGGUGGCUAUUGACACAAUGUACAAUGUGUCACAGAUAUGUCAGAACGAGUAUAGCCUAGCAACCAGAGUAACAAAUUGAGCCCACAAGCCCAGCUAGACGCAAGGCCCAAACCAUCUCCUAUCCAAGAUGCUCAAACCCAUCAUCUUAGCAGGCCAGGCCCAUUAAUCAAACAAGCACCCAACAUCUGAGAGGUUGAUGCUAUAAAUAAGCAUGCGACCCCAAGACGUAAGUCAUACCUAGCACACCAUUCCUCAAAAUAGAAAAAGGAAAAAACCUAGCACACCAAGAACACAAUGGCUACAAACAGCCAGCUGAAGAGUAGCAGCCAAAGCUUCAGCUCCACCACCGCCUUGACAGGCCCGACAUCAUUCGCCACACCGAGCUUGCCGGAGCAGUGGAGCGAAGCCCCACCCACAUUUUUGUGUGCGUGCAGUCUGCCGGCUAUUGUCUUCACCGCAAACACGCCGAAAAACCGUAGUCGUCGCUUCCUCAGAUGCGAAAACCCAUUGAGACAGACGGUCAGAUGCCAAUUCUAAAGGGGGGUUCAGGUGCGCAUUUAUCUUGCUUGCUAAAAAUCUCUCCAUUUUUCCCACCUAUUACACCAUAUAAUCCCACUCCCAACACAGGCUUGCUUCCUCUGGAUCUGGCAGGAUCUACUCGAGAAGUAUGCGAGCUCAAUGGCGGCUUACAAGAGCAAACAGGAGGCAAUACAACAAACAGAGGCUGCAGAAGCCGCAGAGCAACGACAGUGUAGAGUAGAGGAAGAGUUAGCCUUGACACAGAUCGAGCUCAUAGAGGCCAGAAACAAAAUAGCCUCACUUGAAGAGUCCAGCUCCAAUAUGGCACACCGUAUAAAUGAAGCAAAGAAAAGCAUUCGAAAAACAAGGAUGGUUUGUUCGUUUUUUAUGUUCGUAGUUGUAGCUAGGCUAUCCCUAUCUCCUAUCCGACUUGUAACCGCAAAGAGAUCCCGAUGUUUACCAACUUCUUUCGAAUAAAAAGGGCACCGAGGCACUUCCUUUUUAAAUUUUGUGUUCGCCCUUUUUUUGCACUCAUGAAUGGCAGCAAACCACACGGUGCAGCCUAAACGUCAAAGCACAAGGAUCAACACAAGCAAUACACAUGCAUGGAAUGCAUGGGCAACUAUUGGCCAAAAACGACGGACGGAUGCACAAAUCAUAUCUUUAAAAAAAUUCAAGUACAUAGGAAAACAACAGUCGUACAAAUACAAGAAAUUACAAAAAAAAGAUACAAGCCGUAACAGACACGCACCACUUUCUGGCUAUAAUAUCCAUGACAAAAUAUAAUGAGACACAACACGAGAUAAUAAUAUUUUUAGAGACAAGCUCUUCGAAACAGAACAUGGAAAGAAAAACAGGAUACAACACAUCAGAAACGAAAACAGGAUACAGAUACAGAUUGCCGAAGCCACAAGCCACAUCAGCAGGCACACAUCAGAAACGGUCGUGUUCAUACAGCUUGAAUGCAGCAGCUUCGCCGCAUGCAUAACGAAACUCGCGGUCGACUGUAGACACACGAUGGAAGGACAGUAUGACACCGGACGAAGCAUGCACUUGCGAUUCGAGCAUCACGACGUCCUCGAUGCUUCGAGUAGAAACAUACAUAACACCGGCGGGGCUCUCUGAUAUGUCGUAGCACUUGUGGCCGAGCAAAGCCAUGAGAGCGGUCGUAGCCAUGAAGAGCUUGCCAUAGAUAGCUGUCUCAGAAGCGAAGUGGAGCCUUAGGAGAUUCUGAGCUGUGACAGAAUCAACGACGUUGAAGAAGAUGCGCAAUGCUUUGGCUACAUCAACCACAACGUCAUCGUCCAUAGUGGGGUGAGGGUGACGUAGGAGCGGCAAGGGAGGACAAUUUUCGUGUUUUGACCCUUUUCCGUUAGUUCAUCCAGAUCUGACCUUAGUUUGCAAAAAAUUUAGGAUCUGACCCUUUUUCUACCACCGGUGUCCUUGGCAGUAGGGUAUAAUAGCCUACCGCCAAGGUCUCUGGCGGUAGGGUUGCAUGCCCUACCGCAAUUUUUCUUAAGUAUCAGACACAGUGUGUAUUCGUACCUACCGUCGGACACCUUGGCGGUAGGGUUAUAUAGGCUACCGUCACCGUGUUUGGCGGUAGGGGUCCGUGAUGCUGAUGUGGAUAAGUUUCCUACCGCCAGAGACCUUGGCAGUAGGCUAUUAUACCCUACCACCUAGGACCCUGGCGGUAGGAAAAGGGUCAGACCCAAUUUUUUUGCAAACUAGGGUCAGAUCUGAAACAACUAUCAAAAAAGGGUCAAAACACGAAAAUUGUCUGGCAAGGGCACAUGUGCCGAAGGAGUUGACGAGUUCUUUGCCUUCUUAGCUCUAGCUGACCUGCAUUAGCGACAAACUAUACAGUUAGCAAAAAAGGUUGCGUGAAAAACAAAAACCCACCUGGGGAAAUCAUCUUCAAAUGGUAGUAAGGACAAACCUGGUGAGAACAACAUUGUCUUCAUCGCUGUCCAUGGGGCGCUGUAGCAAUAAAAGCAAGGAACAAAAUGAAGUAAAUGAUUUGUUGGACGUGUGAAAAUAAAGUGUUGGCACACACACGAAGGAAGCAAACCUUGAAAGCUGCUCUAGAGGGAGGCGCCAUCUAUGCAUGCAAGAAGAGAAGGAGCGCAAAGAGUGAAUGGAGAGUGUGUGGAUUGAGGGAGUUUACUAUAUAGGGCGAGGGAUUUUUUGGGGGGGAUGGGUCGACUAAAUAAACUACCAGCCAUCUGUGCAUCGCUGUCCACCUGGAAGCAGGAGGAACACAUGCAUCCCAAAAGCCCACAAGCCCAACUACCAGCCCAACAUCGAGUUAAAGCCCAAGGAGAACUUUACAGGUCAGGUAGUAGCUAGGUUGUGCCAGGAAAUCAUAGCCUGGCAAUCACAGGCGUAGGGAGGGCUCUGCCAAAAAGUGUAAUGCAAGAUGGGGCGAAUCGAACGGUAGCUGCUGCAUGCGUAGCUGCCGCCCCCGAUGCACAGCUACCAUCUUGCACAUAAAUUUGCCUCUCUAGAAAGAUAUGGGCUUAUGGUUUCGUCUCCCAACGUAUUCACCUCAAGGGUGAUGUCAACAAUAAUAACUCAUGCUCACUCAUAUCCAGCUGGACAUAUGUGCCUAGAUCUUUCCUCACCACAUGAUGCUUGCAAAAGAAAAAAUAAAAAGGAAUGGAGAAGAAUAAUUUGACUCUUGCAUAAAAGUAAAUACAUAAAAGUAAAAGGUAGGCCCUUCGCAGCGGGAAGCAGAGGUUGUCAUGCGCUUUUUGGUUGGUAUGCUCAAUCUCUUAGGGCAUGUACAAUGGGGGCAACACCUAGCUGCUGCCCUAGCAAUUCACAUAAGCAAAUGGUGUUCAAACCACUGCUUCAACUAGGCACCACCAACGCAAAACUGGCUCUUUGUGAUUCUUCAUAGGCCCCAUUUAAUUCUUUUUUAUCCAACUUUCACACCUCCAUGACAAUCUCCCUUGCUUUUCACCGUGGGCAGCGUGGUCCUCUUCCACUUUAUCAGCGGACAAGCCAACUCCUCUGCACGAACUAGUAUGCCCCUGCAAGCAUCACCUUUAGUUGAGCUGGACUCCAUCCACCUACGUGGCAUGCUGGGGCAGCGGACCAGCGUGGCCCGUUGGCCAUGCCCUUAGUGCAAAAGAACGUCACGUUGUAUUGCUCCUUAUGAUAGCAACCUUUAUUAUGCAGUCUAUCGUCUUUAUUAUUUUGCCAUCACAAGUUCGUACAACGCUCAAUUUUCUCUUACACUAAAUGAACCAACACAUUUAGAAGCAAUUUUAUUGCCUUAUUGCAAUGAUGGCAACUUACUUGAAGGAUCUUACUCAAUCCAUAGGUAGGUAUGGUGGACUCUCAAAACAAGAUUUGGGUUUAAGGGUUUUUGGAUGCACAAGUAGUAUCUCUACUUAGUGCGGAAUUUUUGGCUAGCAAAGAUAGGGGGCAAGCACCACAUGUUAAAGGAUCUAUGACAAUAUAACUUCUAUGUGAAUAUGAACAAACAUAAAUCAUUACAUUUGUCUUCCUUGUCCAAUGUCAACAAUUUUGGCAUAAAAUAUUUUGAUGGGGGCCCACAAUCAUAAAAGAUGUCCAAGAUAGUAUAUUUGCAUGUGAAUCUUCUCUUUCUUUAUUAAUUCUUUCAUGAAUUGCAUCAUUGACCAAUGCCAUGUUUGUCAAUCUCCAAUAAAUUUUACCACUUAUACUUUUCCUUAUGUGAUGUCAUUACUUACCAUAAGAUUAGCAUAUGAUCUUUUCAUUAUUCUUUUUCUUUAUUUUGAUUGAAACAUAAAAUUAAAGAAAGAAAAACUCGAACUAAACUUUGUUAUAUAUCUCGCACACAAUUACAAAGAUGGAUUAUCACCUCUGUUGGAAAAGGCAGUGCCUAGGAGCCGCUUAGGCAUGCCUAGGCACUAGGCAAUGGCCAAACGCCUCGCUUAGGGCAUAAAUGGAGGUCUAGGCAGGGCAAGAAAGGAAUUGCCUACCCAAGCAAGAAAUCAUGCCACAUACUGCACUGAUAUGCCAAACGGGUUAUAUUCCAAUGGCAGUGGACGGCAAUUAACUUAUUUAUAUGCCCUAAACUAAUAUCAACACCCAUAUAAUAAUCACAAAUACACUAUGAGUAAAAACUAUAUUACCACCUAGGCACCGCCUAGGCACUAGGUGAAGGCCAACCGCCUCGCUUAUGCCUACCGCUUUUUCCAACCUUGAUUAUCACUAAGCAAAACACUCGAAAAGGAUUGAACUAAGCUUUUAUUCAACUAAUUUAAAAGAUAACUCAAGAUCGAACUAAGAUAAAUAAGGGAAAAAGAGGUGGUGUGAUAUGAUACCGGGGCACCUCCCCCAAGCUUGGCACAAGCCAAGGGGAGUGCCCAUAGCCGAUACUCAAGUCUCCUUUGGUGAUGAAGAAGGAGGUGGUGGUGAUGAGGUAGUAGCGAGCUUAUCCUCCGGCUUCCAUGGCAGCGGCUCACCAUCAUAAGAGGAACCACGGGUCUCACGAGUCCUACAACUGGAAGCUAAACUCAUACCUUUAAAUCUCGCCUCAUAUUCAAAGACUUGAUUUUGGAGAUCAUAGAUUUGGCUUUGAAGGAAGUUUAUUUGCUCGUUGAAGGUGAAGAUGAUGUCCUUCAUGGAUUGACCAUCCACCUUGAGAUCACGGGUGAAAUCUGCAAUCAUGAGGUGGUUGGCAUUGAGUUCACGUUCCACCAUCCCCUUGCACUUGAAGACCUCUUGCUCCAUAGCUUCAAGCCUAGCCUCCACGGUUCCUGUCCUCUGGGCCCCUGGACAUCUCGGAUUUUUAGCACCCCUCAUGCAUCUUAGUGGCUUGAGGGUGCUGCCUCACCUCCUACAGGUACGGAUUGAUGACGUUGUCGAAGAACUUGUCCUUGGAGGACUUCAGAGCGGCCAUGGCAAUCUAGAUCUGUCAGAAAAAUAGCAAGAAAUAAGAACAGAAGAUUUCUCCAUGAUACGGUGGUUAAUACGUUCGGGGGGUAUAUAAAGUUUUUUUAUCUUGGGAAACAAGCAAACAGGAGAAAAACAGAGUCCGGAAGGUACCCGCGGUGGGCACAACCCACCUGGGCGCGCCCUGGUGUCUUGUGCCCACCAGGGUUGCCUUCCUAGUCGUUUCUUAUUUUCCUAUUUUUUGUAAUAUUCCAAAACUGACAGAAAAUAUUUUUGCAGAUUUUUCGGAGUCCGUUUAUUUGCCGUAUCACGUACCUCCUCUUUUUUCAUGAUUCUGGAGUGUUCCGAAAGAUUUCUUUUAUGUGUUCCUCCGGUGUCAUGGUUUGAAUAAUAUUACUUUCAACAUUAAUAGGCGUACCUAAGAUAUAGUGUUUGAUUCUUUGCCCAUUGACCACCUUCGGGUUGGUACCUUUGGCAUUAUUUAUUUUGAUAGCUCUAGAGCGGUAAACUUCUUCGAUAAUAUACAGUCCUUCCCAUUUGGAGAGAAGUUUUCCUGCAAAGAAUCUGAAAUGAGAGUUGUACAAAAGAACAUAUUCUCCAACUUUGAACUCCCCCUUUUGGAUUCUUUUGUCAUGCCAUCUUUUAACUUUUUCUUUAAAUAAUUCGGCAUUUUCAUAAGCUUGGGUUCUCCAUUCAUCUAGUGAGCUAAUAUCAAAUAACCUCUUUUCAUCAACAAGUCUGAAAACAUAUUUGAGUUCUUUAAUUGCCCAAUAUGCUUUAUGUUAUAACUCAAGAGGCAAAUGACAAGCUUUCCCAUAAACCAUUUUAUAAGAAGACAUACCCAUAGGAUUGCUACUUCUUGAGCCUGCGUUGGUUUUUCCCUUGAAGAGGAAAGGGUGAUGCAGGAAAGUAGAGAUAAGUAUUUCCCUCAGUUAAGAACCAAGGUAUCAAUCCAGUAGGAGAAGAACGCAAAAAUCACCAAUACCCGCACAAUCAAUCAAACACUUGCACCCAACGCGAUAAAGGGGUUGUCAAUCCCUUCACGAUGACUUGCAAAGGUGAGAUCCGAUAGAGAUAGAUAAAUAAAAGAUAAAAUAUUUUUGGGUUUUCUGGUUUAUAGAUAUGAAAAUAAAAGAUUGCAAAAUAGUAGAUCAAAAACUAAUAUGAUGGAAAAUAGACCCGGGGGCCAUAACUUUCACUAGAGGCUUCUCUCAUGAACGCAAAUAAUACGGUGGGUGAACAAAUUACUAUCGAGCAAUUGAUAGAAAAGCGCAAAGUUAUGACGAUAUCUAAUGCAAUGAUUAUGCAAUAUAGGCAUCAUGCCCGUGUCAAGUAGACCGACUCUUCCCUGCAUCUACUACUAUUACUCCACACAUUGACCGCUAUCCAGCAUGCAUCUAGAGUAUUAAGUUCAUAAAGAAUGAAGUAACGCCUUAAGUAAGAUGACAUGAUGUAGAGGAAUAAACUCAUGCAAUAUGAUGUAAACCCCAUCUUUUUAUCCUCGAUGGCAACAAUACAAUACGUGUCUCGCUACCCCUACUUUGUCACUGGGUGAAAUCACGCAUGAUUGAACCUAAAGCUAAGCACCUCUCCUUUUGCAAGAAAAACCAAUCUAGUUGGCCAAACCAAACCGAUAAUUCAAAGAGAAAUACAAAGAUACCAAAUCAUGCAUAUAAGAAUUCAGAGAUAAGCUGAUCAUAAAUCCACAAUUCAUCUGAUCUCGACAAACACACCGCAAAAGAAGAUUACAUCGGAUAAAUCUCCAAGAACAUCGAGGAGAACAUGGUAUUGAGAAUCAAAGAGAGAGAAGAAGCCAUCUAGCUACUAGCUAUGGACCCAUAGGUCUGUGGUAAACUACUCACGCUUCGUCGGAAGGGAAAUAGGGUUGAUAUAGAUGCCCUUCGUGAUCGAAUCCCUCCCGACAGGAUGCCGGAAAGGCCCCAAGAUGGGAUCUCACAGGAACGGAAGGUUGCGGCGGUGGAAAGUGUUUUCGUGGAUGCCUCUUGUGGUUUGGGAAUAUACGUGAAUAUAUAGGAGGAAGAACUAGGUCAGGAAGGUCACGAGGGGCCCAUAAGGUAGGGGGUGAUACGUCUCCAACGUAUCUAUAAUUUUUGAUUGCUCCAUGCUAUAUUAUCUACUGUUUUGCACUAUAUUGGGCUUUAUUUUCCACUUUUAUAUUAUUUUUGGGACUAACCUAUUAACCAGAGGCCCAGCCCAGAAUUGAUGUUUUUUGCCUAUUUCAGUGUUUCAAAGAAACAGAAUAUGAAACGGAGUCCAAACAGAAAAAUCCUUUUUGGAACGUGAUUUUCUUCCUGGUUAUGACACAGGAGACUUGGACCCUACUCCAAGAAGUACCGGAGGCGGUCACAAGGGUGGGGGGCGCCCCCCCUACAGGGCGCGCCCCCCUGCCUCGUGGGCCCCUCAGUGCUCCACCGACGUACUCCUUCCUCCUAUAUAUACCCACGUACCCCCAAACGAUCAGAACAGGAGCCAAAAACCUAAUUCCACCGCCGCAACUUUCUGUAUCCACGAGAUCCCAUCUUGGGGCCUGUUCCGGAGCUCCGCCGGAGAGGACCGUAAUCACGGAGGGCUUCUACAUCAUCAUAGCCUCUCCGAUGAAGUGUGAGUAGUUUACCUCAGACCUUCGGGUCCAUAGUUAUUAGCUAGAUGGCUUCUUCUCUCUUUUCGGAUCUCAAUACAAUGUUCUCCCCCUCUCUUGUGGAGAUCUAUUUGAUGUAAUCUUCUUCUCUUGCGGUGUGUUUGUUGAGACCGAUGAAUUGUGGGUUUAUGAUCAAGUCUAUCUAUGAAUAAUAUUUGAAUCUUCUCUGAUUUCUUUUAUGUAUGAUUGGUUAUCUUUGCAAGUCUCUUCGAAUUAUCUGUUUGGUUUGGCCAACUAGAUUGGUAGUUCUUGCCAUGGGAGAAGUGCUUAGCUUUGGGUUCGAUCUUGCGGUGUCCUUUCCCAGUGACAUAAGGGGCAGCAAGGCACGUAUUGUAUCGUUGCCAUCGAGGAUAACAAGAUGGGGUUUAUUUCAUAUUGCAUGAAUUUAUCUCUCUAGCGUUACUCUGUUUUUAACUUAAUACUCUAGAUGCAUGCUGGAUAGCGGUCGAUGAGUGGAGUAAUAGUAGUAGAUGCAGAAUCGUUUCGAUCUACUUGUCACGGACGUGAUGCCUAUAUACAUGAUCAUGCCUAGAUAUUCUCAUAACUAUGCCACUAGUGAAACAUAUGGCCCCCGGGUCUAUUCUCAUCAUAUCAAUCUCCAUCACUUUAAUCUUGCUUUGUUUUUACUUUGCCUUUUACUUUUCACUUUGCAUCUUUAUAUCAAAAAUACCAAAAAUAUUAUCUCUAUUAGAUCUCACUCUCGUAAGAGACCGUGAAGGGAUUGACAACCCCUAAUCGCGUUGGUUGCGAGUUGCUAUCGAUUUGUGCAGGUACGAGGGACUUGAGCGUGGCCUCCUACUGGAUUGAUACCUUGGUUCUCAAAAACUGAGGGAAAUACUUACGCUACUCUGCUGCAUCAUCCUCUCCUCUUCGAGGAAAACCAACGCAAGCUCAAGAGGUAGCAAGAAGAAUUUCUGGCGCCGUUGCCGGGGAGUCUACGCAAAAAGUUAACGUACCAAGUACCCAUCACAAUCCCUAUCUCCUGCAUUACAUUAGUUGCCAUUUGCCUCUCGUUUUCCUCUCCCCCACUUCACCCUUGCCGUUUUAUUCUCCCUCUCUUUCUCCUUCUCCUCCUCCUUCUCCUUCUCCGUUUGCCUUUUUCUCGCUUGCCUUUUGUUUGCUCAUGUGUUGGAUUGCUUGUUCGUCGCGAUGGCUCAAGAUACUACCAAAUUGUGUGACUUCACCAAUACCAACAAUAAUGAUUUCCUUAGCACUCCGAUUGCUCCUCUUGCCAAUACUGAAUCUUGUGAAAUCAAUACUGCUUUGUUGAAUCUUGUUAUGAAAGAUCAAUUCGCCGGCCUUCCUAGUGAAGAUGUUGCUACUCAUCUGAAUAGCUUUGUUGAUUUAUGUGAUAUGCAAAAGAAAAAAGAUGUCGAUAAUGAUGUCGUUAAAUUGAAGCUAUUUCCUUUUUCUCUUAGAGAUCGUGCUAAAGCUUGGUUUUCGUCUUUGCCUAAAAAUAGUAUUGAUUCUUGGAACAAGUGCAAAGAUGCUUUUAUCUCUAAGUAUUUUCCUCCCGCUAAGAUCAUCUCUCUUAGAAACGAUAUUAUGAAUUUUAAGCAACUUGAUCACAAACAUGUUGCACAAGCUUGGGAGAGAAUGAAAUUAAUGAUACGUAAUUGCCCUACUCAUGUUUUAAAUUUGUGGAUGAUUAUACAAAAAAUUUAUGCCGUAUUGAAUUUUGCUUCUAGAAAUCUUUUAGAUUCGGCCGCGGGAGGCACUUUUAUGGAAAUCACUCUAGGAGAUGCUACUAAACUCCUAGAUAAUAUUAUGGUUAAUUAUUCUCAAUGGCAUACUGAAAGAUCUUCUACUAAAAAAGUGCAUGUGAUAGAAGAAAUCAAUGUUUUGAGUGGAAAGAUGAAUGAACUUAUGAAAUUAUUUGCUACUAAGAGUGUUUCUUCUGAUCCUAAUGAUAUGCCUUUGUCUACUUUGAUUGAGAAUAACAAUGAAUCUAUGGAUGUGGAUUUUGUUGGUAGGAAUAAUUUUGGUAACAACGCAUACAGAGGGAAUUUUAAUCCUAGGCCAUAUCCUAGUAAUCCUUCUAAUAAUUAUGGAAAUUCCUACAACAACUCUUAUGGAGAUUAUAAUAAGAUGCCCUCUGAAUUUGAGAAUAGUGUUAAAGAGUUUAUGAAUUCACAAAAGAAUUUUAAUGCUUUGCUUGAAGAGAAAUUGCUUAAAGUUGAUGAUUUGGCUAGGAACGUUGAUAGAAUUUAUCUUGAGGUUGAUUCUUUAAAGCUUAGAUCUAUUCCUCCUAAGCAUGAUAUCAAUGAGUCUCUCAAAGCUAUGGGAAUUUCCAUUGAUGAGUGCAAGGAAAGAACCACUAGGAUGCGUGCUUCCAAAGAUGCCUUUAUUAAAGCGUGUUCUUCCAAUACCUAUGAAAAUCAAUAUGAAGAUCUAAAAGUUAUUGAUGUGUCCCCUAUCAAAUCUUUGUUUUGCAAUAUGAAUCUUGAUGAAACUGAAUAUGAUCUUCCUUUACCUAGAAGGCGUUCCAAAAAUUCGGAGUAUUUAGAUCUUUAUGAUGAAAUUGAUGAAAGUGGGAUUGAAAGAAAUAAAAAUUUAGAUGUUGCUAAACCCAUUAUAUUGGAUUUCAAGGAAUUUAAUUAUGAAAGUUUCUCUUUGAAUGAUUGUAUUUCCUUUUUGCAAUCCGUGCUAAAUUCUCCACAUGCUUAUAGUCAAAAGAAAGCCUUCACCGAACAUAUUGUUGAUGCCUUGAUGCAAUCUUAUGAAGAAAAACUUGAGUUGAAAGUUUCUAUCCCUAGAAAACUCUAUGAUGAGUGGGAGCCAACCAUUAAAAUUAAAAUUAAAGAUCAUGAGUUUUAUGCUUUGUGUGAUUUGGGUGCUAGUGUCUCCACUAUCCCCAAGACUUUGUGUGAUUUGCUAGAUUUCCGCGAUCUUGAUAAUUGCUCUUUAAACUUACAUCUCGUGGAUUCUACUAUUAAGAAACCUAUGGGAAGGAUUAAUGAUGUUCUUAUUGUUGCAAAUAGGAAUUAUGUGCCCGUAGAUUUCAUUGUUCUUGAUAUAGAUUGCAAUCCUUCUUGCCCUAUUAUUCUUGGUAGACCUUUCCUUAGAACGGUUGGUGCGACUAUUGAUAUGAAGGAAGGGAAUAUUAGAUUCCAAUUUCCAUUAAAAAGGGCAUGGAACACUUUACAAGAAAGAAAAUAAAAUUGCCAUAUGAAACCAUCAUGAGAUCCACUUAUGGAUUGCCUUCCAAAGAUGGCAAUACCUAGAUCUAUCCUCGCUUUUAUGCCUAGCUAGGGGCGUUAAACGAUAGCGCUUGUUGGGAGGCAACCCAAUUUUAUUUUUAGUUUUUUUGUGUGUUUUUCUUCUGUUAGGGAAUAAAUAACCCAUCUACCUUCUGUUUGGAUGUGGUUUUAUGUUUUAAUUAGUGCUUGUGCCAAGCUAGACCUAUUGGAUCUUCUUGGAUGAUAGUUAUUUGAUCUUGAUGUAAUUUCCAGAAACUUUGCGUUCAGUGCCCGAAUUAUUAAAAAUCAUCCGAACGUGAUAAAAUACUGAUUCCAAUUGCUGCUGAUCAAUAAACAAAUUUUAUAGGUCUUCUAAUUUUGGUAGAUUUUUUGGAGUUCCAGAAGUUUGCGUUAGUUACAUAUUACUACAGACUGUUCUGUUUUUGACAGAUUCUGUUUUUCGUGUGUUGUUUGCUUAUCUUGAUGAAUCUAUGGUUAGUAAAAUAGUUUAUAAUCCAUAGAGAAGUUGGAAUACAGUAGGUUUAACACCAAAAUAAAUAAAUAAUGAGUUCAUUACAGUACCUUGAAGUGGUUUUAUGCUUUCUUUCUCUAACGGAGCUCACGGGAUUUCUAUUGAGUUUUGUGUUGUGAAGUUUUCAAGUUUUGGGUGAAUUCUUUUGAUGGAUUAUGGAACAAGGAGUGGCAAGAGCCUAAGCUUGGGGAUGCCCAUGGCACCCCCAACAUAAUCCAAGGACACCAAAAAGUCAAAGCUUGGGGAUGCCCCGGAAGGCAUCCCCUCUUUCGUCCACUUCCAUCGGUAAUUUACUUGGAGCUAUAUUUUUAUUCACCAACAUGAUAUGUGUUUUGCUUGGAGCGUCUUGUAUUAUUUGUGUCUUUAUUUGUUAGUGUGCCACAAUCAUACUUGCUGUACACACCUUUUGAGAGAGUCAUCUAUGAAUUAAAAUUUGUUAGAAUACUCUUUGUGCUUCACUUAUAUCUUUUGAGCUAUGCAGUUUUGCUCUAUGUGCUUCACUUAUAUCUUUUGAGCGUUAUAAUUUUGCUCUAUGUGCUUCACUUAGAUCUUUUAGAGCACAAUGGUGGUUUGUUUUAAAGAAACUAUUGAUCUCUCAUGCUUCACUUAAAUUAUUUUGAGAGUCGUAAUAGCAUGGUAAAUUACUUAAUAUUAAUAUGCUUGGUAUGCAUGAUUUGUGAAAUUUUCUUUUGAGUGUGUUGAAUACUAAGAAAAGAUUGAAGCAUGAUAAUUCUUUUGAGAUAUGAAGGUGAUAAUAUUAGAGUCAUGCUAGUUGAAGUAGUUGUGAAUUUAAAUAAUACUUGCGUUGAAGUUUGUGAUUCCCGUAGCAUGCACGUAUGGUGAACCGUUAUGUAACGAAGUCAGAGCAUGAAGUGUUUAUUGAUUGUCCUCCUCAUGAGUGGCGGUCGGGGACGAGCGAUGGUCUUUUCCUACCAAUCUAUCCCCCUAGGAUCAUGCACGUAAUACUUUGCUUUGAUAACUUCUAAAUUUUUGCAAUAAGUAUAUGAGUUCUUUAUGACUAAUGUUGAGUCCAUGGAUUAUAUGCACUUUUUCCCAUCCUUCCACCAUUGCUAGCCUCUCUAAUACCACGCACUUUUCGCCGGUAUCAUACACCCACCAUAUAUCUUCCUAAAAACAGCCACCAUACCUACCUAUCAUGGCAUUUCCAUAGCCAUUCCGAGAUAUAUUGCCAUGCAACUUUCCACCGUUCCGUUUACUAUGACACGCUCCAUCAUUGUCAUAUUGCUAGCAUGAUCAUGUAGUUGACAUCGUAUUUGUGGCAAAGCCACCAUUCAUAAUUCUUUCAUACAUGUCACUCUUGAUUCAUUGCAUAUCCCGGUACCCUGCCGGAGGCAUUCAUAUAGAGUCAUAUCUUGUUCUAAGUAUCGAGUUGUAAGAAAAAUAAAAGUGUGAUGAUCAUCAUUUUUAGAGCAUUGUCCAAAGUGAGGAAAGAAUGAUGGAGACCAUGAUUCCCCCACAAGUCGGGAUGAGACUCCGGACGAAAAAAAAGAGGCCAUAAAAAAGGCCCAAAUAAAAAUAAAAAAGAGAGAAAAAGAGAGAAGGGACAAUGCUACUAUCCUUUUACCACACUUUGCUUCAAAGUAGCACCAAGAUCUUCAUGAUAGAGAGUCUCCUAUGUUGUCACUUUCAUAUACUAGUGGGAAUUUUUCAUUAUAGAAUUGGCUUGUAUAUUCCAAUGAUGGGCUUCCUCAAAAUGCCCUAGGUCUUCGUGAGCAAGCGAGUUGGAUGCACACCCACUUAGUUUCUUUUGUUGAGCUUUCAUAUACUUAUAGCUCUAGUGCAUCCGUUGCAUGGCAAUCCCUACUCACUCACAUUGAUAUCUAUUAAUGGGCAUCUCCAUAGCCCGUUGAUACGCCUAGUUGAUGUGAGACUAUCUUCCCCUCUUUUUGUCUUCUCCACAACCACCUUCUAUUCCACAUAUAGUGCUAUAUACAUGGCUCGCGCUCAUGUAUUGCGUGAAGGUUGAAAAAGUUUUGAAAAUGUUAAAGUAUGAAACAAUUGCUUGGCUUGUCAUCGGGGUUGUGCAUGAUUUACAUACUUUGUGUGGUGAAGAUGGAGCAUAGCCAGACUAUAUGACUUUGUAGGGACAACUUUCUUUGGCCAUGUUAUUUUGAGAAGACAUAAUUGCUUUAUUAGUAUGCUUGAAGUGUUAUUAUUUUUAUGUCAAUAUGAAAUUUUGACUUGAAUCUUUCGAAUCUGAAUAUUCAUACCACAAUUAAGAAAUUUUGCAUUGAAAUUAUGCCAAGUAGCACUCCGCAUAAAAAAUUCUCUUUUUAUCAUUUACCUACUCGAGGACGAGCAGGAAUUAAGCUUGGGGAUGCCUGAUACGUCUCCAACAUAUCUAUAAUUUUUGAUUGCUCCAUGCUAUAUUAUCUACUGUUUUGGACUAUAUUGGGCUUUAUUUUCCACUUUUAUAUUAUUUUUGGGACUAACCUAUUAACCGGAGGCCCAGCCCAGAAUUGCUGUUUUUUGCCUAUUUCAGUGUUUCGAAGAAACAGAAUAUCAAACGGAUUCCAAACAGAAAAAUCCUUUUUGGAACGUGAUUUUCUUCCCAAUUAUGACACAGGAGACUUGGACCCUACUCCAAGAAGUACCGGCAGCGGUCACGAGGGUGGGGGCGCCCCCCCCCCCCUACAGGGCGCGCCCCCCUGCCUCGUGGGCCCCUCAGUGAUCCACCGACGUACUCCUUCCUCCAAUAUAUACCCACGUACCCCCAAACGAUCAGAACAGGAGCCAAAAACCUAAUUCCACCGCCGCAACAUUCUGUAUCCAUGAGAUCCCAUCUUGGGGCCUGUUCCGGGGCUCCGCCGGAGAGGGCCGUCAUCACGGAGGGCUUCUACAUCAUCAUAGCCUCUCCGAUGAAGUGUGAGUAGUUUACCUCAGACCUUCGGGUCCAUAGUUAUUAGCUAGAUGGCUUCUUCUCUCUUUUUGGAUCUCAAUACAAUGUUCUCCCCCUCUCUUGUGGAGAUCUAUUUGAUGUAAUCUUCUUCUUUUGCGGUGUGUUUGUUGAGACCGAUGAAUUGUGGGUUUAUGAUCAAGUCUAUCUAUGAAUAAUAUUUGAAUCUUCUCUGAAUUCUUUUAUGUAUGAUUGGUUAUCUUUGCAAGUCUCUUCGAAUUAUCCAUUUGGUUUGGCCAACUAGAUUGGUAGUUCUUGCCAUGGGAGAAGUGCUUAGCUUUGGGUUCGAUCUUGUGGUGUCCUUUCACAGUGACAGAAGGGGCAGCAAGGCACGUAUUGUAUCGUUGCCAUCGAGGAUAACAAGAUGGGGUUUAUUUCAUAUUGCAUGAAUUUAUCUCUCUACAUCAUGUCAUCUUGCUUAAAGUGUUACUCUGUUUUUAACUUAAUACUCUAGAUGCAUGCUGGAUAGCGGUCGAUGAGUGGAGUAAUAGUAGUAGAUGCAGAAUCGUUUCGAUCUACUUGUCACGGACGUGAUGCCUAUAUACAUGAUCAUGCCUAGAUAUUCUCAUAACUAUGCUCAAUUCUGUCAAUUGCUCAACAGUAAUUUGUUCACCCACCGUAGAAAACUUAUGCUCUCGAGAGAAGCCACUAGUGAAACCUAUGGCCCCCGGGUCUAUUCUCAUCAUAUCAAUCUCCAUCACUUUAAUCUUGCUUUGUUUUUACUUUGCCUUUUACUUUUCACUUUGCAUCUUUUUAUAAAAAAUACCAAAAAUAUUAUCUCUAUUAGAUCUCACUCUCGUAAGAGACCGUGAAGGGAUUGACAACCCCUGAUCGCGUUGGUUGCGAGUUGCUAUCGAGUUGUGCAGGUACGAGGGACUUGAGCGUGGCCUCCUACUGGAUUAAUACCUUGGUUCUCAAAAAAUGAGGGAAAUACUUACGCUACUCUGCUGCAUCAUCCUCUCCUCUUCGGGGAAAACCAACACAAGCUCAAGAGGUAGCAGGGGGCACGCCGUCCACCCUUGCCGCCGCCUCGUAGCUCUUCCGACUUGAACUCCAAGUCUCCUGGGUGUCUUCUGGUCCAAGAAAAACCAUCACGAAAGUUUUAUUCCAUUUGGACUCUGUUUGGUAUUCCUUUUCUACGAAGCUCAAAAACAAGGAAAAAACAGAAACUGGCACUGGCACUGGGCUCUAGGUUAAUAAGUUAGUCCCAAAAAUAAUAUAAAAUAGCAUAUUAAUGCAUAUAAAACAUCCAAAACAGAUAAUAUAAUAGCAUGGAACAAUCAAAAUUAUAGAUGCAUUGGAGACGUAUCAAGGAUUUUUAUAUGUUGUUCUGUAGGCCCAAUGUGCAUCAUCCAAUUUCUUAGACCAAUUCUUUCAGGACCUAUUAACAGUUUUUUGUAAUAUUAAUUUUAUUUCUCUAUUGCUAAGCUCAACUUGACCACUAGAUUGGGGAUGAUAGGGUGAUGCAAUUCUAUGGUUAACAUCAUAUUUAGCAAGCAUUUUAUGGAAAGCACCAUGAAUGAAGUGUGAACCACCAUCAGUCAUUAAGUAUCUAGAGACUCCAAACCUUGGGAAAAUAACUUCUUUAAGAAUUUUAAUAGAGGUGUUGUGAUCAGCACUACUAGUUGGAAUAGCUUCUACCCACUUAGUAACAUAAUCAACAACAACCAAAAUACGAGUAUACCUAAUAGAGGAAGGAAAAGGUCCCAUGUAAUCAAAACCCCAAACAUCAAAUGGUUCACCAGCAAGUGAAUAAUUCAUAGACAUUUCUUGACACUUACCAAUAUUACCAAUUCUUUGGCAUUCAUCGCAAGAUAAAACAUACUUACGAGAAUCCUUGAAGAGAGUAGGCUAGUAAAAAUCAUAUUGCAGUACCUUGUGAGCAGUUCUAUCUCCCGCAUGAUGUCCUCUAUAAGCUUCGGAGUGAAAUUUCCAUAGGAUUUGUUCAUGUUCCUCUUCAGGUACACAACGUCUAAUAAUACCAUCUACCCCUUCUUUAUAGAGGUGUGGGUCAUCCCAAAAGUAAUGUCUUAAGUCGUAGAAGAAUUUUUUUUCUUUUGUUGGAAUGUGAAACUAGGUGGUAUGUAUUUAGCAACAAUAUAAUUAGCAUAGUCAGCAUACCAAGGAGUAUUACGAUAAACAUUUAUUGCAGCUAAUUGUUCAUCAGGGAAACUAUCAUCCAUAGGUAGUGGGUCAUCAAGAAUAUUUUCUAACCUAGACAAGUUAUCAGCUAUGGGGUUCUCAGCUCCUUUCCUAUCAGUAAUAUGUAAAUCAAAUUCUUGUAGCAAGAGAACCCACCUAAUGAGUCUAGGUUUAGUAUCUUUCUGGUCCAUAAGAUAUUUUAUAGAAGCAUGAUCAGUGUGAAAAAUUAUUUUGGAAUCAACAAUAUAGGAUCUGAAUUUAUCAUAGGAAAACACAACUGCUAAAAAUUCUUUUUCAAUAGUAGCAUAAUUUCGUUGAGCACUGUCUACAGUUUUACCAGCAUAAUGGAUAACAUUUAAUUUUUUAUCGACUCUUUGUCCUAGAACAUCACCAACAACAUAAUCACUAGCAUCACACAUAAUUUCAAAAGGCAAGUUCCAUUCAGGUGGUUGUACUAUAGGUGCAGAAGUUAAGGCUUUCUUAAGUGUUUCAAAGGCUUCUACACAAUCAUCAUAAAAAACAAAUGGAACUUCCUUUUGUAAAAGAUUUGUAAGCGACCUAGAAAUUUUAGAGAAGUCUUUAAUAAACCUCCUAUAGAAACCAGCAUGACCAGGGAAACUACAAAUACCUUUAAUAUGUUUCGGACAUGGCAUUUUCUCAAUUGCAUCAACUUUAGCUUUAGCCACCUCAAUACCUCGUUCAGAAUUUUUUUGCCCCAAGACAAUACCUUCAUUAACCAUAAAGUGGCACUUCUCCCAAUUCAAGACAAGAUUAGUUUGCUCACAUCUCUGCAAAACUCGAUCAAGGUUGCUUAAGCAAUCAUCAAAAAAAAUUCCGUAAACAGAAAAAUCAUCCAUGAAAACUUCAACAAUCUUUUCACAGAUAUCAAAGAAUAUAGCAGUCAAACAUCUUUGAAAGGUAGCAGGUGCAUUGCAUAAACCAAAAGGCAUACGUCUAUAAGCAUAAGUUCCAAAAGGUCAAGUAAAGGUGGUUUUCUCUUGAUCAGGUUGUGAAACGGGUAUUUGAGAAAAACCAGAAUAUACAUCAAGAAAACAAAAGUGUGUGUGCUUAGAUAAUCUUUCUAACAUUUGAUCGAUAAAAGGCAAAGGGUAAUGAUCUUUUCUAGUUGCUUUAUUUAAUUUUCUGAAAUCAAUUACCAUUCUAUAACUAGUAAGAAUUCUCUAUGGAAUACGUUAAUUUCUAUCAUUAGGAACAACAGUAAUACCUCCCUUCUUAGGGAUACAAUGAACGGGACUUACCCAUCUACUAUCAGCUAUGGGAUAUAUUAUACCUGCUUCAAGAAGCUUUAAUAUUUCAGUUCUUACCACUUCUUUCAUCUUAGGAUUCAAACAUUGUUGGUGAUCAACUACAUGUUUAGCAUCAGGUUCCAUAUUAAUCUUGUGCUGACAUAGAGUGAGACUAAUGCCUUUAAGAUUACUAAGAGUAUACCCAAUAGCAGCUCGGUGCUUCUUCAGAAUUUUCAAUAAUCUUUCUUCUUCAUGUUCUGAAAGGUUAGCACUAAUAAUAAUAGGAUAUAUCUUUUUCUCAUCAAGAUAAGCAUAUUUCAAAGUGUAAGACCGUUGUUUUAAUUCAAAUACAGGAUCAUCUUUAGGUGGAGGAGGACCUCCUAGAGUUUCCGUAGGUAAAUUGAGUUUGAGCAGAGGUCGUUGUUCAAAGAAUAUUUUAUCUAUUUCAUUCCUUUCAUGCAUAUGCAUACCAUUUUCAUGGUCUAGGAAAUAUUGUUCUAGUGGCUCAGUAGGAGGCACGACAAUAGAAGCAAGACCAAUUAUUUCAUCCUUACUAGGUAAUUCUUUUUUAUGAUGUUUUCUACUAAACUUAGAAAAAUAAACUCAUGAGACUCAUCACCAAAACUAACACCGAUAGUUUGUUUUUCACAAUCUAUUUUAGCAUUAACGGUGUUCAAGAAAGGUCUACCAAAAAUAAUGGGACAAAAAAUCAUCUUGUGGGGAACCAAAAAUUAGAAAAACAGUAGGGUAUUUUACGUUCCCACACAAGACUUCAACAUCUCUAACAAUCCCAAGUGGUGUGAUAGUGUCUCUAUUAGCAAGUUUAAUAGUAACAUCUAUGUCUUCUAUUUCAGCGGGUGCUUUGUAUUCAUAAUUUCUUUAUAUAAGGUAAAAGGAAUAGCACUCACGCUAGCACCCAAGUCACAUAAACCAUGAUAACAGUGAUCUCCUAUUUUGACUGGGACAACAGGCAUGCCAACAACGGGUCUAUGUUUAUCUUUUUCAUCAAGUUUGGCAAUUCUAGCAGCUUCAUCACAGAAGUAAAUAACAUGCCCAUCAAUAUUUUCUACCAAGAGAUCUUUAACCAUAGCAACACUAGGUUCUAAUUUGAUUUCUUCUGAAGGUCUAGGUGCUUUGAUAUUACUUUUGCGGACCACAGUUGAAACCUUAGCAUGUUCCUUCAUCCUAUCAGGGAAAUGUGGUUUUUUCAAUAUAAGCAGUAGGAACAACUGGAUAAACAUUGUAAAUAAUAAUCUCUUCUUUAGAUAUUACCGAUUCUUUAAUUUCUUCUUCAAUAGGGAGAUGAUAUUUAAACCACUUUUCCUUAGGGAGAUCAACAUGUGUAGUAAAAUAUUCACAAAAGGAGGCUACUAUCUCAGAGUCAAGUCCAUAUUUAGUGCUAAACUUGUGAAAGGCAUCGGUAUUCAUAAAAUUAACACAACCAAACUUAAGCUUAAUACCUGACUCUUUACCUUCUCGAGUUCCCAAUCUUCAGAGUUGCGUUUAAUUCUUUCUAAAAGAUCCCACCUGAAUUCAAUAGUCUUCUUCAUAAAAGAACCAGUACAAGAAGUAUCGAGUAUGGAUCGAUCACCAUGAGAAAGCCGAGCAUAAAAAUUCUGAAUAAUAAUUUCUCUUGAGAGCUCAUGAUUGGGGCAUGAAUAUAACAUGGACUUAAGCUUCCCCCAAGCUAGAGCGAUACUUUCUCCUUCAUGAGGCCAAAAAUUAUAUAUAUAAUUCCGAUCACGAUGAACUAGAUGCAUAGAAUUUUUUUGAUGAAAUUCCAAUUUCAAUCGAUUCCAGUUCCAAGAUCCAAUAUCAUCGCAUAGCCUAUACGAUGCCAAUGCUUUUCCCUUUAAAGAUAAAGGGAAAACCUUCUUCUUAGCUUCAUCUCCGGGUAAACCUGCAAGCUUAAAUAAUCCACAAAUUUCAUCCACAUAUAUCAGGUGCGUAUCAGGAUGUUCAGUUCCAUCUCCUGCAUAAGGAUUAGCUAGCAGUUGUUCUAUCAUACCCGAAGGAAUUUCAUAACCAAUAUUUUCAGUAGGUUGAGGGGCAACUAAUUGUGGUUCCGGUCGAGGUGAAGAUACCCCAAACAAACCCCUCAAAGGAUUGUUUUCCAUAGUAGCAAGUGACAAUAAAUUUCAGCACGUAGUAAUAAUUUUCCCUUACCAAUUUCCACUUACCAAGAGCGCUUCACUCCCCGGCAACGGCGCCAGAAAAGAGUCGUGCUGACCCAAAAGUAUAGCGGAUCAAUCGUAGUCCUUUCGAUAAGUAAGAGUGUUGAACCCAACGAGGAGUAGAAGAAAAUGACAAGUGGUUUUCAGCAAGGUAAUUUCUGCAAGCACUGAAAUUGUCGGUAACAGAUAGUUUGGUAGCAAGCUAAUUUGUAAUGAGAAAGUAACGGUAACAGUAAGUAAAGUUCAGCAAGGUAGCCCAAUCCUUUUGUGGCAAAGGACAGGCCAAAACGGUUUCUUAUAAUAGGCAAAGCGUUCUUGAGGGUACACGAGAAUUUCAUCUAGUCACUUCACCAUGUUGGUUCGAUUCGUGUUCACUACUUUGAUAAUUUGAUAUGUGGGUGGAUCAGUGCUUAGGUGCUGUUCUUACUUGAAAAAAUCUCCUACUUAUGAUUAACCCCCUUGCAAGCAUCCACAACUACAAGAAAAGUAUUAAGAUAAAAUCUAAGCAUAUCAUUAAACUUUUGGAUCCAAAUCGAUCCCUUAUAAAGUAGCGCAUAAACUAGGGUUUAAACUUCUGUCACUCUAGCAAACCAUCAUCUAAUAACUACUCUACAUUGCCUUCCCUUAGACCCAAAUAUGGUGAAGUGCCAUGUAGUCGACGUUCGCAUGACACCACUAAGGGAAUCACAACAUACAUAUCAUGAAAAUAUCAAACAUAUAUCAGAUUCACAUGAUUACUUGCAACAAGAUUUCUCCAGUGACCUCAAGAACAAAUAUAAGUACUCACAAAUGAUAAUCAUGCCCAAGAUCAGAGGGGUAUUAAAUAGCAUAAUGGAUCUGAACAUAUAAUCUUCCACCAAAUGAACCAUAUAGUAAUCAACUACAAGAUGUAAUCAACACUGCUAGUCAUCCGCAGAGACCAAUCUGAUGUUCUGGUACAAAGAUUGAACACAGGAGAUGAACUAUGGUUUGUGAGGAGAUGGUGUUGUUGAAGAUGUUGAUGAAGAUUUCCCAAAGAUGAGAGGGUUAUUGGUGAUGACGAUGAUGAUGAUUUCCCCCUCUGGGAGGGAACUUCCCCCGGCGGAAUCGCUCCACCGGAGGACAAAAGUGCUCCUGCCCAAGUUCCGCCUCGAGAAGACGAUGCUUCGUCCCGAAAGUCCUCCUCUUAUUUUUUUUCUAGGUCAAAAUGACUUAUAUACCAGAAGGGGGGCACCGGAGGUGGGCCGAGGAGGGCACAACCCACCAGGGCGCUCUAGGUGGGUUGUGCCCACCUGGUGGGCUUCCAUCGGUAGUUAUUUGCUCCAUUAUUUUUCAUAUAUUCCGAAACAAUCCUCCGUAAAUUUUCAGCUCAUUUGGAGAUGUUCAGAAUAGGUGACUCUGACGUAGCUUUUUCAGGUCCAGAAUUCCAGCUGUCGGCAUUCUUCCUCUUUGUGUAAACCUUGCAUAUUAUGAGAGAAAAGACAUUAGAAUUACUUCAUAAAGCAUUAUUAUGCAUAAAAAUAUUAUAAAUAACAGUAGGUAAACAUGAUGCAAAAUGGAUGUAUCAUGGAGCGUCGACUAAGUAGUCGGAGUAGAGCAAGCAAUAGCCUUCCAGUUGAUGCCUCUGCUUUGCCUUCAGCCGGCCCGACGCCGAGCCACCUCGCCAUGACUUUGCAUUGCUCUCGAGCAGGCUGGCCAGGGCGGCGAUGACCAUGAGAUGCUCUUCAUUCUAGGCAUAGGCAUCGGCUUCCUCCUCCAGCAGCGCCGCGAGCGCCUCCUCAUCGUCCGAGUCCAUCUCGAGCAGACAAAUCGCUGAACAUCUGGCGGGCGUGGUAGGCGCGCAGCCGCCAGUAUUCCAGCCAGAAAGCUCGCGCAGAAACAGGGUGGAGGAUGCCGCUGCGGAACCCUCUCUUUCGGCGGGGGAAUGACCUAUCUAGCGGCGGUGAGUGGGUCGGCAACGCCAGGAUCGGCAAGACGGCGGGAGGGCGUGCGCGCGCCGGGGGGGAUCUGGACGUGCAAGAUGCGUUUUCGCCUGACAGUGGUGGUCCAGACGUGGUUUUUCCUUCCGCUGGAGCCCUCAAACGCCUCCAAUGCGCUAGGUUCGGCCUGGAAUCGCCGGGCCAAAAAACGGACCGACCGGCGAAUUUUGACGUCUUGAAAGCACGACUGAGGUUUUUUUGGCAUCGACGUGAAAAAAGUCGCCUUAAGGGACCUGUUGAAAACGCGAGGGGAGAUGCUCUAAUCCCAAAAAUCCCAAAAGAAGAAGCAUCAUUGCAUCGCGGAAUCGCGGGCUCCCGUACACCUCUCCCGCACGAGUACCGACCCACACCGCCUCCGCCGCCAAUCUCUGCUCCGCACACACUGCCGCCGUCGCUCUCUGCUUCAGCAUCCACCGCCGCCAGCCUAUCCACUCAUCAUCUACACAAAAGGGGAAAGAAAAGGGAAAUCCCACUCCCAUCCAGGCUGCCGCCGCCGCUUCUGAUCUGAUCUGCGUCCCCCCACGCCGGUCUAGCCCUAACGCCGUCGGUUUCUGCCGGCGGCGCGGUCAGAGGACAAGCAGUGAUGGCGGGGACCUCCGGAGCCCAGAUCUCCUCCCGGCGGCCGGCUAACCGACCGAGGGCCCUCCCCGAUCCGCGCCGCCCCUGCCCUUCCUCCAACAUCCGAUCCCACGCCCAAUCAGCUGGACGCAAGCGAAAAUACUCGGUGGCCAUCGACGUGGAUCCCGUCCGUGACUGGGCGAACAUCGGGGACGGGCCAGCCGGCCUGAUCGCCGAGCUUGCCCUCGCCAGCGACGUGGCCGACUAUAUCCGGUUCCGCGCCGUGUGCCAGCUGUGGCGGCGGUGCUCGCCGGACCCGUGCGCCGGCGGCCUGGACGGCCGCUUCCUCCCCCGCAAGUGGAUCAUGCUUGACAAGGCGCUUGCCGGGCCCCGCCGCCAUCGCUUCCUCAAUGUGUCUACAGGCGAGUGCAUACGUAUGGACCUCCCGGAGCUCGCGGAGCACACGUUGCUCUCGCUCACCCCAGAAGGCCUCCUCCUCCUGCUCCUCGAGACCACCCUGGUCGUCCGCCUGCUUAACCCACUCACGCGGCAGCUCACCAACCUUCCGCCGAUGACCGCGCUCCUGAGAUCAGGGCAGCAUCGGUCCAGGCAAUGUGGCUUCAAGAUAGGGAAAACAUUCAGUGUGUCUGGCGUGGGUCUUCUUGCCGACACCUCCAUGGUGGCAGUCAAUUUCUUUGAUCCCAGGGGGCUUUUUGUCGCUAAGCCCGGCGAUGAGAGUUGGACCAUGGUCGACACAAUGGUCGACAAGGAAUACAUAAAUUCGGUUUUGCCUUUUGCGGGGCGCUUCUACUGCGCCAACUACAGGGGCGUCAUGGUGCUGACGAUCGGCUCGGAUCAGCAGCCACCCCGGCUCCAGUUGGUCGCUGACCGGAGCGACUCAUUUAUUUCUCCCUGAUGACGCACAGCCUUCACCUGGUGGACAACGGCGGGGAGUUGAUGCUGGUGCACCGAGCGCUAAGCCGGGACAGUGAGUAUGACAUGAGGUAUGAUGCUUACAGAGUGGAUUUGGAAGCUGGGGUCCUGACCCAGGCCAAGGGCUUCAACGGGCGCGCCGUGUUCAUGGGCAUGUGCCGCUCAAUUUCUGUAUCGGCUGAGGCUGCUUACCCCUCUCUCGCUGCUGAUACCAUCUACCUGGGACACGAUUGUGAUGACCAGAUUCAGGGGUACAAUAUCGCGGAUGGAAGCAGAUGCAGUCUGAUUGAGGCAGUAUGUCCGCAUAGUGUUGUGGAUUGUCUCCGCCGUUGCAUCCAGGGAGUCGGCAAGCGACUUGCUUGAGCCUCAGCACAAAUGAUGGGUGUUUGACGAAUGACGGGUGUUGCUCUUUGCUAUGAUUCUGUUUCUGUGGUGGGUGUAGUGGUUGCCGUGAUUCUGGUCUUGGCCUACUGCUGGGUGUGGUGUCUGCCGUGAUUCUGGUCCUGGUCUUAUGCGUCAGUUGCUGUGUAUCAGACAGCAUUAAGAUAUGUACCUCAAAUAAUGUAAACGCUUAUUAAACAAAAAUUGUUACUGGUUUUCUGUUUCUGAUAUUUACAUAUGAUGUGGCAGUAUACUGAUGAAACAAAAUUAUCUGCAUCUUCCUACUUUUUACAUCCUUGAUGUUUUGUAUAGGCCGCUAGCCCUUCUCCUUCCAUGAUAUAUACUCCCUCCGUUUCUAAAUAUAAGACCUUUUAUAGAGAUUUCAAUACGGACUACAUACGGAUGUAUGUAGACGUAUUUUAGAGUGUAGAUUCACGUAUUUUGCUCCGUAUGUAGUCUGCAUUGGUGGAACAGAGUGAGUACCUCUAAUCUG